RNAcentral lists this long non-coding RNA (241025 nucleotides) under Eucalyptus grandis. RNAcentral's name for it is "long non-coding RNA (EGRA_LNC000025)". The record is from RNAcentral. Lineage: Eukaryota; Viridiplantae; Streptophyta; Magnoliopsida; Myrtales; Myrtaceae.
UCCACCUCCCCGAUGGUGAAGUACUUGCUCGUGUUCUUGCACACCGAGCCUCCCUCGGGCGAUGUGGUGAUCUUCACCUCGUUGCUGAUCUUCUCGAAGGUGGUGCCCAGCAUGUCGCCCUCGAUGAUCGAGUAGCAGUAGGUGAAGUUCUCCUUGUCCAGGGCCUCAACCUUUUGCUUCAUUGUCUUGUACUGACUGCCUAUCAAAGUAAGAAAAAAUAAUAUUCACGUUUAGAACUCGCCCGUUUCAACAUCACGAACAACGAUCUCGAUGGUGUUGAUCGGGCCAUUUAGGUUGUUCCAACUGCAAUCUGAUACGAUUGACUUAGUAGACAUGGCCUGAUUUCCCUCGAUUGGAGUCAAGUCACGUGAUCACUUGUGUAAAUCAAUGAUUAGAAACAUCUUUAAUUAACCAAGUUACAUAUCUAUCUUUUUUAAUGUUCAUUAUGAUGUUCCAUAAGGUUGAAAUAGCCUUGAUCCAGAGCGAUCCUAACACGGACGGACUAACCUUCGCCGAAAGUGAUCAACUUGACGGUCCCGGGACCUCCGUCACCCUCGAGGACUUCAACGCUCUUGAUGGCUUGCGGGAGCACCUUGGGGAUGAGGUUAUCGGCGUCGAGGACAGCGGCCUUGAACAUCUUGGCCGGAGGGAUUGGGGUCGUGAUCUCAGAGUCGUAACUGACGACACCCAUGAUUUGGAUCCGAAUGGAAUUGCCGAAAGAAAGAAGAGGGUGAUCGGGAAAGGCUGACUAGCAGUGAUGAAGUUGGUCUCUAGGACUUGGGAGUGAAGAGAAGAGGAUGAACUGAAGCUGACAUAUAUAGAGAGACCGAGUGUGAAGGGUUCUCGUCAUUGGAUAUUUUCUUAAGUGUGUUCGUUUGGUACAAAAUAAAUAAUUAAAUAAUUAUUUGUAUCAUUUGGUAUAAUUAUUUGAUGAGAAAGUUUUGCAUUAUUGACAAUAAUUUAUAUAUAAAUAUUUUUUAUUCGUUUAUUUUUGUAAUUUAUAUAAAAAAAAUAUUUUUUUUACGAAACAAAUGAAGCUUAAUAAAAAAAUCUUAAUCGGUCUGUGGGUUGUUCAAUCAUGACAUGGAGGGGAGCGUGUGACGACAAAGUCAGUUCUUCUUACCGUUCGUGGCCCGGCUUUCGGUCGUCGGCUCGGCUCGCCUUGCGUUUUGGAAACGGCAUCUUCUCUCUCUCUCUCUUUCCUUCUCUCGCCCGCUCUUCCCUGCCCCGCCCCCCGGGCUUUGCUGUGGUCGCGACCAGAUGGAACUUUGACCGUGGAUUAGAUCGUUCGUUCGGUGGUGUUGGUGUCGAGGGUCGUUUGUCUUGUCCGUGCACAAAUUCCUUUCUUUCUUUUUUUUUUUUUUUGCUUUUUUUUUCUUUAUUCGAUGAGGUCGUCGUUCGAUGAGGUCGACCUUGACCUCGCCGGUUGCCAUGGUCCGUCGACUAGAGGAAGAAGAUGAGAAGAAAAAAAUAAAAAUAAAAAUAAAAAUUCAAAAAAAUUACAAUAUUAUUAGAAGUUGUCCACGUCAUCGUGUUUAGUCAGCAAAAUCCGGUCAAAAUUGACCGGAAAUGACUGAAUUGGUAUAAAGUAAAAAUAUUUAGGACUAAAUCAGCACAAAAACAAAAUGUUUAGAACUUUUUAGGCAUUUUUCCCCUAAAAUGGGUAUUACAAGUUUACGAAAGGUACGAACUCAAAAGUCUCCCAAUAAUACUUAAAUUCUCUUGUAGUAGUUAUAUCUAUCUAAUCUUCAAUUAAAAAAGAAAAAUUUCAGUAAAAUUCCUUAAAAACACAUGUAUAAAAUCUUGUUAUCUUCUAUUAAUGCAGGUUUUAAUCAUAUUGUUUCACCAACCUUCUCAGCGAAUUAGUCCCUUUUUUUAGCAUAACUAAUCUUGGGAUGUCACAUUUUAUUGCUAUAACUUGGGGCUUUGAUUUAGGAACUCCAAUAAUCAUUAAAUCUAUCCAUGGAGAGCGCCCGCUAAAAAAAUCUGACUGCUUUGCAUAACCUAGUUUGGUUCAACACCUUUCCUCCAGUAACUUUCCUGACAUAGUAAAAUCUUACUUAUGUACUUGUAAAAUCCGAACCAAGUUUCUGUAUAGAUUAAACAUGAACAUUUGCACACUUAAAUGAAUUCUUUAAAUCCCUGGGUUAAAUUUUGAUAUUAUCAUAAUCCUUUAUUUUCCAAGUAGUUUCUCCAUUUUCGACAAUGACAAACCUAUAACAUUCCUUCAAUGAGAGUGAGCUAUGCACAUAAGCAUGCAUAUUCUGCAGAACUAUUUGAAUGUAAAACCAGAGAUGAUUCAUGCAUGCUUCUACAUGUGACAUUUUAAUAGACCAUACAAAUAUGUCUGCAAAACAUAAUAAACUCUCCUUAAUAUGUACACAUAGUGUGAUACUCCCCCUGAGUAUGUGCUUCUCCCCCUUCUUGUUUCUUAAAAAAGCAAGAACAUCAUAUGCCCAGGGAUGAAAACCAUAUAAGCAAAAGCAUCCAUUUAUUUAUAUACAAGAGUGUUCCACAAAGCAUAUUCUGGAAAAAUUAAUAUAAAGGAAAGUGAACAUUAACCAAAAGGAUCACAAACACCGAUUUCAUCCAUCAAGCUAGAAACGUAUUGUUAUCAAGAGGUUUAUUCAAAAUAUGAGCGAAUUGCAGAUCGAUGUUAACAAAUCCUUUUCAUUAAUUCAUGUUGUGCUGUGGCUGCCAUAAUUAAAUAAAUAAAUAAAAGAAUCAUAUGAAGGAGUCUCUCUUCUUGAAGUUUGACCUAGUUCAGAGCUCCUCGAAAUGGAAGCCACCCCCGUUAAUUAGCACAACUCAUUGUUUAGAGUUAAAUCUUUUAUUAGAAAUCCAAAAUUUAGGCAAUUAAAUACUUGGCCAAUUUUUAAGACAGUGUGACUCUAAAAAUUGUGCUCAUAUUCAACUGAAACACAAUUAGUAAAGAAAGACUUACCGAGUGCUUAACAAUGUCGCAAUUACACUUAUCUUCAAAUCCUUACAUUAAGGAUGACACAUCCUUAUAUUUCAAUAAGGGCCAUUGACUUAACUAAGAAAUUUUAUCUGUUGAAUACUUGAAACACAGAAAUCUGACUAAUUGGAGUAUGAAUUACUGAAACUACAACAACAAUUGAGUAGAAAUGUAAAAGAGACUUAGGGUUGAUGCCUGAUUAUAUAUCGAAAUACCAUGGGUUUGACAUAUAGACCUCCUUGUCAAAGCCCUGUAUGCUAUUGGAAAUAUGUAUACGUAUUAGGCGCAUUCUGUGGGCUACUACAUGGUGCACUUGUUUUAUAUUUAAAGUUUCAAUGGGUUAGUUUUGUCUACUGGUAAUAUUUUCCUCCAAUCAUACUUUCAAUUAAUAGGUCAAAGAUUAUGGACAUUAUCAAUACGAAAUUUAAUCAAAAUCAAAUACGAGUGAUGUUAAUAUUUGUGUAAUCCAUCAAUGAAAGUUAUGGCUAAAAAGAGUUCAUCCAGCUAGAGCGUUACAUGUGUAAAUAGAGAUAAAAUAAAUUUAGAAUUCUAUCCGUGAACUUUUAUAUCAUUGACUACGGUUGCUAACAAGCAUUUUCAUUGCAAAAUUUGACAACAUUUUUCGAUGGCUUUUGGAUUAUCACAUAAUUAUGUCGUGAUUCAGUUUUAUCAUGUUCAGAUUUAGUUUUUUUACAUUUAUUUGAAUCUAAGUUACAAUUAUUGCACGUGAUGGUUGACACUUAAGGGCCUGCAUGGUUGGCACUUAUUUCUGUUCCCAGGAACAGAAAUUUCUGUUUUUUUGUUCCUGGGAACAAAAAAGGAACAGAAACGCGUUUGUGUGCGUUUCNNNNNNNNNNNNNNNNNNNNNNNNNNNNNNNNNNNNNNNNNNNNNNNNNNNNNNNNNNNNNNNNNNNNNNNNNNNNNNNNNNNNNNNNNNNNNNNNNNNNNNNNNNNNNNNNNNNNNNNNNNNNNNNNNNNNNNNNNNNNNNNNNNNNNNNNNNNNNNNNNNNNNNNNNNNNNNNNNNNNNNNNNNNNNNNNNNNNNNNNNNNNNNNNNNNNNNNNNNNNNNNNNNNNNNNNNNNNNNNNNNNNNNNNNNNNNNNNNNNNNNNNNNNNNNNNNNNNNNNNNNNNNNNNNNNNNNNNNNNNNNNNNNNNNNNNNNNNNNNNNNNNNNNNNNNNNNNNNNNNNNNNNNNNNNNNNNNNNNNNNNNNNNNNNNNNNNNNNNNNNNNNNNNNNNNNNNNNNNNNNNNNNNNNNNNNNNNNNNNNNNNNNNNNNNNNNNNNNNNNNNNNNNNNNNNNNNNNNNNNNNNNNNNNNNNNNNNNNNNNNNNNNAAUAAAAAAAUUAUACAAAUUUACCAAACAUGUUUCUGUUUAUUUUUUAUUCUCGGAACAAGUUUACCAAACGCGUAUUUUUGUUCAAAAAUUGUUCCCCGGAACAGAAAUACUUUUUUCUAUUUCUGUUCCUGGAACAAUUUUUAAACAGAAACACAACCAAACGCGCCCUAAAUUUCGCUGUUUUUCUUCCUCUUCUUUUGUCCCCGCGCGGCCCAAUCUCGUUUUUCCUUUCGGCCCGCCCGCGCCCCAGCUGUCUUCCUUGUCCUGUCUUCGCGCGCAAACCUGCAGAGGAGAGACAGCAGCAGCAGCAGCACAGCAGCAGCACGCCAGCAGGGGGAGCAGGAGCAGAGUAGAAAGCACGCGAGCAACAGGCGGACCGGCGGAAAGAAAAGACAGGGGGAAGCAAGGGGCAGAAAGAAAGUGGAGCAACCAGAGAAAGAAAAACAGAGGGAGAGAGCUCGAGAGGGAGGGAGAGAACCGGAGAGGAGGGGAGUCUCCGGCACUGUCGCCGCCGCCGCCGACGCUCGCUGCCGCCUCCCACACCUCUCCAGCAACCGCCAUCCCCGACGACCACCGCCGUGUUGCCUCCCCCGCCGUCGCCUGCUGCUGCGUUUUCGUCACCAGCUGCCGCGUUCGCCGUCGCCCGCCGCUGCCUUUCCGCCACCGUGCCGUCACCCGCUGCGUCCCAACCGUCGCCGUCAAGCCCGUCGCCGCCGCCGCCGUCCGUACGCCUAGCGACGCCUCAGCCGCAAGCAAGGAGAGGGACGUCCAUCGGGUCGCAGCCGGGUAGGAUUUUGAUCUUCGGGCAGGCCGCGUCUGGGCCGAAGCAAGGCCUUUGGGCCGGUUUAAUAUUAGUUUUUCCUUUUGUGUCGGGCUGGUUUAAUAUUAGUCUUUCCUUUUGUGUUGGGCCGGGCUUAGUUUACUUAGGUUUCUUUUUUAGGUGGACUCAGUUUUGAGCUGGACUGGGCCCGUCGUUCAGGCCCAGUCCUGUUGGGGCCCUGCCGAAUUUGGCCCUCCCCCGACCAGGCCGAACCCGGGUCGGUCAGACCGGACCCGACCCGGUUCGCCCAUUUUUUUAAAAUUUAUUUUAUUUUUUAAAAAUAAUUAAAAAUGUAAAAAUUUCGAAAAUUUAAAAAAUGUUGGGUUUAGUUAGGAAUUAUCAUGUCAACAUAAUUAAGCUUUUAUUUUCUUGUACCUUGAUUAUAUUGCAUGUUUAAUUAGCAUAUUUGAUUAUGUUUGUGGAUGUUUAAUUGCACAUGUUUAAUUUUACUGCAAUUAAGAUUUUGGUAGCUAUUAUUGUUAUUCUAAUGAUUGUACAUUUAUACAAUUACAUUAUAUGUUAGUGGAUAUGUGUAAAAUCAAUCCACAUUGCCUGACAAAAAUCAUUUCUUUUUAAAAUGAACAAUAUUAAGUAUUGAAAAGACACUAAUUGGUUAAUUAGUAUAAUCAUAUUCCCGACCCUAGAUUCUUUAGUUGGUAAGAAGUGUGGUAUACUCUCAUGUCUCACUUGGUUUUUAACCGACCCCAAUAUAGCUUACUCUAAUAGGUUAGUGGCGACUCUCUUUUGCAAAAUUCUUAAAAAUACCCAAAUGUCACGUGAGAUAAAGCUUAUGAGAGCCUAUGCCUAAUCAUAGGCUUUAGAUUCGUUGUUUAGGCAAUACCCUUAAACCUAUUCUUUCCCCCUGAUGGUAGGUCACGACAAUGAUCUAAGCUCCACCAAUAUUCUUACAUGACAUUUUCUGCUUGUCAAGCAUGUGACUUUAACGAUGUUGUAAAUUAAAUCAAUUACACGUUAAAAGUUUCAGUCAAUAAUUGACACAAAUAGUAGUAGUGGACCGACCGAAUAACAUUAGAUUGGCAAUGCAAAAUCUUAUUUCAAUAGAUCAAUAGCAUAACUACAGCAAAUAUCAAACUUUAGGACCGUGAAUGAAAUUUCUCGGUGUUAAAAAAUAAUUUUCCUUCUCUUGUCACGUCCACAGAAAAUCUUUUAGCACCACCACUACAAAAAAGGAUCGUGGUUUUCUUCCAUCACAAAUUUGAUUGGCAAGUUAUCAAAAUUUGAAGAAUCAUCCUAGAGACCGAUUCAAGGACAGCAGUUGAUCUACUAGUUGGCAAGAUUACAGAGGCGUUGAGGUCAGAUUGGGUGGUGAAAACCAACACAGCCCGUGAAGGCAAAACGUGCGACGAUUAAUAAGCCAAUGCAGCGUUCUUUCAGAGACUAGAUUUAGUUAUUCACUUAAGUUUAUCUACGGGGCUUCAAUUUGUACUUUUUAGGAGAUAAAAGUGGGUGUUAGGAGGCCUGGAGUUGCAUAUGAGACGUGUUAGAAAUUAAACCAAAUUAAUAGAUGUCCUCAAUCGACUACGAGUUGCUGAUGUCAAUGGAGAAGUUACUGAUAUUAAUGGUUGUCAAUGUUGAUAUUCCAUAAUUUGAUACUGAUGAUUUUGUUUGGUGAAUUGAUACGGAUGACUGUCCGAUGCUUGAGUUAAUUAGAUUCUUUAUUGUAGCGUUGUUUUUGAGAAGUCUAUUCGUAUUUUUAUUUCAUGUCUGUUCAUGUUUCUAAGUGUAAUCAAUGUUUUGUAAGUUCUUAGGAUUUUAUCACCUCAGAUUAGCUAUAUUUAUGAGUAAUUUAGUUUAAGAGUUAUGUGUGAAGCGUAUAAAAGUGGAGUCUUGUAAUUGUUUUUGAUAAGGUGAAAAAAAGGUGAAAUAAACAAAAAGGAUAUCUGUCUCCUUCUCUUUUUUGUGUUGUGUUAGUGAGUGUUUCAGCUUUAAAUUAUCCCAUCAAGAUGUAGCCUGUAUUUGUCUGUUACAAAAACUUGAAAUUUUCUAGUUUUGAUGCCAUAUGAAAUUAUGAAGGAGCGCUAUUAGCUAUUAUAGAAGUUUAGAUAAUUAGAUGGAUGCAUUAUUCGAUACUUAAUUGAUAUAACGUCUCUUUCACGACCCAUGUUCCUUUUCAACAACUAGAUUACUUCAACAGCUUGGCCUCAAUGAAAGGAGAGCUGUCUACAGAAGUGGAGGAUGAUGGAAUGAACAACUCGAUCGCGGAGGAGGUAAAGAAGGAUGAAAGAGGACCUUUAAUGGAAGUGUCAAAGGAUGAAAGGGAUUCUGAAGAAGAAAUCUGGAGAGGUCGACGGGAGAUAAUGAAUAAUGCAUUGGCGGCUUCCGCGGGGGACAAGAUCCGGCAAAAGCUUACGAAUAUGCUCGAAUACUGGCGCAUGUCAUCAAAGGCGGCAAGGUUGACGAGUUCCUUUCCAUGAUCAAUGUAAAUGAUCCAUUGUUGUGGGACAUCAAUUGGUCUGCCGUUUUGAAUUCCCGAUUGGAAUGGAACGAAUCACUGCUCCACAGGGCAGCAGCAAACGAGAACGACGACAUCCUAAGGCUUCUGGUUGAUUAUGUUGGUGACCACCUCAUAACCGCCCAAGAUGAUUGCAGAUAUACCCCACUCCACUGGGUCGCUCGGUUGGGGGGAUCUACUGGAGCUGUAGAGAUGUUGAUUCACCGGGCAAGAGACCUCCCCAACGUCGAGGACAAGAACCUCCUCUUGAGGAUGAAGAGCAACCGUGGAAAAACCGCUUUGCACUUGGCCGUGUGCUCUCAACAUGCCAACUUGGUGCGCUAUUUGUUGAGCGAAGAUUUGGAGCCCGUGUACUGGAAGAAUGCAAGUGAGAAAUCUCCCCUGUACCUAGCCCUCGAGAUUAAUGACUCCACAAUACAUGAGACUUUAUUUUCACUCUCGUUGGAACCGUCAAGGAUAGAAGGCUUGCCGCCCAUUCUUGGUGCCAUUGUACUUGGACGACACGGUACGUACCUAAAUCUGCUUAUGUGGAAAUAUAUUUAUCUAUUUCUGGACCGACUCGUCCCAAAUUUGUGCAAUAACCUUUUGCUCUUACCAGAACCUUUUACCGGUUUUUACUUAAAAUUCCCUACCCUGCUUGUUAAAGCAGUUGGAUACCCAUCGGUUUAGCCGCGCAUAAUAAACAAAUUAUUCACAUUAGAGCAUAAUAGAUUGGCUUAAAUAUUACAAAUACAACCAUUUCACUAGAAACUCGUGUUAUCGAUAUUUGAUUAGAAAAGCUAUAAAGUGCAAAUAUUUAAGAUUGAUGACCAUGAAAAUCUGGUAUCUAACAAUGAUGCCAUUUCUUAAGCGACUUAGAGCCAUGAACCAAAAUGAACAAAUGAAAGUUUAGGGCAGGAAUUAUAAACUGGUAGCAAACCUGUAGGCUGCGCAGGCGUGAUUUUUUCAUUGGAAAAAGAGGAGGUGAAGGUUCCGUCACUCUCAACAAAUUGAUGGAACAUCAUAAACCGUGAAUUUGUUUGUGACCAACAGUCAAUAGGUUUUUAAGAAAUUAACAAAAGUGGAUCUAAAUAAAGAAACAAAUUUUUGACUUUUUUUUAAAAAUGAAUACAGUUAUCAUAAACUUUGCACAAAAAGCCGAUAUCGUAGUCUAGCCUAAAUUACCUUGACCAUUAAAAAUAUUGAGUUAAAAUUCAUCAGACACGCGAUAAUCAAUUAUGCGGAAUUUUUUGGCUGCUAAUGCCAUGUAUCCCAAGUUUACUACUUGAUAAGCAUAGCUAACGUUCAUUGAUCAUCAGAUUGGUAGAUGGCAUUCAAGUGUUACAGUCAUAUCAAAUAGAGAGAAUUGUCCAAAAAGUGCUAGACUUAUUAUAUGAUUGUCGAUUCAGUUAUAAACAUGUUAAUUGUGUCAAUUUAACCUCUAUUUUAGUCCUAAACUUUUAAAAGAUUUGCCAACUUAGUCCUUCUAAUCAAUUUCUACUGGAAAUCAAUUUAUGCUGGAAAUUGCCGACAUGGCGGUCUAGUCAAAGUUAGCCAUCCUACAUGAUGUUGAUCGCCUAUGUGGCUUUUUUACAAUAUAUAUAUUAUUUUUUUAAUUUUUUGCAUUUUUUUCCUUUUCUUUUUUUUUAAUCCUUUUUCUCCCUCUGCCAGCCUCAGGCGAGGGCUGCCCUCUGACCCUUGCGUAGAGCAACCCUUGCCCUUGCUCGACCUCCACUAGGUGUCAACUGUUGAUGGUUAGAGAAGGGAAAAAGGAAAAAAUGAAAUUAGAAAACAAAAUGAAAAGAAAAAGACAAAGGAAAGGAAAGGAAAAAGGAAAAAAAAAUUAGAAAACUAAAAAAAUUGCAAAAAUUAUCCAUGUUAGCGUUGACUAUGCCAUGUAGGACAAUCAAUACUACUAGACCGCCAUGCCAAUGAUUUCCAACAAAAUUGGCUAGAAUGACUAAAAUAACAAAUUGUUAAAAGAUUUAUAACUAAAUUGGCAAGUUAUUAAACAUGGAAGGCUUCGCAGCUAUCCAGAAGAGAGCCUUACUCUAUAGGGGUGCUAACGCUUUACUAAGGUAUAGGAGAAGGGGCGGUUGGCUUAGUAAAGAGAGUAUAAAGUUCCACUUUGUGAAUAGUGCCUCGGCUCGGUUGAGUAAUGUAGUUCGCAAUUGUUAUGACUAAAUUGGCAUAAUUGAAAUAUUUAAGACUAAAUUAAUCAUCAUACAAUAAAUUCAAGACUUUUUGGACAAUUUUCCCUAUCAAGUAUAAUUCCAACCCUAGAUGCAGUAACUUUAUUUGUAUCCUGUCCCAAUUUAUUAAUCCGAGCACAUGUUAUUAUUUACAUUGCACGACGUAACAUGUUUGAGGCUGUCUAUUUAAACUGAACAUGCAAAACAAUUUCAAAUAGACAUUAAGUGAAAAUGCGUAACAAUGUAUUGUGUGAUGCAAAUAAUAAAUUAGCAUACCCAAUAAAUGUAGGUGUCUAAACUUACGUCGCACUCGUUGAAUAGAUUAUAGAAGUCGACUUGCACACAUAACGUUCAUAAUCCAUUUAUAAAUGGCUUAACUUAUUUGCGAUAAUACAAUUAAACCUAAUCCUACCAUAUGUAACCACGUUUCAUGUAGUGAACAUGUCUGUAGAAGGGCUGUUUCAUAGUUUGUCAGCUCAUAAUUCUAAUAAGUACUUUAGAAACUAUACAAAAGAUCCCAUUGAAAUUGGAUUUACUAUAUAUUUCUUAUUCUUACUGUCCAAUAUAUAAAAAUCCUUUUAUGAAGUACUACUAAUUGAAAUCUCAUAAUAAUAGUUCAUUUUAUUCCUCAUUGAAUGUAAAAGUAGAUGACAUUGUGGAAUGAAUCGAGCAUUGCCAUGGGCUUUUGUAGAGAGGCACUUUAAUUAGGCUCUCAUGAUAGGUAAGGUUCAUAUCAAUUAAAUAAGGUAAGGUUAUUUCUUUAAAUCUAGUAGUAUUCUUUCACUUGGGAAAAUUAUCCAAAAAGUCCUAAGCCUAUUGCACUUUUGCCAAUUCAAUCCUAAAUCAUUCAAUUUUGUCAAUUCAGUGCUAACCAUUUUCACUUCUUGCCAAAUGAGUGUAUUCCGCUAAUUUUGACCAGAAUUCAUUGAUGUGGAUAAUUUUUAUUAAUAUUUUAAUCAUUUUUUAAAAAAAUUAUACUUUUUUCUUUUUUUCUUUCUUUAUUCCCCCCUCUCUUCUUCCUUUUAUCAAUGGCUAGCUACUAACCACCAGUGAUGGCCAACUACCGGCCAUGGCUAGGUGAGUUGACCUUGCCCGCCGUAAGUGAUGCCUGGCCGGGCAAGGCCAAGCCCCAACAAGGGUCGGCCUCACCUAGGUUAGGCGAGACCAACCCUCGCCCAAACUAGGUGAGAUCGCCUAGGCGAGGGUGAGCCCCUUGUUCGACCAUGUCUUACUGAGGCAUGCGAGGCUAGCUAGCUCGGCCAUAGUUGGUGGCUGGCACAAAAGGAAGAAGAAAGGGAAAAAAAAUUUAAAAAAAAUAAAAAAAUAUUUUUAAGAGUUUACAUUAGUGUCAACCGUCUUACAAGACACCGCUAGUGUCCACAUCAGCGAAUUCCUAUCAAAAUUAGCCGGAUGGACUCAAUUACCAAGAAGUAAAAAGGUUUAUGACUGAAUUGACAAAAUUAAAGAGUUUAUGACUGAAUUGAUAUAAGUGCAAUAGAUUUAGAACUUUUGGGAAAUUUUCACUCUUUCACUAAUGUAUCUAGAAUGUAACUAGUUACCCAUAUUGAAAUUUGUGGCCUGAAUUGCUCCGUCAAUUUCAAGAAUGGUGGCAUCCAUCAUGCGAGCACCUUUUUUUGUAUGUGUAAAAUUGAAGUAUGUUUUUUAUUAUAAAUUAUUGGUGAAAUAUUAUUCUAUUUCAUAAAAAAAUUCUUCUUUUGAAUAGAAUAAAUGCAAAAUUCUUAAUUCAUGUUAUAUAUUAAUGUAAAAUAUAGGGGGCUCGAUGAUAGUUAAAAAAUUCCUAAUUAUUGUUGUUAUAACUCAUGAAAUUUGUAUAUGUACUUAACAAUAUUAUUAGAGUAUAUUUUAUAGGAAGUAUUAUAGAAAUGUAAGAAUUUUCAAUAAUUGCUCAUUUGCAGUUUUUGAAACUCAUUAGAACUAAUUUCAAUAAAACUAAUGCCUCUUUUGUUGAACAAAAGUCAUGGUAUAAGAGGCAAACAUAAAUCCUAAUUUGAAGCAAAAUAAAUGGAAAGUGGAAGAAACACUCUUUGUGAGGAAAAUAAUCAAUCCCUUACAAAUUAGAGCCCUAUAAAUCACUUUUAGAGACAAUUCUUAAAGAAAAAAUCAUUAUAUAUUUAUGUAGAUGUUACAAUAGUCUAGAUUAAUUUGCAAAGUUCACUGAACUUUUAGUAUUAUGGAUGUAAUUUUAUGGCGGUGAAAUGAGACUCAUUUUGUUUUGUGUUGUGUCAUCACAGCUUAAAUAUGUGGUCGUUAUAGCUCCGAUAUAUAUGACUCCAUGCAAUGCACAGACAAGAUAGAACAUAUAAUGUGAUUUAUUGAGUAAAAAUAUCUUUCCCAGAAUCACUAAAAUUUCACAAAAUAUAUUUGGUCCAUUCACAAGAUAUAAUGGGAUUGAGUAGCACAAUCCCCAAGGAUGAGGUUAUCUCUAAAUCACUCUCGCCUGUCUUUGAAGUCCAAUGGCCACCCACAAUCCUCAAACACCGUUGGAAUAUUCUCAAACAAUUGAAGCACCUCUCUCACAUUAUUGAACCUCUUUACUAGCACCUCCAAAUUUUCAUAGUUGGGGCCAAAAAAAAAUUCCUUUUGGUGGAGCCUUUUCCUUUCUGUAUUUUGUGAUUUAUAAGCUCUACUAUCUUAGAAAUAGAUUAUGGUCACAAAUUUUACUUAGAUUUUACUCACAAGUUUGGUAAAUACAUAAUCUCUUAAUUGAGCUCAAUAAGUGCCGUAUACCUUUACGAAGAAGAUGACAUUCAAUCUAGAGAGGGUGGAACAAUUUUAAGGGGGAUUUCGGUAGGGCGUUGUGGAGGCUAUUGCAAUGUUCUUAACAAUUAAAUAAGUCUGCUUGAUACUUGCUAGAAUUCGACGGACAUAAUAUGAAAAGAUCAUUUUCCUUUUCUUGAUCUUGCCCUAGCUUGCAUUACGUCUGCCGACUCUAUAGAUACUUCAUGUCGUGGAAAUGCCAUAUAAAUUGCUAUGUCAUUUAGCAAGAUUUUUAUAGUCAAAUCUUAAGUUCCUGUCGAUGUCAUUUAACUAGUUUUGGUAUUGCAAUCUAAUCUGUUAUUGUCGACUAUCAAUACUAGUAGUGAUUAAGGCACGUCAAAGAUGUCCUUACUCCAAAAUGGGUUUAAAUAUAUCGAGACCAACCAAGCUCCAACCAUCCUAAUUUGGAGCUUCUGAUCCCAGAUUUAUUCAACCUGAUACUCAAGAAAAACAUGAAGCUAUUCGCAUUGACCGACUCCACCGGGGGCAAUGUAUUCCAUUUAGCAGCUUACCUGAAUCAGGCCUGGGUAUUCGAAUUCUUACAACCAGAAACUAUAUAUUUGAUCCGAGCAAGGGACAUGAAUGGAGAUCUCCCCAUUCAUAUUGCGAGCAAGAUGGGUUAUGUUGAACAUAUCAAGAAGCUGAGGAAAGUAUCAAAUUUGCGAAAUGGGCAAGGGCAAACUGUUCUUCAUGUUGCCGCAAAAUAUGGGAGAGUCUCCGUAGUGAGAUAUAUACUCAGUGAUCCAGAUCUAGGGGAGCUGUUAAAUAAACAAGAUUUUGAUGGAAAUACAGCUUUGCACUUGGCUGCGAUGCAUUCACAGCCCGCUGCUUUGAUUCAUCUUGUGCGGACUAACGGAAUUCAACUCAGCAUUCUCAACAACAAAUGCUUGUUGGCUGUUGACAUUGCUGGACGACGCGUAGCAAUGGGGUAUGAUAUUCGGCAGGUAGGUAACAUGAACAGUCACUAUUUUAUUUAUUAACUUACUGGAGAUUUCGUAGACUAAUGCAUUAGUUAAGGCAGAUCUUGUAUUCAAAUCAUUAUGUCUCCCAGCCAACUAGAUAGGAGAAGUAUUGAUCAAAUCUCUAGAAUAACCAAGACUCCUCUCGGAUAAAUGUUUUGCAAGUCCCUAAUUUAGUCUUGAUAGGAGGUAAUUAAAAUUUGUGAUCAUGAAUUUCUCUGCAGUUAGAAACAAGUAACGUGUCUUUCAUAACACGGAGAUAACAAUUUAUAUAUUUCGUUUAAUUGAGCCUCUGAAUACAGUCAUGAAUAAAAAGGCAGGGUUUGUCAAGGUUGCAUUCUGUUUUUCAUAAAAAGCCAGGGGUCAAUGUGGCAAAUUUGAACGCUCCAAAUGUAACACAAUCUCAUAACAUUAUCAUUUUGUCGACCUAUGAAAUGAUUGCCCGCAUAGAUUCCAUUCAUGCCUCUUUUUUCGUCUAAAACGAACUUGGCAAUUUUGUGCUAAUUCUUCAAAAAGAGCAGAAACUGCAUCUUUAGAAGCAAACGUUUCCAGAGUUCAUUCCCGUUAUAAAUAUGGUAUAAGUUUGUUCUUAUUUUCCUUUUUACAUGCUUCCGAUCUCAGCACUUGGCAUACCUGGCGUUGCUUUGCUCGCUCGCGGAAGAAGGUCCACUUGAAAACCAAGAGUUACUCCUAGUUAGAGCGGAAGCUCGAGAUGAAGAGUUAUCAGUAGUCCGCUCGCGCAAAAGCAUGCCGAGAAGGGACAUCAUCAAGGAUCACAUCAAUUCCCGUAUGGUGGUGGCAACGCUUGUGGCCACAGUGACUUUCGCAGUUGGUUUUGCAGUUCCUGGAGGAUUUAACAGCUCAGACACAGCCUCCAAAGAUGACCGGGGCAUGGCUAUGAUGCUGGACACAGAAUGUUCCAGGCUUUCGCGAUUUGCAACACCAUCGCGAUGUUCUGCUCAAUGACUGUGGUCGUCAACCUCAUCUGGGCGCAGGUAGUUGAUGUCAACGUUGCAGUCGCUGCAUUUCAGCGCACAACGCUACCGCUACAAAUUGCACUCCCGGCGAUGUCCACCGCUUUCUUAACUGGUGUCACCUUGACCAUUGGCAAACUCCCGUGGCUUGCUAACACCAUAUUUUAUUUGGGACUCGUUUUCCUCCUCAUUAUCUCAUUUGCUAACUUGUUCGGGGAGCCUUUCUUCUUUAAAAUCCUCGGUCAUCCUCUCCGUCGACUAACAUUCUGGCUUAUUCUCGCUUGCAUUUAUUUGUGGAGAGUUGAGACGUACAUUUAUGAUGACAAUGACGCGGAAGAUAACAGAAGGAGAAGAAGACCUUCGCUAGUCCGCCUGUGGAUGUUGCCGGUGAAACGAGGACCGAUGACUCGGCGAAAGCAAAAUGUGAGGAUGCGUUACAUCCUCCAAGUCACUGAUUUGAAUUGAUCAUUCCAUAUUAUCUGUAAUAUGUAGUAGUAAUAUAUGUUUUCCUUGGUGAGUGUGACUCACUCUACGGUUGCUUUCCUUUAUGUCAGAUCAAAGGUGAUUGUUAAUGUAUGUAAGCUAAACCACGUGUUCCUCUAAUAACUUAACUUAUUAGAAUUGUUGGAUAUAAUUCCAUCAAAUUUCAUAUGUUAUUAAAGCAGAGGUUCUAAGUUCAAACAUUUUCAGGUCCUAUUUGCUUCAUCUAUUAUAUGUUCUCAUGUUUCAAUAUUAGAUCAAUUCAAGUUUAUGAGUGAAGAUGAGUAUAAAAGUAUUUGUAUUAAAGUAUUUGAAUUAAACAUCGCAUCCGUCUAAUAAUUUACAUUUUUAGAAUAAUUAAUUGUAGUUCCCGAAAUUUCAAAGUGAUACACACUUCAUGUAAAUUAAAUGGAUGAAUGGCUCAUUUCACCCGUUUCAUUGCCUUGGAAUCAAAUUGUUAACUUUGAACAUGUGGAAGCUCGUGGGUCAAUGAAAUCACUCGUCUAGAGUGGCAAUGUCCGAUUUACUUUGAACCAGUCCAAUUUGCGGCACUCUCGAGUCACGAAAUCUUACCUGUCUGGUGUGCAAAGAAAAUAAUUCUCAAAUUCUCAUCGCCUACUCUCUGAGUCGAGAGUUGGGUGAAGAAAACCGGAACAAAAUAAUUCUCUUCACUACUCACAAAAAAAAAAAAAUAGAAUCGAACCCCGAACUCAUUUCCAUUUACACCCCUUUCAUUUCCCCACUUCUCCCUCCUAGGCGACCAAUUUCUGUGCAUGCAAAUGAGUUUUGGUCUUUGAUUCGUGCCGAGGUAUAAUCUAGUGAGCAGCGGGCACAGAAGUCUAGUCAAGGGACGAGAUAAAAAGGAAUUGCAGUACGCAACUCAAGGAGAAUUGUGGAAAAGUUUGGAUAUGUGAUUUUCCUCCUCCGAUCUCUGAUUUUUAUUUCAAAGCCGGUUGGUAUUGACACGUAGAAUAUAACUCUAAAGUGAUUCUGGACCUAUUUAUUUUGAAAGUAGAUAAUUACAAAAAAUGAAAAGGAUCCCAUUGUACAAAUAAUCGAUUUAAUUUUAAACAUCUUGACGAUUUGCCAGUAUAGUCAUUCUGACCAAUUAUGACCGAAAAUCAUUGACGUAGAUGCUAGCCAUCCUAUCGCACAUGACCAGUAUUGAGGUGGACAAUUUUUGUAAUUUAAAACAAAAUUCUCAUUUUUUUUUCUUUUUUUCAUGUUUUCAUUUUCUUCAUUUUCCUUUCUUAUAUUUUCCUUUUUAUUUUUUUCUUAUUCCCCUUCGCCAGCCAUUGGCCGGUCCAUGGCUUCGGUGAUUGAUAGUAAGGGCCCAAUGCCCUCGCCAGCGAUUGCAAGGGCUGAUGGAUUUGCUGGGGCCACAGACUAAUGGAGGGACAAAGGAAGAAAAAAAAAGAAUGACAGAAAAGAAACUAAAAAAAGGAAAAAAAAAAGUUUUGAAAUAAUUGCAAAAAUUAUCCACAUUAACAUCCGCGCCCAGAUCGGCGAGGCCAAUCUUGUCAUGGGCUGGCCUAGAUCUGGGUGAAGCCGCCUCGCGUGCGGCUCCGAGGCCUCACUUGUGGCCAAAAGAAUGAAGAAGAGAAAAAAAAUAAAAGGAAAAAUAAAGAAAAUUAUUAAAAAAUUAUUAAAAAAUUAUUAAAAAUUGCCACGUUAGCAUUGACCGAAUGACUAUCGUCCACAUCAACGCUAGCCGACCAAAAUUGGCCGAAUAGAUUGAAUUAACACAAUCACGAAAAGUUUAUAACUGAAUUAGCACAAUUGUUAUGAAUUUACGACUUUUUUGGUAAUUCUCCCAAUUUAUUUGUUAUCUCCAUUUUUAGAUUGUGACAUGUGUCCAUUCAAUUUUAGUCCUCACUGCACUUCAUCUAAAUACCAUCAAACCUUAGCAGCGAGGAUGGUAAUUGGAGAUCUAUGCAAAUAUUUAUAUAUAAAAAUUACAUUGAGAUAGUAAAGUGUGCUCACCAUCAUCAUAUCAUCAUCCAUCAAGUCGAUUCCACAUAAUGAUCUAUUUGUCACUUUCAACAUCCUGGGGGCUUAAAUGUUUCAAUUAAAUAAGGUAGGAUGAGAAGUAUUUUUCAUAAAGAACGGACAUUCAAGAAGUCUUGCUAGAUUGAUAGAUUGAUGUUGCAAAUGGUUCUCUUCUCAAGUAGCAUGAAAAAUUAUGCUACUUAAAUGUAGAGCCUCCUUUUUUCUAUUUUUUUUGGCAGAUCUUCCAAAUCAAAUUACAAGGUUACGACUAUGAAAACUCAUAGUACAAGUACAAAAAAUACCAAAUCAAUCAUCUAUUGACUUCUCGAUUCUCAUUAAAUCUGAUUCACAAAAUAGGUUGGGACCCAUUUUGCUAGCCCUACUAAAAUCUAAACAUUUUAAUAAAUUAAGGAUUUAUACGGCAUCCUAGUUCACAAAGAUGUGCCGUUGCUGUUGACAAAUCGACAGUGAUUGAUUUUCAUGAACUCGUCGUCAUAUUGUCGACAUUCCCAUUAUAUAUGAACAUAAGAGAGAACUUUGAUUUUUGAGCAUCAAGAGAUAAGAUUGACUUAAAUAGAAUGCCAAAUAGCCCAAGUGUCACAAUUAGAUAAUUCCAAACCCCAAACACUUUUUUUUUAACCCCAAACACAUUCAACUAUGGUUUUUUUUUCCUUAUAACUUUCUUCACAUAAUAUAAGAAUGUACUUUAUGGUUAAUGAUCAUAUAUAUCGCGGUUUAUGAAAGACUAUGCCACAUCAAUAGUUUUAGAUGUUAGUCCAAAUUCGAAAUACCGGGCCAACGUUUGAGAUUUGAUUGGCCAUUCGGCAUUUCAUUUAUUACUCAUGAAGUCUAUCAUUGCAUGAAAUUUACUGAAAAUUAGAGAAUCUCACAAUACCAACAAAACAUCAAGUUUAUUCAGCUUUUUUACCCUUGAUACACUCCACAUGUAGCCCAAUUUACAAAAUUCCACGAAAACUACUGCUCAGCAAAGACGAACAACAGCACCCAUCGGCCCAACAUGCUUAACUCCAAGCAUAGAGUGACUCGAACUCUUCUUGUCUCCUUUCAGUUUACCACAACCAGACAUAUUUAAUAAAGUACCGUGAACAAGACAAGAUAGCGAUGAGAUCUACUCAAUAGGCAUAGGGUUUGCCAAGAGAUAAGCCUCGAUGGCCUUGAACAUCGCGGACGCCUUCUCUUUCCCGGCCUUGAUCUUCUCCUCAGUGAUGUCCACCUCACCGAUGGUGAAGUACUUGCUCGUGUUCUUGCACACCGAGCCUCCCUCGGGCGAUGCGGUGAUCUUCACCUCGUAGCUGAUCUUCUCGAAGGUGGUGCCCAGCACAUCGCCCUCGAUGAUCGAGUAGCUGUAGGUGAAGUUCUCCUUGUCCAGGGCCUCGACCUUGUGCUUCAUUGUCUGGUACUGACUGCCUAUCAAAGUAAGAAAAAAGUAAUAUUCACGUUUAGAACUCGCCGGUUUCAACAUCACAAGCAACGAUCUUGAUGGUGUCCAUUGGGCCAUUUUGGUUGUUCCAAUUGCAAUCUGAUACGAUUGACUUAGACAUGGCCUGAUUUCGCUCGAUUGGAAUCGAGUCAUGUGAUCACUUGUGUAAAUCAAUGGUUAGAAAUUUUUUUAAUUAACCAAGUUACAUAUCUAUCUUUUUCAAUGUUCAUUAUGAUGUUCCAUAAGGUUGAAACAGCCUUGAUCCAGAGCGAUCCUAACACGGACGGACUAACCUUCGCCGAAAGUGAUCAACUUGAUGGUCCCGGGACCUCCGUUGCCCUCGAGGACUUCGACGCUCUUGAUGGCUUGCGGGAGCACCUUGGGGAUGAGGUUAUCAGCAUCGAGGACAGCGGCCUUGAACAUCUUGGCCGGAGGGAUUGGGGUCGUGACCUCGGAGUCGUAACUGACGACACCCAUGAUUUGGAUCCGAAUGGAGUUGCCGAAAUAGAGAAGAGGGUGAUCAGGAAAGGCUGAUUAGCAGUGAUGAAGUUGGUCUCUAGGACUCGGUAGUGAAGAGAAGAGGAUGAACCAAAGCUGACAUAUAUAGAGAGACCGAGUUUGAAGGGUUCUCGUUAUUGGAUAUUUUCUUCAAGUGUGUUCGUUUGGUACAAAAUAGAGAAGAGGAUGAACCGAAGCUGACAUAUAUAGAGAGACCGAGUCUGAAGGGUUCUCAUCAUUGGAUAUUUUCUUCAAGUGUGUUUGUUUGGUACAAAAUAAAUAAUUAAAUAACUAUUUGUAUCAUUUGGUAUAAUUAUUUGAUGAGAAAUUUUUGCAUUAUUGACAGUAAUUUAUAUCUAAAUAUUCCCGUGAAUGAUGAAAAUAUUUUUUAUUCAUUCCUUUUAUAAGUUAUAUGAAAAAAAAUAUUUUUUUACAAAACAAACGAAGCUUAAUAAAAAAAAUCUUAAUCAGUCUGUGGGUUGUUCAAUCAUGCCAUGGACUUUGUUCAUAAAAUAAAAUUUGUCUAUAUGAUAAUGGAAUAUUAGUCAGAGAAGGCACCAUCCUAGAAUGAUACCAAACGUUCUUCCAUUUCCCUUUCAUGUAUAGACUUGACUUUUGAUCCAGGAGCAUUUGCUCAGCAAACUCUCUUGGCUGAGCUUCACUGAUUUCUUACAUAGUGUUACUAUCAUAGAAAAUAUCAAGCCCUUAGCUGCAUAGGUCGCGAUCCACCCAGAUCUCAUCCUACUUCUUUUCAAUCCGUUCGGUAGAGGCCUCGGGAAGAAUUAUCAUCAAUUUCAUACUCAUAAAUAAUAUUCGCUUAACUCUGUGCAGUAGAAAAACUCGAAAAAUCGAGGCACAAUUUUUCCUGCUGGGUGAUCUCGGUGCUUCAUGUUUCUGUUGAGCUUCCAUCGAUAAGAAAAAGUACAGAUUGAUCUCAAUGUUGCACUAAUCCAAUUUAGCAGAAAAAAAUGGGAAAGGUAGUUUGGUAAUUACAAGGCUUUGUUACUUUUAGUCAACAAAGGCUGCUCUGAAAAUCAAGAUGGACGUCUAUAGAUUUUGAAUUUUUCUACUUGCUUUCAUGUGUCUAGUCCUUUUAAAUAAUAUUAUUGCGAACCAUUUUCUGCUAAUUGUCUGGUGGAAGUGUGGUGGAUCAAGCGAGAUUGGCUCACGGGUCACUUGCUCAUUAAACAUUUUUUUAAUUUUCCUUUUUAUCUAACGGUAUAGCGACGUAGAUUUUUAGAAACGCUUUCUUCGUAUUUAAUUUUCUUCUUUUGUCUAGUUCAUCUUGUCGUAGUCACGGACCAUGUGAACGUAUAGGAGAAUGUCCAUGGGUGUUAGAUCAGAUUAAUUAAUGAAUUUCGUCGUAUUGAGACAAAAUUGAUUAAACUUGUCAAUCAUCUCACUGCGACGGAAGAUUCGGAAAAUAUUAAUGCAUAACAACAGCAUAUGUUUUGGGAGAAAAGUAUUGGAGAGGGGCAUGGAUGCAUUGCUGAAGUUAUUUGAUGAGCAUGUCAUAUGUACUAAAUUAAUCUAAAUAGCUAAAUUUGAUGGAAUUCAUAUGAAACCUAAAUGGAACAUAUAGAAAUUAAAAGCCGAAUUUUGCUUUAUAUAAAUACGACGCUAGCUCAUUCUCGAGUCUUUGUCAAAAUUGUGUUGUAGGCAAUUGAAUGUGAACCUCCCUUCCCUUUCACAUAUGAUCGACUCAAAUUUCUCGUACUUCAUUGACUUCCUUGUUUCGCUGUUGAAGCAACAAAAUCACAGCAAUUGAAGUCACCAGAAGUAGCUCGCAUCAAUAAGGACCUUUUCCCUAUGGUCGGUCGAUUUACUGUUCAUCCCACCCCACAAGGAGAUAACCUCGUCACAUUUUCACACAAGCCUGGAUUUGCGAUAAAAGCGCUUUUUGGUGCUUAUUGGAAGAGGCGACCACUAGGAACCGCACCUGUCAGCUCGUUGUACAAUAAGUCUACGGAGCUUAAACAAGUUAUAUGUCCAUUUUUUUCAAUGUUCAUUAUAAUGUUCCGUAAGGUUAAAACCACCUUGAUCGAGAGCGAUCCUAAGUUCCUAAUAUGGAUGGACUAACCUUUGCCGAAAGUGAUCAAAUUGGUGGUCCCGGGACCUUCAUCGCCCUCGAGGACUUCGACGCUCUUGAUGGCUUGCAGGAGGACCCUAGGGAUGAGGUUAUCGGCGUCGAGGACAGUGGCCUUGAACAUCUUGGCCGGAGGGAUCUGGACGUUAUCGCAGAGUCGUAAGUGAUGACACCCAUGAUUGGAUCCGAACUGAGAAACUGAGAAGGGGGUGAUGAUCAGGAAAGACUGAGUAGCAAUGAUGAAGUCGGUCUCUAGGACUUGGGAAUGAAGAGAACAGGCUGAACCGAAACUGAUAUAUAGAGAGAGACUAAGUGUGAAGGGCUUUGAUCAGUGAAUAUCUUGCGAAACAAACAAAGCUUAAGAAAAAAAAAUUAUUCCGUGGAUUAUUCAGAGUAUGACAUGCCCCUUGUUCCUAAUAUAAAAAUGUCUAUAUGAUGAUAGAACAAAGCGUUGGACGAUCAUAUUGGGGAGAAUCGGGCAACAAUUUACUAAUAACGAAACACAAUUUAGCAUCAAUUUCUCCUCUAAAACUAAACCAACCGAAACCAACUCAACCCCAGCAACCACCAGCAAUAUGUAAUACCAAAAUGACAAUAAGACAGAGCCAACAAUGACACUAAGGUUUUAACAUGGAAACCAAUACAUAAAAAAUCACAUACCCUACUCACUAACAGUAAUAGGAUACAAAAAGUGUUAUUUUAUAAUCACACAUUAGAGACUCAACAUCAAUGAUAUAACCAUAUUUCCUCACUCCAAAGAUAGAUUAACAUAAACGGAGCAAGAAAACCCUAAUCGGUUGGAGAAUCUGGAGGGGGUUCUUAUCUAACGAAAUCAAUCAAUUUGUAGUCCUUGAUUUUACAAAAUAACAUUCAAAUUUGAGCAAAUUCCAUCGGCAUCUUGCAUUCCAAUCGGGACCAAAAAGAUUAUGCCCUUUCUUUCGGAACGCUAAGAAAGAAGAGCCCAGACACAGACAACAAUUACCUACUCACUAAGUGUAACAUUAGGCUAGUGGGCCCCAAAAGAAGAAAUAGAAAACGAAGUUUUAAAGGCCCCAAAGAAGAAACUGAAAAAGAAACCGAAAAGUCAUUAAAGCAAAAAGGAGAUGGGAGAGGGCUCGGCUAAAUAGAAGCUGAGAGUUUCCUCGACCAAAAAGAAAAGAAAGAAAAGAAGAAGAAGAAGAAGAGAAAAGGGAAGAAAGGAAAGAAGUUUUGGCACGUGCACGCCUCGGAUGCCUUGCCAAGCCAAUUUGACUCCAUAACCCGGUAAGAGAUCAAGCCCCUCGUUUGUCCGAUUGAAGUAAUUUUUGGAUUUAGGACUCAAAUUCGGAAUUUUUGGAAAAUCGAGCGGCGAAGUCUAAUUUUGGAGUCGUUGAGCCACACAUUUUUGUAAGAAUGGUAAUUUAGGGUGUUGUGGAACCGUGGGAUUUUUCGGAUCGUGAUUUGAGCUUAUGGUUUGUCCAAAACAAAAUUCCAAAGUUUCCCGCGCGCAGUGAACAGUACGCGUCCAGCAGCUUUGGGCCCGUAUUUUGUCAUUUUUUCGGCUUGAUUUUGGGAUGACCAAUUUGGGAUUCUUGUAAUAUGUGUCAAGGGCUCUCUAUUGACUAUAAGUACGUUCGGAUCGGGGUUCGGAAGAGAAAGUUAAGGCUCGAUCAAGUUUUGCGCUUAAACUUCAUGUUGCGAAUGGCUUAAACAAUCAAUUUGGAUAUGCGACUUGUUAGUGCACAGAAGUCCUUUUGUUAGAGUUAAGGCGUAACUUAGUCAUUUUGUAGUCGAGAUAGAAUUUUAUUAGAUUUUAACAUUAUUCUUCGAUUAUUUGAUAGGGCUUUGAGUUCGAAGAUACAAGUAUCAUUUGUCGUUUGGUCGUAGACGAUAAGGUGAGUGGUACUAUAUCUUCUUUGGUUUUAUAAAAUCAUGUCUUGAAGUAUGUAUGUAUAUAUAUUGAAUCAAGAAGAGCAUUUUUAUUGCAUAAAAGUCAGAUCGAGCAAUUGCUACCCUUUGGUUGAUUGUGAAUCUUUGAAAAGCACAUUAUACAAGGUUUGUGGAGAAACAUAUAUGAAAUUGCUUUGCGACUGAUUUAUGAAAAGGUUUAUGAUGAUUUGAGAAACGAGUAUGAAAUGGAUGAUGGGCUAUGUUGCAAAAUAUUAUUUGUUUGGUUUAAGAUAUUGAUUUUUGGAUUGAAUUUCUGGUAUUGGAGAAUGGUUAUUUAUGCUCAAUAUGACUGUGAACCCAGUGAGGGGUUUUUGGGGUAUGCAUACCAGGUUUAGGAUAUCCUUCUGGGCCGAGCCACCGGCUUUGUAGGUGGAGACCUUGCCAAGGGGAGAAUCUUGGUCGCCUUGUCACAGGACGUUGUGUCGUGACCAUGGUUAGUUAUUGAGCAAAAGAUUGAUCAAUGGAUAGACCAUUGAUACUUGAAUUUUGAUGGCGAUUCAAAUGAGUUUUCCAUAUUACUAUAAAUCUUGAUGAUAAGAAAUAACUCAUAAGAUUCAAUACUUAUUUUAUAUAUUGAGUUGGCUUAUGAAAUUUGGUAUUGUUUUGUAUACAUGCAUAGUGGUUGUUCGAUCUGCUUAAAAGAUAUGUACUACUCACUGAGCUGUGGUUGCUCAUCCCAUUCCUCAUUUGAUCUUUUCAGGUUCCUCAGCUAGUGGCAAAUAGAGCGAGUGCGCCGUCGUGGGAAACUUUUGGGGAGUUCUAUUUUGUUUUUGGUAUGGUUUAGGGAAGUGGUGCAAAUGAUCUUUACUAGUGGUUGAAUCGUCUAAGUUUUGAAGUAUAUAUUUUCUCUUUUUGGUGGAUUAUAGAAAUUCUAAUGUUGCAACCAAUUUGAAGGUUUAUCUGAUAUUUAUACUUGUAACAUCCUGGACCCCACUGUGUAAUAUUGUCCGCUUUGGGUCACCCGCCCUGGCACGGACGAACCGCCAUCCCAGCCGCGAUCUUUUCCCUCACGGCUUUAAAACGCGUUACACAGGUUAGAGGGAUCCAAGCCUUAUAAGCUGACCAAUAUCUCCCUCCCUAGGCGAUGUAGGACAAGAGAGGAGGCUGUCACACUCUCCACCUCUUAACAGAAUAGCGUCCUCGCUAUGGCCCCACGGGUAUCAGAACAACAUUCAAGCUGUGGUCCCACACGCGGUCGGGAGUCGGCUCUGAUACCACUUGUAACAUCCCGGGCCCCAUUGUGUAAUAUUGUCCGCUUUGGGUCACCCACCCUGGCGUGGACAAACCGUCAUCCUAGCCACGGUCUUUUCCCUCACGGUUUUAAAACGCGUUACAUAGGUUAGAGGGACCCAAGCCUUAUAAGCUGACCAAUAUCUUCCUCCCUAGGCGAUGUAGGACAAGAGAGGAAGCUGUCACAUAUAUAAGUUAAUAUCAGUUUGUAGGUUAUGUUUGAGGCUGCGUCCUUUGUAAAGAAGGAUGGCCGUGUCAUCCCCAUUCUUUGUAGUUUUUGGGGUGUGACACUAAGUUCCGAAAAGCAUAGACGAGCGAAAUGCCUCACGAAUUAACCUAAGAGCAACAUAAACACGCCGAGAUAGAAAACGGUAGAAGCCGACGCCUCAAAUUGCAAACUUCUUCGACCCAAAAAAAAAAAAUAUUGCAAACUUCGAGCUACAAAAUGGCGAUUAAGCACGGAGGGCCGGAGAUGGGGUGGAGGGAGCACCUUGAUGUCGAAAUCGACGCCGGCGGUGGCGAGGAGGGGAGAGGGGGUGGAAAUCUAGGGUUAGGACAGGUUUGGUCUCGUGCCAAUUCAUCUGGACCGUGCCUCCCUUCAUAUCUCCUCUGCCCGCUCCGCCGCUUCCUUCCUUCCCCCUCUCUCUCUGAAAUCGAAGCCUUCUUCCUUGAUUUCUUAGCGAACGAAAUCGAUCAAUUCGUGGAAUUCGUGAGAUUCGUGCGCUCUCCCCAUUCCGCGGAGAGAUUCCCGACAAAUAGAGAUUAGAUUGUAGGCUUGUCCAUCGUCGUUUCAGUAAAGCGAGUGUAAUGCCAAAAAAGGGAAAUAAGGACGACACAAUUGGCUCUGACAUUGAAUUGACAGUUUAUUCCUGGCCUCCUACGUGAGCAUAUCACGUGGCCCACCCAUCAUGGCUCAAAUUCAUGAAAACAAACUAAUAAAAAAAAGAUCCAAAAUAGACUCCACCACCAUCCUCUCGGAAAUCCAAUCAAAAAAAGGAAAAGAUAAAAAAGGCAAAUCAUCCCAGACAAAACAAGCAUGGCAUUCGCCACACGCUACUAAAAAUUAACCACACACAGAUUCACAAGUCUCAGGGUUCGCGAGGCAAGCCUCGAUGGCCCCAAACAUAGUGAAAGCCUUCUCUCUCACGGCCUUGAUCUUCUCCUCGGUGUUGUCCACGUUGCCCCUGGCGAAGUAUUUGCUAUCGUUCAUGCACACCGUGUUAGACAAUUCAUAUAAAACUUGAUGCGGAAAUUCAUAACAAAUCAUUGAUCUUUGAUCUUCAUGAUUUUCACAAAUAGAUUCAGACAAACCUUUAUCCAUAGCGCUACGCUUGAUGAUGAUCGUUGUAGAAAACCCAAUGAUCUCGAACCAAAAGGAGAAAUCCGAUUUCUCUCCCUUAACCCACUAAACCUUAAUGUAUUCAAUUGAUGGAGGAGAGAAUAUGUUCUUUUCAGUUAUUGUUGUUCGUAUGUGGGUGGAGAGAGGACCGGACUCUUUUAUACGUUCGUUGAAAAUGUGCCUUCCAUCAAAGCGAUAUACCCUUUCGUUUUAUUAGAGUCGUACCUUCUCAUAACCAAUAUUAUUUAUAGCAUUUCAAUCAUUAUUAAACCAUAUAAUAAAUCACAUAAUAUGGGCCACAAUAAUUCUUACAUUCUCCCACUUGGCCCAUAUGAUUCUCCUUUCAUGGUUUAAUGAAGACUAUAAUGUGCACAAUAAGAUUAUGCUAUAAAAUUUCAUUAAAUUGGCAAUCACAUAAUAAUCACAAUUAAGUAAAGAAAACUAAUGCGAGUCAUAGCGGUUAUAUGUCAUUAAUCGACAUAGUCCCUUCUAUGUACUACAACUAUAGCACUUUACUUAACAUGAUCCAUAAAUGAGAAGUACAGUAAUAGUCCAACCAUAAUGUUUCUUUAGAAACUAUCCUGUUUAAAAUUAAUCUAUUUCCAUAAUGUAUACUAAAUAGAAAACAGGAAAUAUCAUAAACAUGUAAGUGAGCUCAAAGUGUCAAAUACAUAAACUUAAUACAAUCAUAAUACAAACAUUAAUGACGUCCAAUAAUGCCCAUCCUUUCAACAUGCUCAUUAAAUGUUUUGGGCGGCAAUCCUUUUGUUAAGGGAUCUGCUAUCAUAAGAUUGGUGCUAAUGUGCUCAAUUGACACUCUUUGUUUCUGAACUUCUUUUUUGACAGACAAGUAUUUGAUCUCCAUAUGCUUAACACCCUUAGAAUACUUGUCGUUCUUAGAGAAGAAAACUGCUGCAGAGUUAUCACAAUAGAUUUUCAGCGGCUUGGCAAUACUGUCGACGAUCACAAGCCCUGAAAUAAAAUUCCGCAGCCAUAAUCCAUGAAUUGUGGCCUCAAAGCAUGCCACAAAUUCAGCUUCCAUAGUGGAUGCAGCAAUAACUGACUGCUUCGCACUCUUCCAUGAAAUUGCCCCUCCAGCCAGAAGAAACAAGUAACCAAAUGUUGAUUUUCUUGUAUCGACACAUCCGGCUAAGUCUGAAUCUGAAUAUCCAAUCACCUCGAGAUGAUCAGAUCUUUUAUAAGUGAGCAUAUGAUUCUUUGUUCCUUGCAAGUAUCUAAGAACUUUCUUUGCGGCUUUCCAAUGAUCCAUUCCAGGAUUACUUUGAUACCUACCUAGCAUUCCGACAGCAAAAUUGAUGUCUGGUCUGGUGCAAGUUUGUGCAUACAUUAAGCUUCCCACAAUAGAUGCAUAAGGAAUAUUAUUCAUUUGUCCUCGUUCCAAUUCACUUUUCAGACAUUGCAUAAGGCUAAAUUUAUCACCUUUCUGAAUUGGAACUAUUCCUGCUGAACAUUUACUCAUAUUAAAUCUCUCUAAAAUUUUCUCAAUGUAGGCUUUCUGAGACAAUCCUAAUAAUCCUUGUGAUCUAUCACGGAAUAUUUCUAUUCCUAUCACAUAUGUUGCCUCUCCCAUAUCCUUCAUUUCAAAAUUCUUAGAGAGAAAUUUCUUGGUUUCAUGUAACAAACCAAGAUCAUUAGCAGCAAGCAAAAUAUCAUCAACAUACAGAACUAGAAAAAAAAAACUUGCUCCCACUAAUCUUCAUAUAUAUACACCGAUCAACGGUGUUUUCCUUAAAUCCAAAUGAAGUUAUGGUAUCGUUAAACUUAAGAUACCAUUGUCGAGAAGCUUGUUUAAGUCCAUAUAUUGACUUCUUUAAUUUACAUACCAUGUGUUCCUUUCCUAUAACUGAAAAGCCUUCGGGUUGGUCCAUAUAAACCUCUUCCUCUAAAUUCCCAUUAAGAAAUGCGGUUUUUACAUCCAUUUGGUGUAACUCCAAGUCAUAAUGAGCCACCAAAGCCAUAAUGAUUCUAAGUGAGUCUUUCUUAGAGACCGGUGAAAAUGUCUCUUUAUAGUCAAUGCCUUCUUUCUGAGUAAAACCAUUUGCAACAAGUCUGGCUUUAUGUCGUUCAAUAUUGCCUUUUGAGUCGCGCUUGGUCUUAAAGACCCAUUUACACCCGACCUUCUUACAUCCUUUAGGCAAUUCAACAAUAUCCCAAACUUGAUUUUCAUGCAUGGAUUUUAACUCUUCUUCCAUGGCAUUAAACCAUUCAUUAGAAUCUUCACAUUCCAUGGCUUGGGAAAAUGAAUCUGGAUCAUUUCCAAUUCCUAAGUCAAUUUCUGACUCUUGUAGAUAAACCAUAUAGUCAUCAGAAAUAGCCGACCUCUUUUCUCUUUGAGAUCUCCUUAAUGCUAUUUCUUGUGACUCGGUUAUUGGAGGUUCAUUAUUGACAUCUCCAUUAUUUGGUGUUUGUUGUUCUCGAUUAUUGUUAGAUUGUACUACAAUAUCAGAAACAACAACUUUAGAAGCUUUAGGCAUAGGAACUUCUACCCUUACUUCUUGAAUGCAAGCAUCACGCAUUCUUUCACUCCCACUGAUGUCACCAUUCUCAAUGAACCUAGUAUUUCCAGAUUCAACAAUUCUUGUACUAUGAUUAGGACAAUGAAAUUUAUACCCUUUGGAUUUCUCUGCAUAACCAAUGAAAUAACCACUGGUCGUUCUUGAAUCCAAUUUCCUUUCAUGUAUUGUAAAUUCUUACUUCUGCUUGACAACCCCAAACAUGCAGGUGUCGUAAACUAGGUUUCCUUCCCGUCCACAAUUCAAAUAGAGUCUUUGGAACUGCCUUACUAGGAACCCUAUUUAAUAAGUACAUAGAAGUCUUUAAAGCAUACAUCCACAAAGAUAAGGGUAAAGAUGAAUGACUUAUCAUACUCCUAACCAUUUCCAUUAAAGUACGAUUACGCCUUUCUGCUACACCAUUUUGUUGUGGUGUACCUGGCAUUGUGUAUUGAGCACAUAUGCCAUGUCUUUCAAGGAAUUUAGCAAAUGGACCUGGACAUUGUUCCGAUUCAUCAUACUUUCCAUAAUAUUCACCACCUCUAUCCGAUCUUAUUAUUUUCACAUUUCUAUCUAAUUGCCUCUCAACCUCUUUAAUAUACACUUCAAGUACAUUUAAUGAUUGAGACUUAUCAUGCAAUAGAUAAAUGUAACCAUAACGUGAAAAAUCAUCAAUAAAGGUUAUGAAAUAGCUUUCCUUACUAAAAGAUGGAACAUCGAAAGGACCACAUAUGUCAGUAUGUAUAAUCUCAAGAAGCUAUGUGCUUCUUGUGGCACAUUUCUUAGUGUGCUUUGUUUGUUUACCUUUAAUACAAUCAAUACACACUCUAAAGUCAGUAAAAUCCAAAUUUGGAAUAAUUUCAUUCUUCACUAAUCUUUGCAUUCUUUCUUUGGAUAUAUGACCCAACCGUUUAUGCCACAAGUAAGCAGAAUUUUCAUUCACCAAACUUCGUUUAGUGCCAACAUUAUGAUGCAAGGUCAUUAAUGUCUCAACAAAAGUAUUAUCAAGUCUAAAUUUGUAGAGACCAUCACAUAAAGUUCCAGUUCCAAUAAGAGCAUCACUCUUAAAUAGACUGAAAGAUUCAGAUCCAAACUUACAAUAAAAUCCCGCCACAUCAAGUCUUGGCAAAGAAACUAAAUUGCGAGAAAAUGUAGGUACAUAAAGGGUUCGAAAAAAAUCCAAAUAAUGCCCAGUAUCUAAUAUCAAACGAUAAGUGCCAAUGCCUUCAACUGGAGCUUUGUCUCUGUUCCCCGUAAUCACAUAACUUUCAUUUGGAAAAUGUAGGUACAUAAAGGGUUCGAAAAAAAUCCAAAUAAUGCCCAGUAUCUAAUAUCAAACGAUAAGUGCCAAUGCCUUCAACUGGAGCUUUGUCUCUGUUCCCCGUAAUCACAUAACUUUCAUUUGGCUUUAUAGUUUGGAUCUUAAGAAAUCCCUGCAUCGUAUUUGACACAUGAGUGGUGGCACCAGAAUCAAUCCACCAAGUAUUAUAAGGAACUUCAGUAAAAUUUGAUUCAAAACAUACUAAAGCACAAGGCUUACCUUUCUUUUCGAACCAAGCCUUACAUUUCAGACAAUCUUUCUUCAAGUGUCCAAUUUUGUUGCAAAAAUGACAUUUAAUAAGAUUGUGUUCCUUCUUGUGGAUUUGAGAAGCCUUUGAAGAGUCAUUCAGGACGUGUAGUCCUUUCUUCUUGCUCCUUCCACCUUUCCUCUUAAAAUUCUUUCGAACUUCUUGAUGACUUGAGAGAUGAAUAGAAUGAGCAUUUUGAUUCUUUAUCCUUAUUUCCUCUUGAACUAGCAUACUGGCCAAUUCGUUUACAUUCCACUUAUCCUUUAUAGUGUUGUAAUUCAUUUGAAAUGGCACAUAUUGCUCAUGAGGUAAGGAAUUAAGUAUAAAUUGUACUAAAAAGUACUCAUCCAUAUUCAUUCCCAAAGUCCUUAACUUUGCUGCUAAAUUGGUCAUCUCAAGUAUAUGCUCAUGCAUGGUACGCGAACCAUCAUAUUUCAUGGUGGUCAGUGUGCUCAUCAGUGUACCAGCAAGUGACUUAUCAGCAGUUUGAGAACGCUCUUCCACAAAUUUCAUAAAUUCCUUAGCAUUGUUAGUCUUGGGAAGAGAAGUUUUUAAGUUGUUUGCAACUGUCAUUCGCAUGAACAUUAAGCUCAGUCUGUUCGAUCUUUCCCAAGCUUUAUGGAAAGACUUUUCAUCAUUGCUACUUUCAUCAGUAAUAGCAGCUGGUUUCUCAGCUUGAAGUGCUAAAUCAAGAUCCAGGACACCUAAGUGAAACUGGACUUGUUCACUCCAAUCAGGAAAAUUUAUCCCAUUGAAUAAGGGAACAGAUGAGGCGUGCGAAUGGAGUGAAACAGGUACAGAUACUACAAAUGUGCAAGAAAAUACUCAUACAUUAAUGCUUUGAGAAUAUCAUAUAAUCAGAUUAAACUAAACUACACAUGCACAUCAUAGUUCUCCUUUGAGCGAUCCUAUGAUAUACAAAUAUAUAUAAACCAUAAUGAUGCUAAUAACUUUUAUUUGAUAAUUGUAAAUAUAUCUUAUUAAAAUUUAUUUGUUAUCUUUGGAUAUACAAACAAAUUUAACAAAUCAUAUUAAUUAUCAACCAUCAUGUUCAUGGAUUAUAAGAAAAUAAUUAACCUUUGGGUUAAUCCCUAAGUUCUUAUAAUAAAUGAACUUCAAUAUACCCAUAACUCCAAUAAUGAUAUAAAACAUAUCAAUUUCAUAUAUAUAGCAUCAAUUAAUCAUGGGUAAUUGAAUAAAAUAAUUUACGAUAUUAAAAAAAUUCAAAAGACUUCAAGGUUCGGCCACUUUGGUGACUAACAAACCUUUCAUAAUAUGAAUUUUUAAUAUUGCAAAAUACAAAUAUUUACCAAAUUGCACACAAGGACAUAAAAUGCAAUCAAAGCAUAAGGGCAAAAUCGUAAAAUCAUAAUUCCAUAAGGGUAGAACCAUAAAAUUAUAAUCCAGGGGCAAAAUGGUAAAUAAUCAGCAAUGGCAGAAUCGUAAUUAUAAAUUAAACAGGGGUAGAACAGUAAAUAACCAUCAAAAGGACGGCAAAACGGUAAUUAGGAGCCUCGGGAGGGGCAAAAGCGUAAAAGUCCGCGCGGGGACGUCAGGCGCGUGCCUCGCACGCGCCUGCAACCGCGCGGGAAGCCCCGCGCGCGUGGAUCCCACGCGCGCAGCGCUUGCGCGCGCGUGAAGGCGCGUGGCGCGUGGGUUCCACGCGCCUGCAACCGCAGCGCGCGCGUGGAGCCCACGCGCCUUCUUCCUCGCGCGCAGACGCGAUUCUUCGCCGGUUUUUCGCCGUUCCACCGCCGUUUCGCCGCCCGUUUCUUCUCCGACAGCCCAUUACAGACACAAAUAAUUAAUGGGUUUUGAAGAGCAUGCCGGCACGACCACAUGGGUCCAAAUUUCGGAGAAAAUGACCAAAAAUUGGCCCCAAAUCAAACCAAAGUUUCAGAACACAAAAACUCCACCACCGCCGCUUCCGCCGCUCGAUUAGCCGCCGGCGAACACCAAUAUACGGGAAAAAUCAUGGCUAAUGUUCCUCAUGACAGUGCGACGGUGUGGGUCCGAAAUCAAGCGGUGGGUUGCCGGAUUUUACCCGGAACCGGCGAGUUUCUUCCUUGCCCUCAAAAUUCCGAAUUCCACCAUUUUUGUCAUUUUCCACUCGUGCACACACAGUAACUUUUCUUCACAAUUUUAGUCCAUGAAAAACGUUCUAUCAUUCGGAUUUUCUUUAACAGAACCUUCCAAAACAUUUCAACAACAACAAAUGCUAUAAACAUGAUCGUUUAACAAAUCAUCAAACAUCAACUAUAAUAUUUCUUUAAACGGAAAAAUCAUGAGAUCAUAAACCAAACGCUCUGAUACCAACUGUUAGACAAUUCAUAUAAAACUUGAUGCGGAAAUUCAUAACAAAUCAUUGAUCUUUGAUCUUCAUGAUUUUCACAAAUAGAUUCAGACAAACCUUUAUCCAUAGCGCUACGCUUGAUGAUGAUCGUUGUAGAAAACCCAAUGAUCUCGAACCAAAAGGAGAAAUCCGAUUUCUCUCCCUUAACCCACUAAACCUUAAUGUAUUCAAUUGAUGGAGGAGAGAAUACGUUCUUUCAGUUAUUGUUGUUCGUAUGUGGGUGGAGAGAGGACCGGACUCUUUUAUACGUUCGUUGAAAAUGUGCAUUCCAUCAAAGCGAUAUACCCUUUCGUUUUAUUAGAGUCGUACCUUCUCAUAACCAAUAUUAUUUAUAGCAUUUCAAUCAUUAUUAAACCAUAUAAUAAAUCACAUAAUAUGGGCCACAAUAAUUCUUACACACCGAACCUCCCUCCGGUGAUGCACUGAUCUUCAGCUCGUAGCUAGUGUUCUCCAAGGUGUUGGCCAGCAUGUUGCUCUCGAUGAUUGAAUUGGAGUAGGAGUAGCUCCCAUUGUCCAGGACCUCGAGCUUGUGCUUCACUACCUUGUUCCGAUGGCCUAUAGAAAACGCAAGUCACAUUUGAGACGCCACCGGUUUCGAAAAUCGCAAGCACUGCUUUGAAACACCAUUGACUCACGACAUCGUCAUGUUAAUGGUCAGGAACAUUUGAAUUAACCAAGUAAAUUUACUAACCUUCGCUGCCAGUGGUCUCCUCGACAAGCUCGGCACUCUUGAGGAAAGGGAAGAAGACUCUGGAGAUGAGGUUUAAGGCCCUAACGAUGGCCUCGAACGCCUGGGCUAGGAGGAUGGAGGACUUGAUCUCAGUCCUGAAGUAUUCCAUGAUUCUCUGUCCGAAAAAAAUCUGCUAAAAGCUGAAAGGGAAUGAUGAGAAUUGCGAGUACUGAGUAGGAGUGAAGUCUUGAUCUAAAAUUUCGGAGCGCAGUUCUAUAUAUUUAUAGAUAGGGUGCGAGAGUGAGAUGUAGAGGAGUCCGUGUGUAUCUAAUGACUCUUUCGGGACGUUUGGGUGGACAAGGGGAACUUUUUUAUGUUUUUUUCUAGUUGCUUUACGGGUUACUUUUAUCGGCACAGAUCAGCCGGGGUUUCUUUCCGGAUUGGGCGCUUUCAAGAAUUUUGGGUGGACUCGGGGUUUAAACGAGAGGUAGAAAAAGCCAAGGGAACAGGAGGCAGGUGGGACCCUUCAGCCCGUGCUUUUUCCUUUUUUCCAUUGAGAGGACGGAGACGAGGAAAGCAUAUCCGGCCCGCUCGACUUUUGGCAAUGACAGAAGCUCUCUCGUUGAUAAAGCUAGGCCGUGAGGUGAGUUGAGUCAUGCACAAGUACACCAAAUUGAAACUCUUCCGCACGUGGAGAUAGCUUCAGACAACUUAGAUGCCGUGAAUUGUGUCAUUUCCUUGGAACUUCUAGGUCCGUCAUCCAGGAUUGUGAUCUUCUAUUGACCCAACUAGAAGCAUAAAUUAAACUAAAAUAAGAACCCAAAGAAGCAAAUCGUGUUGCGGAUUGAGUAGUCAAAGACCCACCGAGUUAGAACCCUUCCAUCCAAUUGGGUUGUUUAUCCCCCUCAUUUCCAUUGGUAAAUUUAAGUCUUGAAUUUGGUACUAGUUAUAAUUCAUCUUUGAGUUAGUAAUCAAAAGUUAUUUUCGACCAAAAAAAAAAAAACCACCGAUGACGUACUAAUUCGAUGUUGUUGAUUUUGUGCGUACAAAGUCCAAAUCAACAUUAAUGACGUCAUAUAUGGCGUGCUAAAAGUUGUUCAUGAGUUGAAUUUUUGCAAUUACGUGCCCAAUGAAUUUUGACGCUCUUGAGUGGGAAAUCACUAAAUUGUUAACUUUUUCCAAAUGCCUGACGGGUGUCAUAGGAUUAGUUUGGCGAGUAGAGAUAAAAAGUUAGCACGCAAGUAAUUUAAAAGCGCAGUGUAAAUUCGAUUCUCCCAAUCAAUGAGCAUAAACGAGAACAUGGGGGCGAAAAAGGUUGUUACCAGCAUUGAAAAAGUGGACUUUUGAGAAGCUCCAAUCACUAAAAUGUUGCGUAUUCGGCAAGAUGCAAGUAAGUCUAUCCAUCGAGAGUUAGUUUUUAGAGAAAUGCAUAAACAGAUAUUAAAUCAAUAGAUAUGCUUAGAAAAAUGUCAUACAUAGCUUUUUUAGCUUUUUUAGCUUUUUUAGUAAGCAAGAGGUCUUGACUUUGAUUCUCAACGAGAUCCUUUUUCUUUUGACUUGUAAUAUUUCCUUUUUUCACAUUCAAUCUUCUUCCUAACAAUUUUUUUGAUAAAAAAAAAUUCAAUCGAGCCAAAAAAUGAAUUGCUUAAUACAUGAUAGAGCCAACAUAUAUACAUACUAUAUAUGUGUUUUUUCUCAGUACAAAUGGUUAUACGAGGACCCAAUUAGUAAGAGGGAGGUCUUGAAUUUGACUCUCAACAAGAGCAUUUGUCAUUCAAACUUUUUCAUAACAACUAUUUUACUAAAGAAAAAAAUCGAUUGAGCCAAAAAAAUUGUCACUUAAUACAUCAUAAAGCCAGCAUACACAUAUAAUUCAUUUUUCUCACUACAAAUGGGUAUACGAGCACCCAUUUAGUAAGCAGGAGGUUUUAAGUUCGACUUUCAAUGAGAGCAUUUAUCUUCUGACUUAUAAAUUUUCCUUUUUGUAAAUUCAAACUUCUUCAUAAUAAUUUUUUUAAGAUAAAAACCACCAAAAACCCCAAACUUUGCUCAAAGUGACAAAUUUAUCCCAACCUUUAUAUUUUGAUAUGAAAAAUCCCGAAUUUUGCCAACUGUGACACAUUUAUCCCAAACUUUUUUUUAUGACACAAAAAAUUCUGAACUUGUAUUUAUGUGACACAUUUACCCUAAAUUGUAAGGUAUUUUGGUCUUUUACUUUUAAAAUAUUUUUUUUACUUUUUUUUUUCUUCUUCUCUCUUCCCUCCACCAGCCAUGGCAGAGCCGAUGGAGGAAGCCAUAGUUAGGCGAGGGCUACCCUCACCGGCGUCAAGCGAGGGUCGCCCUCAGCUAGGCUGGCUAGGGCCGCCCGACGCCAGUGAGGGAGGUCCUCGACCGACCCAGUCGAGGGUGGCCCUCGCUUGAUGACGCCGAGUGCAGCCCUCGCCUGACUCCAACUUCCCUCCGCCAUGGCCAGCGAAAGGAAGAGAGAAGAAGAAGAAAAAAGAAAAAAAAAGAGAAUAAGACGAAAAUGCUAUUGGUGGGUUAAAUGUGUUACAGUUUGCAAAAUUUGGGGUUUUUAUGUCACAAAAGAAGGUUUAGGAUAAAUUUGUCACUUUAGGCAAAGUUAUGGUUUUUGGUGGUCUUUUCCCUUUCAAUCGAGCCAUAAAAAAAGUCACUUAAUACAACAUAGAGCCAACAUAUAUAAUAUAUUUUGUUCCUUUUCUUGGUAUAAAUGGGAUACCAGCACUCGUUUAGCAAGCCUAAGUCUUGAGUCCGACUCUCAAUGAGAGCACUUGUCUCGUGACUUAUAAUCCUUCUUUCUUCUACAUUCGAACUUUUCCGUAACAAAUUUCUUGACAAACAUUCAAACUUCUAUCUUCUUGAUGCCGUUAUAAUAAGGGAUACGGAACUCUAGUGUGAAUGGAACUCAUUGCUGUGAUGCUAAAGGGAAGGCGAUGCUGACGAAUCCUACUGGAAUAUGCGGGGGACAGAAAAUCUUAGAGCUGGCGGUUAGAUCUAGUUGAGGUUACCAAGGGUUGAUUAUUGCUUAUCGCCCCGGAACUGACUUACCUAGGUCAUGCUCAGCCCUCACCCUUAGAAAAAGGAACUCAAGAAAAAAAAUUCAGUCACUGCUCCAUAAUGAUUAAUGUCCAUCAUAGUUCAAGUAAGGAGAUAUAAGCAAACGUUCAAACAAUAAAUAAAUAGAUCAACAAAAUAAAUUGGAUACCAGACUUAUAUGAUUCAAUCGCAGUGACCUACCUCUAUAAGAAAAGUAAUAACAAAUUUUAUUGUAGAUCAAACAAUAUGACGGAAAUUAUAAUCACAGUCGAGUUACUUUAAUACUCUUAUUGUUUUCCAAUUUCUAAUUACAUUCAAUAAUUCAAGUAAUAUAUAACCUCACAAUUUCUAACUAAAUAAUCCUUUAAUCUCAAGAAGAAAUUAACAAAUCGCGAAUUAAACCCUAAUUUCGCUAUAUGUAAUUCAAGGAGAAUAUCCAAUGUCAAGCACGCCAACGGCACUACUUGCGGCUGAAAAACCCGUGAUAAAGUCACCUCUCCACACGAGAGAGAGAGAGAGAGAGAGAGAGAGAGAGAGAGAGAGAGAGAGAGAGAGAGAGAGAGAGAGAGAGAGAGAGAGAGAGAGAAUGUGUGCAUGUCUGUCUUUUUCCUUCGGCAUUUUUGGCGGCUUCUUUUGUGGCAGUCAUCUAAGGCCUCGCAUGGUAAUGUUUCUGUUCCUUUUCUGUUCCCGGGAACAGAAACAAAAAAAAAAAAGUGUUUCUGUUCCAGGGAACGGUUUUUGAACAAAAGAACGUGUUUGGUAACGUUUGUUCCGGGAAUAAAAAAUGAAUAGAAACACGUUUGGUAAAUUUUAUUCUUUUUUUGUUUCUUUUAAUUUUUUAAUAUUUUUAUUUUAUUUUCCAUUUUUUCCUUUCUUUUUUAUUUUUUUCUUCUUUCGGCCGGUCGCCGACCUCCGGCGACCAGCCGACGAGGCCGGCAGCCUCGCCCGGCCACGGCAAGGCUCGCCGGCCCCCGGCAAGGCCGAGCCUCGCCGUGGUUGGGCGUGGCUCGGCCUCGCCGGAUCUAGGCGAGCUCGAGCUCGCCCAGCCAUGGUGAGGCUCGGCCUCGCCGGAUCUAGGCGAGCCCGAGCUCGCCCAGCCAAGGCAAGGCUCGGCGUCGCCAGUGCGGGCGAGGCCGAGCCUCGCCGCCCUGCCGUCGGAGCCAAGCACCUGCGCCCCGAAGCCCGCAGCUCAACGCCGUCCUGAUCUCACCACACCAUUCGCGACGCCGUCCACCGGCAAGGCCCGUGUCGCCCCGUGUCGAUCCCGAAGCCUCUAGUACGGCGCUGCCGUCGCACCGUCCUCCGGAGCCCCUCGCCGGAACCCUAGCCGAAGAUCUCCCAUCGAGCGAGGCCGAGCCUCGCCUUGGCUGGGCGAGCUCGGCGUGGGCGAGGCUCGGCCUCGCCAGGGGCCAGCGACGCUCCGGCGAGGUCGUUGACCCUCGAGGGCGUCGCCAGCCCUUGACGGCCGGUCGUCGGCCAUGGCCGAGGCCGGCGACCGGCCAGAAGAAAAAAGAAGAAAAAAGAAGAAGAAAAGAAGAAGAAAAGAGAAGAGAGAGAAGAAGAGAAGCGUUUCUUUUUGGCUUUGAAGAAGUUUUUCUUUUCUCCAGAAACAACUUUUUUGUGUUUCUUUUUUUUUGUUCCAAUUUUGUUCUGGGAACAAAAAAACAAAAAAAGAACAUAAACGCAACCAAAUGCGUUUCUGUUCUUUUUUUGUUCCCGGGAACAAAAAAAGUACAAAAGUGUUCCAGAAACACUUUUUUGGAGCGUUUCCAUGUAGGGCCUAAGUGACCGGUGAAGAAAGACCGAUAAAAAGAAGAAGAAGAAGAAGAAGAAGAAUACUUUCUGAGAGAGAGAGAGAGAGAGAGAGAGCAAUCAAUAUUGUCAGUGCACUGUUCGGGGUACAAAGCAAUGAUUUCAUCAUUCUUGAUUAGGGUUUUGAAAAUAUGGCUUUUCAAUCCGUUUCAUACAUUCUCCGGUUCCCUUUUGGGAGUAGUCGUGCACUACUCCCCGCCCCCUUCUCUCUCUCAACCGUCGUCUAGUUGAACAAUUCGUAACAGUCCCGACUCGUGCUUUUGCCGUCUGUCCCUUCUGCCUGAGAAUCUUGAAACGGUGCCGAUGUGGACCUCUUCCUCAACGGCAUCGCCGGCCCUCAACGGCCAUGGCCGAGGCUAGCGACCGGCCAAAGAAAAAAGAUAGAAGAAAAUGGAAGAGAGAGAAAAAAGUGUUCAUAAAUUUUGUUCCAGAAACAAUAAACAACUUUUUUUUUUCUUGUUUCCGUUCCAGAUGUGUUUCUGGAAACAAAAAAAUAAUUUUGGAACAAAAACGCAAACAAACGCGUUUCUAUUUCAAAAAACAAAAAUUUGUGUUCCUGGGAAUAGAAACACAUUUUAACAAACAGGCCAUUAGUAACUGUCCAAAAUUUCAAUUCCCAAAAUAGAAUUGCGUUUAGUAAUAUGCUCAAAAUUUCUACUCAAAAUCAUUUUCUUUUAAUUUUUAAAUAAUUUUAUUACUUUUUUCCUUUUUUUUCUUCUUUUCUUUUUUCCUUUCUCUCUCAUGUUCUUCUUCUUCAAGUGGCUAGUCGCCGGACCAGCGACCGGCUAGACGAGGGCUGGCAAUCUCAUCGAAAUGUUAAUAGCACUUAGCGAGGCUCGCCUAGCCUCACCGGUGCCUAGCCAGGCCUCGACGAGGCUGGGCAAGCCUCGUCGGUGGCCAGGCGGGCCUCGCCGAUGGCCGAGUGGGCCUCACCAGGGCUGGGCAAGGCCCCCCUGCUGGUGGCUAGGCUUGCCUCCGGCGAACUCGCUGGACCUCGCCCUGGCUUGGCAAGCCUUUGACAAGCUCGCCAGACCGGUUGUCAGCAACCAGCAAUAGUGGGUGGCGGACGGCAACCGCAGCGAUGGAUGAAGAGGAAGGAAAGGGAAGAAGAAGAAGAGAAAAUAUGGACUUGAUUCUUGGAUUUGUUCUCAAGAACAAGAAUCAACUUUUUCUUUUAAUUCUUGAUUAUGCUCCAAAUCCACUUCCCUAAAAAAAAAAAAUCCCAAAAACAAAAAUUUUACCAAACACGAUUCCGUUCCAAAAUUACUCCUGGGAACAAAAGAAUAAAAUUUGACACCGUUUGGCUGGUUACCAAACAGGUCCUUAGCAAGCUAAAGUUUUGAGUCCAACUCUUAACGAGAGCAUUUGUCUAGUGACUUAUAAUCUUUCUUUCUUCUACAUUCAAAUUUUCGUAACAACUUUUUUGAUAAACAUUCAAACUUCUGUCUUCUUGAUGCUGUUAUAAUCAGGGAAACGGAACUUUAGUGGGAAUGGAACUCAUUGCGGUGAUGCUAGAGGGAAGUUGAUGCUGACGAAUCUCACUGGAACAUGCGGAGGACAGAAAAUCUUAGAGCUGGGGAAAAUGAAUGGGUUUGGGAUUAAAUCUGGCUAAGUUAUUGCCCCGAAACUGACUCACCCAGGCCAUGGUCAGCUCUAAAGGGAACUCUAGAAAAAGAAUAAUGACUAAUGUUCUUUAUUGUUCAAGCAAAGAGACAUUUUCUAUCGGCUAAACCUUAUGCUUCUCACAUUCAAUGCUUGUGUUCCAUCUGAAGUUAUUUUUUACCACAUAAUUGUCGAAUGAUGGUUUUAAUUAGUGAUGGGCCUAAGUUGGCCCGUCUGCCCAUGCUGGGCCCAAAAGGCCCGGCCCACGGGAAUAGGGCCCGUAGAAGGGGAAGGUAUAAAAGGGAGGAGAGAGAGAGAGAGAAGACAACGCUUGGCUGAACGUACGUACGUUCUCUCCCUCGCUCUCUCUCCAAAAGGACAACAAGAACAGUAAGGCAAACGGCACGUUCUUCUUCCCUUCAAGGCGCCAUCGGAUCGAACAGGACCAGAAUUUCUUCUCGAUCUUUAGCAUUGGUGUCUAAUCUGUGGCUAACAAGGUACGCUCGAAUCCGUGGUGUGCUUUAUGAUCGGUGAUACGUGUUUUCCCGGGCUUCGUCUUCCGCAUUGAUUUAGGGGUUUGAUUGAGUGUCGAAUCCGGUUUUCGGGGAUCAGUCAUUCCCAACAUUGGUAUCAGAGCCCUAGUUCACGUUUUUCCCGAUCAAUUUGAUGUUUUUGAUUGAUCUUUCGCGAAAGAACUUCGGCCGUACGGAUCGGGGCGAAAAAUCCCGACACCCGAGCGCUGUUCGGCCAUUUUUCUGAGUUUUCGUAAGUCGAAAUUGAAUUCUGAAAGCACUGAGUGAAAGAGGUCGUCGAGACGAGUCCGGCGACAUGUUGUGCGUCGCCGAACGACGCCGCACGCACACACAUGCGCGGCCACAAGCCUCUGCGCGUGGGCGCCACGCGCCCGAAGCGCUGGCAAUGGCCAACGCGUGCGCCACACGCGCCGGUGACGAACCGGCACGUGCGUGCCGGCGACCGGCGAAACGGCACACGCCGGUCCGCGGACCAACGCGUGCUGACGUCACGUGAUGACGUCACCGUGACGUCAUCCAACGGUCGGUAACCGCUCGGAUGACGUCAUCGCCGACGACGUUUCGCCGGGCGGUUACUGGCCGGCGACCCGACCCAACGACGACCCGACCCGAACCGCGACGCCCGGCACGCCCGCGGCACGUGCCGGGUGACGUUUGCGUGACGUCAUCCCGCGCACGCGUGCGGCACGUGCGGACGGUUCGCCCGAACCAGCCCGACCGGUCUGCCCGGUCCGUCCGGCGACCGUUGACCCGUUGACCGACCGUUGACCGUUGACUUUGACUGUUGACCGUUGAUGAAAAAAAAAAAAGGAAUUUGUUUCUUUUUCAUAUAUGCCUAUGUGGUUUAUAUGUAAUCCAUUAUUUAUUCUGCAUUUGUUGCAUGAAUUUUGGAAAAUUAUGUGUUUUCCCUUAUGUUAAUUAUGGAUUAUAAGUGAUCCAUUUUUUAAUUCUGCAUUUGUUGCAGGAAUUAUGAUGCGUCAUGCACGAAUACCUACAAUCCCGAGAACGGACGAGGGAAAUGCAAGACUUAAAAGGCUGAUGACAGAGUUGGCUGAUUAUCGGUGGCAUAACGGUGAUUUAGUAUCACAUGUGGUCAAGGUCAAUAAGAUGAUACAGGAAAUCAUCAAUAAUGGUUAUCUUAUGCCGGAUUUUUAGAAGGUGCCGGCUUUGUUGAACACUCUUCCACCUGAAUGGCAAGCAGUGUUAGAUCGGCUAUGGGAGGUCAACGUGGUCCCGGGUUAUAGGAGGCUGGUGGAAGCUUUUGUAAGAGAGUACUAUAAGAUUGAGUUUGCCAAAACUUCAACCCUUAGAUUGUGCGCUACGUGGCGCAGAGUGAAUGCGCCUUGGUGGCGACAUGAAUGCUCUCCAAAAGUUUUUCCAUGGUUGGCAAAUGUGCCUUCAGUUUUCUCAGAUGUUUUGACUAAUAGAUUAGAAUGGACAUUCCCUAAUUAUUUCUUAGAUUAAUUGUGGGAUUUUUUUUUAUGGAUGUAAAUAUCUCUUUCCAUGUUGAUAUUUUUCUCUGUAUAUAUUGCUUAGUGUAAUGUAUAGUUGUAUUAUGUGAAAGCACUAUUAUUCUAUUGGAUGUUAGAUAAUAUUUGCUUUCUGUUACUGCUGAUUGCUGUGGGUAGUUAGCUGUGGGUAGUUCAUAGAAGUUUUUGUAGCUUCAUAGAAUUGUUUUUGCAUAUGACAAUCAUAUUAAUGAUAGUUUUAAGUUAGGAUUUUUGGAGGAUGAUUGGAAACGUAGUGACCUUUUGAUUCUGAAACCUUACUUGAAAUUAUUCAUUAAUAUGAUGGGUCUAUGCAAAUAGGGAUGCAUAAAUGAUAGGCAUUAAUUAUUCGUGCACAUAUGUCUGAUGUGUUCAGAUUGAUGGAUUCAGCAACUAAGAACGUAAUUGCUGAUGUGAACGGCAACAAUUGUGAAAUAUUGAAUAUGAAGAUUCAAUAUGUGCUGGAAAAGCAAGAAGCACUAGAAGCUCUUGACCAUGUUAUGGAAGAUCUUGAGGAUGCUGUGCGCCACCUUGAGUUGGUAGAGGACCGCUUAACGGCAUGUGAGCUGAAAAUAAAUAUUUGCAAUGCUGGUUCUAGCUCAGAAAGGGCUUUGAGCUCUAAGCGCAAGCGUAUUGAUUCGUUCAAUAUGUGGGAAUGCAAAGGAUCAAGUCCUUAUUGCAAGAGAUAAAGAGUUAACCAAUACAAGAGAGGAAAACGUCCUCAAGUUAAGAAAAUGUCAAGGGUGAGGUGUUACAAUUGUGACAAGAAAGGUCACUAUGCUCGCGACUGUCGUGAGCCAAAGAAAGUAAACACCUCUUGUACAUUUGAAAACUUUACUUUUGUGUCAAAUUCUGUAUUAUUAGCUGAAUUCAAUCCUUUGUGAACUGUAGAUUCAGGAGCAACAGACGAUGUAGCGAAAGAUAAAGGAUCCUUCGUGGAAUUCCGACGAAUACCAACUGGAACUAAGUGGAUCUAUGUGGGAAACAGCUCCAGAGUUGAAGUUAAAGGGAUUGGCACCUGCCAACUGAACAUGUGUGGUGGACGCACCUUGUUCCUACAUGAUGUUCUAAAUGCUCUGGAGAUUUGUCGAAAUUUAAGUGUCUGUUUUGAUGUUGGUUAAGCUUGGUUUUGAUAUGAACUUCCAUAAAUAAAGUGUAGAUUUGUGUUUAGAUACAAACUACUAUGGUUGUGGUCACUUUCUAGAUGGUUUUAUUGUACUAAAUGUUGACUGUGGUGAUGUCAAUAUGUUAUUCCCUUGUUUCACGUCUUUUACUUCAUGUGAUAAUGAUGUGAAUGUGUGGCAUGCUAGACUUGGUCAUAUUGGCCAACAACAUAUGAAUAGACUUGCCAAAGAGGGCUUGUUGGGCAAUAUUGAAUAAGUCGAUUUGUCCAUAUGUAAGCAUUGCUUAGAAGGGAAAACGACAAGGAAACCAUUUGGAAAAGGUAAAAGAGCUGACAUUCCUCUGCAUUUAAUCCAUUAUGACGUUUGUGGUUCAAUGAAUGUGAGAGGAAUGCAUGGGACUGUUUACUUCAUCACUUUUAAUAGAUGAUUAUACUCGAUUCGGAUGUGUCUAUUUGAUUUCUCAUGAAUCUGAAGCAUAAGUUGUUUCAAAAGGUUUAUGAACUUGGUUGAAAAUCAAUUAGACAAGAAAAUAAAAGCAUCGAGAUCUGAUCGAGGUCGAGAAUAUUUAUCUGAAAAGUUCAGAAAAUUAUGUGAUGAAAAAGGAAUAGAAAGACAGUUGUCUAUUCCAUAUACUCCUCAACAAAAUGGUGUUGCGGAGAGAAGAAACAGAACCCUACUGGAAAUAGUUAGGUCCAUGAUGGCGCAUGCUAACUUAGAUAUCACUUUUUUGGAGUGAUGCGUUGUUAACUGCUGUCUAUAUACUUAACCGAGUGCCUUCCAAAUCAGUUAGUUCCACUCCAUAUGAGUUAUGGACAGGUAGAAAACCAGACUUAAGUUUUCUUAAGCCAUGGGGUUAUGCUGCCUAUACUCAUGAGUCCUCUCACAAGUUUGGGAAAUUGAGUCCCAGAUAAAAGAAGAGUAUUUUCAUGAGAUACUCCGAACACUCGAAAGGGUAUAUGUUCAUAGGUGAGCAGGAAAGUGGGAGUAUGACUAAAUUUGAAUCACAGGAUGUCACAUCCUUAGUGGAUGAAUUUCCUAAGAAGGGCGAAAUAGGGGAAGAUUAGUCCCUAUUUGAAACCUUGGAUCAAGAUAAUGAUAUUAAUGGAGUUCGUCCAAGUGGGAGUAAUAUGAGAAGUGAUGAAUUGAAUUCAACUCAUUCUCAAUUACAACCACAUGAUGAGAUGAUAUCGUCAUUAUUUAAUCCGAGUGGGAGCAUAAUGGGGAAUGAUGUGCUAAAGUGUACAAUCUCCCAUAUAGCGAACAAGUCGCCAAAGGAUUCCCCGUCAACGUUUUGACAUUGAAGGGGAAACUUCUAAUGAUUGCUCCACAAAAUGAGGAUGAGCCAAGAAAUAUUAAUGAGGCUCUGAAUUGCCCUAGUAAGAAAAAAUGGAUUUAUGCAAUGAAAGAGGAGAUGGAGUCAAUGAAGUCAAACCAAGUCUGGGAACUGGUUGAUCUUCCAAAAAGGGGACGCAAAGCUAUUGGGAACAAGUGGGUUCUCAAAAUAAAGCAAAAGGCUGAUGGCUCGAUAGAAAGCAUAAGGCUCGCCUUGUGGCGAAGGGGUAUAAUCAACAGAAAGGAAUUGAUUAUGAAGAUACAUUUUCUCCUGUAGAGGGAUUUACCUCGAUUCGCAUUAUUCUGGCAAUAGUGGCUAGUAUGGAUCUUGAGUUACAUCAAAUGGAUGUAAAGACUGCUUUCCUCAAUGGAGAAUUAGAGGAAUAAAUAAAUAUGGAACAACCUGUUGGUUUCAUAGUGAAAGACCAAGAAGAAAAGGUAUGUCGACUUUGGGGGUCGAUAUAUGGCCUUAAGCAGUCGUCAAGACAAUGAUAUAUACGUUUUCAUAAUGCCAUAAUAGCAUAUGAUCUUACAAUGAUAGAUGAGGAUCAUUGUAUAUAUAUCAAAAGAUCCAAGGAUCAAUUUGUGAUCAUAUCAUUAUAUGUUGAUGAUAUAUUAAUUGCCGGAAGUAAUAUGGAGUUUGUUCAUACUGUCAAAAGUUGGUUGUCUUCCAAUUUUGAGAUGAAUGAUAUGGGAUUGUAAACACAUAAACACUCCUAUUGCAAAAGGUGAAGGAUUGAGCCAUAGACUGUGUCCAAGGACUCCACAAGAGAAGGAACAAAUGAAACAUGUUCCUUAUGCUAGUGCUGUUGGGAGCUUGAUGUAUGCUAUGAUGUGUACAAGACCUGACAUAUGUUAUGUAGUUGGAAUGGUGAGUAGAUACCAAUCCAAUCCAGGUCAAGCACGUUGGAAAGCCGUUAAAAAAAUACUAAGGUAUCUAAAGGGGACUGCUGAUUAUACGCUGAGUUAUUAUGGAAAGGAUCUGCGACUCUAAGGCUAUUCUGAUGAUGAUUGGGGAGGAGAUUUAAAUAAAAGGAAAUCUACCUCUAGGUUUGUUCUCUUACCGAAUAAUGGCACCAUGUGUUGGAGCAGUAAGAAACAAAAGUGUAUAGCCUUGUCCAUGAUGGGAAUUGAGUUCGUGGCAUUAUCAGCAGCAGUAUAAGAAGAUGUUUGGCUUAAGAGAUUUUUUGGAUCAUUUAGGUGUUAUUGGAAGUGCUGCAGAUUAAUUGUUGGUUAAUUAUGAUAGCCAAGCAGCAAAAGUGUACACCAAAGAUCCAAAAUAUCAUGACAAUACCAAACAUAUAGAUACCAAGUAUAAUUUUGUCAUGGAUAUGAUUGCACGAAAAGAUGUGAACUUAUAGUACAUACUACGCAUAGAAUGGUAGCAGAUCCUAUGAUAAAGCCAAUACCUAGAGAUGUGUUUUGUGGCUAUAUGAAAUCUCUAGGAUUGCGUAGAGGCUGAUGUACUGAAUAUUGUAAUUUCCCUAAGUGUUCACAAUUUGAUGAAUUUGUGUUUUCAUCAUUAAUGCCUAUGAAUCUUUGUUUGAUCUUUAUGCAUCUUAAUGCUCAGUGCAUUACUUUAAGUUAAGAGAAGUAUGUCGGACAGAUAUAAGAUUAGCCCACUCACACGGGUAAUCGCCUCUAUUUACUGUGUGAUAAAUAGAGAUGAGACUGUUUUUAAGCUUAUUAUCUAGGUGAUAAUCGAGAGCUCAAGCUUAAAACACGUAUGUCACCUUAACUAAGUGUUAAGAUGGGGACAUAAUACUUACUAUGUCCGAAAGUAAAAUACCCCACAUAUUUUACUUUAUCUGUUUAAGAUGCCAAAUGUGAGUUCUGAUGAAUUUUGUAAAUGAGUAGAUACGUGAACUCAAGUUAGACAUUGGGUAUGUCUGAACUAUCAUCUGUACGGUAUUGAAAGGUGUAGACAUACGCUCCAUGGGAAAGGAGUUGAUACCGUAAUACGUAUUUCAUACUACGUAUGCAUGAGACGACUAAUAAGAGUGGCAAAAGUUUGAUCUCAACUUUUUUUUUAUGUCGUGUGAGACUCUUGAGGAAAAGAGUUCCUCAAUUUUUUAGUCCCCUCAUGACUCUUACUUAUUCUCAAGAUUUCUAUUUAGUGUUUGCUAUCUUAGGAUGUUGCCAAUGGUCAUGAGUUUCAUUCGAUCUAAUGGGGCAUUUCUAGAAAAGCAAGCUGAACUGAAAUUGAGAGUUUGAAGGAAAGAGGAAGAUCGAUUUUGGAGAAUCACAUUGUAGUUUUGUAUUCACCGGUUAACCAAUUAUGACUGUCUUUGGGAUAAUCAUAAUUGUGAAUACAAUAUAUAUAUAUAUAUAUAUAUAUAUAUAUAUAUAUCAUUGUUUAAAAGAGAUCAAGAGAGAUAUAAAUGUGAUCAAUCGAUCUAGGGAACUGCAUACUAAAUCUACUCGGAGUGUGAUGCCCAUUAUGAGCUGCUAUAUAUUCCUAACAGAUGUAUGGCAACGAGCUCUCAAAGUAUGCUAGUCGCACGGAUUAUUCACUGGUAUGAAUGUUGAAGAGAGGUAAAGAGAAUUCUGUUCGGCCCACCAUGUGCGAGUGGGAGAUGAUGGUUUUAAUUAGUGAUGGGCCUAAGUUGGCCCGUCCGCCCAUGCUGGGCCCAAAAGGCCCGGCCCACGGGAAUAGGGCCCGUGGAAGGGGAAGGUAUAAAAGGGAGGAGAGAGAGAGAGAGAAGACAACGCUUGGCUGAACGUACGUACGUUCUCUCCCUCGCUCGCUCUCCAAAAGGACAACAAGAACAGUAAGGCAAACGGCACGUUCUUCUUCCCUUUAAGGCGCCAUCGGAUCAAACAGGACCAGAAUUUCUUCUCGAUCUUCAGCAUUGGUGUCUAAUCUGUGGCUAACAAGAUACGCUUGAAUCCGUGGUGUGCUUUAUGAUCGGUGAUACGUGUUUUCCCGGGCUUCAUCUUCCGGAUUGAUUUAGGGGUUUGAUUGAGUGUCGAAUCCGGUUUUCGGGGAUCAGUCAUUCCCAACAGUUGACAACCUAAUUUGACCAAUAAACGCAGUACAUCUAUAUAGUAUCUGGAGAGCAGCUGUUGUUGCUAGCUAAGGAUUACAUCAAGUAUCUUUUUAGUGGAUGUUUGAGUGUUAGGUCAACCCGUGCGAUACCCCAGUGAGGAAGAUUUUACAACGAGCUAACAGAGAAGAAAGAGGUUGAUCAGUAUUGGUUAGUGUUGAAAAUUGAGAUCCAUUUUCUAAAACUAGCUAAUUUCUUCUAUUGUAAUCUAGAAGCUCCUAAGUAAAGGUUUUGGUAGUGGAAGUUGUGGUCUAACAAUGUCCAAGUUAAGAGAUGUUUGGAUGAAUGGCCGUGGACAGUUGUAAAGCAAAAAUAUCUCUGACAAAAGCAGGAAUCUUUCCUUGAAGAAUACGGUGGGUGGCUUUAUGAGUAAAGCAAGAACUAGUUUGUGUAAGGUGGUGGAAGCAUCAGAUAAACUCCAGCCACGUGAACAUCCCGUCCUACAAUUAUGUAACGCCACAUUUCUAUCAAAUAAAUAAACGAUAUUCUUGUCUCAUAAAUCUUUUUCUAUAUUCCUCAGAGUAUUCAUCCUUGUCCAUUCCCCUACAUCAACUAUACCAUAAACAUAUACAUUUACACAUACAAACAAAAAAAUAUCAUUGAUAUCAAAGUCAUUCUUCGGCACAAUCUCACAAUUUCCAACAGUUAGAGAAGGCGAUAAUUAAUAUCCCGACCUAGUGGGACGGUCCUGAGAAGUAGAGGCGCAGGGAGAGAAUAUAGACAAGAUUUGUCUUCCAGCUAUGAUAAUGACCUCUGAACAAUUCAUCUUCGUCUUCCCCAGUCAUUUUAGAUGGAACAGCGAUAUCAUUCCACGGUUCUAGUUUUGCAGUGAUCCGAAGCUUGAUCUUGGUAGACGAUGAGAAAGCUGUCUUGUGUAGUUGUUACACCAUCCGUCAUGGAAUUUUCGUGCAAAAUUUAACAAGAACAAGGUCAGAUGAAUGAAGGAUUGAAGUCUAUGUCAUUCUGUUUUGUUGCAGUAUGAAUGACUGAGUUCAAGUUGAUUCAAAGCGUUAGAGCAAUUGGGACUUGAUAGGCUGCUUCAUCGGGUGAGGACUUCUUCGUUCCAACUUUUUCUGUCCCUUUUGAUUCGUUUUCAUUUCUGCUAUUGAUUUCGUCAUUUUGAGCUUAGGUUGCUACCUAAUAGGCAGAAUUUUUGUAACAUUUGAUAUGAUAUGCAAAUACACAUUACUUGUGUAUAUCUCGAAAAUUCCCACAUUUAGACACUGCUUUAGGCUGGCUUCCAAAAAAAUGCCCUUCUAUUAAUCUUCCGAGCGUUAAAAACUACAAAUACAAACUAAAAAAGUCAGAUUGUGAGAGCAACUUCCGUUUGCUCUUUCUUUUGUUUUGCAUUGCAUAUUGGUCCUUCCCCUAUUUUUGCAUGCUGACAGCUAAUCAUAAACACCAAGUUGCUUCAAAGGUUAUGGUUGAAACAAGCAUAUACUGAAAUGUAGAGGCAAAAGAAAUUAUGUAGGUUCUCGAAACUCUGGUGGUUGACCGCAGGGACAUCACCCGAUCCCGGUAUGUUGAGCUUUUUGAUGGCAAUGAUUUGGCUGCUGGCCAGUUCAAUCCUGUAAACGCUCCCGAACCAGCCCUUCCGAUGCAGUACUUUUCACUGCAGUCAUUGGUAGCCUUGGCGAUGUCAUUGAAUGUGAACUUCCCUUCCCUUCCCCAUAUGAUCGACUUGGAUUGCUCUUGCUUCACAAGACUCUUGAUCUCUUCAUCGAAUUCCUUGUUUCGCCACCAAAGUGCCAGAAUCACAGCAAUUGAAAUCACCAGAAAUAGUAAGCAGCAGAUGCCCAGGGUCACACCAAAAAAAACCUUUUCCCUAUGGUCGGUCGAUUUACGCUCAUCCCACAAGGAGAUAAUCCGGUCGUGUUUCCACACAAACCUAGAUUCGCGAUUAAAGCACUUCCCUGUGCUUGUUGGGAGAGGCGACCACUACGAACCACACUAAUUGGCUUGUUGCACGAUAAGUCUGUUGAGCUUCAACUCCUCAUGUUGGUGAGAGGAGCUGGGAUCGUAACCGACAAUUUGUUAUGCAAAAGAUUGAGAUUUUCCAAUUCAGUGAACUUUGCUAAAUUGGAAGGAAUUGAUCCUGCUAGAGAAUCAUGGCUCAGGUUCUCCUCUGUAGCGUGAACAAGUUCCCCAGCUCUGGCGAUAUGACAUCCAACAUAUUGUUGUUGCUCAAGUUCAAGCUCAGUAAAUUCUUGCAAUUCGCUAGCUCUUCCGCUAUGCUACCGCUCAAUGCCUUCUCCCCGACAAAUCAAGAUAUUCUAGCUUCAAUAAGUUUCCUAACUAGGUGGGAAUAUCUCCAGCCAAAUGGUUGUAGCUCAAGUUCAGCCUAAUCAACGCCCCCAGACUUACCAAAUCAUCAGGAAUUUUCCUGGUCCAUUCAUUGCCAUAUGGAGUCAGAUCGUGCAAUUGAGACAAUUUAUUAAUCUCCGGCAAGAUGCGGCUGGGGAUUUUGUUACCAUCUAUCUGCAAAUUCGUGACAUUCGUGCACUCUCCCCAUUCUGCAGAGAGAUUCCCGACAAAUCGGUUGUUGCUGAGGACCUGAGGCUUAUAAAGUCCGGAUUCAGAUAAACUCCAAACGCACUCAUGACAUCUGCGGUGAACCGAUUGCUGUCCAGACGGACUCUCGUUAGCCCCGGACAAUUCCUAAGCAGUUGGGCAGCGGCUAGGUGAAGUUAUUCCCAUCGACCACGAGAUAUCAAAGAGCAAAGCCGCUGCAUAUAUCUGGCGGCAGCUCUCUGGUGAAGCUGUUGUUCGAAAAGUUAACAUUGCCCAGAGAAUGGCUGUACUUGCCAAAAUCACGGGGUAUGCCUCCCGAGAAAGUGUUCAUGAACAAAGAGAUGGACUGUAAGUGAUGCUACAUCAUGGCUUUUUCCUUCCCAGCCCUGAUCUCCUCUUCUUCAACUUGAAGUGCCUCCUUGGUGGUAUACUUGCUGGUCAUCUUGCAAACCGACCUUCAUCACUGACAGCCUCUCAAACUUGACCUCGUAAUCAAUCGACUCGAGUUUGUCCUCUAAUGUGUCACCUUCGAUUAUCGUCUACCUACACACGAAGUUCUCCUUGUCGAGCUCAUUGAUCCGGUGCUUCACAUUCUUGAAAUGACUAGCUGCAUUUGUGACCAAACAAGACUUACAUUAUGAAACUCCCGGCUUGACGAGUGUCUGUUGAGUGUUCGUACCUUCGGCGAUAUUAACUUGCUCGAUGCUCCCGGCUCCUCCGUUGCCUUGCACGAGCUCCACGCUCUUUAUGAACUGAGGCAGGAGCUUUGGGAUCAGGGAAUUCAACCCGACGAUCAAGGCCUUGAACAUGUGAGCUGGAGCAAUCGGGCACGUGAGCUCUUGUGUGAUGCUGGUUGCACCCAUGGCUAUUGGCAAUGAGAAAGAAAUAACCCCAGAGAAGUUCGUGCUUCUGAGUCCUGUCAAUGCCUCCUAUUUAUGGUUAGAAUUAUGCGAAUAGGUAGGCUUGGUUUGGCAAGAGUCACGUUUGAGGAAAAUAGAAGAGUCGAGGAUUCGCGGCCUAAAGAAAUAUAUAAUAAGAAUGUACUUUUCCUUAAUGAUUUUACUUAUUGCGGUUCAUGAAAAAUUGUGCCACCUUGAUAUGUUUCGAUGAUCGAUCCGGAUCGAGCGGGAUCGAUAGUCCAUAUUCGAAAUAUUAGGCCACAGUUUACCAUGAAUUCAUUUCACUCAUGUAUCCUCUCCAUGUAGCGCAGUUUACCAAAUGCCAUAAAAACCACUACACCAGAUUCCUGUCACAUCUUUCAUUCUCUUAUUCUCAGCAAAGACUGGAACAACAACAAUCACCAGCCCAACAUGCUUUAACUUCGAACACCAAGUGACUCAAACGCUUCUUGUCUUCUAUUUAGUUUUGCCCAACCGGACAAUAAAAGAUAGCGACGAGAUCGGCGCAACAGGCAUCAGCGUUUGCCACGACAGAAGCCUCUAUGGCCUUGACCAUCGCGUCCACCUUCUCUUUCCCGGCCUUGAUCUCCUCCUCGGUGAUAUUCACCUCGCCAAUGGUGAAGUACUUGCUCAUGCACUUCAACACCGAGCCUCCCUCGGGCGACGCGGUGAUCUUCACCUCGUAGCUGAUCUUCUCAAAGGCGGUGCCCAGCGCAUCACCCUCGAUGAUUGAGUAACAGUAGGUGAAGUUCUCCUUGUUCAAGGCCUAGACCUUGUGCUUUGCCGUCUUGUACCGACUGCCGAUCAGAGUAACAAAAAGUAACAUUCACAUUUAGAACUUGCCGGUUUCAACAUUGUGAGCACCGAUCUUGAUGGUGUAGAAUCGGCCAUUCAGGAAUUAGCCCCCAGCCACAAUCCAAUACUAUUAACUUAGACAUGGCCUGAUUUUGCCUUAUCGAAAUCAGGUCACAUGAUCACAUGUGUAAAUUUAAACAGUUAGAAACGUCUUAAUUAAUCAAGUCAUAUAUCUAUAUUUUUCAAUCAAGUCAUAUAUCUAUCAUUAAGGAAUUAGCCCCCAGCCACAAUCCAAUACUAUUGACUUAGACAUGGCCUGAUUUUGCCUGAUCGAAAUUGGGGCACAUGAUCACUUGUGUAAAUUUAAACAGUUAGAAACGUCUUAGUUACUAUCUAUCUUUUUUAAUGUCCAUUAUAGUGUUCCAUAAGGUUGAACCCGCCUUGAUUUGGAGCAAUCCUAAGUUCCUAAUAUGGAUGGACUAACCUUCGCAGAAAGUCAUCAACUUGAUGGUCCCGGGACCUCCAUCGCCCUUGAAGACUUCAAUGCUCUUGAUGUCUUGUGGGAGGACCUUGUUGAUGAGGUUAUCGGCGUCAAGGAGAGUGGCCUCAAACAUCUCGGCCGGAGGGAUUGGGGACGUAAGUGAUGACACCCAUGACUGGAUCCGAACAAAGGUGCAGAAACUGAGAAGAGGGUGAUGAUUAGGAAAGACUUAGUAGUGAUGAAUUUGGUCUCUAGGACUUGGGAGUGAAGGAAGGAGGCCGAAUUGAAGAAGACAUAUGUAGAGAGACUGAGUGUGAAGGGUUAUGAUUUCUGAAUAUUUUCUUCUUUCUCAGGUGGGUUUUGCAGAAAAUAAAUAAUUUAAAAAAUAUUUUCCUAAAAUUAAUCGUCAAAUUUGGAUAGUGUUUCCAAGCAAGAGUUAUUUGGUGAGUGUGCUGCAUAUUGUAAAUUGAUCUAAAUCCAUAUAGAACUCACAAGAAUUACAAGCCUAUAUCUCCUUAAUAUAAAUACGAUGAAAAAAUGCUACCUCAUUUCCGAAUUUUCGUCAAAAUUGUGCUAUAUAUACUAUGUUAAUCUAAAUUGCUAAAUUCAAUGGGCUCACGUGGGAUCCAUACAAAACUCACCAGAGUUAAAAGUUUUGAUUCCGCUUAAUAUGAAUACAGUGCACUUUCGUCAAAAUUGUGUUGUCUAUACUAAAUUGAUUUAAAUCACUAAAUCUGAUGGGUUCAUGUGAGACCCAUAUGGAACUUACUAGAAUUAAAAAUCCAAAUUCAGCUUAAUAUAAAUACAACCUAGCUCAUUUAUGAGUCUUCAUUAAAAGUGUGUUGUAUGUCCUACAUUGAUCUAAAUCGCUAAAUAUGAUGGGUUUGCGUGGGAUCCAUAUAGAACUUACUAGAAUUAAAAGUCCAAAUUCCCCUUGAUAUAAAUACGACACUACCUCAUCUCCAAGUCUUCGUCAAAAUUCUGCUAUAUGUACUAAGUCAAUCUAAAUCGCUAAAUUUGAUGGGUUCACGUGGGAUCCAUACGAAACUCACUGACAUUGAUUCCACUUAAAAUAAAUAUGAUGCUCUUUCAUUGAAAUUGCGUUGUAUGUACUAAAUUGAUUUAAAUCACUAAAUAAGAUGGGUUCAUGUGGGACUUAUAUGGAACUCACUGGAAUUAAAAGUCCAAAUUCCACUUAAUAUAAAUUUGACCCUAGCUUAUUUUCGAGUCUUCGUCAAAAGUGUAUUGUGGGUUCAAGUGAGAUCUAUAUGAAACUCAUUGGAAUUAAAACUCCAAAUUUCUCUUACUAUAAAUAUGAUGCUAUCUCAUUUCCGAGUUUUCAUCAAAAUUAUGUUGUAUAAGCUAAUAUACGGGUUUGUUUUAUUAUUAUGACUUUUGAGAUUCCCUUUCAUGGAUCAGUUUGAUAAAGAAUCGAAAUUUCCUUUUGACCCAAAAAAAAAAAAAGUUAAUCUAAAUCACUAAAUUUUAUGAGUUUACAUGAGACCCAUAUAAAACUCACUAAAAUUAAAAGUCUAGAAUCCACUAGAUAUAAAUACGAUGCUAGCUCAUUUCCAAAUCUCCAUCAAAUGCCUUUUUAUCAUCAUUUUGAAGCUUCUGAUCGCACCCCACUCUGUCACACGUGAAUUGGGAAUGAUUUUCGACGCCAAAGUCUUCGUUAAAUCUCAUAAAGAUUGAGCCAACGUGGAACAACAACUCAAUUGUAAGCAUCGGGGUUUUGCAAGAGAUGGGCUCCAAUGGCUUUCAACAUUCCCAUGGCCUUCUAUUUGCUAGCCUUGUUCUCGAACCUGUCCUUGGCGAAGUACUUGCUCGUGCUCUUGCACGUGCACCCUCUCUGUCUGGACUUGAUCUCGUUCGAGAUCUUCUCUAGCACGUCGCCCUCCACAAUGAUGUAAGCGUGCGGGAGCUUUCCUUGUCCAGCUUGUCGACUGGUGCUUCACCGAGUUGAACCGUGUAGCCGCGACACAGAAAACUGUAGUCAGCUCCCACGUUAGUCUUAUCUAAGAAUGUCAGGCAAAUAUGUUGACAUCACAUGUUGAUGUGUGAUCAAAAUGAGUGAAAUUAGAAGACGCGCAGGUACUCGCCUUCGCCGAAAACGAUGCGAUGGUGACGGGACCGCCGUCACCUUCAAGGGUGACAAAAUCCAGAUUGGCUUGUAGGAGGAGCUUGGGGAUGAGAUUUUUAUCAAGAUCAAAUGCCUUGAACAUUCGUGCAGGUGGGAUGGAAUGCGUCUUAGCCUAAGAUUUCCAAGUCCCAGGGCAAGAGAUGUGAGAUUAUGUUGAAAUGCCCUUUAAAUGAUUCUCAAUCUCCUCGUUUAGUAAUCUAAAUCAGCAUCACAAUGUUCUUAAAUAAUACAAUAAAAAAAGAGGACAAAAGGCAUGGAUCUCAAGCCCAAAUUAUACUUAUUAGCAUGCGAGAGACCUUUGAAUGCUGACACCCUUGAGGGUGGGAAUUCACUAAAUUAUAAUUUAAAUAUUCUAACGGCGCCAACGGCUCGGACAGGAAAGCUUGAGUACGUGCGGAUAAUUCUUGCGCAACGAAAUGCAUGGUAAGUCACGAAUCGAGACUCAUCCGCAUACACGCUAUUGCGACCAUGACCAUGAAUACCACUUCCUUGACCAGUUGGCCAGUCGGAGGAGGAAGAUGUGGGUUGAGCAUAUCCUAUAGUGGCACAUUUGAGUCUUUGAAUAAUGUCGACAUUUGUGUCAUUUGUAGGGAAGAGAGAAGAUUCCGGGAUGCUUCCUCAUCAUUCUCUAGCAUCGGUACUUUUACUGUUGACUCUGUUUCAUGAAAGAAGAAUGAAUCAAUGUUUUGAUCACAACCUCAAGUUGCCUACAAAUUCCAAAUUUUUGAGAUUCUGUUAAUACAUACCACUUUUCAAAAUCUGUACUUGCUCUUCCUAAAAGUCUUGUUAGAAGUAUUGGAUGAAUCCAAAUUCAAUAUGUCAAUUGAAGGUAUUUGAUCAACCCGAGACCAUAGGUACAGGGGGAAUGUACUGAUUAGAUUUGAUCAUGUAGCUUACCAGGAACCAUGUAGCCAUAAGAUCCAGCCACUGGGAUCCAAUUCGACGAAUCCGAAUUCAAGAGCCUCACUGUCCCAAAAACCAAAAGCCAAGGCUCGAAGUCCGACUCGAGCAAGAUGUUGUUCAACAUCAUGUUCCGAUGGACAAUAGGCAGUGAGCAAUUGUGAUGCAAGUAGGCGAUCACGGGAGCCACGCAUUGAACAAUCUUCACUCUCUUAACACAAGUCCAAUUCAACUGCUCCGCUUCCUCCAUGCAAGACCUUUGCCAAAGUUCACAAAAGAUUGGAUGAUGUCCCUGCGGUUAACCACCACUUUUUUUUACCAUGACGAUGUGGCCGCUGGCCUAUUCGGCCUUGUAAACGCUUCUGAAUCCACGUUUUCCGAUGCAGUACUCUCCAUUGAAGCCGUUGGUGGCCUUGGCAAUAUCGUUGAAUGCAAACUUCAUUCCCCUUUCCCAUAUGAUUUCACGUACUUCAUAAGAUUUCUUAUCUCUUCAUCGAGAUGCUUGUUUCACCGCCAAAGCACCAAAAUCAGAGCAAUAAGAGUCACGAGAAGUAGUAAGCAGCAAACGCAACAAUCACAUUAAUCAGAACCUUUCUCCGAUGGUCAGUCGAUUUACUGCUCGACCCACAUGGAGACAUUCCGUCGCGUUUCCUCACAAGCCCGGAUUUGCAAUAAAAGUACUUCCUAGUUAUUGUUGGAAGAGGCGACCACCAAGAACUGCGCCUGUCAACUUGUUGUACAAGAAGCCCAUGAAGCUUAAACUGCUCAUGCUGGUGAGAGUAGCUGGGAUCGUACCCAACAAAUCGUUAUGCAAAACGUUGAGAUUUUUCAAUUUAGUGAGCUUUGCUAAAUUGGAAGGAAUUGAUCCUACUAGUGAAUUGUGGCUCAGGUCUAGUGGUUCUGUAGCGUGAACGAGUUCCCCAGCUCUGGCGACAUGACACCCAACAGAUUGUUGUUGCUCAAGUUCAGGCUCAGUAAAUUCUCGCAAUUUGCUAAUGCUUUUGGUACGAUCCAUAGAGAAGGGAUGUACUUGCCGUAUUGUGGUUUAUGAAAGAUUGUGCCACAUUGAUAACUUUAGAUGUUAAUCCAAAUUCGAAAUAUCAGGCCAAAUUUUGGUAUUUUAUUGGCCAUUUGGCAUUUCAUUUGUAACUCAUGAAUUCUCUCCUCGUAAAAAAAUUACUAAAUUAGAGAAUUUCAUUCUACAAGCCUUGUAUAAACAUGUAGCAUAGUUUAUCAAAUUCCACAAAACCACUGCACCAGAUUCCUAUCACACCUUUUAUUCUCUUAUUCUCAGCAAAGACAAGAACAACAAUACUCACCAGCCCAACAUGCUUAGCUCCAAACAGAGUGACUCAAACUCUUCUUGUCUCCUUUUCAGUAUAGCACAACCACACAUAUUUAACGCAUUACGUAAACAAUACAAGAUAGCGAAAAGAUAGGCUCAGUAGGCAUCAGGGUUUGCCAAGAGAUAAGCCUCGAUGCCCUCGUACAUCGCGGACACCUUCUCUUUCCAGGUGUUGAUCUCCUCCGCGGUGAAGUAACUGUCCGUGCACUUCAACAUCGAGCCUCCCAAAGGCAACGCGUUGAUCUUCACCUCAUGGGUGAUCUUCUCGAAGGUGGUGCCCAGCAUUUCGCUCUCGAUGAUUGAGUAGCGGUAGGUGAAGUUCUCCUUGUCCAGGGCCUCGACCUUGUGCUUCGCUGUCUUGAACGGAUUGCCUAUCAAUGUAACAAAAAGUCACACUCACAUUUAGAACUCGCAGGUUUCAAUAUCACGAGCACCAAUCUUCAUGGUGUCCAUCAGGCCAUUUAGGAAUUAACCCAAUUGUUCCGACCGCAAUCCAAUACAAUUGACUUAGACAUAGCCUGACUUUGCCUGAUCAAAAUUGAGUCACAUAAUCACUUGUGUAAAGUUAAACGGUUAGAAACAUCUUAAGUAAUCGAGUCAUAUUUCUAUCUUUUUCCAUAUUCAUUUUAGUGUUCCAUAAGGUUGAACCUACCUUGAUUCAAAGCAAUCCUAAGUUCCUAAUACGGAUGGACUAACCUUCGGCAAAAGUCAUCAACUUGAUGGUCCCGGGACCUCCAUCGCCCUCGAGGACUUCAACGCUCUUGACGGCUUGUGGGAGGACCUUGGGGAGGAGGUUAUCGGCAUCGAGGAUAGCGGCCUUGAACAUCCUGGCCUGGGGAAUGGGGGAUGGGAUAUCGAAGUGAAAAGUGAUGACACCCAUGACCGGAUCUUACUAGAGUUGCUGAAACUGAGAAGGGGGUGAUGAUCUGGAAAGACUUGAGUAGUAGUGACGAAGUUGGUCUCUGGGACUUGGGAGUGAAGAGAAGAGGCUGAAUUGAAGUUGACAUAUAUAGAGAGAGGGAGAUUGAGUGUGAAGGGUUCUGAUCACUGCAUAUUUUUUUCUUACUAAGAUGCAUUAUAUUUUGCGGAAAAUAAAUAAUUUAGAAAAUAUUUUCCUAAAAAUAAUCACUAAAUUUAGAUAGUGUUCUGAGCAUAAGUUAUUUGGUGAGUGUGCUGCAUGUUCUAAAAUGAUCUAAAUUGCUAAUUUAAUGGGCUCACUAGAAUUAAAAGUCUAGAUUCCCCUUAAUAUAAAUACGACACUACCUCAUUUUCAAGUCUUCAUCAAAAUUGUGUUGUAUAUAAAUAUGACCCUAGCUCAUCUCCGAGUCUUUAUCAAAUGUGUGUUGUAUGUCCUAAAUUGAUCUAAAUCUCUAAAUCUAACAGGUUCACGUGGGAUAAAUGUGGAACUCACUAAUUAAAAGUCUAGAUUCUCCUUGAUCUAAAUACAAUGCUAUGUCAUUUCGAAGUUUUCGUCAAAAUUGUGUUGUAUAUACUAAGUUAAUCUAAAUCGCUAAAUUUGAUGGGUUCAUGUGGGAUCCAUAGGAAACUCACUGAAUUAAAAGUUUAGGUCAACUUAAUACAAAUACAGUUUUCUUUCAUCAAAGUUAUGCCGUAUGUACUAAAUUAACCCAAAUUGCUAAAUCUGAUGGGUUCAUGUGGGACCUAUAUAAAACUCACUCGAAUUAAAAGUCAAGAUUCUCCUUGAUAUAAAUACGAUGCUAUGUCAUUUCAAAGUUUUCGUCAAAAUUGUGUUGUAUAUACUAAGUUAAUCUAAAUUGCUAAAUUUGAUGGGUUCAUGUGGGAUCCAUAGGAAACUCACUAAAUUAAAAGUUCAGGUCAACUUAAUAUAAAUACGGUUUUCUUUCAUCAAAAUUAUGCCGUAUGUACUAAAUUAACCCAAAUUGCUAAAUAUGAUGGGUUCAUGUGGGACCUAUAUGAAACUCACUCGAAUUAAAAGUCAAGAUUCUCCUUGAUAUAAAUACGAUACUAUGUCAUUUCUAAGUUUUCGUCAAAAUUGUGUUGUAUAUAAAUAUGACCCAAGCUCAUUUCCGAGUCUUUAUCAAACGUGUGUUGUAUGUCCUAAAUUGGUCUAAAUCACUAAAUCUAAUAGGUUCACGUGGGAUCCAUGUGGAACUCACUCAAAUUAAAAGUCUAGAUUCUCCUUGAUAUAAAUACGAUGCUAUGUCAUUUCUAAGUUUUUGUCAAAAUUGUUUUGUAUAUAAAUAUGACCCUAGCUCAUCUCCUAGUCUUUAUCGAACGUGUGUUGUAUGUCCUAAAUUGAUCUAAAUCGCUAAAUCUAACAGGUUCACGUGGGAUCCAUGUGGAACUCACUUGAAUUAAAAGUCUAGAUUCUCCUUGAUAUAAAUACAAUGCUAUGUCAUUUCUAAGUUUUCGUCAAAAUUGUAUUUUGUAUAUAAUAAGUUAAUCUAAAUCGCUAAAUUUGAUGGGUUCAUGUGGGAUCCAUAGGAAACUUACUAAAGUUAAAAGUUCAAAUCAGCUUAAUAUAAAUAUAGUGCUCUUUCAUCAAAUUACGUCGUAUGUACUAAAUAACCCAAAUCGCUAAAUCUGAUGGGUUCAUGUGGGACCUAUAUAAAACUCGCUGGAAUUAAAAGUCUAGAUUCUACUAAAUAAAAAUUAGGCCCUAACUCAUUUCCGAGUCUUUGUCAAAAGUGUGUUGUAUGUCCUAAAUUGAUCUAAAUUGCCAAAUCUGAUGAGUUCACAUAGGAUCCAUAUUGAAUUCACUAGAAUUAAAAGUCCAAAUUCCACUUAAUAUAAAUAUGACGCUAGCUCAUUUCUGUUUCUUCAUCAAAAUUGUGGUAUAUGUACUAAGUUAAUCUAUAUCGCUAUAUUUGAUAGGUUCAUGUGGAACCCAUAUGAACCUCACUAAAAUAAAACGUCCAAAAUCGAUUAAAUAUAUACACUACUUUAACUCAUUUCUAAGUCUCCAUCAGGCGCCUUUUUCUCAUCUCUUUGAAGCUUCCGAUCUCGUGCCAUUCCGUCACAUGUGAAUCGCGAAUGAUUUUCCACGCCAAAGUCUUUGUUAAAUCUCAAGACUUAAAAAUACGAAUGUGAAGUAACAACUGCGUGUCAAAUGCAGAAAAUUCAUAUGUGAAAAAGUUGACCGUCCCUUCUUGAGUCAACUGUUCUCUUCCUCGAUAUGCUUUUCUGAUCUGGCCUCACAGAUAGAUGGGCAAAGCGGCGCAUUCAUAUCUAUAAUCUCGCGGCAGUUUCAACUCUGUUAAAAGAAUGCCGAGAUCUUUACAAGAUGUUUGACAAGUGUCUUUGAUGACAGCAUGCAGCAUAUCUACCGCUUCAAAACAUAGUUACGGUUCAGUCUCGAUUGUUAUUUUUCUUGAAAGAGACACGAAUGAAGACAUAAAUUAUCGUGGGAGAUAGAAAGAUCCAGCCAACAUGUAACGACAACUCAAUCGUAAGCAUCAGUGUUUUUGCAAGAGAUGGGCUUCUAUGGCUUUCAACAUUCCCAUGGCCUUCUCUUUGCUGGCCUUGUUCUCGACCCGGUCCACGGCGAAGUACUUGCUCAUGCUCUUGGCCAUACACCCUCUCUGUCUGGACCCGCCUCAAACUUGAUCUCGUUCGGGAUCUUCUCUAGCGCGUUGCCCUGGACGAUGGCGUACGCAUGCGCGAGCUUUCCUUGUCCAGCUUCUCGACUGGUGCUCCACCGAGUUGAACUGUCUAGCUGCGAGACACAGACAACUGCAGUCAGCUCCCACGUUAGCCUCAACAAAGAAUGUCGGCAAAUGUCCUCUUUGACAUCACAUGUUAAUGCGACGCAAUCAAAAUAAAUUAAAAUAGAAGACAGCGCAAGCACUGGCCUUCGCCAAGGAUGGCGCCGGGACCCCCAUCACCUUCAGGGAUGACAAAAUCCUUAAAGGCUUGUGGGAGGAGCUUGGGGAUGAGAUCAUCGUCAGGAAGAACGGCCUUCUUGCAGGUGGGAUGGAAUCGUCUUCACCUAAGAGUUCCAAGUCCCACGGCAAGAGAUCUGUGAUAUUAUGUUGAAAAUGCCCUCUAAAUGAUUCUCAAUCGCCUCGUUUAGUAAUCUAACUCAACAUCACAUUGGUCUAAAUCAUAUAAUAAAGAAAGAGGACAAACGGCAUGGAUCUCAAGCCCAAAUGAUACUUGUUAGCAUGCGAGAGAUCUUUGAAUGCUGACAACCUUGAGGGAGUCACUAAAUUAUUAUUAAAAUAUUAUAAUAGAACCCAAUGGCUUAGACAAGCAAGCUUGAGUGCAUGUGGAUAAUUCUUGCUUGAUGAAAUGCAUGGUAGGUCGCGAAUCGAGACUCGUCCCCAUGCACAUCCACUCCCUCGGCUAGUUGGCCGGUCGGAGGAGGAAGCCGUGGGUCGAGCACAUCCUUCAAUAGCACAUUUUAGUCUUUCAAUAAUGUCGACGUUUGUGUCAUUUGUAGGGAAGAAAGAACAUUCAAUGGAUGCUUCCCAUCAUUCUCUAGUGUCACUACUUUUACUGCUGACUGUGUUUCUUGAAAGAAGAACUAGCCAGGGUUUUGCUCACAACGUCAAGUUGUCCACAAAUUCCAAAUUUCUGUGAUACUUUAAAACAAACCACUUUUCAUAAUCUAUACUUACUCUUCCUAAAAGUAUUGUUAGAUUUAUUGAAUGAAUCCAAAUUCGAUUUGUCCAUUAACCGCGGAGUUACUACUAAUUUUAUUUUUCAAGAAGAAGAAUGAAUCAAAGUCAUGAUCAUAAUGUCAAGUUGUACCCAAAUUCCAAAUUUGAACGACACUCUUAACACAAACUACUUUUCAAAACCGGUACUUGCAAGAAUCCUAAAAGUCCCGUUAGAAUUAUUUAAAUGCAAAUUAUCGAUCUGAGACCAUUUGUACCUGCGAAAUGUUCGAUUAGAUUCCAUCAUCUAACUUACCAGCAACCAUGUAGCCAUAAGAUCCAGCCUCAAAUAAGGCCGGAAACUCGCAUGAACCGGAAAGCAGCAGCCCAGUCCGGCGAGCCCGAAACAGGGCAUGGGCAAAAAAAAGCGCGGUCGGCCGAGAGUCCCUACCCAGCUCGCGGCGUCGGACGGCGGACGAGCUCGAUAGAUCGGGCUAUGCCCGUCCGCCUCGCUCGUCUCCUAGCCGGGAUCCUCGGGAAGCCGACCCCGAAUCGGGAAAAACCAAGACCGCCCGAAGGGGUACCUACCAUGGCCUCGAAGUGGACAAGGAGCGGCGGCGGAUCAUCAGUUUUGGUUCGGAAGUGGAGCCCAACAGCAGCUCUCUCAGUCGCGUCCUCGGAUCCGAAUCCCUCUCGCCUCGUACUUGACCCCCUCCGAUUUCUCCCUCCUCCCCCCGACCUCUGGCCUUCGAUUUAUAGGCUGAGAAGGCCGGUCGGCGGAGGCGCUUCGGCCGCCGGUCCUUCGCGCGCCGACCGGCCCCCCUUGGCUGAACCAGCAUCACAUCACCCGUCGCCUCCAGCGCCGCCUGCUCUGCUUUGCGCCUGCUCUGCUCUGCUCUGCUUCUACUUCUGAUUCCGUCCUCGCUGGCGUGAGGAAGAAGCGGGAAGGAGGAAGGAGGAAGGAGGGGCCGGGCCGGGGUGAGAAGCACAAGCAGAGUGGGCCCUGGGCCCACUCGGGGAACAAAGGAGAAAAGAGGGGGGCUAAGGCGAAGGCCCAGCCGCCGUGGGCCCUUUUUUUAUAAAUAAUAUUAAAUAGGGCUAAAUAAGAGAAAAUAAAAUGCAAAUGAUAUUUAUGCUUAUAUGAUGUGAAAAUCGUUUUUAUUAGUGUCAAAUUGAUUCCAAAUUUUUUAUAUAAUUUUAAUUAUAGAUAUUUAGUCAAAAUUUAAGUAUCAAUAAAUAUAAAUCUCAAACUGCAAGAGUAAAAAUAAAAAAAGAAAAGAAUUAAAGAAGAGACAAGUGCGGUUGCACCUUUAUCCCAUCAUGUGACUGAAAUUGUUUAAGAAAGUAAAAAAAAUUGGGAUAAGUGCAUUAGAAAUCUUAAAAAUUAUCAUGAAAAUGCAAUUGAGUCAUAAAACUUUCAAAAAGUGCAAUUAAGUCCUAAAAAUUGGUACGAAAGUUCAAUCAAAUCCUAAAACUUUCAAAAGAUUCAAUAAAAUCUAAAAACUUGUUUCGAAAGUACAACCGAAUCCUAAAACUUUCAAAAAUGCAAUCAAUUGAAGGACUUAGAUUGAACCACUUUAAUAAGUUUUAGGACCUGAUUGUAUUUUUUGAAAUUUUUAGGACUUAAUUGCAUUUUAUAACAAGUUUUAUGACUUAAUUACCUUUUUUAAAAGUUUUAGAACUUAAUUACAUUUUCAUGACAAAUUUUAGGACUUCAAAUGUACUUAUCCCUAAAAAAUUCAAUGAACAUCACAUGCUCUAGCUUUAAUUGAAUUAUUGGGGGAGGGGGGUUAUUUUUUCCCUAUAAAAAGAACUCGCCACACGACGAUAAUUGGGGGUUUUAAUUUUUUUGGAGGACCUCGAAGGGAUUUUAUUUUCUCUCCCAGUUUCUAGGUGAAGAAAUUCAAGAAAAAGAGAGAAAAAUUCCCCUUCGUUGAAGGGAAAGUCAACCAAAGGGUUUUUCCCUUGUGGUUUUUUCCUUUUGCUGAAAGUACAAGGGCAGUAGAAUUGAGAAAAUAUUGGGUACCUUAAAAAUGCCAUGUAAUUUGUGCUCUGAACCAUUUAAAGUGUGACAUAUGUUUGUGUGUCAAUCCAUGUCGUCCCACUUCUCGAUUUCAAACCAACGCACGGGAGGUUCUCUCUCUGCUCUCUCAAGCAUAAGCCCUGGCCCACCUCUUUGCAUGCUCUAACGCUCUCUUUCCUUUGCUCUCCUUUGCAGAUCAUCUCUCUCCUCUUUCUCCUCUCUGUCUCUCUCCUCAUUCUCUGUUCCGUUGCGAGGAGAACAAAAUUGUGGAGGGUUAAAGGAAAACAUAAAAGUUGAGCCCCUCCGCCUCCACUAGUUGCUUCCAUCGCCUCCCUCUCACGACAUUUGCUCUGCUCUGCUCUGCUCUCUCUCCCCUCCAUGAAGUCGUGCCUCUCUUCCAGCGAAAUGUGACGCCGAUGGUCCUCCACCUCCACCUCCACCGGUUGCCUCCAUCGCCCUUGACUCCGACGCCGAUGCCCCUCCGCCUCCCUCUCACAACCUCUACUCCACUCUCUCCCUCUUUCCUCUACGGAGCGCCCUUAUUGGCCAACCCUGAUGCCGACGAACCCCUGCUCACGUUUUGGCCUCCCUCUCAGCGAGUGAAGGUCGCUUGCUCUUUCUGUCUUUCCUCUGUGAAGCACCCCCCAUUCCUGAACGUGGACGCCGCUGACACCGAUGCCGUCGCCUUCCUAAGCCCCACCGAUAGCCACCCCACUGGCGAUUCCCGUACGUCCAAAGGUUCUUUUUUCUUUUCUUUUCUUUUUGGAUUCUACUUGGUAGAAUUCGGUAACAUGUUUAAGUUUAUAGAUACAUUUGCAUUAGGUACUGCUUUAUCUUACUUGUUGCUGACUUGCUGUGUUAUUCAGAUAGUGAAGAUUGGAAGAAAGUGAAACGGUGGUAUCUUUUGAGAUUGUUUGCAUAUAGUCCUCCUAAGGGAUUAGAGGCUUCUGAGCCUAAAUUGGUCACUCCAUGCUUUUAUUUUCUCCCAAAAUCACAUGUCUGUUGGAGAAGUUGAUCCUUGCGUGCUUCUGAAUAGUCAUUUGCGUUGCAAUUCCAAAGGUGUAACUCAGUUGUGAAGGAUAAGAUCAAAAUAUCUCUCUAAGAUCUACCUUCUUGGUCCACUGAUCUAUUAGAAAUAGGUAGUUUACUUAGGCAAAUUCAUUGCAGCUUGGGCUGUUUAAACCAACAAGUACCUCUUAUUUUGUUCAUGUGCCAACGAGAGAUAUGGUGGGACAUCCUCACAAGCAUGGAGCCAGAAGCUUAUCUCUCUGUUUGCUUUGCGAGAGAGCCAUUGAAAAUUGCAGGUUUCUUGUGUUUAGCUGAAUUUGACAUACAGAGACUAACCAAAUUUGUGAAGAUGACUAAUUUCACGUUGUUGUUUUUUUAAGCAUAAACAAAGGUUUGAUUUGAUGUUUAUGGUUUUAUCCUAAUUCCACUUAUUUAGAAUCUCUUGGAUAUUGGACAGGGUUAGACUUUCUUGCUUUAUCUCGUCAUAGUAGAUGCCAUGCACUGGAUUAUAUUAUUUAGCAUGCGCCGUUUCUCUGUAAUUAGAGCUGCCUUUUGUUCAUGCUAAACUUUUGAACAACUGCUUUGCCUUACCUAUAUGAACUACAGAUCCUGAUAGACCUAAGAAUGACAAGGGAACCAUUCUUACGGACACAAUCCAGGUGCUGAAGGAUUUAAACACGGAAGUUAACAAAUUGAAAGCUGAAUGUGCAGCUCUUACUGAAGAAUCUCGUGAGGUGAUCACUUAGUUGGCAUUUGCUUAGCUCUUCUCACCGCAUCGGCUUGCUCGCGAAGGAAAAUGUUAUGAAAGGAAAAUGCAAAUCAUGCUCUUGGGCUGUCUCUAUUCUUUUAAGCUUUUAAAGCAUUUGUCUUCGUAGUUUGUCCUCUUCAAACAAGUUCUUAACAUCUACAUCUACAUAAACAGAGUAUCCUAGAAGCAUCCAUUUCAUGAUCAGCAUUCCAUGCUAAAUGCAAAUCAAGUGGUGCAAUUCUCAGCAACCCAACAUCAGGGGAACCAACUAUAACAAGUAAAUUCUCUAGGCUAUGCCACAAAUGAGCACGCGACUUCACCUGUGUCCACAAUUAUUGGUAUCAACGGAGCCGCCGCGCAGACCGACCUCGCAGUCACUGCCAUUUCCGGCGGCCUGAAGACAUUCAGAAGAAACGGCUCAAAGAUUCGAACUUUAGCAUUCGAAACUCACAUACCCACUUCACAUGCAAAAGCGGGGAAUCGCAACCGGGCAUCAGGACGACGCCCUGAUCCUCUAUCAGCCGGUGCACGCGCGUCUGCCGCGUCGUCAUCCUGACCGUCGGGGAAGAAUGAGAAGUGAGAUGGGGCAUGUUUGUUGCCGAGCGCAGCUUGAGGACAAAUCAGUGAGAAAAGUGUCGGAAGAACAUUGAAGUUGUUGACAAAGGUGGAGUGUGAAGAGUUGUUGUCUCGUGGGACAGAAUACCCAUGAGAGAGAGAGAGAGAGAGAGAGAGAGAGAGAGAGAGAGAGAAGAGAAUCAAGACCCGUGAAGCACAGACAAAAAGUAAUAGAGCUUGUACACAAAUCAAUAAUGUAAAUGAAAAUCAUGAGGGAUGGAUGAUAGCAAGGGGAAAAAGCCUAUGAUGUAAUGCUUAAUGCUUGAUCAUAUAGCACAUGGUGAUGCUAACACGUUGUCAAUUUGUUUUUUGGAUUGCAUAUAUGGCAUUCGGAACGCUCAAAGGCAAAGAAUGCAAAAUCAUUUAAUUCAAGUGCAUCAGGUUCCGUAUAAAAAGGCACCUGACGUUGUAUCUAAAGUUUUUUUAGGAGGAAGACAUAAUUCCAACAAGAAAAUAAUUAUCGCAUUUGCAUGAAGCGUGUCUAAUCAUUCAGCCAAUUAUCAUACCAUCAUGAUUGAGGAUUCACAAGAUUCUUUGCUGUAUUUAGAACUUCGCCGCAUUUGUAAUCUCGUGCAAUUAAUAAAGGAGAGCAUUCUUCUUCCAACAACCAUGACAUAAUUGAUUGGAACAUAUGCCUGAAACUUGAACAAUGAGGGCACAUUCAUUACUUUUUUAAGGGUUUAGCUCCAGCAGCCAUGACAUAAUUGAUUGGAGCUCAGAUUUUGCAUCCAAACUAUCUUGCGACUUUUGACCUGCCAUGAGGCAUAAGCCAGGUUGUACUCCUGCAUGAGUCACUCGCAUCGUGUAGUAGUGAUGCCCUGGUGGUUAUUAGAUAAAAAGAGUCUCCAGAGAUGCUGUCGUCAAGAGGUAACGAAUCAGUGUACCGAUGGAGAUGCGAGCUAGCAUACGCUUUUGGGUGUUCCCAUCAUCAUUGACCGGAGCAAAAAAAGGCGAAUUCCUACAUUCGCUAUUCUAUUGGCCAUGAUUCAACGCGAUGAUGAAUGGCUCUUUAAACCAAGAAGCGUCACCCUAAAUAAUAUGAUCAAUUUAUCUUCGUUAAUGGCUGCUCAGCAUACAUCUCUAAAUCCUUCACAGAAAAAGCAGGUGCAUUGCUCAUCUCUGAGAGAGACUGAAAAAUGUUUACACUUGAUUCAUUUGCGAUGCCAAAAAAAUUGGGAAAAGAGAAGGCCUUACAAGUAAAAAAGCAUUGCCCAUUCUGUAAUAGAACAAACCCUUCAUGAAUGCUGUCACCAGCGACCUCCUCGAUCAGCACGGCAUCCGAUAUCUCUCUCACAUCAUCCUCCGCAAGAUGGGGUUCACUUCACGUGAGACGAAAUCGGCUUCUCCUUUCUUCACCGCCUUGUCAGCAGCUUCCAUUAUUAUGUGUCCCAAGCUCGCUCCGAGAGAGAAAGAGAGAGAGAGAGAGAGAGAGGGAAAGGGUCAGGAAAGGGGGAGGAAGUUAUGAAGGUAUGGAGGAAGGCAGGAGGGGAGGGGAGAUGGGCAAAGAUGGUGGAGAGUGUGGCCUGCCCAGAUACGCGCAGAAAGAAAGAGAGAGAUGGUCAGCUGCAACCAAAACGGCAAAAAAAGACCACGAUCUAUUAACCCCUUGCGGAACAUAAACAAAUCAGCGAGUAGGAAAACGGGGUCGCAAUCCCCGGAGAAAGAUCUCAUUCAAGACAGACCGACGGGCAAGAAAAAGGGGUCGCGGUCCUCGAAGGGAGAUCUCCACCAGGUCAAAUCGCACCUCGUGCUUCUGUUCGGGUCGCCAUCGCGUCCCUUGAUGGCCAAGGUCUGUUGCUGCUGGUUCUGCUUACUCUGAGCGAGCUUCUCGCUUGGGUCGUUGCUAAUGAGGAAGGAAGACGAAGGAAGGAAUCCCCGGAGGGAGAUCUCCGCCAGGCCGAAUUGCACCCGGUGCUUCCGCUUAGGGUCACCAUCGCGUUCCUUGAUGGCCGGGGCCCGUUGCUGCUGAAUCUGAGCAAGCUUCUUGCUUGGGUCGUCGCCGAUGAGGGAGGAAGACGAAGGAAAGAACGUGAGGGGAGAGAGAGAGCCCUUGAAAAUUGAAAAGAGGAAAGAGGUUUUUGUUGAGCGGGAGUGCGAAGGAAAGAACGUGAGGAGAGAGAGCGCCCUUGAAAAUUGAAAAAAGGAGAGGUUUUUCUUGAGCAGGAGUGCGCUUUUACUGUUCUGUCUUUUCUCCGUGCGUUCCCCAGAGGAGAGAGAGGGGAAGAAGGCUAUGGGUCCCAUGUGGACACGUGUUGCGCUCCCACCAUCUUCUUGUUUGCCUAGAGCGUAAGACGAACGCAAUAUUAUUCUCUCACCUCUCACGUCUCCAAAAAGGAGAGGAAGCAGAGGCAGCCAGCCCCGAGCGUCGACGCCGUUGUUUCUGCUCCGCCCCCCAGCCGCGACGCUUCCGCCUGCCGGUCUCCGCUGCACCGGUUGCCACAGUCGCUCCUCCAGCAACCCGCAGGCCACCCUCACGCCGUUCACCGCGCCGGCUACCACCGCUCGUCUCCCCGCGAAGCCACCGUUCCCUUGCCGAUCGCUGUUGUUGACCCGCGAUACCCCUGCUCGACUCCAUACGUCGCUCUGCCGGCCAACGCUGCUCCGCGCCCCCGAAGUCGCGACGCCGCCUCUGCCGGCCCCGCCUCUGUCCAGAUCUUCCGUGCCGGAACGCGACCCCGAGUCAUCGCGCGUCCGCGCGUCGCCACUGCUGCAAUCCGACACCAGAAGCCGCCUCUCCCGCGCCUGAGCGACCUGCAGCACCCAACGUCCCCCUCUCCUCUGCUGCUCGUGCCGCGUAACCAACAGGGUUACCCCUCGCCCGCGAGCUCGCACCGCCGCCCCGCCGUGCCGAUCCGCGACGAUCUGACGCCUCCGCGUUGCUGCUUCUGGCCACGUCUCCGCCAGCCACUGCCGUGCACCAUCGCCGACCUGCAGCUUCUACCCGAGCCCUCUGCCGCCAGCCUCCGCCUUCGAUCGACGCAGUUGCAGCCCAACGCCAGAAGCAGCAGCUCCCUGCUCCGUCGUACCUCAGUCACUGUUCUGCCUCGCCGUUCCCGUUCCACCCCAGCCGCGACGCAGCCUCUGCCGGACCGACGCCUGCUGCCCUGCCUCCUGCACCAGCGCCGACGCCCGAGCUCUAUCGCCGGGACUGCCGUCGCACCUCCCCGCCGCCGGUCUCCUCGCACACCGUGCCAGCGCUAGCCCGCCGAGCCGGUCCGCCUGCACGCCGGCUGCCGCCCUUCGCCGGAGCUCCGACCGCCGGCAGCUCCACCGCCCUUGGCCGCGCACCACCACAGCUGCCGAGCCUUGUUUGGAAAAAAAAGAAAAAAUCAAAUUAGGUAGGUUUAUUUUAUUUUAUUAGGUUGAUUUAUUUUAUCUUAUUUUAUUUUUUGAAAUAUUUCUCCAUGCAUAAUUAAAAUUCCCGGCAUACCACCUAAUUCGUAUAAAGUUUUAGAUGGGAUAAUUGAUUGAUAUCUUGAUGUUUAAGGUUUAAGAUCAAUUUAUUAAUUUUAUUAGCAAAAUAAUCAGGUUUAAUUAGAUAUCGUUUUUAAAUUCGAAUGAUGGAUAAUAUCUUUGAUGCCAUGGAUGAUUCGUUGUUUAUUUUUUUUAAUUGCUUUGUUUAUUGCAAAAAAAUACAAAAAAAAAAAUUUGUAUUUUGCAUAUCAUGUGGAUUAGAAUUGUUUUCUUAGAUAGAAUUGCAUGGUAGAAUAGUUAGAUUCUUUUCUAGUUAUAUUAAAAUGCUUGUAGUAUCUAGGUUAGAUAAUAUUUUUUGGAUUAAAUUACAUGACGAGAUAAUUUUCUAAGUUAAGAUAGGAUUCAAAUUGGUCUAUUCUUAACUUAAAAUAGAUAAUAUCUCACUUUAGUUAGAUUUUAUAUUUUAGUACUUUUAAUUACGAAUUUUUAUUUAAAAAAAUGCCAAAAAAAAAUCAUACGCAUAUCAUAUAGAAUUAGGUUCAUGAAAUGCACAUCAUUUAGUGUUUGUUGCUAGGUUCAUUUAAUUAGAAAUUAACCAUCAUUAGAAUUAAAUCAUUUGGUUAAUUUAGAUUGCACAUUUAAUUAUUGCAUUUUUUUAAUUUCGAAUUCAUGAGAAAAAUCCAAAAAAAUUGUCUUUGAAUAAAUUAAUUUCAUUUUCUAGGAUAGAUUGCAUGCUCAUUAAGCAAACACAAAAUAUUUCACGUCAUAUAGUUUAGGUCAUGUUUCCAUGUUAUAUCAUUUAAUGUUAGAUUAGUGGCAUGUAUUGCAUAAAUAAUUCUCAUUAAAUAAGUAAGAACAAAAAAAAAUUAAUUGCGUGUUAAUUAGAAAUCAUAUGUAGAACUGUCGAUGUGAAUUCUAAUCUAACCUUGCAAAUGCUUUUGAUGCCAUGAGAUAAGUCCUGAAAUUUAUUCAUUGCUUUAUCUGGGUAUUAAAUUAAUGGUUUGCACACUCGCAUGAUCAUUGAGAUAAAUUAAAAUCAAUUCAAGCUACUUGCCAAAUAUUUUUUCAAAAUAAAAGAAAAAUGUACCGAAAUUGCAUUAAAGAAAUCUAACGUAAUCAAGUCUCCGAACUCAUAAUCUCUAGUUUACAGAAGUAAAGUAAAUCUCCUAUUACUUUACUUGGAAUUCUAAUUGACUCAUCGAAAAUAGAUUAGUGACAACUCCUAAUUAAAAUUUGCAUAUUAAGAACUUGAACUUAAGUAGCGAAUUAGUAUGGGCUAGGGAGAGCCCGAGCUAUGUUUAGGCUUAGUAAUCUAUUAGCCAAAUCCUAGGUAGUGCAUCUGAAAUUUUGGUCGCGACAAAUGUCGUCAAUCAACUAUGAGAUGCCGAUGUCAAUGGAGAAGUUACUGAUAUUAAUGGUUGUCAAUGCCGAUAUUCCAGAAUUGAUACCGAUGAUUUUGUUUGGUGAAUUGAUACCGUUGACUGUUCGAUGCUCGAGUUAAUUAGAUUCUUUAUUGUAGCAUUGUUUUUGAGAAGUCUGUUCGUAUUUUUAUUUCAUGACUGUUCAUGUUUCUAAGUGUAAUCAAUGUUUUGUAAGUUCUUAGGAUUUUAUCACCUCAGAACAUUAGCUAUAUUUAUUAGUCAUUAGUUUAAGAGUUAUGUGUGAAGCAUAUAAAAGUGGAGGCCUGUAAUUGUUUUCAAUAAGGUGAAGAAAAGGUGAAAUAAACAAGAAGGAUAUAUGUCUCCUUCUCUUCUCUGUGUUGUGUUAGUGGGUGUUUCAGCUUUAAAUUAUCCCAUCAAGAUGUAGUCUGUAUUUGUCUUUUACAAAAACUCGAAAUUUUCUAGUUUUGAUGCCAUAUGAAAUUAUGAAGGAGCACUAUUAGCUAUUAUAGAAGUUUAGAUAAUUAGAUGGAUGCAUUAUUCAAGACUUAAUUGAUAUAACGUCUCUUUCACGACCUAUGUUCCUUUUCAACAGCUAGAUUACUUGCACAGCUUGGGAUCAAUGGAAGGAGAGCUAUCUAUAGAAGUGGAGGAUGGUGGAAUGAACAACUUGAUCGAAAUCUGGAGAGGUCGACGGGAGAUAAUGAAGAAUGCAUUGGCGGCUUCCGCGGGGGGACAAGAUCCGGCAAAAGCUUACGAAUAUGCUCGAAAACUGGCGCGUGUCAUCGAAGGCGGCAAGGUUGACGAGUUCCUUUCCAAGAUCAAUGUAAAUGAUCCAUUGUUGCGGGACAUCGAUUGGUCUGCCGUUUUAAAUUCCCGAUCUGAAGGCAACGAAUCACUGCUCCACAUGGCAGCAGCAAUCGAGAACGACGACAUCCUAAGGCUUCUGGUUGAUUAUGUUGGUGACCACCUCAUAACCGCCCAAGAUGAUCGGGGAAAUACCCCACUCCACUGGGUCGCUCGGUAUGGGGGAUCUACUGGAGCUGCAGAGAUGUUGAUUCACCGGGCAAGAGGCCUCCCCAACGUCGAGGACAAGAACCUCCUAUUGAGGAUGAAGAACAAAUGGGGAAACACCGCUUUGCACAUAGCCGUGCACGAAGGUCACGCCAACUUGGUGCGCUAUUUGUUGAGCGAAGAUUUGGAGCCCGUGUACUGGAAGAACGCGAAUGAGAAAUCUCCCCUGUACCUAGCCCUCGAGACUUACGACUCCGCUGUACAUGAGGCUUUAUUUUCACACUCGUUGGAACCAUCAAGGAUAGAAGGCUUGCCGCCCAUUCAUGGUGCCAUUAUACGUUCACGACACGGUACGUACCUAAAUCUAUUUACGUGGAAAUAUAUUUAUCUAUUUCUGGACUGACUCAUCCCAAAUCUGUGCAAUAACUUUUUGCUCUUACAAAAACCCCUUACCGGUUUUUACUUAAAAUUCCCUACCCUGCUUGUUAAAGUGGUUGGAUACCCAUCGGUUUAGCCGCAUUAUAAACGAAUUAUUCACAUUAGAGCAUAAUAGAUCGGCUUAAAUAUUACAAAUACAACCAUUUCACUAGAAACUCAUGUGUUGUCGAUCUUUGAUUAGAAAAGCUAUAAAGUGCAAAUAUUUAAGAUUGAUGACCAUGAAAAUCUGGAAUCUAACAAUGACGCUGUGUGCCAUGAACCAAAAUGAACAAAUGAAAGUUUAGGGCAUGAAUUAUAAACUGGUAGCAAACCUGUAGGCUGCGCAGGCGUGAUUUUUUCAUUGGAAAAAAAGGAGGUGAAGAUUCCAUCACUCUCAGCAAAUUGAUGGAACAUCGUAAACCAUUAAUUUGUUUGUGACAAACAAUCAAUAGGUUUUUAAGAAAUUAAGAAAAGUGGAUCUAAAUAAAGAAAUAUAUUUUUUAUUUUUUAUUUUUAAAUUAAUACAGUUAUCAUAAUCUUUGCAGAAAAAGCUGAUACGGUAGUGUAGCCUAUAUUACCUUGACCAUUAAAAAUAUUGAGAUAAAAUUCAUCAGACACAUGAUAAUCAAUUAUGUGAAAUUUUUUGGCUGCUAAUGCCACGUAUCCCAAGUUUACUACUUGAAGUGCAGCUAACGUUCAUUGAUCAUCAGAUUGGUAGAUGGCAUUUAGGUGUUACAGUCAUAUCGAAUAGAGAGAAUUGUCCAAAAAGUUAUAAAUGUGUCAAUUGUGUCAAUUUAACCUCUAUUUUAGUCCUAAACUUUUUAAGGAUUUACCAACUUAGUCCCUUCUAAACAAUUUCUAUUGGAAAUCGCUAACAUGGCGGUCUAGUCAAAGCUAGCCAUCCUACGUGAUGUUGAUCGCUUAUGUGGCUUUUUUACAAAAUAUUUUUUAAUUUUUUGCAUUUUUUCCUUUUCUUUUUUUUUAAUCCUUUUUUCCCUCUACCAGCCUCAGGCGAGGGCUACCCUCUAACCCUUGCAUAGAGCAACCCUUGCCCUUGCUCGACCUCCAUUAGGUGUCAACUAUGGAUGGUUAGAGAAGAGAAAAAGGAAAAAAAAAAAGAAAUUAGAAAAAGAAAAGGAUAAAGGUGGGCCCGGCGGAUCCUAGGUCACCAAAAAAAUAAAAGACAAAGGAAAUGAAAGGAAAAAGGAAAAAAAUUGCAAAAAUUAUCCGCAUUAGCAUUGGCUAUGCCAUGUAGGAUAUUCAGUACUACUAGACCACUAUGCCUAUGAUUUUCAACAAAAUUGGCUAGAAUGACUAAAAUGACAUAUCGUUAAAAUGUUUAUGAUUGAAUUGGCAAGUUAUUAAAAUUGUUAUGACUAAAUUGACACAACUGAAAGAUUUAAGACUAAAUUAAUCAUUAUACAAUAUAUUCAAAACUUUUUGGACAAUUUUCCCUAUCAAGUAUAAUUACAACCCUAGAUGCAGUAACUUUAUUUUUAUCCUGUCCCAAUUUAUUAAUCCGAGCACAUGUUAUUAUUUACAUUGCACGACGUAACAUGUUUGAGGCUCUCUUUUUGAACUGAACAUGCAAAACAAUUUCAAAUAGACAUAAAGUGAAAAUGCGUAACAAUGUAUUGUGUGAUGCAAAUAUUAAAUUAGCAUACCCAAUAAACGUAUGUGUCUAAACUUACGUUGCACUCAUUGAAUAGAUUAUAGAAGUCGACCUGCACACAUAACGUUCAUAAUCCAUUUAUAAAUGGCUUAACUUAUUUGUGAUAACACAAUUAAACCUAAUGCUACCAUAUUUAACCACGUUCCAUGUAGUGAACAUGCAUGUAGAAGGGCUGUUUCAUAGUUUGUCAGCUCAUAAUUCUAAUAAGCACUUUAGAAACUUUACAAAAGAUCCCAUUGAAAUUGGAUUUACUAUAUAUUUCUUAUUCUUACUGUCCAAUAUAUAAAAAUCCUUUUAUGAAGUACUACUGAUUGAAAUCUCGUAAUAAUAGUUCAGUUUGUUCUUCAUUGAAUGUAAAAGUAGAUGACAUUGUGGAAUGAAUCGAGCGUUGACAUGGGCUUUUGUAGAUAGGUACUUUAAUUAGGUUAUCAUGAUAGGCACUUUUUUUAAGGUUCAUAUCAAUUAAAUAAGGUAAGGUUAUUUCUUUAAAUCUAGUAAUAUUCUUUCACUUGGGAAAAUUAUCCAAAAAGUCCUAAGUCUAUUGCACUUUUGCCAAUUCAAUCACAAAUCAUUCAAUUUUGUCAAUUCAAUACUAAACAUUUUCACUUUUUGCCGAUUGAGUGUAUCCGGCUAAUUUUGACUAGAAUUUAUUGACAGGGAUAAUUUUUAAUAAUAAUUUAAUUCCUUUUGAAAUUUUUUGUACUUUUUUUCUUUUAUCUUUCUUUCUUCCCCCCUUUCUUCUUCCUUUCAUCGGUGGCUAGCUACCAACCACCGGUGAUGGCUAGCUACCGGCCAUGGCUGGGUGAGUUGACCUUGCUCGCCGUAAGUGAUGCCUAGCCAGGCAAGGCCAGGCCCUAGCAAGGGUUGGCCUCACCUAGGUUAGGCAAGACAGCCUCCUAGGUUAGGCAAGACCAACCCUUGCCCAAACUAGGCGAGAUCGCCUAGGCGAGGGUGAGCCCCCUUGUUCGGCCACAUCUUACCCGAGGCAUGUGAGGCUAGCUGGCUCGGCCAUAGUCGGUGGCUGGCACAAAAGGAAGAAGAAAGGAAAAAAGAAAAUGAAAAAAUAUUUUUAAAAAUUGUUUACAUUAGUGCCGACCAUCUUACAAGAAACCGCUAGUGUCCACGUCAGCGAAUUCCUAUCAAAAUUGGUUGGAUUGACUCAAUUAAUAAGAAGUAAACAUGUUUACGACUGAAUUGGCAUAAGUGCAAUAGAUUUAGAAUUUUUUGGACAAUUUUCACUCUUUCACUAAUGUAUCUAGAAUGUAACCGGUUACCCAUAUUGAAAUUUGUGGCCUGAAUUGCUUCGUCAAUUUCAAGAAUGACGGCAUCUGUCAUGCGAAUAGAAUAAAGGUGAAAUUCUUAAUUCAUGUUAUAUAUUAAUGUAAAAUAUAGGGGGCUCGACGACAAUUAGAAAAUUCCUAAUUAUCGUUGUUAGAUGACUCAUGAAAUUUGUAUAUGUACUUAACAAUAUUAUUAGAGUAUAUUUUAUAGGAAGUAUUAUAGAAAUGUAAGAACUUUCAAUAAUUGCUCAUUUGCAGUUUUUGAAACUCAUUAGAACUAAUUUCAAUAAAACUAAUGCCUCUUUUGUUGAACAAAAGUCAUGGUAUAAGAGGCAAACAUAAAUCCUAAUUUGAAGCAAAAUAAAAGGAAAGUGGAAGAAAAACACUCUUUGUGAGGAAAAUAAUCAAUCCCUUACAAAUUAGAGCCCUAUAAAUCACUUUUAGAGACAAUUCUUAAAGAAAAAAUCAUUAUUUAUUUAUGUAGAUGUUACAACGGUCUAGAUUAAUUUGCAAAGUUCACUGAACUUUUAUUAGUAUUAUGGAUGUAAUUUUUCUGGUGGUAAAAUGAGACUCCUUUUGUUUUGUGUUGUGUCAUCACAGCUUAAAUAUGUGGUCGUUAUAGCUAGGAUAUAUAUGACUCCAUGCAAUGCACAUAUAAGAUAGAACAUAUAAUGUGAUUUUUUGAGUAAAAAUAUUUUCCCAGAAUCACUAAAAUUUCACAAAAUAUAUUUGGUCCAUUCACAAGAUAUAAUGGGAUUGAGUAGCACAAUCCCCAAGGAUGAGGUUAUCUCUAAAGCACUCUCGCCUGUCUUUGAAGUCCAAUGGCCACCCACAAUCCUCAAACACCGUUGGAAUAUUCUCAAACAAUUGAAACACCUCUCUCGCAUUAUUGAACCUCUUUACUAGCACCUCUGAAUUUUCAUAGUUGGGGCCAAAAUAAAUUUUCUUUUGGUGGAGCCUUUCCUUUCUGUAAUUUGUGAUUUAUAAGCUCUACUAUCUUAGAAAUAGAUUCUGGUCACAAAUUACUUAGAUUUUACUCACAAGUUUUGGUAAAUACAUAAUCUCUUAAUUGAGCUGAAUAAGUGCCAUAUACCUUUACGAAGAAGAUGACGUUCAAUCUAGAGAGGGUGGAACAACUUUAAGGGGGAUUUCGAUACGGUGCUGUGGAGGCUAUUGCAAUGUUCUCGACAAUUAAAUAAGUUUGCUUGAUACUUGCUAGAAUUCGACGGACAUAAUAUGAAAAGAUCAUUUUCCUUUUCUUGAUCUUGCCUUAGCCUGCAUUACGCCUGCCGACUGUAUAAAUAAUUCAUGGCGUGGAAAUGCCAUAUAAAUUGCUAUGUCAUUUAGUAAGAUUUUUACAGUGAAAUCUUAAGCACCUGUCGAUGUCAUUAACUAGUUUUGGUAUUGCAAUCUAAUCUGUUAUUGUCGACUAUCAAUACUAGUAGUGAUUAAGGCACGUCAAAGAUGUCCUUACUCCAAAAUGGUUUUAAAUAUAUUGAGACCAACCAAGCUCCAACCAUCCUAAUUUGGAGCUCCUGAUCCCAGAUUUAUUCGACCUGAUGCUCAAGAAAAACAUGGAGCUAUUUGCAAUGACCGACUCCAACGGGGGCAAUGUAUUCCACUUAGCAGCUCACCUGAAUCACGCCUGGGUAUUCGAAUUCUUACGACCAGAAACUGAAUAUUUGACCCGAGAACCGGACAUGAAUGGAGAUCUCCCCAUUCAUAUUGCAAGCAAGAUGGGUUAUGUUGAACAUAUUGAGAAGCUAAGGGAAGUAUCACUUUUGCCAAAUGGGCAAGGGAAAAACAUUCUUCAUAUUGCCGCAAAAUAUGGUAGAGUCUCCGUAGUGAGAUAUAUACUCAGCCAUCCAAUUCUAGGGAAGAAUCCAAUUCUAGGGAAGAUGUUAAAUGCAGCAGAUGAUGAUGGAAAUACAGCUUUGCACUUGGCUGCGAUGCAUUCACAGCCCGCUGCUUUGAUUGAUCUUUUGCGGACUGACGGAAUUCUACCAAGCAUUUUCAACAAUGAAUGCUUGCUUGCUGUUGACAUUGCUCGACGACGACACCAGGCAGAGGGGUAUAACAUUCGGCAUGUAGGUAACAUGAACAGUCACUAUUUUAUUUAUUAACUUACUGGAGAUUACGUAGACUAAUGCAUUAGUUAAGGCUGAUCUUGUAUUCAAAUCAUUAUGUCUCCUAGCCAACUAGAUAGUAGAAGUAUUGAUCAAAUUUCUAGAAUAGCCGAGACUCCUCUCGGAUAAAUGUUCUACAAGUCCCUAAUUUAGUCUUGAUAGGAGGUAAUUAAAAUUUGUGAUCAUGAAUUUCUCUGCAGUUAGAAACAAGUAACGUGUCUUUCAUAACACGGAGAUAACAAUUUAUAUAUAUCGUUUAAUUGAGCCUCUGAAUACAGUCAUGAAUAAAAAGGCAGGGUUUGCCAAGGUUGCAUUCUGUUUUUCAUAAAAGGCCAGGGGUCAAUGUGACAAAUUUGACCGCUCCAUAUGUAGCACAAUCUCAUAACAUUAUCAUUUUGUCGACCUAUGAAAUGAUCGCCCACAUAAAUUCCAUUCAUGCCUCUUUUUUCAUCUAAAAUGAACUUGGUAGUUUUGUGCUAAUUCUUCAAAAAGAGCAGAAACUGCAUCUUUAGAAGCAAACGUUUCCAGAGUUCAUUCCCGUUAUCAAUAUGGAAUAAUUUUGUUCUUAUUUUCCUUUUUACAUGCUUCCGAUCUCAGCAAUUGGCAUACCUGGCGUUGGCUUGCUCGCUCGCGGGAAAAGGUCCACUUGGAAACCAAGAGUUACUCCUACUUAGAGCGAAAGCUCGAGAUGAAGAGUUAUCAGUAGUCCGCUCGCGCAAAAGCAUGCCGAGCAGGGACAUCGUCAAGGAUUACAUCAAUUCCCGCAUGGUGGUGGCAACGCUUGUGGCCACAGUGAGUUUUGCAGCUGGUUUUGCAGUUCCUGGAGGAUUUAACGGCUCGGACACAGCCUCCAAAGAUGAGCGGGGCAUGGCUACGAUGCUGGACAAUCGAAUGUUCCAGGCUUUCGCGAUUUGCAACACCAUCGCGAUGUUCUGCUCAAUGACUGUGGUCGUCAACCUCAUCUGGGCGCAGACAGUUGAUGUCGACGUUUUAGUCGCUGCAUUCGAGCGCACAACGCUACCACUACAAAUUGCACUCCCGGCGAUGUCCACCGCUUUCUUAACUGGUGUCACCUUGACCGCUGGCAAACUCCCAUGGCUUGCUAACACCAUAUUUUAUUUGGGACUCGUUUUCCUCCUCAUUAUCUCAUUUGCUAAAUUGUUAGGGGGGCCUAUCUUCUUAGAAAUCUUCGGUCAUCCUCUCCGUCGACUAACAUUCUGGCUUAUUCUCGCUUACAUUUAUUUGGGGAGAGUUGAGACGUACAUUUAUGAUGACGAUGACGCCAAAGAUAACAGAAGGGAGAAGAAGACCUUCGCUAGUCCGCCUGUGGAUGUUGCCGGUGAAUCGAGGACCGAUGACUCGGCGAAAGCAAAAUGUGAGGAUGCGUUACAUCCUCCAAGUCGCUGAUUUGAAUUGAUCAUUCCAUAUUAUCUGUAAUAUGUAGUAAUAAUAUAUGUUUUCCUUGGUGAGUGGGACUCACUAUACGGUUGCUUUCCUUUAUGUCAGAUCAAACGUGAUUGUUAAUGAAUGUAAGCUAAACCAUGUGUUUCUCUAAUAACUUAACUUAUUAGAAUUGUUGGAUAUAAUUCCAUCAAAUUUCAUAUGUUAUUAAAGCAGAGGUUCUAAGUUCAAACAUUUUCAGGUCCUAUUUGCUUCAUCUAUUAUAUGUUUUCAUGUUUCAUUCUUAGAUCAAGUCAAGCUUACGAGUGAAGAUGAGUAUAAAAGUAUUUGUAUUAAAGUAUUUGAAUUAAACAUCCCAUUUGUCUAAUAAUUUAAAUUUUUAGAACGAGUAAUUGUAGUUCCCCGAAAUUUCAAACCGAUACACACUUCAUGUAAAUUAAAUGGAUGAAUGGCUCAUUUCAUCCGUUUCAUCGCCCUGGAAUCAAAUUGUUAACUUUGAACAUGUGGAAGCUCGUGGGUUUAUGAAAUCACUCGUCUAGAGUAGCCAUGUCCGAUUUACUUUGAACUAGUCCAAUUUGCGGCAAUCUCGAGUCACGAAAUCCUAAGCACUCACUUACCUGUCUAGUAAGGGUGUGCAAAAUAUCCGAAAACCGCUCGGACUGCUCGGAACCAAACCGAAAUCGCCAAGUACCGGUGGUUCUUGAGGGAACCGGUCCAGUUCCUGGUUCCAAUUUAUGGGAACCGGUGGGUACCAGUCCAGUUCUUGGUUCCAUUGGCGGAUCCGCCCGCCCACCCACCCGGACCAGAUCGGAACCUUUUUAAUAUUUAAAAAAAAAAUUACUAAAAGAAACCCUAGAUCUCAUCUCACUCCCUUCAUCUUCGGCUCCUAAUCCUAUUGUCAUUUCGCUGCGUUUACUUCUCUCGCUGUUCGCAUCUCCACGUACUUAAAUUUGAUUUUUCUUUCUUUGGCUUGCUUUGAUGUCACGUAGUCCUUCUAUGUUGAAAAUCAAAAUUGUUUCGCGUCAAGAUCAGUUCCAUGGAUCCACUCGGGAAUCGGACCGCUCCGGUCAGGUUCCUGGAUGGAUCCAUGCAACAAACGAGUGGAUCCUGGUAUCAAUUUUUGGGAACCGGUUCUUAGCGAGUGGUUCCCAGUUCUAGAUCAGGAACCGCCCACCCAAACCAUGCACACCCCUACUGUCUGGUGUGCAAAGAAAAUAAUUCUCAAAUUCUCAUCGCCUACUCUCUGAGUCGAGAGUUGGGUGAAGAAAACCGGAACAAAAUAAUUCUCUUCACUACUCACAAAAAAAUAGAAUCAAACACCGAACUCAUUUCCAAUGACACCCCUUUCAUUUCCCCACUUCUCCCUCCUAGGCGCACAAUUUCUGUGCAUGCAAAUGAGUUUUGGUGUUUGAUUCGUGGCGGGGUAUAAUCUAGUGAGCAGCGGGCAGAAGUCAAGUCAAGGGACGAGAUAAAAAGGAGUUGCAAUACGCAACCCAAGGAGAAUUGUGGAAAAGUCUGGAUAUGUGAUUUUCCUCCUCCGAUCUCUGAUUUUUAUUUCAAAGCUAGUUGGUAUUGACACGUAGAAUAUAACUCUAAAGUGAUUCUGGACCUAUCUAUUCAACAGUGAAUGUAGAUAAUUACAAAAAAUAAAAAGGAUCCCCUUGUACGAAUGUCUAUUGAGUUAUAAACUAUUAAAAUUAGCCGAUUUAAUUUUAAACAUCUUGACGAUUUGUUAAUAUAGUCAUUUCAAUCAACUUUGACCGAAAAUCGUUGACGUAGACGCUAGCCAUCCUAUGGCACAUGACUAGUAUUGAGGUGGACAAUUUUUGUAAUUUAAAAAAAAAAAUUCUCAAUUUUUUUUUUUUUUUUCAUGUUUUCAUUUUCUUCAUUUUCUUUUCUUAUAUUUUCCUUUUUUCUUUUUCUUAUUCCCCUAUGCAGCCAUUGGCCGGUCCAUGGCUUCAAUGAUUGAUAGUAAGGGCCCAGAUGCCCUCGCCAACUGGCAAGGGCUGAUGGAUUUGCUAGGGCCACGUACUAAUGGAGGGAUAAAGGAAGGAAAAAAAAAGUUUUGAAAAAAUUGUAAAAAUUAUUCACAUUAGCAUCGGCACCUAGAUCUGGGCGAGGCCAAUCUCGUCAUGGCUUGGCCUAGAUCUGGGUGAAGCCGCCUCGCACACAGUCCUUAGGCCUCGCUCAUGGCCGACGAGACUUGUCAAAGAAGCAAAAGAAUAAAGAAGAGAAAAAAAUAAAAGGAAAAAUAAAAAUAUAUAUAUAUCAAAAAAAUUAUUAAAAAUUGCCACGUUAGCGUUGACCAAAUGGCCAGUGUCCACAUCAGCGCUAGCCAAUCAAAAUUGAUCGAAUAGAUUGAAUUGACAUAAUCACGAAAAGUUUAGAACUAAAUUGGCACAAUUAUAAUGGAUUUAUAACUUUUUUUUGGUAAUUCUACCAAUUUAUUUGUUAUCUCCAUCUUUAGAUUGCGACAUGUGUCCAUCCAAUUUUAGUCCUCACUGCACCUCAUCUAAAUACCAUCAAACCUUAGCAGCGAGGAUGGUACUUGGAGAUCUAUGCAAAUAUUUAUAUAUAAAAAUUACAUUGAGAUAGUAGAGUGUGCUCACCAUCAUCAUAUCAUCAUCCAUCAAGUCGAUUCCACAUAAUGAUCUAUUUGUCACUUUCAACAUCCUGGGACCGACCCAAAAAAACAUCCUAGGGAUUAAAUGUUUCAAUUAAUUACGGUAGGAUAGAAGUAUUUUUCAUCAAGAACGGACAUUCAAGAAGUCUUGCUAGAUUGAUAGAUUGAUGUUGCAAAUGGUUCUCUUCUCAAGUAGCAUGAAAAAUUAUGCUACUCAAAUGUAGAGCCUCCUUUUUUCUAUUUUUUCAGCAGAUCUUCCAAAUCAAAUUACAGGGUUACAACUUUGAAAACUCACAGUACAAGUACAAAAAAUACCAAAUCAAUCAUCUAUUGACUUCUCGAUGCUCAUUAAAUCUGAUUCACAAAAUAGGUUGGGACCCAUUUUGCUAGCCCUACUAAAAUCUAAACAUUUUAUUAAAUUAAGGAUUUAUACAGCAUCCUAGUUCACAAAGAUGUGUUGCUGUUGACAAAUCGACAUUGAUUGAUUUUCAUGAACUCGUCGUCAUAUUGUCGACAUUCCCAUUAUAUACGAGCAAAGAGCGAACUUUGAUUUUUGAGCAUCAAGAGAUAAGACAGACUUAAAUAGAAUGCCAAAUAGCCCAAGUGUCACGUCCAAACCCCAAACACUUUUUUUUUUAACCCCAAACACAUUCAACUAUUGUUUUUUUUUUUUUUUUCCUUAUAACUUUCUUCAAAUAAUAUAAGAAUGUACUUUAUGGUUAAUGAUCAUAUAUAUCGCGGUUUAUGAAAGACUGUGCCACAUCGAUAGUUUUAGAUGUUAGUCCAAAUUCGAAAUACCAGGCUGAUGUUCGAGAUUUUAUUGGCCAUUCGGCAUUUCAUUUAUUACUCAUGAAGUCUAUCAUUGCAUGAAAUUUACUGAAAAUUAGAGAAUCUCACAAUACCAACAAAACAUCAAGUUUAUUCAACUUUUUUACCCUUGAUACACUCCACAUGUAGCCCAAUUUACAAAAUUCCACAAAAACCACUGCUUAGCAAAGACGAACAACAGCACCCAUCGGCCCAACAUGCUUUGCUCCAAGCAUAGAGUGACUCGAACUCGUCUUGUCUCCUUUUCAGUUUACCACAACCAGACAUAUUUAAUACAGUACCGUGAACAAGACAAGAUAGCGAUGAGAUCGGCUCAAUAGGCAUCAGGGUUUGCCAAGAGAUAAGCCUCGAUGGCCUUGAACAUCGCGGACGCCUUCUCUUUCCCAGCCUUGAUCUUCUCCUCAGUUAUGUCCGCCUCGCCAAUGGUGAAGUACUUGCUCGUGCUCUUGCACACCGAGCCUCCCUCGGCCGAUGUGGUGAUCUUCACCCCGUAGCUGAUCUUCUCGAAGGUGGUGCCCAGUGCGUCGCCCUCGAUGAUCGAGUAGCUGUAGGUGAAGUUCUCCUUGUCCAGGGCCUCGACCUUGUGCUUCAUUGUCUUGUACUGACUGCCUAUCAAGGUAACAAAAAGUAAUAUUCACGUUUGGAACUCGCUGGUUUCAACAUCACGGGCAAUGAUCUUGAUGGUGUCAAUUGGGCCAUUUAGGAUGUUCCAACUGCAAUCUGAUACGAUUGACUUAGACAUGGCCUGAUUUCCCUCGAUUGGAGUCAAGUCACGUGAUCACUUGUGUAAAGUUAUUCCCAUUGACCGCGAGAUAUCCAAGAGCAAAGUCGCUGCAUAUAUCUUGCAGCAUUUCUCCGAUGAAGCUGUUGUUCGAAAAGGUAACGAUCCCCAGAGAAGGGCUGUACUUGCCGAAAUCACGUGUUAUGCCUCCCGAGAAAUUGUUCUUGAACAAUGAGAUGGACCAUAAGUUAGCAAGGCGAGAGAUGGUCUCACAAGAAAAUAUUGUGUACACAAGCGAUGCUACGUCAUGGCUUUUCCUUCCCAGCCUAGAUCUGCUCUUCUUCAACCUGAAGUGCCUUCUUGCUGUUGUCCUUGCUCGUCAUCCUGCAGACUGACCCUCCGUCGCUGGUGGCCUCAAACUUGACCUCGUAAUCGAUCGACUGGAGCUUGUCACCCAGCGUGUCGCCCUCGAUCAUCAUGUUCCUACACAUGAAGUUCUACUUGUCGAGCUCAUCGAUCUGGUGCUCACAUGAAGUUCUACUCGUUGAGCUCAUCGAUCUGGUGCUUCACAUACUUGAAAUGACUAGCUGCAAUUACAUUAUGAAACUCCCUGCUCGAUGAGUGUUGAGUGUCCAUGCCUUCGGUGAAAUUUAACUUGCUCAAUGCUCCCGGCUCCACCGUCGCCUUGCACCAGCUCCACGCUCUUUAUGAACUGAGGCAGGAGCUUCGGGAUCAGGGUAUUUGACUCGACAAUCAAGGCCUUAAGAAUGCGAGCCAGAGCAAUCGGGCAUGUGAGCUCUUGUGUGAAGCUGGUUGCACCCAUGGCUAUUGGCAAUGAGAAAGAAAUAACCCCAGAGAAGAGUGCUUCUGAGUCCUGUCAAUGCCUCCUAAUUACGGUUGGAAUUAUGUCAAUAGGUAGGGUUGGUUUGGCAAGAGUCACGCUCGAGGAAAAAAGGAGAGUCAAGGAUUUGCAGCCUAAAGGAAUGGAAAAGAGGAAUAAAGGUGGUCUCUUUUGUUCUUUUGGUCAUGAAAAUGAUUUCGGUCCCUUUCGGAUUCAUGUUGAAAUGUCAAAGUUUAUGUUCCAAAAGAUGAACAUUCUAGUGCUCACAUGGGCGGCCAUCCCUUUGAAAUGAUUGUUGUGGAGUUCGAUCUAACAAUUUGCCGAUUAAAUAUUAUAACGAAAAUGUCCUUGUUUGAAGAAAAGUGUAUUAAUCAAAUUCUGUCUCAUUUAAUAUGUAGCAAACGAGAAUACUUUAUUAGUUGGUGAUAUCACGUUAACUUGUCGCGCAAUAUAAACAUCACAUAAUAUAUUUCUUCAUUUGUAAUGCCCUAAUGUCACGGUGGAUCUAAUUCAAAUGUAUGAAGUAAGGCCUUUUGAAAUCAUUUUCGUAACUUAGGGUUGAUUCAAACUUCACUAGCACCGACAGUUUGACUCAGUCAAAAUUGGGUCGGCAAUCGGGGUGUCCCAAGAUCAGCUCGUCGUCUAAGUUUUGGGGGAGGUGGAGGCUGCGGCUUUUCCGUUAUAUUUUGCUUCUCUUUCUCUUUUUUAUCAUUAUCAGUGUUGAAGCAUUUGAUCUCUAAUCCAAUGUCCCCAUCAAAGAUGUCCCCAUCAAAGAGGUAAGAUAGGAUUAGCUUAAAUAGAAUUUCAAAUAGCCCAAGCGUUACAAUAAGAUAAGUCCAAAACCUGAACACUUUAACUUUAUUUUUCGAUAGCGUUCUUGACAUAUAAUAAGAAUGUGCUUUUCUUUAAUGAUCAUAUGCAUAACAAUCUCUGAAAGAUUCUACCACAUCCAUAGUUUUAAGUGUUAAUCCAAAUUCAAAACAUAAGUUUGGAUUUAUUCAUUUGUUACUCAUGAAUUCUAUUCUUUUAUGAAAUUUAUUGAAAAUUAGAGAAUCUCAUGAUACCAACAAAAUAUCAAGCUUAUUCAACUUUUAUUCCCUUGAUACGCUAUUUAUGUAGCACAAUUUACAAAAUUCCACAAAAACCACUUCACCAGAUUCCUGCCACACCUUUCAUUCUCUUAUUCUCAGCAAAUACAAGAACAGCUACGCUCACCAGCCCCCACAAACUUUACUCCAAACACAAGAGUGACCCAAACUCUUCUUCUCUCCUUGUGAAUUUAGCACAACCAGACAUAUUUCACACAGUACAGUGAACAAUCCAAGAUAGCGAUGAGAUCUACUCAACAGGCAUCAGGGUUUGCCAAGAGAUGAGCCUCGAUGGCCUUGAACAUCUCGGACGCCUUCUCUUUCCCGGCCUUGAUCUUCUCCUCAGUGAUCUCCACCUCGCCGAUGGUGAAGUACUUGCUCGUGUUCUUGCACACCGAGCCUCCCUCGGGCGAUGCGGUGAUCUUCACCUCGUUGCUGAUCUUCUCGAAGCUGGUGCCCAGCAUGUCGCCCUCGAUGAUCGAGUAGCAGUAGGUGAAGUUCUCCUUAUCCAGGGCCUCGACUUUUUGCUUCAUUGUCUUGUACUGACUGCCUAUCAAAGUAAGAAAAAAUAAUAUUCACGUUUAGAACUCGCCAGUUUCAACAUCACGAGCAACGAUCUCGAUGGUGUCGAUCGGGCCUUUUAGGUUGUUCCAACUGCAAUCUGAUACGAUUGACUUAGUAGACAUGGCCUGAUUUCCCUCGAUUGGAGUCAAGUCACGUGAUCACUUGUGUAAAUCAAUGGUUAGAAACAUCUUUAAUUGAUCAAGUUACAUAUCUAUCCUUUUUAAUGUUCAUUAUGAUGUUCCAUAAGGUUGAAACAGCCUUGAUCCAGAGCGAUCCUAACACGGACGGACUAACCUUCGCCGAAAGUGAUCAACUUGACGGUCCCGGGACCUCCGUCGCCCUCGAGGACUUCGACGCUCUUGAUAGCUUGCGGGAGCACCUUCAGGAUGAGGUUAUCGGCGUCGAGGACAGCGGCCUUGAACAUCUUGGCCGGAGGGAUUGGGGUCGUGAUCUCGCAGUCGUAACUGACGACACCCAUGAUUUGGAUCCGAAUGGAGUUGCCGAAAUAGAGAAGAGAGUGAUCAGGAAAGGCUGACUAGCAGUGAUGAAGUUGGUCUCUAGGACUUGGGAGUGAGGAGAAGAGGAUGAACCGAAGCUGACAUAUAUAGAGAGAUCGAGUGUGAAGGGUUCUGGUCAUUGGAUAUUUCCUUCAAGUGUGUUUGUUUGGUACAAAAUAAAAAAUUCAAUAACUAUUUGUAUCAUAUGGUAUAUUUAUUUGAUGAUAAAUUUUUGCAUUAUUGACAGUAAUUUAUAUUUAAAUAUUUUCGUGGAAGAUGAAAAUAUUUUUAUUUAUUCUUUUUGUAAGUUAUACGGAAAAAAUAUUUUUUUACAAAACAAAUGAAGCUUAAUAAAAAAAAUCUUAAUCAGUCUGUGGGUUGUUCACUCAUGACAUGGACCUUGAUCAUAAAAUAAAAUGUCUAUAUGAUAAUGGAAUAUUAGUCAGAGAAGGCACCAUCCUAGAAUGAUACCAAACGUUCUUCCAUUUCCCUUUCAUGUAUAGACUUGACUUUUGAUCCAGGAGCAUUUGCUCAGCAAAUUCUCUUGGCUGAGCUUCACUGAUUUCUUACAUAGUGUUACUAUCAUAGAAAAUAUCAAGCCCUUAGCUGCAUAUGGUCACGAUCCACCCAGAUCUCAUCCUACUUUGCUUCAAUCCGUUCGCAAAAGUAGCAAUCUUUAAGGUUGGUAGAGGCCUCGGGAAGAAUUAUCAUCGAUUUCAUACGUACAAAUAAUAUUCGCUUAAGCCUGUGCAGUAGAAAAACUCGAAAAAUUGAGGCACAAUUUUUCCUGCUGGGUGAUCUCGGUGCUUCAUGUUUCUGUUGAGCUUCCAUCUAAGAAAAAGUACAGAGUGAUCUCAAUGUUGCACUAAUCCAAUUUAGCAGAAAAAGAUGGGAAAGGUAGUUUGGUAAUUACAAGGCUUUGUUACUUUUAGUCAACAAAGGCUGCUCUGAAAAUCAAGAUGGACGUCUAUAGAUUUUGAAUUUUUCUACUUGCUUUCAUGUGUCUAGUCCUUUUAAAUAAUAUUAUUGCGAACCAUUUUCUGCUAAUUGUCUGGUGGAAGUGUGGUGGAUCAAGCGAGAUUGGCUCACGCGUCACUUGCUCAUUAAACAUUUUUUAAUUUUCCUUUUCAUCUAACGGUAUAGCAACGUAGAUUUUUAGAAACGCUUUCUUCGUAUCUAAUUUUCUUCUUUUGUCUAGUUCAUCUUGUGGUAGUCACGGACCAUGUGAACGUAUAGUAGAAUGUCCAUGGGCGUUAGAUCAGAUUAAUUAAUGAAUUUCGUCGCAUUGAGACAAAAUUGAUUAAACUUGUCAAUCAUCUCACUGCGACGGAAGAGUCGGAAACUAUUAAUGGAUAACAACAGCAUAUGUUUUCAGAGGAAAGUAUUGGAGAGGGGCAUGGAUGCAUUGCUGAAGUUAUUUAAUGAGCAUGUCAUAUGUACUAAAUUAAUCUAAAUAGCUAAAUUUGAUGGAAUUCAUAUGAAACCUAAAUGAAACUCAUUGAAAUUAAAAGUCCAAAUUUUGCUUUAUAUAAAUACGACGCUAGUUCAUUCUCGAGUCUUUAUCAAAAUUGCGUUGUAUGUCAUUGAAUGUGAACCUCCCUUCCCUAUGAUCAACUCAGAUUUCUCGUACUUCAUCGACUUCCUUGUUUCGCUGUUGAAGCACCAGAAUCACAGCAAUUGAAGUCACCAGAAGGAGCUCACAUCAAUAAGGACCUUUUCCCUAUGGUCGGUCGAUUUACUGUUCAUCCCACAAGGAGAUAACCCCGUCACGUUUUCACACAAGCCCGGAUUUGCGAUAAAAGCGCUUUUCGGUGCUUGUUGGAAGAGGCGACCACUAGGAACUGCACCUGUCAGCUCAUUGUACGAUUAGUCUACGGAGCUUAAACAAGUUAUGUGUCCAUUUCUUUCAAUGUUCAGUAUAAUGUUCCAUAAGGUUAAAACCACCUUGAUCGAGAGCGAUCCUAAGUUCCUAAUAUGGAUGGACUAACCUUUGCCGAAAGUGAUCAACUUGAUGGUCCCGGGACCUCCAUCGCCCUCAAGGACUUCAACGCUCUUGAUGGCUUGUGGGAGCACCUUGGGGGUGAGGUUAUCGGCGUUGAGGACAGCGGCCUUGAACAUCUUGGCCGGAGGGAUCUGGACGUGAUGCAGAGUCGUAAGUGAUGACACCCAUGAUUGGAUCCGAACUGAGCUGCUGAAACUGAGAAGGGGGUGAUGAUCAGGAAAGACUGAGUAGCAGUGAUGAAGUUGGUCUCUAGGACUUGGGAAUGAAGAGAACAGGCUGAACCGAAACUGAUAUAUAAAGAGAGAGAGACUAAGUGUGAACGGCUUUGAUCAGUGAAUAUUUUGCGAAACAAACAAAGCUUAAGAAAUAAAAAAUUAUUCCGUGGAUUAUUCAGAUUAUGACAUGCCCCUUUUUCCUAAUAUAAAAAUGUCUAUAUGAUAAUAGAACAAACCGUUGGAUGAGAAUAUUGGGGAGAACUGGGCAACAAUUUACUAAUAACGAAACAUAAUUUAGCAUCAAUUUCUCCUCUAAAACUAAACCAAUCGAAAUCAACUCAACCCCAACGACCACCAGCAAUUUGUAAUACCAAAAUGACAAUAAGACAGAGCCAACAACGACACUAAGGUUUUAACAUGGAAACCAAUACGGAAAAAAUCACAUACCCUCCUCACUAACAGUAAUAGGAUACACAAAACAUUAUUUUCUAAUCACACAUUAGAGACUCGACAUCAAUAAUAUAAUCAUAUUUUCUCAUUCCAAAGAUAGAUUAACAUAAACGGAGCAAGAAAACCCUAAUUGGUUGGAGAAUCUGGAGGGGGUUAUUAUCGAAUGAAAUCAAUCAAUUCGUAGUCCUUGGUUUUACGAAACAACAUUCAAAUUUGAGCAAAUUCCGUCGGCAUCUUGCGUUCGAAUCGGGACCGAAAAGAUUGUGCCCUUUCUUUAGGAACGCAGAGAAAGAAGAGCCCAGGACACAGACAACAAUUACCCACUCACUAAGUCCCGAAAAGCAUAGACGAGCGAAAUGCUUCACGAAUUAACCUAAGAGCAACAGAAACACGCCGAGAUAGAAAAGAAGCCGACGCCCCAAAUUGCAAACUUCUUCGACCCCCCCCCCCCCCCCCCCCAAAAAAAAAAUUUCCAAAAUGAAACCUGAAAAGUGGUGAUUAAGCCCGGAGGCGGGAGGGGGGGGGAAGGGAGCCCCUUGAUGUCCAAAUGGGCGUCCCCGGUGGCGAGGAGCCCCGAGGGGGGGGGGGGGGUGGAAACCUAGGGUUAGGACGGGUUUGGCCUCAUGCCAAUUGAUCUGGACCGUGCCUCCCUUCAUAUCUUCGCCGGCCGCUCCGCCGCUUCCUUCCUUCCUUCCUUCCCUCUCUCUUUGAAAUCGAAGCCUUCUUCCUUCAUUUCUCAUGGAACGAAAUCGAUCAAUUCGUGGAAUUCGUGAUAUUCGUGCGCUCUCCCCAUUCUGCGGAGAGAUUCCCGACAAAUCGACCAGUGCUGAGGUUCAUAAAGACCAGAUCCGGGUAAACUCCGAACGCACUCGUGAGAUCUGCAGUGAACAGAUCACCUUCUAGACGGACUCUCGUUAGCCCCGGACAAUCCCUCAAGCAAUCGGGCAGCAGCCCGGUGAAGUUGUUCCCAUAAACCGCGAGAUACCGAAGAGCGAAGCCGCCGCACAAAUCCGGCGGCAGUUCUCCGGUGAAGCUGUUGUUGGAAAAGCUAACAUAGCCCAGACGAUAUGGAUUCGCAGAAAUCACACGGUAUGCCACCCGAGAAAUCGUUCGUGAACAAAAGAGAUGAACUGUAGGUUUGUCGAUCGUCGUUUCAGUACGGCGAGUGUAGAGCCAAAAAAAAGGGGAAGAAAGAUGACACAAUUGGCUAUGACAUUGAGUGACAGUUUAUUGCUGGCCUCCCCCACGUAAGUAUGUCACGAGGCCCACCCUUCAUGGCUCAAGUUCAUGAAAACAAACUAAUAAAAAAAAGACCCAAAACGUCUGCACUACCAUCCUCGCGGAAAUCCAACCAAAAAAAGGAAAAGAUUAAAAAGGCAACCAUCCCAUACAAAAGCAUUCGCCACACGCUACUAAAAAUUAACCACACAGAGACUCACUAGUCUCAGGGUUCGCCUGGAGGCAAGCCUCGAUGGCCCCGAACACAGUGAAUGCCUUCUCUCUCACGGCCUUUAUCUUCUCCUCGGUGAUGUUUAUGUUGCCCCUGGCGAAGUAUUUGCUGGCGUUUUUGCACACGGAGCCUCCCUCCGGUGAUGCGGUGAUCUUCACCUCGUAGCUGGUGUUCUCCAAGGUGUUGGCCAGCAUGUCGCUCUCGAUGAUCGAGUUGAAGUAGGAGAAAUUCCCAUUGUCCAGGACCUCAACCUUGUGCUUCACUGUCUUGUUGCAAUGACCUAUAAAAGACGCAAAACGUGGCAAAUCACAUCUGAGAAGCCACCGGUUUCAAAAAUCGCGAGCACUGCUUUGCAACAUGAUUGACUCACGACAUCACGGUGUCAAUGGUCAGGAACAUUUGAAUUAACCAAGUAAACUUACUAACCUUCGCUGGAAGUGGUCUCCUCGAUGAGCUCGGCACUCUCGAGGACUGGCAAGAGGACCCCGGAGAUGAGGUUUUCAGCCCUGACCAAGACCUCGAACACCUUGGCCGGGGGGAUGGAGGGCUUGAUCUCGGUCUUGUAGCUGAAGUGUCCCAUGAUUCUCUGCUCGAAAAGAAUUUGCUGAAAGCUGAGAGGGAAGUCUUGAUCUAGGAUUUCGAAGCUAAGACCCCAUGUGUAUAUAUAUAUGCGCGGGAGAGAAAACUUUGCGGACCUGCUUUGGGUCCAUUUCAGAGGAAAACCAAGCAAUCGCGUGCUUUGGGUUGAAAUUCUUCUACCUACAUGAUCGAGUCACUGUCGAGUCUCGACUUUUGGAAUGUGUAAGAAAAAGCAAAACAAUGGUUGAAAUUCUUCUACGCACACGAUCGACUCACUGCGAAGUACUCGACUUUUGGAAUGUAUGGGAAAAAGCAAAACGAUACAGAGGCUAGAGUUUUUUUUUUUUUUUUUUUUGGUCUGUUCCAUAGGAAAACCAAGCAUUCGCGUACUUUUGGUUGAAAUUCUUCUACGCACAAGAUUGGAACGUGUGGGAAAAAGCAAAACAAUGGUUGAAGUUCUUCUACGCACAAGUAACUGUCAAGUACUUAACUUUUGGAAUGUGCGGGAAAAAGCAAAAAGAUAGAGGCUAGAGUUUUUUUUUUUUUUGGGUCCGCUUCAGAGGAAAACCAAGCAUUCACGUACUUUUGGUUGAAAUUCUUCUACGCACACGAUUGCAAUGUGUGGGAAAAAGCAAAACAAUGAUUGAAAUUCUUCUAAGCACAAGUAAUUGUCAAGUACUCAACGUUUGGAAUGUGUGGGAAAUACCAAAAUGAUACAGAGGCUAGAGUUUUUUUUUUUUUUUGGUCGGUCAUAUUUUAAUUCUUAAAUUUUUACUUUGCUUCAUUGUAGAGCGUGAAAGUCGAAACCCACACUUGAAACUAAAUCGUCAUCUGAAAAUGUGGGAAUUUGAACCCCCACAUUCCCUUUCUAUAUUGAAAAUGUGGUCACAAAGACAAAUCCUAGUGUUUACAGGCUAGAGUUGGAAAUAUGUUAUUAAACACAUUCCUUUUAUAGUCUCCCUUCAAAAAUCCCGUAAAAUAAAUAUGCAUGGUCUAAAAUACUCUUAUCUUGUAAUUUGAAAGUCAAAACUCAACAAAAAUCAAAUCAAAUCGAGUACUCAACUUUUGGAAGAAACAAAGUAGGUUACGUCUAGUACUGAAAGGGAAGUCUCGAUCUAGGAUUUAAAAGAUAAGACGCAUAUGUAUAUAUAUGUUUUCGGGUCCUUCUAAGGGGAAUACCAAUUAUCGUUGUUGAGUAGCUCUGCGGGGUCCUUUUGAGGCCAAGAUUGGGUCGGCUUUUCUCUUAAAAAGGCAGAGAACAUGCCAUCCCAAGUCAUAGCGCACUCAUUACGACUGGAUUUCCAACCCAUCACUCCACUUCUGGAUGGAGGGAAUCAAGACUUUUGGAAGAAUGUGUGCACUCGACUUUUGGAUGGAAGAAAUGAAGAAUUUUGGAAGAAUGUGUGAUGGGGAGCGUGUGCAAUUGCCCACACGUGAUGGGAACGUGAGGCAUGGAACUUGUUGCCAAACAAGUCAAUCAAAGAUGCACCAAUUUGAGAACAAGUAAUAAAAGAUAAAAGAAAAUCAAAAUCACAUGAGACGCAAAACUUACGUGAAAAACUCAAAACGAGAAAAAUCAUAGGAAGAGAGAAGAGUCUCAUUAUUUUCAAUAAAGAGCACGAGAAUAUAAUCCAAAAAACUCUAAAACCACUUGAUGAGCCACGAGAUUUGAACAUCUAGCAAGAAGAUAGGAAAAAACAAAACAGGAAACUAUACAGACGCUAGAGUUGGAGAUGUGUUAUAAACACGUUCCUUUUAUAGUCUCCCUUUAAAAAUCCCUUGAAAUAAAAAUGUAUGGUCUAAAAUAUUCUUAUAUCUUAAUUUGAAAGUCAAAACUCAACAGAAAUCAAGUCGAAUCGAGGACUCAACUUUUGGAAGAAACAAAGUAGGUUACGUCUAGUUCAACUUUCUCAAGUAGCUUGGGGGAAAUGUAAAGUAAUGUAAGCCUAAAGGGUUUUGGCAAAAUGUAAAGAUUGUUUGAUAAAAUAUGUUUUGAGAAGUAGCUUUGACAUAAAUGUUGGUUGAUAUAAAAUAUAUUUAAAAAAACUCAUUUGGAUGAUUAAUUUAAACUGUUUUAAUUAAUUAGGGGUUGGAUUUUUUUUAUUUUUUUUAUUUUUUGGUCUGAGGGGUUGGAUACUUUGGGUACUAUUGUGUGGUGUUCUCGAGUGCCCGAGAGUACCUGUAAGUUUUUGUCCAUAGUUAAAGUCUAGAGAGAGAAAUAGAGAGUGCAUCUGCCUUUUAAGGCUUCUGAUGAUUGGAGAUUUUCUCUAAUCAAAUAAUUCAAUUUAAUAAUUUAAAUAGAGAGAGAGAGAGAGUUUGUGCAUAUCUUUAAUAGGCGUCAUAAUUAGAGAGAGAGCAGAGCAGCGCAGAGCAGAGCAGAGCAGAGAUUUUCUCUAAUUAAAUAAUUCAAUUUAAUAAUUUAAACAGAGAGAGAGUAUGUGCAUAUCUCUAAGAGGCAUGCCAUAAUGAGAGAGAGAGAGAGAGAGAGCAAUAUGGACUAAGCAUCCAAUCUCUUCUACUUCUACUAAUGAAGAAAUAAUUUGACCUCGUCACUUCACAACACAUUCCGGGCUGAAUAAUGGAGCUUUGGGGACAUGGUGGUGAAUAACAAGUGAUAUAGAAGAGAUGAUACGCUAUUAAAUUAUUGUCUCAAGUUUAAGUCCGUGUACAAGAUUCGACUUGAUUUGAAUAUGUAGAAAACCGAAUCUAUUAGGAAAAAAAAAUACCAAUAUCACAUUUGGUAUUUGAAUUAUAAUUUAUCUUGAAAAGAAUAUUCACGUUAUAUAUACUGAGACGAGUUUUUUGUGCAUUCCCCCAAAAGUCAAACCCCCACAGUAACCCCCUUUUUCUCUAACUCCCGCACCCUAUUUCCAUAUAUAUGGAUCUUCACUUCCAAAUCCGAUCGAGAUGCUGAUAAAUACUAAAUAGUGUUCGAAUGGGGGGGGGGGUGGGGGGUGGGGGGGUGGAGACAUUGCUUGCUGAUUCAUGUUGUGAAAUGCGUGCUCUCUUCUUCUUUUCGCUAAGAAGCUGACGAGUAACAACAGAGAAAGGAAUAUGUCCCCGUAUCGAUAAACUCUCGGUAGAUAGGAAGAUACAAUUAAGACGCAAUCAAAACGACAAGGAUGAAAGCGAGGUGAGAGAUAAAAUUAAGGCGAAAAGAUAAAACAGACAAAGGCGCGAAAUACUGCAGCAUCUUAGCGUAAAGAAGAAAGAAGAGAGAAGUUGGCACCCAAUUGAGGUAUGUUGUCCGUGAGGAGAUGAGUGUUUCAAGACUUGAGGUAAUUUUCCAUGAGAUUGAACACUGUGAGCUUGGGUGCAAUUUAGGGGUGAGAAACAUUCAAACAUUUAGUCGAUUGUAACUCUUUGAUUCUCCAAUUGUUAGUGGAUUAUUUUCUCUUCCCCAACUGACACUUAGACCGAAUUACGUAAAUCUUAUUAGUUUCCGCGUUAUAUCACAGCAACAACAACUGGUUUGAAAAGUGGCGUCAAAGUGUUUAUGCUAGAAAUCUUGGGGUGGAACAAAUUGUGCUAAAGUGAUUUGAAAAAAUUAUGCCAUGAUUUUUACAAGAUGUUUGACAAGUAUUUUUAAUUACAACAUUCAGAAUUUCUACCACCUCAACUGUUGUCUCACCCACUUUGAAGGAGUCGCAUGUAUUACUGAACACAAAUUAUAACACUUCAUGCCAAAAUAUAGUUACAGUUCAGUCACGAUUAUAAUUUUUCUUAAAGAGAUGGGAGAAUGUAAACAUAAACCAUGAUGGGAGACAGAAAGAUUGAGCCAACAUGCAACAUCAACUCAAUUGAAAGCAUCAGGGUUUUGCAAGAGAUGGGCGUCAAUGGCCAUGAACAUUCCCAUGGCCUUCUCUUUGCCGGCCUUGAUCUGCUUCUCCGUGAUCUCGGCCCCGUCCUUGGCAUAGUACUUGCUCGUGCUCUUGCACAUGCAUCCUUGGCUAGCUGCAAGGCACGGAAAACCACAAUCAACUCCUAAGCGUUGGUCUCAUUUAAACUGUCGGUGAAUGUCUUGAGACCCAUGUUGAUGCGGUGCGAUUAAAAUGUGCGAAGUGGGUGAAAUUGAAAGAUGCGCGAGGACUAGCCUUCAUAGAAAGCGACAUACUUGAUGAUUGAAAUGCCCUCUAAAUGAUUCUCAAUCGCCUGUUUAGUAAUCUAAAUCGCCAUCACAAUAGAUAAAUCAUAUAAUAGAGAAAGAGUACUAAAGACAUGGAUCUCAAGCCCAAAUGAUACUUAUUAGCAAGCGAGUGAUCGUUUGAAUUUUGAUGCUCUUGAGGGUGGGAAGUCACUAAAUUAUUAACUUUUUUCCAACACCGGUUGGGUUCCAUGGGAUUGUUUCCACUAUAGAGAUAAAAAGUUAGCAUGCAAGUUGUCGCGACCUAUCCCUCGGGGGGAGGGAAUAGGUUUAGAGAUAUUGCCUAAAAGAUGGACUUAAGGCUCAAGAUUGGGUGAGAGCUCUCCCAAACCUAUACUUCGCGUGACAUUAGAGUGUUUUUAAGAAUUUUUCAAUGAGUCACCACCACUAGCCUAUUGGGGUUAGCUAAAAACCAAGUAAGGCAUGUGAGUAGAUCUCGCUUCCUACACAACUAGAGAAUCUAGGGUCGAUAACUUGAUUACAUUAAUUAAUCAAUUAAUGCUCUUUCGAUACCUAAUCUUAUUUAUUUUAAAAGAAAAUAUUUUUGUCAAGUAGUGGAUUAAUUUUAUACUUAUCCACUAACAUGUGAAGUGAUCAUGCAAAUACACAAUCAUUAAAGUAACGGUCAAUAACCAAGAAAGUAUUAAAUAAAUUACAAGGAAAAGCAAUAAUCUAACAUAAAUAAUAAUAAUAAUAAUAAUAAUAAUAAUAAUAAUAAUAAUAAUAAUAAUAAUAAUAAUAAGAAAAAUUGACAUUCCUAACUAGGUUAAAGGGAAAUCACAAUCAAUAUAUUGAAAGUGCACCAUCAUUUGAUAAUUUGUCUCAAGAAGGGAAAUAUUAGAACCCUAUUGCAAGGCCUUAAGAGUUUGUUCAAUUUUGAGCCCUAUUUUGGUCGAUGAUUUUCCCACACUUUAAGAGAAAACUGUUCAAAAACAAAUAAAAAAAUUCGAAAUUUUUUUAAAUAUAUAUUUUUUUGCAAUUUUUUUAUUCCGAAAUAGCAACUCGGGCCGGGCCCUCGGCCCGAUUCAAAAGUGGGUCGGGUAAAGAUUCAUGGGUUUGGGCAAUGAACACUAAAAGCCAAAUUGAAGAAGUGGGUUCAAUGACUUAAAUGCAUUCGAAAAAGGGCCAAGAUCAAGCCCAAAUUUAUCAAAGGAAAACACUUAAUCCCCUUUACACUAAGAUCACUUUAAAACAACUUCCAGCACAUCCUAAAUAAGCCCAGCUCCGAAAUUAGCCCACUUACUUGACCUAUCCACAAACUCCUUCUUAGGCACCAAAAUAACCCCUGAACAGCAGCUUCUCUUUCUGCGACUCCUCCUUCCCGAAGUCAUUUUUACCUUUUCAUAGUUUACUUUUUUUUUUUUUGCUUGUUUUCUUUUUUAUUCUUUAUCCUUUUUUUUUUUUUUUACUUCAUCCCUUCCCCUUCCCUGCACCUAUCUUCUUCCUCGACGACUCCCUCCGAAAUGGGUUCCCUUGCCGAACCAUAACCAAAAUAAAACCACGUCCGACGAGCCCUCACCAAUGUUUGGGAUCGCCGCCAAACCACCAUCGGGCGUCGGUCGUUCAGUCCGACCGAUGCCGGCCACGGCCGUUGGCCGAGACACGGCUCGGCCCCCACCGAGGUUAGCCGAGGGACGAAACUCGGCCUGAACGACCGGGUACCAUUCAACAUAGCCCUGAUACCGACAUCCUCCAAUACCUAACGGUGCCAUCACCGGUCACCGUCCCUUUCCCGGCACCAUCCACGACCAACCCAUAGAAAGAACAAAGAAAAUAUAUGCAGACCUAGCCUAGACAUAAUGUCGAGCACCUGUGUGCGUCGACUGAAAAGCUAACGAAAACUCAACUGGGAGAUGAAUCAACAGUCAAGGCAGAAGCAACAACCAAGCAAAGUCUAAGACAACAAAAUCGCAGCUCACCGGGAUCGGAGACUCGUGCGGGCCAGAGAACCGCGAGCUCCGGUCUGGUGAACUAGAAAAAUCUGAAUAAAAGGAGGUGCUCGGGUGACGGGGCCCUACUCGGCUCGAUAACGGCGGCCUGCAAGCAGGUUCGAAAUGGCACGAACCGUGGCCGACCACCCUAGUGUCAUCAAGACGAGAUCAUCGGGUUAAAGGGGACUGAACUCGAAAGGAGACUUACCGGAAGAAUGGAUGCCGGGAGGCGAGGUCACGGGCGCGGCCGAGCUUCUUUCCCGCUCUCUCCUAUCAAUUUCUCGCUUUGCUCUCACUCACGAUGCUCUGUCCCUCCGACUUUCUCCUGGUUCGGUCUCUCUCCAGCUCUCUCCCCUUCAAGCUCUCUCCCUCUGUCUUGCGGUGCUUCUGUUCUCUCCUCCCCCCCCCCCCCCCCCCCCCCCCAAAACCCAUUUUUUGCCCCUGCCUCCGGCUGUUCCCCCUGCUCCGCUCUGCUGUUCUGCUUUUCUUCUUUUUUACAGGCGCGCGAGGAAGGACUGCAGGAGGAGGACGACCAGCUGGCGGGCCGCGAGGAAGGCGGAGCUGGGCCUCCGUGGGGGAAAGAAAAGGAAGAGAUGGACCGCGCCCAGGCCCGCGCGGGGGAAGAAGAAAGAGAGGCGGGCCGGGCUAAGGUCGGAUCCGGCCCGACCCGGCCUCUCUUGUUCGUUUUUUAAUUAAUAAUUUGUUAAAUAAUAAUAAUUUUAAUUUUUUUAAAUUUUUUUAAAUUAAUUUUUUUUUACCAAUUCCUAACUUUUAAUGCUUUUAAGUCUUAAGUAAAAUUGGCAAAAUUUAGGUGUCAACACAAAUAAUAUAAAAGCACAGUAUAAAUUUGAUUCUCCUAAUCAAUGAGUAUAAAUGAGAAUAUGGGGGUGAAAAAAAUGUUACAAGAACUAAAACGUGGACUUUUCGAGAAGCUCCAAUAACAGAAAUGUCGCAUAUUCGGCAAGAUGCAAGUACGUCCAUCCAUCGAGAUGUAGUUUUUGGAGAAAUUCACAAACAGAUAUUGAAUGAAUAAAAACGUUUAGAAAAAUGUCAUAAAUAGCUUUUUUAGCUCAGUUAAAUAGAGCUUACUUUAGUAAGCGAUAGGUCUUGACUUUGAAUCUCAACGAGAUCCUUUGUACUAUGACUCGUAAUUUUUUUUUUUUUUCACAUCCAAUAUACUUCGUAACAAUUUUUUUGAUAAACAAAACUUCGACCGAGCCAAAAAAAUUAGUCACUUAAUAUAUGAUAGAGCCAACAUAUACAUACUAUAUGUGUGUGUGUGUGUGUGUGUUUUCUUAGUACAAAUGGUAAUACGAGCACCCAAUUAGUAGGGGGGAGGUUGAGUUCGACUCUCAACGAGACAAUUUGUCAUUCAAAAUUUUUCAUAACGAUUUUUUUUAUAAACAAAAAAUUCAAUUGAGCCAAAAAAUUUGUCACUUAAUAUAUCAUAAAGCCAACAUAUACAUGUAAUUCAUUUUUCUUGGUACAAAUGGGGAUACGAGCACCCAUUUAUUAAGCAGGAGGUUUUGAGUUUGACUCUCAAAUAAGUUUUCUUUUUUGUAAAUUCAAAAUUCUUCAUUACAAUUUUUUUAUUAAAAAAAAGAUCGACCGAACCAAAAAAAUUGUUAGUUAAUACAUCAUAGAGCCAACAUAUACAUACAAUAUAUUUUGUUUCAUUUUCUUGGUACAAAUGGGAUACAAGCACCCGUUUAGGGCGCGUUUGGUAACGCUUUUAUUCCCGGGAACAAUUUUUUAUCAUAACUGAUUCUUUUUUAUUCUGUUUCCGAAAGCAAUUUCUAAGCAUUUUAAGCCGUUUGAUAAUUGUUCAAAAUUUCAAUUCUCAAAAUAGAAUUGCGUUUGGUACAAUGUUUAAAAUUUUUAUUCCAAAUCAUUUUCUUUUAAUUUUUAAAUAAUUUUAUUACUUUUUCCCUUUUUUUCUUUUCUCUCUCAUAUUCUUCUUCUUCAAGUGGCCGGUCGCCGAGUCGAGGGCCGGCAAUCUCACUGGAGCGUUGCCAACCCUCGGUGAGGCCUGUCCUUGUCAGCCGAGCCUCGCCAGCAACUAGGCAAGGCUUGCCCAGCCUCGCCAGUGGCUAGGCAGGCCUUGACGGGGCUGGGCAAGCCCCACCGGUGGCUAGACGGGCCUCACCUGUGGCUGAGCAGGCCUCGCUAGGGUUGGACGAGGCUCCUCUCACUAGUGGUUGGGCUUGCCUCCGGCGAGCUCGCUAGACCUCACCCUGGCUUGGCGAGCCUCCAACAAGCUCGCCAAAUCGGUUGUCGGCGACCAGUGAUGGUGGGUGGCGGACGGCAACCGCAACGAUGGAUGAAGAAGAAGAAAAGGGAAGAAGAAGAAGAGAAAAUAUGGGCUUGAUUCUUGGAUUUGUUCUCUGAAACAAAAAACAACUUUUUAUUUAUUUUUUAUUCCGUUCCAAAACCACUUCCGGGAACAAAAAAAUAAAAAUUUGUUCCCAGGAACAAAAAUUUUACCAAACACGGUUCCGUUCCAAAACUACUCUCAAGAACAAAAGAAUAAAAUUUGGCACUGUUUGGCCGAUUACCAGACAGGCCCUUAGCAAGCCAAAGUUUUGAGUCCGACUCUUAACGAGAGCAUUUGUCUUGUGACUUAUAAUCUUUCUUUCUUCUACAUUCAAAUUUUUUCGCAACAACUUUCUUUGUAAACAUUCAAACUUCUGUCUUCUUGAUGCUGUUAAAAUCAGGGAUACGGAACUCUAGUGCGAAUGGAACUCACUGCGGUGAUGCUAACGAAUCCCACUGGAAUAUGCGGAGGACGGAAAAUCUUAGAGCUGGGGAAAAUGAAUGGGUUUGGGAUUAGAUCCGGCUUGGUUAUUGCCCCGGAGCUGACUCACCCAAGCCAUUAGAAAAGAGAACUCUAGAAAAAGAAUAAUGACCAAUGUUCUUUAUUGUUCAAGCAGAGACAUUUUCUAUCGGCUAAACCUUAUGCUUCUCACAUUCAAUGCUUGUGUUCCAUCUGAAGUUAUUUCUUACCACAUAAUUGUCGACAACCUAAUUUGACCAAUAAAUGCAGUACAUCUAUAUAGUAUCUGGAGAGGAGCUGUUUCUGCUAGCUAAGGAUUACAUCAAGUAUCUUUUUGGUGGAUGUCUUAGUGCUAGGUUAACCCGUGCGAUGCCCCAGUGAGGAAGAUUUUACAAGGAGCUAACAGAGAAGAAAGAGGUUGAUCAGUAUUGGUUAGUGUUGAAAAUUGAGAUCCAUUUUCUAAAACUAGCUAAUUUCUUCUAUUGUAAUCUAGAAGCUCCUAAGUAAAGGUUUUGGUAGUAGAAGUUGUGGUCUAAAAAUGUCCAAGUUAGAGAUGUUUGGAUGAAUGGCCGUGGACAGUUGUAAAGCAAAAAAAUCUCUGACAAAAGCAGAGAUCUUUCCUUGAAGAAUACUGUGGCUGACUUUAUGAGUAAAGCAAGAACUAGUUUGUGUAAGGUGGUGGAAACAUUAGAUAAACUCCACCCACGUGAACAUCCCAUCUUACAAUUAUGUAACGCCACAUUUCUAUCAACUAAAUAAACGAUAUUCUUGUCUCAUAAAUCUUUUUCUAUUUUCCUCAAAGUAUUCAUCCUUGUCCAUUCCCCUACAUCAACUAUACCAUAAACAUAUACAUUUACACAUACAAACAAAAAGAUAUCAUUGAUAUCAAAGUCAUGCUUCGGCACAAUCUCACCAUUUCCAACGGUUAGAGAAGGCGAUAAUUAAUAUCCCGACCUAGUGGGACGGUCCUGAGAAGUAAAGGCGCAGGGACAGAAUAUAGACAAGAUUUGUCUUCCAGCUAUGAUGAUGGCCUCUGAACAAUUCAUCUUCGUCUUCCCCAGUCAUUUUAGAUGGAAUGGCGAUAUCAUUCCACGGUUCUAGUUUUGCAGUGAUCCAAAGCUUGAUCUUGCUAGACGAUGAGAAAGCUGUCUUGUGUAGUUGUUACACCAUCUGUCAUGGAAUUUUCGUGCAAAAUUUCACAAGAACAAGGUCAGAUGAAUGAAGGAUUGAAGUCUAUGUCAUUCUGUUUUGUUGCAGUAUGAAUGACUGAGUUCAAGUUGAUUCAAAGCGUUAGAGCAAUUGGGACUUGAUAGGCUGCUUCAUCGGGUGAGGACUUCUUCGUUCCAACUUUUUCUCUCCCUUUUGAUUCGUUUUCAUUUCUGCUAUUGAUUUUGUCAUUUUGAGCUUAGGUUGCUACCUAAUAGGCAGAAUUUUUGUAACAUUUGAUAUGAUAUGCAGAUACACAUUACUUGUGUAUAUCUCGAAAAUUCCCACUUUUAGACACUGCUUUUGGCUGGCUUCUAAAAAAUGCCCUUCUAUUAAUCUUCCGAGCGUUAAAAACUACAAAUAAAAACUAAAAAAGUCAGAUUGUGAGAGCAACUUCUGUUUGCUCUUUCUUUUGUUUUGCAUUGCAUAUUGGUCCUUCACCUAUUUUGUAUGCUGACAGCUAAUUAUAAACACCAAGUUGCUUCAAAGGUCAUAUUUGAAACGAGCAUAUACUGAAAUGUAGGGGCAAAAGAAAUUAUGCAGGUUCUCGAAACUCUGGUGGUUGACCGUGGGGACAUCACCCGACCCUGGUAUGUUGAGCUUUUUGAUGGCGAUGAUUUGGCCGCUGGCCAGUUCGGCCUUGUAAAUGCUCCCAAACCAGCCCUUUCCGAUGCAGUACUUUUCACUGCAGCCAUUGGUAGCCUUGGCGAUGUCAUUGAAUGUGAACUUUCCUUCCCUUCCCCAUAUGAUUGACUUGGAUUGCUCUUGCUUCACAAGACUCUUGAUCUCUUCUUUGAAUUCCUUGUUUCACCACCGAACUGCCAGAAUCAUAGCAAUUGAAGUCACUAGAAGUAGUAAACAGCAGACUCCCAGGGUCACACCAAAAAGAACCUUUUCCCUAGGUCGGUCAAUUUACCGCUCGUCCCACAAGGAGAUAAUCUGGUCGCGUUUCCACACAAACCUGGACUCGCGAUUAAAAAACUUCCCUGUGCUUGUUGGGAGAGGCGACCACUACGAACCGCACUGAUUGGCUCGUUGUACGAUAAGUCUAUUGAGCUUCAACUCCUCAUGCUGGUGAGAGGAGCUGGGAUCGUACCCGACAAUUUGUUACGCAAAAGAUUGAGAUUUUCCAAUUCAACAAGCUUUGCUAAAUUGGAAGGAAUUGAUCCUGCUAGAGAUAUGUGGCUCAGGUCCAGGAGAUUCUGUAACGUGAACAAGUUCCCCAGCUCUGGCAAUAUGACAUCCAACAGAUUGUUGUUGUUCAAGUUCAAGCUCAGUAAAUUCUUGCAAUUCGUUAGCUCUUCUGGUAUGCUACCGCUCAAUGCCUUCUCCCCGACAAAUCAAGAUAUUCUAGCUUCGAUAAGUUUCUUAACGAGAUGGGAAUGUCUCUGGCCAAAUGGUUGUAGCUCAAGUUCAGCCUAAUCAAUGCCCCCAGAGUUACCAAAUCAUAGGGAAUUUUCCUAGUCAAUUCAUUGCCAUAUGGAGUCAGAUCGCACAAUUGAGACAAUUUCCCAAGCUCCGGCGAGAUGCGGCUGGGGAUUUUGUUACCAUCUAUUUGCAAAUUCGUGACAUUCGUGCACUCUCCCCAUUCUGCAGAGAGAUUCCUGACAAAUAGAUUGUUGCUAAGGGCCUGAGGCUUAUAAAGUCCAGAUUCAGAUAAACCCCAAACACACUCAUGACAUCUGCAGUGAACCGAUUGCUGUCCAGACGGACUCUCGUUAGCCCUGGACAAUUCCUAAGCAGUCGGGCAGCGGCUCGGUGAAGUUAUUGUUAAAGCUCAUAAAACAACAAUCAAAACAGAAAACAUAUAUGUUGUUUGAGGGAGAGAAAGGAUAAAAAAACAGAGCAUAACACUUCAUACGUUUUGUGCAAAAGAAAAAACUGUCAAGUACCACAACUAAAUACAAAGCAAAAACUGCUCACAUACGUGCUAUUAACUUCCUAGAAAAUAGCAAAAACACUAAAUGCAUAACUAAAUGAACUUGGCUAUUAAAAAAAUAACAAAGGAAAAUAGAGGAAAAAACACGACCGAAAACAGCAGCACUGAGACAAUUCCAACAAACUCCUCCUUGGAUCACUUGUUGCUGCAAAUUCCUAUUUUCUCUCUUAACAGCUCAAAUUUUCCAGCCUGAAGUGGUUUUGUGAACGUAUUUGCAAGCUGAUCUUCAGAUCUGCAAUAGAUCAACUUAACUUCACCACUUUGUUACACCUCACGCAGAAAGAAAAAUUUGACUUUAAAAUGCUUGGUUUUGCCAUGGAAAACUGGAUUCUGUGAUAUUGCUAGAGCAACCUGAUUGUCCACAUUGACUUCGAUACAAUCACUGGAAUUCAACCACAAAUCCUUCAUUAUCUUCUUUAGCCACAAAGCUUGAUUUGCAGCUGUAGUAGCUGCUAUAAACUCAGCCUCUGCAGUAGACUGAGCUACAAUCUCUUGCUUUUUAGAACAUCAGGAGAAACAAGCAAAACCAAAACUGAAACAAUAUCCAGACGUACUCUUCAUGUCAUCUAUUGAACCGGCCCAGUCACUAUUAGAAAAUUCUUGCAAAUUAAACUUCUGACAUUUCUUAAACUUCACACCAAAGAACAAUGUUCAUUUGAGAUAUCUCAAGACCUUUUUUACUGCAAUCAAAUGUAACUGACUAGGACUAUUCAUAAACCUGGAUAAAAUACUUACAACAAAUAGAAUAUUUGGUCUGGUUGCUGUAAGAUACAUGAGACACCCAAUCAGACUUCUAUACAUAGAAGUAUCUACUGCAUCUGUUCCAUCAUUCUUGUGCAGCUUCUCUUUAGCAACCAUAGGAGUGCUUACACUUCAACAAUCUUCCAUCUGAAACUUCUUUAGAAUUUCCUUCAUCUAUUUUUUCUGACAGAUGAAGAUCUCAUUUGAAGCUUGUUUGACUUCCAAACCCAAAAAAUAAGUCAUUUUUUCCAAGUCCGAUAUCUCAAAAACUGCAAAUAGAUCUCGCUUCACCUUCUCUAUCAAUUCCAUAUCAUUCCCUAUCACUAAUAGAUUAUCUACAUAAAGUGACAGAAUUAUAACAUUGUGAUUCACCUUCUUGACAUAAAGAGUGAACUCACUUAAGCUUUUUACAAAGCCAAAAUCCUAUAAAUAUCGAUCUAUAUUCCCAUACCAAGCUCUUGGAGCCUGCUUCAGUCCAUAUAGAGGUUUCCUUAACCUAUAUACACUCUCUUCUUGCCCGUUGAUACUGAAGCCUUCAGGUUGUUCAACAAAAUCUCCUCCUCAAGCUCUCCAUUCAGGAAUGCAGACUUGACAUCUAACUGAAAUAUAGGCCACCCCUUCUCUGUUGCAAUAGCUAACAGUGACCUUAUUGUAUCAAGUCGUGCAAUAGGAGCAAAUGUUUCAGAAUAGUCUACUCCCCAUAUUUGUGCAUAGCCUUUUACCACCAGUCUAGCUUUGUGUUUAUUGACAGAACCAUCAGGAUUAAGUUUUAUUAUAAACACCCACUUAACCCCAAUCACAUUCUUAUCAGAUGGUCUAUCAACAAGCUCUCAUGUGUGGUUUUUCUGGAUCAUUGCAAUCUCCUCCUACAUUGCUGUAAUCCACCUCUAAUCCUCCUUAGCUUCCACAAAGUUAGAUGGUUCGAGCAUUGCCACAUUGCUUUUUUCAUAGAUUUCAGCAAGUGACCUUGUGCCUCUCAUGUGACACCCCGAACCCUUCGCAGGUCGUCACCAGCGCCGGUGUUACAUCUUUUACCAUCUCUAUCUCUUGGCUAAAUUAAGCCUUGCCAGAUUACAGGCAUUUUUUUUUCUUUUUCUUUUAAAGCGGUCCCAUGCGCGACUCAUAACGGAAGCAAAAUUCACAUCGUCAUCUAUCUCCCUUCUAACCCAUGAUACAAAUACACACCAGCUAAACAUCAUGAUUUUAUAAACGAACAUCGACACAUUAUUUACAUAUAUUUUCAAGAUGGGAUUACUCUCGGGUCGGUACAUAACAAGGAAAAGCUAGGACUCAGCCAUGUCCAGCCUAAAACCUCAAAAAGAAACCUCGACCCUUAACAUCAUGUGAACAAAGAACCCUCCCAUCGAAAGCGUCGGUUUUCUACAUCAAAAAGUGAUCUAGCUCCUACUCCUCGCGUACAGGUCUCACACCCAACCCGGUGUGUCAGGUGGUGGCGGCAGCAGCAUCCCUCGCAUCGCUCCAUCCCGUCGAACGUGCACAGAUAGGAACUCUUGUAUGAUAGGGCCCCCAGCCAGGCCGAUAUCAUACAUAACUAAGCAUCGCACUCGGAUAAACGUCAAUCCGGGCACAGAGGGACAAUCUAUCUCCGUACACUCCACCUCAACAUCAGACGGUAGACCGUAAAAUACCCCACGCAAAACAGCAGGUAGCGGCAUAGUGCUAAUCUGAAAUGUUAUCCCCAAAAGGGGUGAGUACAACCACUCAGCAGAUAGGGAAAUCUAAUGACAACUCAGUGCACCAUGCAUACCAUCAUACAAUGCAGGCAUUGCUUACCUUUUUUAUGUCAAGCGUAUUCAUGCAUCAUCAUAGCAUAUAUAUAUCAUCAUCAUGGCGUCUCAUAUAUCAUUAUCAUCACAUCAUCAUUAACCAUGCAUCACCAUGCAUAUCACAUCAUAUCAUCAUUAGCCAUGCAUCACCAUGCAUAUCACAUCAUCAUUAGCCAUGCAUGACCAUGCAUAUCACAUCAUAUCAUCAUUAGCCAUGCAUCACCAUGCAUAUCACAUCAUAUCAUCAUUAACCAUGCAUCACCAUGCAUAUCACAUCAUAUCAUCAUUAGCCAUGCAUCACCAUGCAUAUCACAUCAUCAUUAGCCAUGCAUCACCAUGCAUAUCACAUCAUAUCAUCAUUAACCAUGCAUCACCAUGCAUAUCAUAUCAUCAUUAGCCAUGCAUCACCAUGCAUAUCACAUCAUCAUUAGCCAUGCAUCACCAUGCAUAUCACAUCAUAGAUCAAUUUCCACUUUUAUUUAUCAAUUGAUCCCCACAUUAUCUUUUCUCAAAUCAUCAAAUUCACCAUCAUCACCAUCCCUUCGGGCAGAAACCUCCGACAGGGAUCCCAGUAACCCAGCCAUCUCAUGGCCACUGGGCUUCCGGCCCCCCACAUUCCGGGCAUCUCGCAUCUCAACUAGCAUCACGAGGCAUUCCCUUCGGACAGAAACCUCCGACAGGGCUUCCGGCCUUUACCCUUCUAACCGGGGAUCUCGCACCCUAAUCCUGGCAUCGCGAGUCACUCCCUUCGGGCAGAAACCUUCGACAGGGCUUCCGGCCCCCCACAUUCCGGGCAUCCUGAAACUCCCAGGGAAUCUCUGGAAUUAUGCCACUCGGCCACCAGAUAUCAUCCUCCGCCACAACCUCUUACUCACAUACCAUUUUCCACUUUUUAUCAUCCUUUUCAUCUUGUUAUUUCAUGGCAUAUGAUUUACAUACAUGCAUCACAAUUCAUGAUCAUUCAUACAUCAAUGCCAUAUAACAAUACAUCAUAAUUCAUGAUCAUACAUGUAUCAAUGUCAUGUAGCAAUGCAUCAUAAUUCCAUAGGACUCAUGGCCAAUAAAAUAAUCCACCUUUUAUUUUAUUAUUAUUUAUUAUUAUAUUAUUAUAUUAUUAUAUUAUUAUAUUAUUAUAUUAUUAUAUUAUUUAUUUUCAUAAAUAAAUAUUAUAUUUAAUAUUUAUGAUUUUCCAAAAAUCAUAAUCUUCAAUCAAUCAUUAAACAAACAAUUAGAAUCAAAUUUCACAUAAAAUCCAUGGCUAAUUUGCAUUUUACAUAAUUUCCCAAAUUUCCACAAAAUACACACAACAUUCGGAUCAUGGCCAGAUUGCACAGUUUUCGAAUUAAUUCAAUUAAAAUACUCAUAUGACCUCCGAAAAUUCCCAAAUUUUACAGGAUGAUAGCCAACACAUUUUCGUGCAUUUUUCAUGAAUAACUCUAAGCAAAAUUCUUUAUAUAUUAAUUUAUAUAACUCCACGAAGCUUCUGGAACCUCUACCGUUUCGUCCAGAACGUACAUCACCGAAAAACUUAGGUUCGACCCAUCAAAUCUCUUUCGUUUCUCCUGAAAUUCGAGUAUGUUAUAUAUCAAUGUGUCCUUUACAAGUUUCAUGAAGAGAUCUAGGUUAAAUAACCAAAGCAUGAUCCUCUUUUAAGUCCUUGAAGUCUCGGGUGUCUCGGUUCACUUCAACAGAACCAUCCGUCUCAAAGAUCUAGCUGGUUAACUAGGCUAUACUCAUUUUUUCUCCUAAAAUUUGAGUAUGUUAUAGUUUAUGAUGUUAUCUACAACAUUCAUGAAGACAACAAAGUGAGAUCUCCAACAGAAAUCAACAUGCAACCAAGAAAUCAACAAAAGGUCAGUAGGAAAUUCGCAGAUCUAAAGCCUCCGUGAAAUAGAACUUUUGACCCCUCAUAUCACCAUAGUUUUCCAUGAAAUUCGAGUAUGUCAUACCUCAAGAUGUUAUCUUCAACUUUCAUGAAGACACUGAAGCCAAAAUCACACUUCAAAUACACAUGCAAGCUCGAAUAAGAUACUGUCUACCACCAACCGAACGGAAACAGCCACAUAACAUGAACACAUUCAACCCUUACUUCGGUAUUUCGCCCAAAUCACCCCUAAACCCGAACAUGCAACCAUCAAAACAACAUGCAAGAGAAGUUAAGGACCCCCCACUUGCCUCCAAAAUGAACGAACAGCAAGCACAAGGCGGCGUAGGAUGGUCGGACAAGGUGGCGACGGCGAGACACGACGGCGGCAACUCUCGGCUCCACCUCCUCUCUCUCGGUCUCUCCCCUUUCUCGAACACUCUCUCUCUCUCUCUCUCUCACCUUUCUCGGCCAAAAUGAGCUAGAGGAACCGGCCACUCUCUUUCCUAAUCCCCUUUUUAUAUCCCCUCAAUUGCAAUGAUUAACUCACCUCAACCAUGGCCAAUGCAUGAGGGCUUGUCUUGCCACUUGUAAUUCUUGUUUUUAAAUUUGAAUUUCAAUGGGCUUGGGCUUAGGCCCAACCGGCCAUUUCUCCUUCUUGGGCUGGUCGAACUCCCCUCUUGGGCCCAAUGGGCCGACUAGCUUGGCCCACCAAGCUCUAGGCUAAUGGGUCCAAGGCCCAUUUCGAAAAUAACCCUAUUUUCUCUUCUUUUUUUUUUUGAAUUCCUAUUUAUAAAUAUUUCUAAAUUCAAAUUUCAUCUUGGCCAAAGUCUUGGGAUAUUUCAAUUAUUGAAAUUUAAAUCAUAUGGCCAAGCAUUUAAAUUUAAAUUUCCACAACACAAGCAAAAUUCAUCAAAUUAAAAGACAAAUUGGCUAAAGCAUAAGCCAUAAAAUUCUAUCACCUAAUUAAAGACAUUUAACACACCUUAAGGCUUGGCUUUGAAUUUCCGGGAUGCCACAUCUCACUAGUAAAUCAUCCAUACUGUCUUCUAAUCCAUCUAUAACUUCAUCAACCUCUACAUCUGUUGCAGGUUGUUUUUCGAACUGCUGUUGUUUUGCACUCUUUCCUUCCAUCCAAUUCCACUCAUCUUCCCCUAGAAAAAUAACAUCUCUACUCACAAUCACCUUCCUUGUCAUGGGAUGGAAAAUCCUAUAAGCCUUUGAUUGAAGAUUAUACCCAAUAAAGAUUCCAAGCUCUACUUUCUUAUUCAGCUUGUCCCUCUUGACCUCAGGAACAUGAGUGUAACACAAACACCCAAAAACCUUCAAAUUCUUCAUAGAAGGUCUAACACCAUGCCAGACUUCAAAAGGUGUUGACUUCUCUAAGGCCUUUGUGGGCAAUCUAUUCAAUAGAAACACUGCAGUAUUAGCUGCCUCAACCCAGAACUUCUUAGGUAACUUCUUCUCCUGCAUCAUACAUCUAGCCAUCUCCAUAAGGCUUAUGUUUUUCCUCUCACUCACCCCAUUCUGUUGAAGUGAAUAGGGAGCAGUGAACUGCUGUACAAUUCUUGCUUGCUCACAAUUCAACUUAAACUUGUGAGCUGUAUACUCAGAACCAUUAUCAGACCUGAGCAUUUUAAUUUUCUUCCCACUCUGAUUCUCAACUAAGGCUUUGAACUUCACAAACACAUCAGCAACUUCAGACUUGGCUCGCAGAAAAUAAAUCCAACUCAUCCUAGUCAUAUCAUCAGUGAAAGUAAUGAAAUACCUACUACCAUUGAGAGAAGACUCGGACAUAGGUCCACAUAAAUCUGUGUGGACUAAUUGUAGCUUCUCACAUGCUCUCCAGCCUCCUCCUUUGAAAGGAAAUUUGGCUUGCUUGCUAAGAAGACAAGUUAUGCACCGUGGAAAUUCCUCCUCCAAACUUGGCAAGUCAUCUGCCAAGUUAUUCCUCUGCAUAAACGACAUGCUCUUCUUGUGAACAUGCCCAAGUCUUUUAUGCCAUAGCUUUGCAUUUUCUUCUUUGCACUUUAAAGCCAUUUGUUGCAUCUCUUGUGGCUUGAACAUGAAACUCUUGUCCUUCAUUGGGAUUCUUAGCACUUCUUUGCUAUAUGCAUUAUUAAUAAGAUGUUCCUUCUCUUCGAACUUCACUUUAUAGCCCUUCUCAACUAAUUGACCAACACUUAACAAAUUCUAGUCAAUAUUUGGCACAAAAAGAACAUCACUGAUCAGCUUCACCUCCCGAUUUCCUUCAAUAACCACUGUACCCUUCCCUUACACUUCGAUAUACUGUCCAUUUCCAAUUCUAACUCUGGACCUGACUGACCUGUCUAGACUCCUAAACAACUUCGAAUUGCCAGUCAUAUGAUUGGUACAGCCACUAUCCACCAGCCAUGCAUCAUUCCCAACAGAAGAUCCAGGAAAUGAAGCUACAAACAAGUGCUCUUCCUCAAUUUCAUUCACUGCAACCUGUGCUUCUCCUGCUUGCUAGUAAUUUUUCUGUUUGUAGAUGGUUUCCAUGUGACCCAACUUGUGACAUCUUCUACACCUAGCAUCAGGCUUUCUCCAACAUCUAAAAAACUGAUGAUUAGUUCCACCACAAUAUUGACAAGGUUUUUUGUUCUUCUUCCAUUUGCUAGACUCACCAGAAUUUCCUUCUUUUGCUAUAAACUUGGAAUCACCAGCAUUUCCUCUCAACUGAAUCCAUUUCUUCCAUUUGCCUCCAUCAUUGGACUUCACUCUAGCUUGCAGUGCACCCUCUACAUGCUCUUCUCUUUUCAUCAGUCUUCUGUGCUCCUGUGCCUGCAGAGCAUUUAAUAAUUCUGCAAGCUUUAUAUCAGCUAAGUCUCUUGUAUUUUCCAAAGACGCUAUGGUGGCUUUGAACUUCUCUAGAAGAGACACCAGGAUCUUCUAAACAAGCCUUUCAUCCUUCAAGUUAGUUUCUAAAACUUUGAUUUUUUCAGCUAUCUCAACCAGCCUAUCAAAGUACUCCUUCACUGACUCUGAAUCCUUCAUCUAUUGUCUCUCAAACUCCCUCAAGAGAUUCAGCACCUUCAUGCCUCUUAUCUUCUCAUCUCCCUCGUAUUCAUCCUUCAAGAAGUUCCAUAUUGCCUUUGCAGAAUCACAUCUCAUGAUCCUUGUGAAGACAGUGGGUGAAACAGCAGCAUACAUGCAAGACUUUGCCUUAGCCUUCUUUGGGAUUCUCUCUUUAUGGUACUUUAUCUGAUUUAAGGUCGGAUUAACUGGAAGUGGAGCAACCUCAUAAUCAUUCUCCACAGCCUCCCAUAGAUUGUGACCCUCCAAGAAUGCUGUCAUCUUGACAGCCCAAGCUUGAUAAUUUUCCCCAGUAAAGACUGGAGCAACCAUUGUAGAGAAUCAACUCGAUCUUGCCUCCAUCAGCUUUUUCUUUGCAAAUUGGAAGCAAUCUUCACUCACUUACCCUCACUUCACAGUCCCUUAAGAUCCUACAAACGCUCUAAUACCAAUGUUAAAGCUCAUAAAACAACAAUCAAAACAGAAAACAUCUUUGUUGUUUGAGGGAGAUAAAGGAUAAAAAAAAAAAAAAAAACAAAGCAUAGCACUUCAUAUGUCUUGUGCAAAAGAAAAACUGUCAAGUACCACAACUAAAUACAAAGCAAAAACUGCUCACAUACGUGCAACACAUAACUGCACACAAACGUACUAUUAACUUCCUAAAAAAUAGCAAAAACACCAAAUGCAUAACUAAAUGAACUUGGCUGUUUUUUUUUUUUAAAAAAAAAAAAGAGGAAAACAGAGGAAAAAACACGACCGGAAACAGCAGCACUGAGACAAUUCCAAUAGUUAUUCCCAUCGACCGCGAGAUAUCAAAGAGCAAAGCCGUUGCAUAUAUCUGGCGGCAGCUCUCUGGUGAAGCUGUUGUUCGAAAAGCUAAUGUUGCCCAGAGAAUGGCUGUACUUGCCGAAAUCACGUGGUAUGCCUCCCGAGAAAUUGUUCAUGAACAAAGAGAUGGACUGUAAGUGAUACUACGUCAUGGCUUUUUCCUUCCCAACCCUGAUCUCCUCUUCUUCAACUUGAAGUGCCUCCUUGGUGGUAUACUUGCUCGUCAUCUUGCAAACCGACCUUCAUCACUGACAGCCUCUCAAACUUGAUCUCGUAAUCAAUCGACUCGAUUUUGUCGUCCAAUGUGUCACCUUCGAUUAUCGGCUACCUACACACGAAGUUCUCCUUGUCAAGCUCAUCGAUCCGGUGCUUCACAUUCUUGAAAUGACUAGCUGCAUUUGUGACCAAACAAGACUUACAUUAUGAAACUCCCGGCUUGAUGAGUGUUUGUUGAGUGUACGUACCUUCGGCGAUAUUAACUUGCUCAAUGCUCCCGGCUCCUCCGUCGCCUUGCACGAGCUCCACGCUCUUUAUGAACUGAGGCAGGAGCUUUGGGAUCAGGGAAUUCAACCCGACGAUCAAGGCCUUGAACAUGUGAGCUGGUGCAAUCGGGCAUGUGAGCUCUUGUGUGAUGCUGGUUGCACCCAUGGCUAUUGGCAAUGAGAAAGAAAUAACCCCAGAGAAGUUGGUGCUUCUGAGUCCUGCCAAUGCCUCCUAUUUAUGGUUAGAAUUAUGUGAAUAGGUAGGCUUGGUUUGGCAAGAGUCACGUAUGAGGAAAAUAAAAGAGUCAAGGAUUCGCGGCCUAAAGAAAUGUAAAAGAGGAAUUAAGUUGGUCUCUUUUGUUCUCUUGGUCAUGAAAAUGAUUUCGGUCCCUUUUCAGAUUCAAGUUGUUGAAAUAUCAAAGUAUAUGUUCCAAAAGAUGAACACAAGAGAGCGCAUUCUCAUGCUCACAUGGGCGGCCGUCACUUAGAAUUGAUUGUUGUGGAGUUUGAUAUGACGAUUCAGCGAUAUCGUAAUCAAAUGUCCUUGUUUAGACAAGCGAGUGUUCAUUGAAUUUCAUUCAAUAUGUAGCAAACAAUAACACUUAAUAAAUUAGUGAUAUCACAAUAAUAUGUCGCACAAUAUAAACAUCACAUAAAAUAUUUCUUCACACUCGAUGCCUUAAUGUUGUGGUAAAUCCAUUUCAAUUCAUCCAAUAAGGCCUUUCGUAAUCAUUUCCAUAAAAUUUAAAAGAAAAAGGUUAAGGUUGAUAAAGCUUCACUGACACCGGCGGUUUGACUGGGUCAAAAUAGGGUCGGCAACGGGGUGUCCCAAGAUCAGCUCAUCAUCUGAGUGGGAGGGGAUGUGGAGGCUGCUGCUUUUCCGUUAUAAUUUUCUUCUCUUUUUCUUUUCUUUUUUUCUUUUUCUAUUAUUGUUGAAUCGUUUGAUCUCUAAUCCAUUGUCCCCAUCAAGAAUCAAGAUAGGAUUAGCUUAAAUAGAAUUCAAAUAGCCGAAGUGUUGCAAUAAGAUAAGUCUAAACCCUAAACACAUUCAACAAUUUUUGUAUAGCUUUAUUGAUAUUUAAUAAAAAUGUACUUUUCCUUAAAAAUUUUACUUAUUGCGGGUUAUGAAAAAUUGUGCCACAUUGAUAUGUUUAGAUGAUCGAUCUGGGUCAAACGGGAUCGAUUGUCCAUAUUCGAAAUAUCAGGCCGCAGUUUACCAUGAAUUCAUUUGUCACUCAUGAAUUCUCUCCAUGUAGCGCAGUUUACCAAAUUCCAUAAAACCACUACACCAGAUUCCUGCCACACCUUUCAUUCUCUCAUUCUCAGCAAAGACGAGAACAACAACAAUCACCAGCCCAACAUGCUUUAACUUCAAACACCGAGUGACUCAAACGCUUCUUGUCGCCUAUUUAGUUUAGCCCAACCGGACAUAUUUAAUACGUUACAUGAACAAUAAAAGAUAGCGAUGAGAUCGGCGCAACAUGCAUCAGGGUUUGCCACGACAGAAGCCUCGAUGGCCUUAACCAUCGCGUCCGCCUUCUCUUUCCCGGCCUUGAUCUCCUCCUCGGUGAUAUUCACCUCGCCAAUGGUUAAGUACUUGCUUGUGCUCUUCAACAUCGAGCCUCCGUCGGGCGACGCGGUGAUCUUCACCUCGUAACUGAUCUUCUCAAAGUCGGUGCCCAGCGGGUCACCCUCGAUGAUUGAGUAGCAGUAGGUGAAGUUCUCCUUGUCCAAGGCCUAGACCUUGUGCUUUGCCGUCUUGUACCGACUGCCUAUCAAAGUAACAAAGUAACAUUCACAUUUAGAACUCGCCGGUUUCAACAUUGUGAGCACUGAUCUUGAUGGUGUAGAUCCAGCCAUUUAGGAAUUAACCCCCAACCCCAAUCCAAUACUAUUGACUUAGACAUGGCCUGAUUUUGCCCGAUCGAAAUCGCGUCACAUGAUCACUUGCGUAAAUUUAAACAGUUAGAAACAUAUUAAUUAAUCAAGUCAUAUAUCUAUCCUUUUCAAUGUUCAUUAUAGUGUUCUAGGUUGAACCCGCCUUGAUUCGGAGCGAUCCUAAGUUCCUAAUACGGAAGGACUAACUUUCGCAGAAAGUCAUACCUCCAUCGCCCUCGAGGACUUCAAUGCUCUUGACGUCUUGUGGGAGGACCUUGUUGAUGAGGUUAUCGGCGUCAAGGAGAGUGGCUCAAACAUCUCGGCUGGAGGGAUUGGGGACGUGGUCUCGAAGUCAUUAGUGAUGACACCCAUGACUGGAUCCGAACAGAGUUGCUGAAACUGAGAAGAGGGUGAUGAUCAGGAAAAGACUUGGGCGUGAUGAAGUUGGUCUCUAGGACUUGGGAGUGAAGAAAGGAGGCUAAACUGAAGAUGACAUAUAUAGAGAGAGACUGAGUGUGAAGGGUUAUGAUUACUGAAUAUUUCCUUCUUACUUAAGAGGGUUUCGUAGAAAAUAAAUAAUUUGAAAAAUAUUUUCUUAAAAAUAAUCACUAAAUUUGGAUACUGUUUCCAAGCAAAAGUUAAUUGGUGAGUGUGCUACAUAUUCUAAAUUGAUCUAAAUCCAUAUAGAACUCACUAGAAUUAAAAGUCAAGAUUCUCCUUAAUAUAAAUACGAUGAAAAAAUGCUACCUCAUUUCCGAGUGUUCGUCAAAAUUGGUUUGUAUGUACUAUGUUAAUCUAAAUCGCUAAAUUUGAUGGAUUCACAUGGGAUCCAUACGAAACUCACUAGAAUUAAAAGUUCAAAUUCCACUUAAUAUAAAUACGGUGCUCUUUCCUCAAAAUUGUGUUGUCUAUACUAAAUUGAUUUAAAUCACUAAAUCCGAUGGGUUCUUGUGAUACCCAUAUGGAACUCACUAGAAUUAAAAAUCCAAAUUCAGCUUAAUAUAAAUAUGACCAUAGCUCAUUUCCGAGUCUUCAUCAAAAGUGUGUUUGAUGUCCUACAUUGAUAUAAAUCACCAAAUCUGAUGGGUUUGCAUGGGAUCCAUAUAGAACUUACUAGAAUUAAAACUCCAAAUUCCCCUUGAUAUAAAUACGACACUACCUCAUCUCCGAGUCUUCAUCAAAAUUCUGCUAAAGGUACUAACUUAAUCUAAAUCGCUAAAUUUGAUGGGUUCACGUGGGAUCCAUACGAAACUCACUGAAAUUAAAAGUUCAGAUUCCAUUAAUAUAAAUAUGAUGCUCUCUCAUUGAAAUUGCAUUGUAUGUACUAAAUUGAUUUAAAUUGCUUAAUCUGAUGGGUUCAUGUGGGACUUAUAUGGAACUCACUAGAAUUAAAAGUCUAGAUUCUGCUUAAUAUAAAUCAACCUUGGCUCAUUUCCGAGUCUUCAUCAAAAGUGUAUUGUGGGUUCACGUGGGAUCUAUAUAGAACUCGUUGAAAUUAAAAGUCCAGAUUCCUAUUAAUAUAAAUAUGACACCACCUCAUUUCCGAGUUUUCAUCAAAAUUAUAAGUUAAUCUACGGGUUUGUUUUGUUAUUAUGACUUUUGAGAUUCCCUUUCAUGUAUUAGUUUGGUAAUGAAUAGAAAUUUCUUUUUGACCCAAAAAAAAAAUUAAUCUAAAUCGCUAAAUUCUAUGAGUUUACAUGGGACCCAUAUGAAACUAUGGAACUCACUAAAAUUAUAAGUCUAGAAUCCACUAGAUAUAAAUAUGACGCUAGCUCAUUUCCAAAUCUCCGUCAAAUGCUUUUUUCUCAUCACUUUGAAGCUUCCGAUCGCACCCCACUUUGUUGCACGUGAAUCGGGAAUGUUUUACGACGCCAAAGUCUUUGUUAAAUCUCAAAAAGAUUGAGUCAACGUGGAACAACAACUCAAUUGUAAGCAUCGGGGUUUUGCAAGAGAUGGGCUCCAAUGGCUUUCAACAUUCCCAUGGCCUUCUAUUUGCUAGCUUUGUUCUCGACCCCGUCCUUGGCGAAGUACUUGCUCGUGCUCGUGCUCGUGCUCUUGCACGUGCACCCUCUCUGUCUGGACUUGAUCUCGUUCGAGAUCUUCUCUAGCGCGUCGCCCUCGACGAUGGUGUAAGCGUGCGCGAGCUUUCCUUGUCCAGCUUGUGGACUGGUGCUUCACCGAGUUGAACCGUCUAGCCGUGACACACAGAAAACUGCAGUCAGCUCCCACGUUAGUCUUAUCAAAGAAUGUCAGGCCAAUGUCUUGACAUCACAUGUUGAUGCGACGUGACCAAAAUGAAUGAAAUUAGAAGACGCGCAAGUACUCGCCUCCACCGAAAACGAUGCGAUGGUGACGGGACAGCCAUCACCUUCAAGGGUGACAAAAUCCAGACUGGCUUGUGGGAGGAGCUUGGGGAUGAGAUUUUUAUCAAGAUCAAAGGCCUUGAACAUUCGUGCAGGUGGGAUGGAAUGCGUCUUCGCCUAAGAUUUCCGAGUCCCAGGGCAAGAUAUGUGAGAUUAUGUUGAAAUGCCCUUUAAAUGAUUCUCAAUCUCCUCGUUUAGCAAUCUAAAUCAGCAUCACAAUGUUCUUAAAUAAUACAACAAAAAAACAGGACAAAACGCAUGGAUCUCAAGCCCAAAUUAUACUUAUUAGCAUGCGAGAGAUCUUUGAAUGCAAACACCCUUGAGGGUGGGAAUUCACUAAAUUAUAACUUAAAUAUUCUAACGGCACCAACGGCUUGGACAAGCAAGCUUGAGUGCAUGCGGACAAUUCUUGCGCAAUGAAAUGCAUGGUAAGUCGCGAAUCGAGACUCGUCCACGUACACGCUAUUGCGACCAUGACCAUGAAGACCACUUCCUUGACCAGUUGGCUAGUCGGAGGAGGAAGAUGUGGGUCGAGCAUAUCCUAUAGUGGCACAUUUGAGUCUUUCAAUAAUGUCGACAUUUGUGUCAUUUGUAGGGAAGAGAGAAGAUUCCUGGAUGCUUCCCCAUCAUUCUCUAGCAUUGGUACUUUUACUGUUGACUCUGUUUCAUGAAAGAAGAAUGAAUCUAUGUUUUUAUUACAACCUCAAGUUGCCUACAAAUUCCAAAUUUUUGAGAUACUGUUAAUACAAACCACUUUUCAAAAUCUGUACUUGCUCUUCCUAAAAAGUCUUAUUAGAAGUAUUGGACGAAUCCAAAUUCAAUAUGUCAAUUAAAGCUAUUUGAUCAACCCGAGACCAUAGGUACAGGGGGAAUGUAUUGAUUAGAUUUGAUUACGUAGCUUACCAGAAACCAUGUAGUCAUAAGAUCUAGCCACAGGGAUCCAAUUCGAUGAAUCCAAAUUCAAGAGCCUCACCGUCCCAAAAACCAAAAGCCGAGGCUCGAAGUCCGACUCGAGCAAGAUGUUGUUCAACAUCAUGUCCUGAUGGACAAUAGGCAGUGAGCAAUCGUGAUGCAAGUAGGUGAUCGCGGGAGCCACGCAUUGAACAAUCUUCACUCUCUUGACACAAGUCCGAUUCAACUGCUCCUCUUCUUCCAUGCAAGACCUUUGCCAAAGUUCAGAAAAACAUUGGAUGAUGUCCCUGCGGUUAACCACCACUUUUUUUACCGUGACGAUGUGGCCGCUGGCCUAUUCGGCCUUGUAAACGCUUCUAAAUCCGCGUUUUCCGACGCAAUACUCUUCACUGAAGCCGUUGGUGGCCUUGGCAAUAUCGUUGAAUGCAAACUUCGUUCCCCUUUUCCAUAUGAUUUCACGUACUUCAUAAGAUUUCUUAUCUCUUCAUCGAGAUGCUUGUUUCACCGCCAAAGCACCGAAAUCAGAGCAAUAAGAGUCACGAGAAGUAGUAAGCAGCAAACGCAACAAUCACAUUAAUCAGAACCUUUCUCCGAUGGUCAGUCGAUUUACUGCUCGACCCGCAUGGAGACAUUCCGUCGCGUUUCCUCAUAAGCCCGGAUUUGCAAUAAAAGCACUUCCUAGUUAUUGUCGAAAGAGGCGACCACCAAGAACUGCGCCUGUCAGCUUGUUGUAUAAGAAGCCCAUGAAGCUUAAACUGCUCAUGCUGGUGAGAGCAGCUGGGAUCGUACCCGACAAAUCGUUAUGCGAAACAUUGAGAUUUUCCAAUUUAGUGAGCUUUGUUAAAUUGGAAGGAAUUGAUCCUACUAGUGAAUUGUGGCUCAGGUCUAGUGGUUCUGUAGCGUGAACGAGUUCCCCAGCUCUGGCGACAUGACACCCAACAUAUUGUUGUUGCUCAAGUUCAAGCUCAGUAAAUUCUCGCAAUUUGCUAACUCUUUUGGUACAAUAUAUAGAGAAGGGAUGUACUUGCCGUAUUGUGGUUUAUGAAAGAUUGUGCCACAUUGAUAACUUUAGAUGUUAAUCCAAAUUCAAAAUAUCAGGCCAAAGUUUGGUAUUUUAUUGGCCAUUUGGCAUUUCAUUUAUAACUCAUGAAUUCUCUCCUCGUAAAAAAAAUUACUAAAUUAGAGAAUUUCAUUCUACAAGCCUUGUAUAGUUUAUCAAAUUACACAAAACCACUGCACCAGAUUCCUAUCACACCUUUUAUUCUCUUAUUCUCGGCAAUGACAAGAACAACAACACUCACCAGCCCAACAUGCUUAGCUCCAAACAGAGUGACUUAAACUCUUCUUGUCUCCUUUUCAGUAUAGCAUAACCACACAUAUUUAACACAUUACGUAAACAAUACAAGAUAGCGAAGAGAUCGGCUCAGUAGGCAUCAGGGUUUUCCAAGAGAUAAGCCUCGAUGGCCUCGUACAUCGCGGACGCCUUCUCUUUCCGGGUGUUGAUCUCCUCCUCGGUGAUGUCCACCUCGCCAAUGGUGAAGUAACUGUUCGUGCACUUCAACAUCGAGCCUCCCAAAGGCAACGCGUUGAUCUUCACCUCAAAGGUGAUCUUCUCGAAGGUGGUGCCCAGCAUUUCGCCAUCGAUGAUUGAGUAGCAGUAGGUGAAGUUCUCCUUGUCCAGGGCCUCGACCUUGUGCUUUGCUGUCUUGUAUGGAUUGCCUAUCACUGUAACAAAAAGUCAUAUUCACAUUUAGAACUCGCAGGUUUCAAUAUCACGAGCACCAAUCUUCAUGGUGUCCAUCAGGCCAUUUAGGAAUUGACCCAAUUGUUCCGACCGCAAUCCAAUACAAUUGACUUAGACAUAGCCUGACUUUGCCUGAUCAAAAUUGAGUCACAUAUUCACUUGUGUAAAGUUAAACGGUUAGAAACAUCUUAAGUAACCGAGUCAUAUUUUUAUCUUUUUCCAUAUUCAUUAUAGUGUUUCAUAAGGUUGAACCUGCCUUGAUUCAGAGCAAUCCUAAGUUCCUAAUACGGAUGGACUAACCUUCAGCAAAAGUAAUCAACUUGAUGGUCCCGGGACCUCCAUCGCCCUCGAGGACUUCAACGCUCUUGACGGCUUGCGGGAGGACGAUGGGGAGGAGGUUACCGGCAUCGAGGACAACAGCCUUGAACAUCCUGGCCAGGGGAAUGACGGACGGGACAUCAAAGUGAAAAGUGAUGACACCCAUGACCGGAUCCUAACGGAGUUGCUGAAACUGAGAAGGGGGUGAUGAUCUGGAAAGACUUGAGUAGUAGUGACGAAGUUGGUCUCUGCGACUUGGGAGUGAAGAGAAGAGGCUGAAUUGAAGUUGACAUAUAUAGAGAGAGAGGGAGACUGAGUGUGAAGGGUUCUGAUCACUGCAUAUUUUCUUCUUACUAAGAUGCAUUAUAUUUUGCAGAAAAUAGAUAAUUUAGAAAAUGUUUUCCUAAAAAUAAUCACUAAAUUUAGAUAGUGUUCCGAGCAUAAGUUAUUUGGUGAGUGUGCUGCAUGUUCUAAAUUGAUCUAAAUUGCUAAAUUUAAUGGGCUCACUAGAAUUAAAAGUCUAGAUUCCCCUUAAUAUAAAUACGACACUACCUCAUUUUCAAGUCUUCGUCAAAAUUGUAUUGUAUAUAAAUAUGACCCUAGCUCAUCUCCGAGUCUUUAUCAAACGUGUGUUGUAUGUCCUAAAUUGAUCUAAAUUGCUAAAUCUAACAGGUUCACAUGGGAUCCAUGUGGAACUCACUCGAAUUAAAAGUCUAGAUUCUCCUUGAUAUAAAUACGAUGCUAUGUCAUUUCUAAGUUUUCGUCAAAAUUGUGUUGUAUAUAAAUAUGACCCUAGCUCAUUUCUGAGUCUUUAUCAAACGUGUGUUGUAUAUCCUAUAUUGAUCUAAAUCCCUAAAUCUAACAGGUUUACGUGGGAUCCAUGUGGAACUCACUCGAAUUAAAAGUCAAGAUUCUCCUUGAUAUAAAUACGAUGCUAUGUCAUUUUGAAGUUUUCGUCAAAAUUGUGUUGUAUACACUAAGUUAAUCUAAAUCGCUAAAUUUGACGGGUUCAUGUGGGAUCCAUAGGAAACUCACUAAAUUAAAAGUUCAAGUCAACUUAAUAUAAAUACAGUUUUCUUUCAUCAUAAUUACGCCGUAUGUACUAAAUUAACCCAAAUUGCUAAAUCUAACAGGUUCACAUGGGAUCCAUGUGGAACUCACUCGAAUUAAAAGUCAAGAUUCUCCUUGAUAUAAAUACGAUGCUAUGUCAUUUCUAAGUUUUCGUCAAAAUUGUGUUGUAUAUAAAUAUGACCCUAGCUCAUCUCCGAGUCUUUAUCAAACGUGUGUUGUAUGUCCUAAAUUGAUCUAAAUCGCUAAAUCUAACAGGUUCACAUGGGAUCCAUGUGGAACUCACUCAAAUUAAAAGUCUAGAUUCUCCUUGAUAUAUAUAUGAUGCUAUGUCAUUUCUAAGUUUUCAUCAAAAUUGUGUUGUAUAUACUAAGUUAAUCUAAAUCGCUAAAUUUGAUGGGUUCAUGUGGGAUCCAUAGGAAACUUACUAAAAUUAAAAGUUCAAAUCAGCUUAAUAUAAAUCUAGUGCUCUUUCAUCAAAAUUACGUCGUAUAAACUAAAUUAACCCAAAUCGCUAAAUCUGAUGGGUUCAUGUGGGACCUAUAUAAAACUCGCUGGAAUUAAAAGUCUAGAUUCUACUAAAUAAAAAUGAGGCCCUAACUCAUUUCCGAGUCUUUGUCAAAAGUGUGUUGUAUGUCCUAAAUUGAUCUAAAUUGCCAAAUCUGAUGAGUUCACAUAGGAUCCAUAUUGAAAUCACUAGAAUUAAAAGUCCAAAUUCCACUUAAUAUAAAUAUGACGCUAGCUCAUUUCUGUUUCUUCAUCAAAAUUGUGGUAUAUGUACUAAGUUAAUCUAAAUCGCUAUAUUUGAUAGGUUCAUGUGGAACCCAAAUGAACCUCACUAAAAUAAAACGCCCAAAAUCGAUUAAACGUAUAUACUACUUUAACUCAUUUCUAGGUCUCCAUCAAGCGCCUUUUUCUCAUCUCUUUGAAGCUUCCGAUCGCGUGCCAUUCCGUCACAUGUGAAUCGCGAAUGAUUUUCCACGCCAGAGUCUUUGUUAAAUCUCAAGACUUAAAAAUACGAAUGUGAAGUAACAAUUGCGUGUCAAAUGCAGAAAAUUCAUAUGUGAAAAAGUUGACCGUCCCUUCUUGAGUCAACUGUUCUCUUCCUCGAUAUGCUUUUCUGAUAUGGCCUCAAAGACAGAUGGGCAAAGCGGCGCAUUCAUAUCUAUAAUCUCGCGGCAGUUUCAACUCUGUUAAAAGAAUGCCGAGGUCUUUACAAGAUGUUUGACAAGCGUCUUUGAUGACAGCAUGCAGCAUAUCUACCGCUUCAAAACAUAGUUACGGUUCAGUCUCGAUUGUUAUUUUUCUUCAAAUUAUGGUGGGAGAUAGAAAGAUCCAGCCAACAUGUAACAACAACUCACUCGUAAGCAUCAGCGUUUUUGCAAGAGAUGGGCUUCUAUGGCUUUCAACAUUCCCAUGGCCUUCUCUUUGCUGGCCUUGUUCUCGACCCGGUCCAUGGCGAAGUACUUGCUCAUGCUCUUGGCCAUACACCCUCUCUGUCUAGAAAAGCAUAGAACUUGAUCUCGUUCGGGAUCUUCUCUGCGCGUUGCCCUGGACGAUGGCGUACGCAUGCGCGAGCUUUCCUUGUCCAGCUUCUCGACUGGUGCUCCACCGAGUUGAACUGUCUAGCUACGAGACACAGACAACUGCAGUCAGCUCCCACGUUAGCCUUAACAAAGAAUGUCGGCAAAUGUCCUCUUUGACAUCACGUGUUAAUGCGACGCAACCAAAAUAAAUGAAAAUAGAAGACAGCGCAAGCACUGGCCUUCGCCAAAGAUGGCGCCGGUGUUAGGGAAAUCCCUUAUGAUGUUUUGAAGAUGACAAAAUAAAUCAAAGGCUACUAACAUGUUUGAUGGUUGAGUAAUAGACCAUGCAGAUGAUAGAACAUGUAAAGGAUUUUAUCAAAGUCAGAAGACGGCCAGAAGACUGAACGUAACAUAUGUCCAGAGUAUAUUUUGAAGAUUUCCAGACUUCUGUGUCAAAGUCUGAAGACUGUCAGACUCAAGACUCAUAUUGUAAAGUCUACAGACCCAGAUUGUAAAGUCUCAAGACUCAUAUCGUAAAGUCUAAAGACUCAGACUUUACAUCCAGAUUACGAUGAAUCGUAACUCAAGCCCAAUCAUAUAACGGCUAGUGAUCUGGUUUGGAUUCCACAUCAAGAUUGAUUUGAUUGAAGACAAGAACUUUACAUACGAAGAAGCUUUACUUAUGGAAACCAAGAUUUCGUUUGUAUGGGCGAUCGGAAUCCAUUUGGGAUUCUACCUUUGUCACUCAACGGCUACUAAAUCUUCUAGAUACAGAGCUGUCCAAUGGGUAUAUUGGAAGACGAUUCUCCGGGAUAUUGUCCAACGGGUAGUUUGGAAAUGGAGGAGUAUUUAAGGAGAUGAAGGACCGAUGAGCAAGUAAGAGACGGAGCGUAGAAUUUAUAAUUCCAAAGUCUAAGCGACUUUAGAUCAUAUACUUGUCUCUUGAGAGCUUAAAUGUUUGUAAUCGUGAGAGAAAUACCAAGAGAGUGACUUAGUGAGAUAGUGUGAUCUACUAAGUGUAUGCACUCGAAGUUGUAAUCUCUUGUUGAUUGCAUAUUGGAAUCCAGCCAAGAAGGCUGUUAUCGUGGGAGAGUGGACGUAGGCUUGGAUUAAGCCGAACCACUAUAAAUCUUGUGUUCUUAUUUUCUUCCUUAACUCCUUUAUUUUGUUCAUACUAGCACUCUCAGCCGGGACCCCCAUCACCUUCAGGGAUGACAAAAUCCUUAAAGGCUUGUGGGAGGAGCUUGGGGAUGAGAUCGUCGUCAAGAACAAACGCCUUGAACGUUCUUGCAGGUGAGAUGGAAUCGUCUUCACCUAAGAGUUCCAAGUCCCACGGCAAGAGAUCUGGGAGAUUAUGUUGAAAAUGCCCUCUAAAUGAUUCUCAAUCGCCUCGUUUAGUAAUCUAACUCAACAUCACAUUGGUCUAAAUCAUAUAAUAAAGAAAGAGGACAAAAGGCAUGGAUCUCAAGCCCAAAUGAUACUUGUUAGCAUGCGAGAGAUCUUUGAAUGUAGACAACCUUGAGGGAGUCACUAAAUUAUUGUUAAAAUAUUCUAAUAGAACCCAAUGGCUUAGACAAACAAGCUUGAGUGCGUGCGGAUAAUUCCUGCUUGAUGAAAUGCAUGGUAGGUCGCGAAUCGAGACUCGUCCCCAUGCACAUCCACUUCCUCGGCUAGUUGACCGGUCGGAGGAGGAAGCCGUGGGUCGAGCACGUCCUUCAGUAGAACAUUUGAGUCUUUCAAUAAUGUCGACAUUUGUGUCAUUUGUAGGGAAGAAAGAACAUUCAAUGGAUGCUCCCCAUCAUUCUCUAGUGUUGCUGACUCUGUUUCUUGAAAGAACAACUAGUCAGGAUUUUGCUCACAUCGUCAAGUUGUCCACAAAUUCCAAAUUUCUGUUGUACUUUUACAACAAAGCACUUUUCAUAAUCUAUACUUACUCUUCCUAAAAGUAUUGUUAGAAUUAUUGAAUGAAUCCAAAUUUGAUUUGUCCAUUAACCACAGAGUUACUACUAAUUUUAUUUUUCAAGAAGAAGAAUGAAUCAAAAUCACGAUCAUAAUGUCAAGUUGUACCCAAAUUCCAAAUUUGAAACCGACUCUCUAAAACAAAUCACUUCUCAAAACCUAUAUUUGCAAGAAUCCUAAAAGUCCCGUUAGAAUUAUUUGAAUGCAAAUUAUCAAUCCGAGACCAUUUGUACCCGCGAAAUGUUCUAUUAGAUUCAAUCAUCUAACUUACCAGGAGCCAUGUAGCCAUAAGAUCCAGCCACAAAUAAGGCUGGAAACUCGCAUGAACCGGAAAGCAGCAACCUAGUCCGGUGAGCCUGAAAUAGGGCAUGGGCACAAAAAAGCGCGGUCGGCCGAGAGUCCCUACCCAGCUCGCGGCGUUGGACGGCGGACGAGCUCAAUAGAUCGGGCUACGUCCGUCCGCCUCGCUCGUCUCCUAGUCGGGAUCCUCGGGAAGCGGACCCCAAAUGGGGAAAAACCAAGACGGCCCGAACAGGGACCUACCAUGGCCUCGAAGUGGACAAGGAGCGGCGGCGGAUCAUCAGUUUUGGUUCGGAAGUGGAGGUCAACAGCGGCUCUCUCAGUCGCGUUCUCUCUCUCUCAACUCACGGUCUCUCUUUCACGGCCCUCUCUCCUCCGGAUCCGAAUCCCUCUCGCGUCGUACUUGACCCCCUUCGAUUUCUCCCUCCUCCCCAACCUCCGACCUUCUAUUUAUAGGCUAAGAAGGCCGGUCGGCGGAGGUGCUUCGGCCGCCAGUCCUUCAUGCGCCGACCGGCCCCCCUUCGCUGAACCAGCAUCACAUCACCCGUCGCCUCCACCGCCGCCUGCUCUGCUUUGCGCCUACUCUACUCCUUCUGCUACGGCCGCCCUCGCUGGCCUGACGAAGAAGCGGGGAAUGAGGAAGGAGGGGCCGGGCCAGGGUGAGAAGCACAAGCAGAGUGGGCCCUAGGCCCACUCGGGGAAGAAAGGUGAAAAGAGGGGGGCUAAGGCGAAGGCCCAGCCGCCGUGGGCCCUUUUUUUUAUAAAUACUAUUAAAUAGGGUUAAAUAAGAGAAAAUAAAACUUAAAAUGCAAAUAAUAUUAAUGCUUAUAUGAUGUGAAAAUCGUUUUUAUUAGGGUUAAAUUGAUUCCAAAUUUUUUUAUAUAAUUUUAAUUAUAGAUGUUUAGUCAAAAUUUAAGUAUCAAUAAAUGUAAAUCUCAAACUGUAAGAGUUAAAAUAAAAAAUAAAAGAAUUAAAGAAGAGACAAGUGCAGUUGCAGCUUUAUCCCAUCUUGUAACAAAAAUUGUUUACGAAAGUCAAAAAUUUAACGAACAUCACGUGCUCUAACUUUAAUUGAAUUAUUGUAAGCCCACGAAUCCCUCGUUGAAGUCAUCCUUUGAUGUUACAUAUAUAAAUGAAUCGAAAUUUGUCUAUAUGUUAUACGUAGUGACACGUGUAAUGCAGUGUGGCUUUUUUGAUAGGACAAAUAUCCCCACAUCACCAAUUACCUCUGAUUAGGGCAAGUUCUUUCAAGUAAGGACCCUGUCUUUUUUCUUCUUCUUUUUUGAUAAUAUCCCUAUUAUUGUUCAUGACAUGUUUCUUUUCCAAAUUAAUUGGAAUAUAUAAUUUUAAUGGAUCAGAUCGCUACUUUAAAUGGGAGUAUGAGUCUUUCAAAUGCCUAUGAUAUAUUAUUAUCAAUAGUCACACACGAAUAACAUGCCAGUUGAUGCUACGGUGUGACACAUAAUAAAUAAAGAUGAAAAGCUAGAUUUUAGUAAAACAAAUUCAAAAAUGAGUUUGAGUGUUGAGAUUAUUUAUUGACAUGGACAUCAACCUAUAGCAUCUCCUUUUACUAAUGAACAGGGCUUGGAUUAAAUAAUCAACCUAGUGAUAUUCUAAAAUAGCUCCUUUUUGCCUUGCUCUUCUAGCUUUGGACAUCACUUUAUUUAUUUUUUAAUUUUCUUGGAAUCUUAUUUGGUGAAAUCUAUACAUGUUCAUCGAAAGUGCACGAUCUAAAAGAUUUCAUCAGUGUCAUAGCCACAACCAAGAAGUAUGUAUGAUAUAUAUAUAUUAGAAUACCAAACUACAUUCUAGGCAACCGUGCAUUUAAGUACCACAAGAGUUGUAUUUAGAUCCCACAUCAACUAAAAGAACACUAACAUUCGGACCAAUAUCUAAUCACUUGUGGAUUGCCGACUAUGAAACCAUAAAGGAGUAACUAUAUAUAUUAAUCCUAGCUAGGAUUCCCUACAUUUCUACAUGGGUAGGCAUUUAAAUGAUCAAUGAGAGAGAGAGAGAGAGAGAGAGAGAGAGAGAGAGAGAGAGAGAGAGAGAGAGAGAGAGAGAGAGAGAGAGAGAGAGAGAGAGAGAGAGAGAGAGAGAGAGAGAGAGAUUAUAUAUAAAUCAUAAUUCAAAGUGACGAUCUACUCUCUUAAUAAUGAUGAUGACGAUGAUAAUUAUAUAAAAUUGAGAGGAUAAAAAAAAAAAAUUGGCCUGGUAGAGCCUGUAAAGAACUACACAAUACAUCGGGAUGAUCAUUAGAUGAAAGUGCAUGCUUACAACAUUGAAAAUCAUUUUGUAGGGUAUAGAUCUACCAAAUUGUUCAAACAUUGUUUUAAUGGUUUCCCUUGGAUGAAAGAUUCUUCGUCUAACACAUGAUUUACUUAAUUUAAUUAGUCCAAGAGAGAGAUACACCACCCACGUGCCCCAUAAGCAACGAGGAAUUUGUCUAAUAUGUUAUGAUGUACAAGACCAUACAAUCUCAUUCGCUCUUUUGAUAAAUAUAAAUUAACAUGCAAUCAAUGAAUUAAGAUCUAAUGUUAUUAAGAUUUUUUACGUGUGCACACGUGGUUUUGGUCUAAUAGAUCAAACCAACAUACAACGUCAACUCAGACGGACACAUUUUUGGUCAUUCACUCUUCUUGAUAAAAAUCCCCUUGAAGGCCAAAUGUCUGAUAACCCUCGAUACUUGACAUCUUAAAGUUUACUUAGCAAAGGUUCAAUAAGUCAGGUUUUGGAAGGGUCAUUUGGAGUAUUACAGGUCGGAACGGGUAAAACGAGGAUCUCUAUAAAGUUAACCACCUUGCUAGAGUUGCAUUUGAUGAAUGAAUUUUUCCCCAACUGAAAUUCUUUUAGAGCAUAAGUUAACAAGACAAUCGCAAAAUUGUCGUCAAAUAAAGCGCCCGGGCCAAAAGCGGAUUGAUCACGAUGAUUUUUGCAUUGAAGUGGUGAAAAAGCUUGGUCGAGAGCUAAUUGGGAGAAAGAGAGAGCUCAAACUUUAGGAUAAGCAAUUUUGUGGCUAAUCAUAGAAACUACAAAAGGUUUUGGCCUCCACUUCUGAACCAGGUCUGCUCUCACGUGCACGCGGACCCUGGUCUGUGUCUCGGCCUCUCAAGUCCCUCUCUCCUGUUCUUCAAUCUCCACUUUCCGUCACCCAUUAAUCCCAUCUUCCUCGUUGACAUGAAGUCAUUAACAUUCGAUUUGAUCCCCAGAAAGAGAAAUCAACACUUAUCCCAUGAAUCAAAAGCAAAUACUAUGGAAUCGGUGUCCCAUGAGGUUGAUCUUAUAUGAUAACGUCUUUGUAUCGGCUACAUACAUUAUGUGCAAAUAAAGUGUAAUUAUACUAUCAUAUUUUUUGUUAAUUCACCUCUUUGAUCCGAUAUUAUUUGUUGACAUUGCCCUUAAAGAAUCAAGACAUGACAUCCUCGUUAGUUGAUUGAUAUAUGACAAGGGUCGACAAAAAAGACAGCAUCUAAGUUAACAAUUUGAGAAGAUUAAUGUUUGUGAUGGAGGGUAUUGACUUAUUACGUGGCAAAAUCUUUCCGACAUCAUACAAUUAGCUGUCAAGCAAGCUUUUUUGCCUUUUGCUUUUCAAAAAACAAACAAUCACAAGUUUUUAAAGAUCAAAUGCCCAUUUAGUUGAUGGAAAACUGUUUAUGGAAAAGCUUUCCAUAUUCCAAUAUUUAGAUGAUAGAAAAUUAUUCAAUCUACCGAAAGUGUUUUAUGUGGAUUGAAGAUAAUAAAUUUAUAUUUGGAAAAAAAAAAACUUCUGUUUAUGGUAAGAAAUAAUAGAUAAUAAUUUUUUUGAUAAUUCUUAUAGAUUAAAUUAGCCUAAAUUAGACUUUAUUAACGCAUAUUAGCAGAUUCACUUGCUAUCAAACACCAUAAAAUUAAUUUUUCUCCAACAUGUUUUGGCACGAGCGAACACUAGAAAAUUAUUUACUUUCUCUGGAAUUAAAUUUUUUGAAAAUACUUUUGAGCGAUAAAUUUUCGCUAAAAUAAGCGCACCCAAGCGACAUAUUUGUUAACCUUGUUCUCCUUCUCUCCUUCUCUCUCUCUGCUACAGCUGCUCUUUCUUCUUCUUUUUUUUUUUUUUGGUCGAAAAAGGAUUACUAUGAAAUUACUUAGCCACGGUUUGAGACAAAACAUCAAAAGCAUUGGUGCAUAAUAAGUCUAGUAGAGCGGGCGGGGGAUGAAACAACUAAUUAGAGGGAAUGUAACUAAAUCGACAGGCCUUUGCGAGCCAAUCGGCGGGACCGAUUUGCUGUUCUAUUGCAGUGGGCCAGGGAGAUGUCACAGAAUUCCUGUAGUUUCGCUUGGGCCUGGUCCAGGAGCGGUUGAAGCUACCAGUUCACUUCCGUCGAAGCCGUAACCCCCUGCACGAGUGGAAGACAAUCUGACUAUACUUGCAGGGAGAGUUCCGCACGGUUAGAGAGUAGAUCUAGGGUUUCAAGCAGAGCCAAAGCUUCCGCAUGUGCUGUCGAAGCCGCAUCCACCAAUUUCGCGAAGCCAUCCACAAGACAUCCUCGGUAGUCCCUGCAGAUACAUGCUACUGCUGCUCUGUUUUGCGUUUCUCCUCCGGCAUCUGCUUCCAUGGCGUUGAGCUCGGCAAAUGAAGCAUCUAUAUUAAAUUUCAGCGUAUGAGGGGGCGGAGGUUGCCAACGAUCUGGUAUGGCUUUUAUCUUCCUUUCAUCUACUUGUUGUUGGCUCACAGAUUUGAGGUUAUCGCAGAGAGCUUGCGCCUGAAUUAAAACUUGCUGCGGGUGCAGGGGACAACUCUCGAAGAGGUACUGAUUUCAACCCUUCCAAAUACUCCAGAGGAAAGCCACGACUUGGUCAAACUUCUUAGUAUGGGUAGGGUUGGUUUUGAGAUUGUCUAACCAGUCAUCGAGGCGUGUUAACCCAUAUCUGGAUAUUUUGAUCUAUAGGGGCGCGGAACUCCAAAUCUGAUUUGUCCAUGGACAGAGUAGAAGAAUAUGUUCAGUGGUUUCAGCUUCUUUGCUGUAGAUAGAGCAUAUAGGAUCCGGUUACUAGCUUUCUUCUAUAUAAGUUUUCCCUUGUAGGAAGAGCAUUAUGACAUGCUUGCCAGAGAAAGAAUCUGAUUUUUGGAAGGGUUUUAGCUUGCCAAAUGUGUUUCCAGAGAUCUGGAUUUAUAUGAUGCGAUGAGGUUGCUGUUGGGUUUGUGCUUGUUGGGUUAUCUCUGACUGUGAAGUAGCCACUUUUCACUAAAUAGAUACCAGAGUUAUUAUGCAUCCAGACUAGCUUGUCUUUUGAAUCUGGCCUUCCAAUAGGAGUAGCAAGAAUUUCCUUCAUGAUUUUGUCAUCAAACAUCGACUCCACCCUAUGAACAUUCCAUUUGCUAGUCCCUUGUUCAAUUAGUUCUGCCACAUGUUCUGGUUCAUUUCUUGUUGCUGAGCCUCCAAUCAAACCACUUUUUAUCAAUUUAUCUGCUCUUAUCGAUAGUUUUUUCCCAUUCCCAACUAAGUACAUAGUGUGUGGACUUAUAGAAUCCCUACGCCGAGUUAUACUUUGCCAACCCCAUGAAGGUCGGGAGCCUUUUCUAGCUUUCCAGAAGUCUCCAUGCGGAUAGUAUAGGCCUUUCAUCACUCUGCUCAAUAAGAACUAGGAAUUUUGUGAGAUGCGCCAAGCUUGUUUCCCCAACAUAGCUGUAUUGAAUGCUAUUAAGUCUUUAAAGCCUAGGCCCCCCUCCUUCGUUCUAAGUUUCAAUGCUUCCCAAUUCUUCCAGUGUAUUCCAGCAUUUCUACUAUUCGUUUUCCACCAAAAGUUAGCAAUCCUCCUCUCAAUAGCUUUGCAUAUGGAAAUAGGGAUCUUGAAUAUGGACAUGGCAUAUUGAGGGAUAGCAUGUACAACUGAUUUUAUUAAAAUUUCCUUCCCUACUUUUGAUAACAGAUGUUUCUUCCAGCUUUCUAACUUUCUGUUUACCCUCGCAAGGAUCCAUGCGAACAUAUCUUUCUUUGAGCAGCCCAAAUCCGUCAGAAUCCCUAAAUAUUUCCCUGUUUUUUCAAUUUCUGGAACUCUCAAUUCAUUGGCCAUGUUCCUCCUCAAAGUAAUAGGACAACAUUUACUAAAAUAUAUACCAGAUUUGUUGAGAUUAAUAGCCUGACCAGAAGCAUAACAAUAUUCAUGUAGGAUAGCCACCAGGUUUUGGCAUUCUAGGAUUGUACCAUGAAGGAAGAAAAUUGAAUCAUCUGCAAAUAGCAAAUGCGAUAGAGUGGGGCAGCUAUUAUUUAGCUUAAUUCCUCUAAUAGUGCCAUCUUCUACUAUUUUUCCCAUCAUGUAGGAUAGAACAUUGGCAACUAAUAUGAAGAGAUAUGGGGACAGAGAGUCACCUUGUCGAAUUCCACGUGUUGGCUUGAAAAAAGGUAGAGACUCCCCAUUAAAAUUCACACUGAAAGUUACUGUUCAGACACGCUGCAUCACCCAAUGUACCCACUGUUCGCAGAAUCCCAUUUUAGUUAGGCAUGCACUAAGGAAAUCCUAUUCAAUCCUGUCAUACGCCUUCUGCAUAUCUAGCUUUAAGACUGCUUGGAACUUCUUUUUUCUCUCCCGAGUGCGUAAUCUGUCAAGAACUUCCUGUACCAGCAAUAUAUUAUCUUGUAUUAGCCUUUCCCCCACAAAAGCACUCUGCUCUUCUGCAAUUAGAGUUGGUAGCAGGGGUUUUAAUCUGCUAGUCAGCACUUUUGAAAUAAUUUUAUAAAUGAAAUUACAAAGGCUAAUGGGGCGAAACUGUUCCAGCUUUUGUGGAUUUGAAACUUUGGGAAUAAGAGUAAUGAGCAUUCUGUUCAUAGUCGGAUUGAGAUAGCCUGUAUUGAAAAAUCCCUGUAUCUCUGUAUAGAUAUCCUGACAGAUGUCUGGCCAAUGUUUCCUAAAAAAAAAAGGCCAUGCAUACCAUCUGGUCCUAGGGCUUUUCGUGGGCUCCUAAUUGUUGUAUGCCUUGCGUGAUCUCUUCCAUAGAAACAGGUUCUACUAGACGUUGGUUCAUUCUCACAUCCACCGAAGCUGGAAUUUGUUGUAGAAAGGGUUGAAAGUCACAAGGCCCUAUUGACUCGUAAAGCCUUUGAAAUAUGUGCUUGUCAUCUCUUUCAAUCGUUGUUCAUCACGCACCCACACAUCUUCUGGAUUUUCAACAAAGUAACAUGAUUUGUGGUUCUUCUUUGAAUGGUUGUAGCGUGAAAGAAUUUUGUAUUUUUAUCUCCCCAUGCUAACCAAUUAAUUUUGAAUCACAUUCCCCAAUACAUUUCUUCUUGUCGCCACAACUAUUCAAUUUCUUUUGUCAGUGCCUGUGCUGCCUUGCUUUCUUGAGAUACCCAUUGUUGGAGAAAUCCUCGUGAAGUGUUUUGAAGUUGACAAAACGUUUCCAUCAGUCUAGUCUGAAGGUCAGCAGACUCUGUUAGUUAAAGUCUGAAGACUUCCGGACAGCCAGACUCAAGACUCAAAGUCUAUCCUCAUUGACUGUCUCUAAUCCGUUGAAGAAAGGUUAUCCAGAACUGGAUGUUUUGUUCAGGAUUUAUCCUUAUCAUCUGGAGAAGAUCUCGUGGCUGGAGAAGACGUAUCAGAAUCCUUUGAUUGAUCAAGAUUGAUUCAAUGACUGAAGAUUCGAUGAUUGUCUAAAUAUUAUUGGAAGGUUCUACUUAUGGAAACCAAGAUCCUGAUUGUAUGGGCGAACAGGAUUGAUGGGCUAUCAACACAUUCCUUUAAUAGCUCGAACAAUCUUCCUAGAUGAUUCCGUCCAACGGGUAGAUUGGAGGAAUUCCUUUAGUAAGUGCCAACGGGUAUGAUGGCAUAAAGGAGUAUAUAAGGAAGACGUUCUUAGCUGUUCGAGGUGUGCGCGAUAGAAGAAUUCCAAAGUCUGAAGCUCCAAAUUGUUUAGACAAAUCCUUUGAGCGAAUACUUGUAUACAAAAGAGAGUCUAUAUUUGUGAGAGACCUUGAGGAGGUGUGGUAAAACAUCUACACUGUGGAAUCAAGGCAAAGCUGUGCUGUAACUUCUCUUUUGAUCAUAGUGAAAUCCAGCCGGUGGGCUGUCAGUGUGGAAGAGUGGACGUAGGCUUGGAAUAAGCCGAACCACUAUAAAUCUUGUGUUCAAUUUUCUUUUCCUUACUCUCUCUACCUCAAUCGUAUUUCAUUUCGUUAAUUAAGAGAGAAUUUACCUUCCAUCAUAUGUUAAGAAUCGCUUCCGUAUAUCGAUAAAGUAUUUAGGCACCUAUUCACCCCCCCUCUAGGUACUCAUACUAGCAAUAUCAAUUGGUAUCAGAGCUCGUGUACUCACUUUGUUUGAAGUGUUUUACUUCAGAGUUAAAGAUCCAUGGCUAGUAUGCUAGCACCAGGGCUGAUGGAAGGGCAAAGCAAUACCAGACCACCCUACUUUGAUGGAAAGGAUUACAACAUCUGGAAGAACAAGAUGAAAGCUUUCCUACGAUCAAAGGAUCCUCUGGAAUGGGACGUUGUAGAAAAAGGAAUUACUCCUACCACUGCAUCAGUCUCUGAAAGAGGAAAAGAAACUGAAGAAAUCAGCGGAAUGUCUCAGGAAGAAAUAAUCAAGAGACAGACUCUCGAUGCGAAAGCAAUUUACUCCUUAUAUUGUGCUUUAUCACCAACUGAAUAUAAUAGAAUAUCUUCUUAUGGUACAGCAAAAGAAGUUUGGGACAGAUUGCAUAUCACCUAUGAAGGAACAGAUCGAGUGAAGGAAACAAGAAUCAACAUUCUUCUCGGUCAAUACGAAGCCUUCAGAAUGAAACCAGGAGAAUCAAUAUCUGACAUGUUUAGUCGUUUUACAGAUAUUGUGAAUGGUCUUGAAAAUCAAGGUCAACCAACUUCUGACCCCAUGAAGGUAAACAAGCUACUGCAUGGACUCUCCAGGGAUUGGAAUCACAUAAAGACUUCGAUAAGAGAGACGCAGAGAAUCAUGCCACUAUCUGUCGAUGAGCUGAUUGGAACUCUUCAGUCCUAUGAAGUGGAAAGGAUCAAUGAAGAUGAAGAUCCAAAAGGUAAGAAAUCCAUAGCAUUAAAAUCAAAUGAUGAUUCUGAUGUUACAGAUUCUGAAGAUGAUAUGGACGAUGAGGAGCUUGCUCUCAUGAUAAGAAGAUUCAGAAAACUGAAUAGAAAAGGAAGAAGGUUCAACUCAAAGAAACAAAGCUUUCAAAGACAGCAGACCAAGUCUGUUGAUGAUGAGGAACCAAAUAAAGAUGUAGUCUGCUUCGAAUGCAAGAAAAAGGGACACAUCAGACCCAACUGUCCUCUUCUGAAGAAGAAGAGAGGAAAAUCUGAAAAAUUUCGAAAAGCUCUCAAAGCUGAAACCUGGAGUGAUACUGAGUGUGAAGAAAGUGAUAAUGAAUAUGCCAAUCUAUGUCUGAUGGCACAAUCAGACUCAGACUCUGGAUCAGACUCAGACAGUGAAUUUAAGGCAAGUGAUUUUAAAAUUCCUGUUAAAGUUUCUAAAUAUAUUAAUGAACUAUGCCUUAGUCUUAAGACUUCUCUCAAAAGAAUUUCCGAACUGAAAAAAGAAAACUCAGCUCUAAAUCAAAAGGAAAAUGUUUUAGCAGAAAGAGUUAAAAGUCUAGACCUGUCUAUUUCCAAUCUUAAAGAAAAUGAAGAUAAUCUUUUAAAAGAAAAUGCUUUUUUAAAAACAGACUUAUCAAAUAUAUCAAAGAAAUUUUCUAUAGGGUCUGAAAAACUUGAGAAAAUUCUUUCAGCACAAAGACCUUACUUCAAUAAGUCUGGUCUAGGUAUGACAGAAGAAACAAUUCCCUUGAUUGAUUUUCCUAAAGUAAAAGAAAGAAUUAAGAAAAGACUCUCGAGUGAGGUUUACAAAAAUCACUUCAAGAAAGUUUUUGUAAAACCUGUAGGUAGAAAUGCUCUCAGAUGUUCUAAGUGCAACAGCCCGGAUCACUUUGAAAAAAAGUGUCCUAUGGUAUGGAAACCUGUUAAGAAAGUAUGGGCUAAUACUGUUUAUCUUACUAACACCAAAGGACCCAAGAAAAUUUGGGUACCAAAGAAAGCUUGAGACUUUAUUUUAAAUGCAGGUCUCCGUCAAGAAACAGGUAAAGUGGUAUCUUGACAGUGGAUGUUCAAGACACAUGACAGGAGACUCAAAUUGCUUUAUAAAGCUUGCUCAAGUAAAUGGUGGAAAAGUUUCAUUUGGAGGAAACAACAAAGGAAGUAUUGUGGGUUUUGGAACCGUGAAAAUCGAAUCUCUCACAAUAAGUAAUGUUUCCUUAGUGGAAGGACUCAAUUACAAUCUUCUCAGCAUUCGUCAAUUGUGUGAUACUGGUUUCAAGAUCUUCUUUCAAGAAGGAACAUGUUCUGGAAUCAGUAAAGACUCUACUCAGUCUUUCAUGGGUCGAAGACAUGGUAAUAUCUAUCUUCUAGAUGUGAAACCAAAUGAAUCGCAAUGCCUUAUCUCAAUUCAAGACGAAGCAAGCUUAUGGCAUAAAAAGCUUGGUCAUGUCAACAUGAAGCAAUUAGCCAAAAUCUCUUCAAAACAGCUUGUUCGAGGUCUACCCAGAUUACCAUACCAAAAGACUGAUUCAUGUACUCCAUGUAUUCUGGGAAAGCAGGUAAGAAAUUCUUUUAAGCCAAUUAAUUAUGUCUCUACUAAUCAUGUACUACAGUUGCUGCAUAUGGAUCUCUUCGGACCAACCAGAACUCAAAGUAUUGGGGGUAAGAAGUAUUGCCUAGUAAUUGUUGAUGAUUACUCCCGUUUUACUUGGGUAUAUUUCCUUGCAAGUAAGUCCGAAACCUUUUAGUAUUUUGAAAAAUUUGCUAAAGUGAUUCAAAAUGAAAAAAGGAUGUGUUAUCUCUAGUAUAAGAACAGAUCAUGGAGGUGAAUUUGAAAAUCAAGAUUUUACAAAAUUCUGUGAUGAAUCUGACUGUAAGCAUAUGUUUUCCUCUCCAUAUACUCCUCAGCAAAAUGGAGUUGUGGAAAGAAAGAAUAGAUCUCUUCAAGAAAUGGCUAGAACUCUUUUAAUUGAAAGUAAAAUUUCUUCUCGAUUUUGGGCCGAAGCUGUUUCAACAGCUUGCUAUAUCAUCAAUAGAGUCUUCUUAAGAUCUAUUCUUCAUAAAACCACUUAUGAGUUAUUCAAAGAAAAGAAGCCUAUUGUUUCAUACUUUCAUGUAUUCGGUUGCAAAUGUUUUAUUUUGAAAAAUGCAAAAGAUCGAGUUGGUAAGUUUGAAGAAAGAUCAGAUGAAGGUAUCUUUCUUGGAUAUUCUACAUCAAGCAAAGCCUACAGAGUCUAUAACAAGAAGAGCCAGACUGUGGAGGAGUCAAUGAAUGUCAAAUUUCAAGACUCAACACAAGAUGAAUCAACUCAGACUCAUCAAGAAGAGUCUGAACCUGCUCCAGACCCUCCAAAGUCUACAACUCAAGAAGCAUCUAAGACUCUGGAAAACCAGCUUCAAGAUGUUCGUGAAGAUCCAAACAAAGAAAGAAAUCAUCAACCAGACAAAUCAACGAGUAACUGGAAGCAUAAGUCCAGUCAUCCCAAAGAUCUUAUAAUCGGCGAAAUUAAUGAAGGAAUUCGCACCAGAUCCAAAAGGCGAGAAGAGUCUAGUGCUGUGGCACUCGUUUCUGAAAUUGAACCAAAGAGCAUAGAAGAAGCUUUAUCUGAUGAAAGCUGGAUAGAAGCUAUGCAAGAAGAGCUCAGACAGUUCAGCAUAAAUGAUGUCUGGGAAUUGACAUCUAAACCAAAAGGUAAAACUGUUAUUGGAGCUAAAUGGGUGUUCAGAAACAAGAUGAAUGAGAAAGGAAAAGUCGUACGAAAUAAAGCAAGACUCGUGGCCAAGGGAUAUACGCAAGAAGAAGGAAUAGACUAUGAUGAGACUUACGCUCCAGUGGCAAGGUUAGAAGCUAUUCGACUAUUACUUGCGUUUGCCUGUUAUAAGAAUUUCAGGUUAUUCCAAAUGGACGUCAAAAGCGCCUUCCUAAAUGGAUUUAUCCAUGAGGAAGUUUAUGUGGAACAACCACCAGGGUUUGAAGACCCAAAGAAGCCAGACUCAGUCUUCAGACUGAAAAAGGCUUUGUAUGGUUUAAAGCAAGCACCCCGAGCUUGGUACGACAGAUUGAGUAAGUUUUUAAUUCAAAAUGGUUUUGUCAAAGGUAAAGUGGAUACAACCUUAUUUAUCAAAAAGGAAAACAAAAGUUUCUUACUUGUUCAAAUAUAUGUGGAUGACAUUAUUUUCGGAUCCUCUAAUGAGAAUCUGUGCAAGAAAUUUUCUAAGUCUAUGCAGGAUGAAUUUGAAAUGAGUAUGAUGGGAGAAUUAACAUUCUUUCUUGGUCUUCAAGUAAAACAAUUGGAGGUAGGAACUUUUAUUUAUCAAGAAAAAUAUGCUAAUGAUCUUGUCAAAAGGUUUGGACUGGAAAAUUGCAAAAAGGUCGACAUUCCAAUGUCAAGUUCUUUAAAGAUAGACAAAGAUGAAGAAGGGAAGAAAGUUGAUCAAAAGCUGUACAGGAGCAUUAUUGGAUCACUUCUUUAUCUUACUGCCUCUAGACCUGAUAUUUUGUUGAGUGUUUGCAUCUGUGCUAGGUUUCAAUUAGAUCCUAGAGAAUCUCAUCUCAGUGCUGCAAAACGCAUCAUUAAAUACGUCGCUUCAUCAUCAAGCAUUGGUCUUUGGUAUCCUAAGAAGGGAGACUUUAAUCUUCUGGGAUAUUCAGACGCAGAUCUGGCCGGUUGCAGAGUUGAUAGAAAGAGCACUUCAGGAACUUGCCAGUUGCUUGGAAGCAGGACAGUGUCUUGGUUUUCAAGGAAACAAAGCACUGUGUCUCUUUCAACAACAGAAGCAGAGUAUGUAGCUCUUGGAAGCUGUUGUUCGCAAAUUCUAUGGAUAAAACAACAGCUGAGAGACUUUGAAAUUGAAGACUCAUGCACGGAGAUUAAUUGUGACAACACCAGUGCUAUCAACCUCACCAAAAAUCCAAUUCUCCACUCAAGAGCAAAGCAUAUAGAGAUUCGACAUCACUUUAUAAGAGACCAUGUUCAAAAUGGAGAUGUUUCAAUUCAAUUUGUUGACUCAAAGAAUCAACUGGCGGAUAUAUUCACAAAGCCUUUGGAGAAAAUUCAAUUUGAGUCUAUACGCUCCAGACUCAACAUUUUGAGGUAUGAGGAUAUCAAAGUCUAAACACUUUCAGACUCAGGCUAGCAAGACUUUAUCUACUGUCUUGGCUCGACCUUCAGACUGUAAGUCUUUCUCUCUCCAAUAUUAUCUUGAAAAGGUACGAUCAUCAGACUGUGUUUAAAGUAUUGCAUCGAUUCAUUUUCAAAAAGGUAGUUAUUUUUGAAAUGGCUAUUUUUGCGGAAAAAGACAGUUAUUUUGAAAAGGCAUAUUUUUAUUUCCUUUGUGACGGUUCGUUUACUCUUCUUUUUAACCGAUUGUGCACUGUCGAUUUCUCUUCAUUUUUCUAUUCACUUUUCUCUCAAAAACCCUAGAAAGCAUCGAUCCUCAAUUCCCGUUUGUCUUCUUCGCUCAAUCUUCAAAAAGUUGUCAUCUUUUCUGGGAAAGUCAAGCAAUGAAUCUUCCAAACACUGAGAAAGAUGUCAUCUUCACGAAAGUCCUCAAGAAUCGCAAGCAGGGGACCACAGAGAAUGAGUGAGGGGCUUACGCACUUCGAUCUUACAGAGGAGGAAGAGAAUCCUGAACAGCAAGCGAGCCCACAACUUUCUCAGCAGCGUCAUUCUUCACCAUCUAGUCCUCAAGGAGAUGAUCAUCAGCAACAGGAAGAAAUCAUCGAGGAUGCAGACCCCGUAAGAGUUCAAAAGCCCGCUUUUAUUUACAAGCUUUAUCGUGCCUUAAAAGGAAUUCGUACUCCUUUGAACUAUGUUGAUGAGUUUCUUAGAGACAAAGGAUAUAGGAACGAAUAUAUCUUUCUGCGAAAAAUGGAAAGUAUGGGAAUCGCUCGUAAAGGGGUGGCUGAGGAAACCCUUGCAAAUAUCCCAAGUGAUCCUCGUGAUUGGGGACCGAAUCCUGUAGAUGGGAAUGACGAUGACAAUCUGUUCAGUCUAUUUCAACCGAAAAUGGGUAUUGCGACUGAAAUUCAAGGAAAAAGGGGAGAUUUGUUCAGAUCAAAGGAACAAAAGGAUUUGUACUCGAAACUGCUGAAGCGUGGGGUAAUAAACCCUAGAAGUGUGGACUUUGAUUUUCUGGAUGCUAUGAAAGUGAACUUGAGGGAAAAGUUCAGUUAUCUUCAACUUGAAAAGUUUUGCUCUGACUCAACUGAGGCCUAUGCUGGAUUAACUGCUUAUUUCUAUUCAAAUCUUAGCUUUUUGGAUGCGAAUAGAUUCUCUUUCAGCGUUAAAGAUCAAGACUAUGUUGUGGAUAUGGACAUGCUGGCAGAUGUGUUAGAAGUUGAGAGAGGCAGAUAUCAACCAAUCAAAGUUUCCAUUGCUGGGGCCACACUUGAACUGGUGAAGGACAGGAGAACAGAUGAGAAGAUCACCUACUCACGGAUGAAUGCAUUCAACAUCUUGCUCCACAAGAUUGUGAUCAAUUGCCUUCGGCCGAAAUCAACUUCCAAAACUGAUGUUUCAAGCUCUGAGGCAAAGUUGAUGUAUGCCAUCCUCUGUGGUAAGAAGUUUUCUCUCCCUCAUACUGUUAUGUUUCACAUGUAUAGAGCAGUGAUGAAGGACAGAGGUCAACUCCCUUACCCAAGCCUUGUUACAAAGUUAUUCAGACAUCUGAAUAUUUAGCCUCCGCAAAUCUUUUGUGUUCGAUCAUGCGAUCAUAUGGUGGUAGGACUGAAAAUGGUGACCAAAAUGCGUCUGAAGGAACUGAGCAAGGAAUUGGAGAAAUUCAAGGAGAAGACUCCUUCCAAAUCUCAUCAACUCUCUUCUGCUGCUAAGAGAAAAGGGAAGGAGCCCAUGGUUGCUUCAUCAAAGAGAAGAAGAGCUCUCCUUGUUGAGGAUGAAGAUGAUGACGAAGACAUCACUAUCUCUGCAUUGGCCUUGAAGAAUUUAGGUCGUCCUGUUCCACAGAAAGAAUCGGAACAAAAGACGAAAGAAGCAGAGGAGAAGGAAGAAGAAGAAAGAGAAGCAGAGGAGAAGGAAGAAGAAGAAACAGAAGCAGAGCAAGAAGCAGAGAAAGAAAGACCUGAAGAAGAAACAAGAAAAGAAGGAGAACCUGAGGAAAUCUUUUCUCCACCUGAAGGCAUGGAAACAGGGGGAGAUAAGGAGAAAGGAAUGACGUCUUCAUAUCCUGAUGCAAGUGAAGGAGUCAGUCGCUCGCCUGCAGACCCAGAAGAUGUUUAUGCAUCUCAAUUUCCAGAGGAAUGUCAUGAAGUGUCAUCGCCAAAUCUGCAAGACUAUGCUGAUCUACCAUCUUCUGCAGAUCGAGCCGAAGCAAGUACUCAGACUGAUAAUAGAGCAGAUUUUCGCAGAAUCAUGGAUAUUCUCUUGGAGAUGAAAGGUCAGAUUUAUGCCUUGGGAUGCGAAGUUCAAAGUUUGAAGACUGAAAGUCAAGCUUCUUCCUGUUCAUUGAAUGAUAAGAUGCAAGCCCUCUCUAUUCAGAAUCAGGCCAAUGCCAAGAGUGAGGAGGUUGUUUAGCUGAAGGAAGACUUUAAAAGGCUGGAAGGCAUCGUUCAGUCUAUGGAAGAUUUCCAGCUUGUCCGCAUUCCCAAGACUUCAUCUCAUCCUUUUUAAUGAUGACAAAAAGGAGGAGAGAUGCAUGAUUUGAUCAAAAACUUUCAAUCAUUUUUUUUUGAACUGUUUGUUGGAUUGUGUUGUUGUUUAACUAUUUUUAACAGACUUUGACUUUGUUUUGUGUCUAGAUAAGAUCUGAACUAGACUUGGACUUGACUGCUUCUAUUAACAAGUAUUGAUAUCUUAUGGAUGGUUUUAUUAUAUACAAGACUAACCUAUUUUCUGUGGUUGCAUAUUCUAGUGUUAAUCUUUUAGCCAUUCAUCUCUAUAAGAUAUGCAUAUGUGUUUGAGAAAUGUUUUGCAGGUCAAUGUUAUCCAAAUCUGCAGGAAGGUUUUGUCACCAUCAAAAAGGGGGAGAUUGUUGGAGAAAUCCUCGUGAAGUGUUUUGAAGUUGACAAAACGUUUCCAUCAAUUUAGUCUGAAGGUCAGCAGACUCUGUUAGUUAAAGUCUGAAGACUUCCGGACAGCCAGACUCAAGACUCAAAGUCUAUCCUCAUUGACUGUCUCUAAUCCGUUGAAGAAAGGUUAUCCAGAACUGGAUGUUUUGUUCAGGAUUUAUCCUUAUCAUCUGGAGAAGAUCUCGUGGCUGGAGAAGACGUAUCAGAAUCCUUUGAUUGAUCAAGAUUGAUUCAAUGACUGAAGAUUCGAUGAUUGUCUAAAUAUUAUUGGAAGGUUCUACUUAUGGAAACCAAGAUCCUGAUUGUAUGGGCGAACAGGAUUGAUGGGCUAUCAACACGUUCCUUUAAUAGCUCGAACAAACUUCCUAGAUGAUUCCGUCCAACGGGUAGAUUGGAGGAAUUCCUUUAGUAAGUGCCAACGGGUAUGAUGGCAUAAAUGAGUAUAUAAGGAAGACGUUCUUAGCUGUUUGAGGUGUGCGCGAUAGAAGAAUUCCAAAGUCUGAAGCUCCAAAUUGUUUAGACAAAUCCUUUGAGCGAAUACUUGUAUACAAAAGAGAGUCUAUAUUUGUGAGAGACCUUGAGGAGGUGUGGUAAAACAUCUACACUAUGGAAUCAAGGCAAAGCUGUGCUGUAACUUCUCUUUUGAUCAUAGUGAAAUCCAGCCGGUGGGCUGUCAGUGCGGAAGAGUGGACAUAGGCUUGGAAUAAGCCGAACCACUAUAAAUCCUAUGUUCAAUUUUCUCUUCCUUACUCUCUCUACCUCAAUCGUAUUUCAUUUCGUUAAUUAAGAGAGAAUUUACCUUCCAUCAUAUGUUAAGAAUCGCUUCCGUAUAUCGAUAAAGUAUUUAGGCACCUAUUCACCCCCUCUAGGUACUCAUACUAGCAAUAUCACCCAUGUGCUGUUCAUUAAUUGUUCACUAUUCAGCCAAAUAAUCCUCCUCUUUGCAUUGGUAAAUUUUCCCUGACUCCAUUUUAACAACUUUUUUUUCCACUAUCUGCAGUUUCUCAACCACAUUGAGCUGUUGGAAAUCGGAAGCAGCCCAAGUGUCCCUGACGAGGCUCACACAUUCCUCCUCCUCCGCCCAAAAGGCUUCAUACUUAAAGCUCUUCCUCUUCCUUUGUUUCGAUGGGCAAGUAGAUAGAAUAAUUGGAGUGUGGUCAGAGCCAAUGGCUGGUAUGGCUAUACAUUCUGCUAUAGGAUAUUUAAUACGCCAAUCUGAGUAACAUAAUACUCUAUCAAGACACUCCUUGACCAGAUUUUCUCCUUCUCUUUUGUUUGUCUAGGUGUAAGCACACCCUUUACAUUCCAUAUCCAGCAAAUAACAGUGGUUGAGGAAGUCCUUGAAGGCUGCAAGCCUCUAAUUUGCAGCUCUUUUCUUUCCCACUUUUUCCCAGUGAUAUAGGAUUUCAUUGAAGUCACCCAUACACAACCAUGGCAAGUGAUAACAUUGAGACUUUCUAUUAAUAUUCUCCCAUAAUAGAAUUUGCUCCUUAAAUUCAUUCAAAGCAUGUAUAAAUGAAAUGUGCAUACGUUGGUUGCUGGCUGGUAGAUGGCAUCGGGUGAUGAUAACAUGUUUCGUGAAAGAGUCUAUAGUUAAGAUUACCUCAUCAUCCCAAAAUAUUGCUAAACCCCGCUGUACCUUCUGGAUUCACUAUGAAACAAUGCUGAAAGUGGAGUCUCCGCCUCAAUCUUAACACCUUAUGCUCCUGAUUUUUAAUUUCCAUAAUAAAUAUAAUAUUGGGCCUUUCUUGAGUCGUUAAAACCCUUAAAGCUUGAACUGUCAAGGGAGUGCCCAGCCCUUGACAAUUCCAGCUUAAUAUCUUCAUGGAUGAGUUGGUGGCUUAUUAGGGCUAGCCACCAGAGCCCACUGAGCAGACUUGUUCGCCACACGAAUAGGGGUCUCAACCAGCUGAGUAGUGUCAACCAUUACUGUUUUUUUAUGAUUGUGCACCAUAUGUGCAGAAUCUUUUUUCUUUUUUUGAGGAAGACAAUUUAGCGCUUCUUGUUUUCUCCCUUGUUAGGCCUUUUUCCCUAGCUAUAUUCUCCGCCAUUUCUUCUUCAGCUUCUUUUAACUGUUCUUGAUAUAUCACCAUGACAGAUUCAUCAUCAAGGCAAUUGCUACCUCGCUUCUGGGGGCCCUUCUCUUUGAAGAGUACUAAUUCUUGUGAAGAAAAUGUGGGGUUACCUUCCUUUGAGUUUAGGUUUUCGACAUUGCUCAGUUCACCAAGUUGUUGGGUUUGCUGCAUUACAUUUUGCUGUUGUUCUAGUUUAGGGACCUACUGAAUGGGAGUUUCUGGCACACUUUCCUCCUCCUCUGGCUGUAGUUCUUAUUUGCCAUAGAAAAUUUUUCCAUAUGGACUAAGCUCCCGCGCCUCUGCUCGAAGCCAAUGUCCAAAACGACCUGGUAAGUUCUUUGCUAGCCUUGACUCCUCAUAUGGUAUUUCUUGACAAUAAGUUGCAUAGUGCCUAAUCCUACCACAUGAAUAACAAUAAUGUGGGAGCCUUUCGUACUUAAACUCUACCCACAAUCUUUUUCUGUCAAGAUUCACAAGUACACCGGUUUUGAGGGGGUUUUCCAAAUUCAACUUUACUCUAGCCCUGCCAAUCUUGUAGUUGAUGUUCCCUUUCGCUUCUAACUUUACAUCUACUACAUCUCCGAUUUUGGAUGCUAUUUCCCUGACUACUGCAUCUGUUACUCUCCCGAUGGGUAAGCCAAAGAAAUUUACCCAUAAGUCAUAGUGGUUAAAUUCAUAGCAAAUAUCAGGGGUGUCAGGGUCACAUUGCUUUAAGACUAGUAAAUUACUCCCAAAGGACCACGGCCCUGAAUCGAACACUCGCUGUUUUUCAGCCUCCAACUAGAAAGAAAACGAGAAGUAUCCAAGCUCAACGACAGCACAAGUAAAAGUUUCAUUUUGCCAGGCUUUUUUCAUUAUGCCGAUAAAUGCAUUAAAGUUUGUGGUAGGCUUAUUAAAAAAAACUUCCCAAACAGAGUUUUUCGGCAUGUUUGCAGGUUUUCCUCAAGAAUGUCACCUGUAAUAUCUACAACAUCUUCCUCUGACAAGAGAUUGCCCAAACUCUUACAGAGGGCAUCUUCUUGUAUACAGGAACAUAAUCGAAAUAGAGUAUUAAAGCUGGCCUGAUAGAUUGUGGAACCACUAAAUGCGGGAUGAUGAAAUCCUAUGUGAUUGAAGGGAGCUCUGGGUUUGCAGGUGAAGACAGAUGGAAAUUAGCACCAGCUGGUUGAUUAUGGUGGUCUUGGAAAUUUCUCGCUGAAGAACCGGACCGUACGCUCGAAAUAAGAGCUGUGAUGUGAUUUAGGGCACCGCUUGUGAGCUAAUAGAGGGCUUUGUUGGUAGAGAAGGAGGAAUGGGGUUAGGGUUUUCUACCCAUCCUUUUAAAUCAAAUCUGUGGUAUUGGGAAGGAAGAGGGUGGAAUGCAGUAGUGAUGGGUGGUGAGGAUGCAAUUCAACAGUGGGAAAACCUACCCGAAAGGUAGGAGAAGACUACUCAGGCGGUAGAGCAACAGCUCUUUCUUCGCCAGCUGUACAAAAGGCCAAAAAAUAUAAUUGGGUUUCACCAGCAAUGAUGCACCUAACGUAGCUUUAUUCUCUCUCUCUCUCUCUCUCUCUCUCUCUCUCUCUCUCUCUCUCUCUCUCUCUCUCUCUCUCUCUCUCUCUCUACUGCGGCUACUCUUUCUUUGCUAACUAUACAGAAGGUCAAAAAAUAUAAUUGAGUUUUACCAGCAAUUAUGCACCUAAGUAGCUUUGUCCUUCGGUUUGAUGAUAAGGAGCAACCCAUCUUUGUUGACCUCACUCCAAUCAGUGUCGGCGAAAUAGGUAUACUCACUCCAAGUCCUUCAUCUGUUGGACUUUCCAUUCCAGAGCAUCAGCGUUAGCAUCGUCCUCCGCUCCCAACUGUUAAGACUACAAUAAAUAGCAGUAGCUCAGCCACUAAUAAUGCCACCAAGAACAGGAGGAGAAAGCAUAUGAGGAAGAAGUAGAAUGUAUAAAUGCUGCCGAGAAGUGUACAGGAAGAAGAACCACUGUUAAAAACAAAGAAAGAAAAGAAGAUAAAGAUAAGGGUGAUGCUACGGAUUGUAUUAUUGCAUAUGAAUAAUCUGCGAAGCUUGUGAAGCCAAGAGUUCUCUCUCUCUCUCUCUCUCUCUCUCUCUCUCUCUCUCUCUCUCUCUCUCUCUCUCUCUCUCUAAGCUAGAGCUCUCUGUUUAGCACUCUAUUCUUGUACUUUGUUUCUUCUUUGUUUUUCCGGUAAUCAGUUAGUUUUUCUCUUCAAUUAGGUAGUUGUAUUUUCUUCAACUGUUCAAUACAUGUAGAACAGAUUCUUGAGAGAGAGCUAACGUAGAUAUAAAAGGAAAACUCUCCUGAUGUAGUUUUCGUGAAGUUGAAAUAACAGAAAAAGCAUUUUCAUCUCUGUUUUCUCUCAUUUUCUCUCCAUCACUUCCUGCUCAUAAACUUCUUCAUGGUAUCAGAGCCAUGCAUCCUGAAGAAGUCAUCUCGAUGCUACAUAAAAAUGGCUGAAUCUACAGCAGAUUGAAGUCAAAUUCAAAGCUUCAUUGAUCUAUGAGACAUCUAUAUCUUCCAACAAAUCUGUGAGUUGGUAUUUCUCAUCUACAUCUAAAUCUUCAUCAUCAGAAAUAUACUCGUAGCAACAUACUGCAAAACUAGUAGAGUUUGUGUUUGCAACUAAAGUUGUUCGAAGAUCUGGAAGAGUAGAAUGGCAACAAGAAGUUUGAGAUAUCCAUUUCCUAUUCAUGUCAAUAUCUCAAAUUUUGUUACCAUCAAAUUAACUGAGGAUAAUUUCCUUCUGUGGCAAGCCCAAUUUCAUAGGUUCUUAAGAAGUCAAGACCUAUUUGGUUUUGUUAAUGGAGAAGUUCCACCACCUGCUAAAACAUUGCAGGUCCGAGAAGGAGGUCACACUACUGAGGUUUCUAAUCCCGAUUAUAAUGAUUGGAUCAAGACAGAUUAGCUUGUAUCCUCUUGAAUUAUUGGUGCUGUUUCAGAAAACAUACUCAGUUUGAUAAUUGGCUUAAACACUACAUAUGAAGUUUGGCAGACUUUGCUCAAUCGGUUUACACAAAAAUCUAUGGCAAAGGAGUCUGAGUUAAGGGGAAAACUGCAAGCUUGUUAGAAGCGUGAUAGAACAUUAUCAACAUAUCUCAAAGAGUAUAAAUCAAUAUGUGAUCAAUUGAAUGCAAUAGGGAAACCAGUGGAUGAAAUAACAAGAUUGUUUGGUGUUUUGGAAGGUCUGGGGUAUGAGUAUGAGAGCUUUAAAACAACAAUUUACUGUUUAAAGCCUCAAUAGAAUAUGACAAAGUAAUCUCACAUUUAGAAAGAUUUGAAACAAGGCUACAAAACUAUUCUUCGAAUCAGUUCAGUCCAAAUCUAGCCUACUAUGGCCAGAGGAAGACUGAAGUUAUACACAAAGAAGAGUUUAACAGAGAUUUUGUACAACAGAAUAAUAGCCUUGGAAGUUCAAGAGAGAAUAGUCGUGGAGGAAGAAAUUAUGGAAGAGGAAGGUCAUUCAAUAACAGAUAUAGAAACUUUAGAUAUCCUAGAAGAAGUAUGAAUUACAGAAAUAAUAGUUUGAACUAUGAACAGGGAAGUCAGCAGCUUAAGUAGUUUAAUACCUCCUCUACUUUGGGUUUUGGUCAGGGAUUCAGACCAUAUAAUGGCUUAGCACAAAGGUAUUCAGAUACCAAGACCUAUCCAUCUUCAAAUUUAACUCUUCAUAAAAAUAUGCAGGUGGAGAAAACAACAGAAAACACUCGACUGGAGUGUCAAAUCUACAGAAGACCUGGUCAUGAUGCAUUACACUGUUGGUAUCGAUUUGAUAAUUCCUACCAAGCUGAGGAGAUACCAACAGCUUUAUCAACACUACAUAUUAAGAAGCAAAUGGUAAUGAAUGGUAUCUAGACACUGGAGCAACAACUCACAGUACUGCUAAUGCUGGUAUUCUUCAUAACUUUUCUAAGAAUGCUGGUACUGAUACAGUCAUGAUUGGCAAUGGUUCAUGCUUACUUGUUAAAUACAUUGGUAAUGCAUUGCUGAAUACUGCUACUGAUGUCUUACCUCUAAAUGAUGUGUUGAUUGUUCCAGAAAUUAAGAAAAACCUUCUUUCAGUUUCUAAACUAACAGAUGAUUAUCCAUGUUCAUUUGUCUUUGAAAAAACUGGGGUGUACAUAAAGGACAGCAUCACCAACACAACCAAGAUGCUAGGAAGGAAGGUUAAAGGACUUUACAGAGUAGAUCCUUAUGCUGCAGAGGUCUUCUUCACUCAAAGACAAAGGAUUGCUGGAGAGAAUGUCUAGCAUCAACGUCUAGCUCAUACAAAUCAAAAUAUCCUGAAGCAUAUGAAGAAUCAAAAGCUAAUUCAGUGCCAUAUAGAACCACAAUUUGUAUGUAGAAGUUGUCAACUAGCUAAGAGUACUGCUCUACCUUUCCCAUUGUCGAAUUCUACAACUACUAAACCCCUAGAACGAAUUCAUUGUGAUAUCUGGGGACCUUCUCCAAUUAACUCUUUUCAGAAUUUCAAGUACUAUGUCAUUUUUGUUGACAACUUCUCUCGGUUCAGUUGGAUCUAUCCAUUGAAGCUAAAAUCAGACUUUUAUGAUAUUUUUCUCAUGUUUCAGGGACUAGUAGAAAACCAACUCAACUGUAAGAUCAAGAUUUUCCAAUGUGAUGGUGGAGGAGAGUUUAUCAGUCACAAGUUCAGAACUCACUUACAAAACUGUGGCAUUCAACAGCAUGUCUCCUGUCCAUAUACACCUUAACAGAAUGGAAUAUCUAAAAGAAAACAUUGUCAUAUAGUUGAACUUGGUCUGGCUAUACUGUAUCAUGCAAAACUCCCAUUAAAAUUCCGGGUUGAUGCAUUUGUGACAUCUAAUUAUAUUGUCAAUAUUCUUCCCACUCCAAAGUUAAAGAUGCAGUCUUCCUUUAGCAAGUUAUAUCAGCAUAAGCCAAGAUAUGAUCAUCUCAGAGUUUUUGGGUGUGCUUGCUAUCCCUGCCUUCGACCCUAUGCACAACACAAGCUUGAUCCACGAUCCCUUACCUGUGUUUUUCUAGGAUACAAUACUCACCAUAAGGGAUAUCGAUGCCUUGUUCCUACCACUGGUCAUGUGUACAUCAGUCGACAUGUGGUAUUUGAUGAGACCUUCUUUCCUUUCUCUCAGAAAUUAGCAACAACUUAUUCAACUUACACACAUUUGUAUAAGCUAUGGACAGAAGAAGAGAAAUUUUUACAACCUUCCAGUACAAAUUACAUAAACACUUCAUUAUCUCAUCAUACAGGUUAUGUACAAGACCCUACAGUUGAGCAAACAGUUGAACAAAUAAUCUCUACUAGUUCUACAGAACCAGCAGUUCCUGUUUCUACAAAUAAAUUACCUAUGGAUCAAGCUUCUUCUACUUCUCAAAAUAUUUCACAACAAGUAGAAAUACAUGGUUCCACAACAGAGACAACAGCUGAACCAGAUAUGGAACAAGCUGUUCAAACAGCCUUACAAGGUACACUAUCUACUCAACCUAUGUAAACUAGAUCUAAAUCUAGCAUCAUCAAGAUCAAUCCUCGAUAUGCAUGCCUUACUGAAUAUCGAGUUCCCCCAGACCAAAGUCAAUAAAAUUUGCUCUAGCAAAUCCAAGAUGGCAUCAGGCAAUGCAAGAGGAAAUGGAUGCUUUACAUCAAAAUCAAACUUGGUUAUUAGUUCCCCGUACCAAUGACAUGAAUGUUGUAGGCUGUAAAUGGGUGUUCAAGACUAAAUUUACAUCAGAUGGCAGCCUCAAUCGAUUGAAGGCUCGACUAGUAGCUAAGGGGUUUCAUCAGGAAGAAGGAAUAGAUUUCACAGAAACCUUUAAUCCUGUUAUUAAGCAUGCCACUGUUCGAAUUAUACUCUCGGUGGCAAUAAUAAAACACUGGUCUAUACAUCAACUUGAUGUCAAGAAUGCCUUUUUGCAUGGCACCUUAAAUGAAACAGUUUACAUGGAGCAACCCCCUGGCUUUGUACAUCCACAGUACUCUCAGUAUGUUUGUCUUCUUCAAAAAUCACUUUAUGGACUACAGCAAGCACCGCGUGCUUGGUAUGACAAGUUCAGUAAUUUUUUACUUGAAGCUGGUUUUUUCUGCAGCUCAAUUGAUCCUUCUUUGUUCAUACUUCAUAAAGGUCAAGAGACAUUACUUCUAUUGCUAUAUGUUGACGAUAUAAUCCUGACUGGUAGCUCAGAUAAGUUGCUGCAGACAGACACUUAUUCACUCCCUCAGUAUUCAAUUCCAUAUGAAAGACCUUGGCCACCUCCAUUAUUUUCUUGGAAUUGAAGCUACACGAACAUCCACUAAGUUAUUUUUGUGUCAAACCAAAUAUGCUCUUGACUUACUCUCUCGUGCACAUAUGUCUGACUGCAAACCUAUUGCCACACCUCUUUCUCUUAAACCAGUCACACUAAAAACAAAUGCUGAUCUUCUUCCAAAUCCCAUAGACUACAGAAGCUUAGUAGGUGGUGUGACAUCCUGAAAUUCGACCCCGUUUCGAUAAAAUGAAAUGUGCAUAUCGUCGGCGCGCCUAUGGUCCUUUUUCUCUGAGCUGAUCACUCACGAGUUAGCCAACCUAUUGGGUGAAGCCGUUAAGGGAUAUAACCGUGGUAAAAUCCCUAAAAGCUACCUAAUUGGUUGGAUUGGACUAAAAUCGCGUCCGGUCGAUUUUAAUCAUGAAAUUUAAUUCGGUCUCGGGAAAUCGAAUAUUCGAGCGUGUCACAAUUCAUUUUUAGGACCGUCUCAUCGUCUGUCAAUUUAUUGACGAGUCCGAAAUUUCAAUAAAGAAAUUAUCGGGGGAUCAAUCGAAGAUCAAAAGAAAAUAGAAAGGAAAAGGAAAAGAGAAAAGGAAAAUUGAAAUAAAGAAUUAUGCAUUUCCUUUUUUCUUUUUCCUCUCUCUCCCUCUCUUUUCUUUUCUUUCUUUUUCUCUCUUUUCUUUCUCUCUCCUCUCCCCUCUCCCCUCCCCCUCGUGCAAAUUGCCCCCCACCGCUCACUUUCUCUCCCUCUUUUAUUGACCGGUCAACCCUUAUCUCUAUCUUCUCUCUCUCUUCUCUCUCCUCUCUCUCUUUCGCACUCUCUUCUCCCCCUUCUGUUCGAGCGAACCAUGAGCCGAAGGAAGACGAGAAACCAGAAGCUGCAGCCCCGUCGCCGCCCGUCCCGCCGCCGCACCGCCGCCCGCGCCGCACCCGUGCGCCCGCCGCUCACCGCCGUCCCGCCGUCCGCGCACGCCCAGGCCGCGCGAUCCAGCCGCGACCCAACUCUGUUCGCUCCUGUUCCAACCAUCUCCGGCCACCUCCGGCCACCGCCUAGCCCCGCCGGAGCUCCCCUGCGACCCCCUCACCCUCCGCCGGCUUCCCCUCGCCGCCCUAGCCGCCGAAGCAGCCUCGAUCGGCUCCGUUCAGCAGACCCACGAAGUGGGUUUCCAGCACUUCGGGCCCGCUUUUGGGCCGUUUCCUGGCCCCGAACCCGAGCCGUGCUUUGGAGUUUGUUGUUCCUCGUGCCGCCGCCGUCGGAUUGAUCCGAUUUGCGCGCGAUUUGGUGAGUAAUCUCACUAAUCCCUGAUUAGUUGGCUAAUUAUGCUUAGGGUUGGUUUAAAUUUAAUUAAUUAUGUUUAGGUUGUUAGAUUAGAAUUAAUUAGUAAUUAUUAGUCAAUUGUGAUGCGAUUUAGAUAAAUUGAUUGUGUAAUUAACAAGUAGACAUGGUCUACUAAUUAUUGGAAGUGCCUCGGGAUUUUUCCCGACCCUUAGUGGGCUCCAAUUAGGCUUUUCGGGCCUAAGUGGAAUUUUUAGUAUUUAAAUAUUAAUUUUCGGAAUUAAAUUAAAUAAUUAUUUAUUUUCCGAAAAUUCAACGGAGAUGGUCUGGAACCGGAAAAUUAUGCUAAUGACCGUGGUGAAGUCCGUUUAUUUGAUCGGGCUUUAUUUUGAGCUAAAUUGAAUUUUUAAUAUUAAUUAUUUAAUUUUCGAAAUUAAUAAAUUAAUUAAUUAUUUUUCGGAAAUUAAGAUUUUGAUGGCCGACGACCGAAAUCUCGUGCUGAUGGUCGUGGCGUAGUCCGUUUAUUUAUUUGAGCUCUACGUUGUAUGGAAUUGAAUAAAUUGUGAUAUUUUAGGGAUUUACCCUAAAUUGAUUGGAAUUGAUUGAGAUUGAAUUGUUGAUUGGUAAAUGGCCAAGUAUGUUAUUCAGCAUUUAUAUUGCUUUGUUGAGUUGAUUUAAUUAUUUGAUUGAGAAAUCGUUGGGCAUUGGUUGUCAGUAUUGAAAGUAGAUUGGUAAUCGCUUAAAAGAGGACACGUGGGCUCGGUGAAUUGGAAUGUCACCUGGAGAAUGCACGUGAGUUCAGUGGUUGAAUAUUUCACCUUGGCGAAAAGGUCGCCUGAGAGAAUGCACGUGGCUUGGAGACUUGAUAUGUCCUCCUUGAGAAUGCACGUGGCUUGGUGACAGAGUUUGGCAUCUAAAAGGGCACGUGGCUCGGUGAUCUGAUGCGUCACUUUGGUAAGCGAGUACCUUAGAGAAUGCACGUGGGCCCAACAUUCCGGAAUGGCAUCUAAAAGGGCACGUGGCUCGGUGACUUGAUGCAUCACUUUGGUGAGAUGCACCUAAGAGAAUGCACGUGGACCCAGGCAUCUAAAACGGCACGUGGGCUCGGUGACUUGAUGCAUCACUUUGGUGAAAUGCACCUAAGAGAAUGCACGUGAGCCCAGGCAUCUAAAAGGACACGUGGCUCGGUGGCUUGAUGUACCACCUUGGCGAAGAGGUCGCCUUAGAGAAUGCACGUGGGUCCGAGGUUCGAGGCACGUGAACUCGGAGACCUGGAAUGUCUUCCUAGAGAAUGCACGUGGCCUAGCUUGUAAAUAUCCCACAGUGGGGAUUGAUUAGUAUGACAUGUAAUCGACUAGUUCGAUUUAUUUGAAGUGAAUGGGUGUUUAUUGUGAAUUGUACUGACUUGCAGGUGGAAUCUGAGGCCAAGGUAAGUCAUCUGCCCUGUGCGUGUUUAGGCAGCCUUUAGUAUAAUGGUUUACUAAUCGGGCUUAGUGGGGUAGAACUCGCUGAGACAUAGUCUCAUCCCAGUUUGGGGAAAAACAUUUCAGGACCCCAUUGAGGAGCUGAGGAGGAAUCUAAGAAGGAGAACUCGGAGGUGAAACCUGAGUAGAAGGAUUUUUGGAAGAAGAAGAUAAUACCGAGAGAGAUUUUGAGUAUGACCUGAAGGGAUUGAGAUUUUAUCUUCUUUGAUAUCUCCAUUUUGAUGUGAAUAGAGUUUGGAAUAAAAAUUUGUGAAGUGUUUGGGUUUGUGUUUUGUAUAAAAGUUUGGUUAUAAGUUUCAAUAUGAAAAAUAUGGCCCUGCUUUUCUAUCCCAUUGUUUUAUUGUCUGGGGAUUUUAACUGCUUCCGCAUGUGCUUAAUAAAUGAAAGGGUCGGUGAUACAUUGUCCUGGGAUAUCACAUUAUAAAAUCGACCAAGAGUUGAAGGAUGUGCGCGUGCCCGAGGAUCGGGACGUGACAGGUGGCUUACAAUAUCUCACUAUCACUCGUCCUGAUCUUGCAUUUGCAACAAAUAUCUUGUGUCAGAAAAUGCAACAACCCACUGUUGGUGACUUCCUUAAACUGAAGAGAGUACUUCGUUAUGUAAAAGUAACAAUUCACCUUGGCAUCUAUCUUCACUCUCGAAGUUCUCUCAAUUUAUAUGGUUUUUCUGAUGUAGAUUGGGCUGGUUGUGUUCAAACUAGAUGAUCUACCACAGGUUUCUGUACUUAUCUCGGCUCUAAUCUCAUCUCAUGGGCAGCCAAGGAACAAACAACUAUUUUCGUUCUUCCACUGAAGUAGAAUAUAGAGCACUUGCUUCGGCAACAACUGAUCUUACUUCGAUCACUUUUGUUCUAAGAGAUAUUAGCCUUCCUCUACACUCUCCAACCUUACUAUUUUGUGAUAAUCAAUCUGCAAUAUCCCUCACAGCUAAUCCUAUACUUCAUGCUCGAACAAAACAUAUUGAGGUUGAUUUUCACUUUGUUCGAGAAAAAGUUGCCUCUAGAUCCUUGUGUGUUAGAUAUAUUCCCAGCAACAAUCAAAUUGUUGAUAUUUUACAAAGUCUUUAUCCAGACUAACACAUUCUUCUCUUUGUCUCAAAUUAGGAAUUGGCUGUUCACCCUUGCCCAAUUUGCGGGGGGAUGUUAAGACUACAGUAAAUAGCAGCAGCUCAGCCACUAAUAAUGCCAUCAAGAACAGGAGGAGGAAAGCAUAUGAGGAAGAAGCAUAAUUUAUAAAUGCUGCCGAGAAGUGUAUAGGAAGAAGAACCACUAUUAAAAACAGAGAAAGAUAAGAAGAUAAAGAUAAGGGUGAUGCUACGGAUUGUAUUGUUGCAUAUGAAUACUCUGCGAAGCUUGUAAAGCCAAGAGCUCUCUCUUUCUCUCUCUCUCUCUCUCUCUCUCUCUCUGAGCUGGAGCUCUCUGUUUAGCACUCUGUUCUUGUACUCUAUUUCUUCUUUGUUUUUUCGGUAAUCAGUUAGUUUUUCUCUUCAGUUAGGUAGUUGUAUCUUCUUCAACUGUUCAAUACCUGUAGAACAGAUUCUUGAGAGAGAGCUAAUGUAGAUAUAAAAGGAAAACUCUCAUGAUGUAGAUUUCGUGAAGUUGAAAUAACAGAAGAAGCAUUUUCAUCUCUAUUUUCUCUCAUUUUCUCUCCAUCACUUCCUGCUCAUAAACUUCUUCACCAACACCAUAUUUUUCUUCUCAAGUCCAACCUUUCUUUACUCUUCCGGUUUUCUUGCUUUGAUCUCUUGACUCAUGGCUUCUGUCCUAUGAUAUGCUUCAUGUGCUUCCAUGUUCUGUUAGAUCUGGGUUUUGGGUUUGGCGACGGUUUUCCUGUCUUAUGGGAUCGGACUCUUUUAAGGAUACUCGAACAUCAUAGUUUUGUUGCUUUCUGAACUAUGCAUGUACAUUCAAACAUCACAUGGCUUUUUGCAAUUGCAUUUAGCUUGAUAUAAGAAUGUUUAAUUCUUUGGAUUAGCUAACUUUGAUCUGCAUUUGGUUUCUGCUAAUUCUGCCUCACCCCCAGCUUCUAGAUUGCCCUGAGAAAUCUGGUCAUCUUUAGUUUGUUGUGAGCAUAAUUUGAAUUUGCAGCCCACCCAAAAGAGAAAACCUUACGUGUUCAGAGUGAAAAUUCUAAGUCAAUUAAAGUGAGAAUUUGCAGACUAUCAAGAAAAGUGCUAUUAAGUUAUAAAUAAGUCAUAUGGAAAUCAGGUAAUACUUUUUUUUUUUUUAUCAAUAACUUUUUAACACUUACCAAUUCUUUCAGGAAUUUAUCCGCAUGAAAAAUAUCCGUUUGUUUUAAAAUGGAGUAAGUAAAGUCGUCCCUGUGACGUAUGAGAGUUAAUGCAUUUUUAACAAUUUGCGUCUGGAUGGCCUCUUCACUAAACAAGAGGUCUUCUUGUAAAUGGCGUAAUUAUGACUUUUUGGGUGUUGAAUUGUCGUGAUCAUAAUUAUUAUUACUUUUUUGACCAAGAUCAUGUGUUCUCCGUUAGUCCAAUUCUAAGGAAAUUUGUUACCCUCGUAACAGUGGGGUGAAUUUUAUUUUAUUUUUUUGGAUAUCCAGGAUCUGCCAGAGCCUGUGGGGUGAAUUGAUUUUUCAAGAUAUUAAAAAUCAAUUUUGUAAAACCUACCCCUAUAAAAAUUGUGCUUCUACUACCAAGUAUACUAGCAAUUUAAACAGGACAAAACUAAAAAGUUUAGAAAAAGAAAAAUUGCAAAAUGAGAAUUAUGAAAGUUCAAUUCGGGUAUACAUACUCCUCUUUCUAGCUCUAAUAGCCCAAAUAGACUGAACUCUACUAGCUAUGCCAAGAGUACAAAUACCAUCUUGUUUAGAAAAGUACUCAAUCGGUCUUAAACUUUUCAAUUUUGCCAAUUUAAUCUUAAAUAUUUGUAUAAAAUUCCAAUAUAUUCCUUUCAGUUAUUUUUCGCUGGAAAUUUCUAACGUGACAUCAUCGUUGGCCGUCCUCUGUAGCAUACCACUAUGCCCACGAUUUUCAGCUAAAAUUGGCGAAAAUAUUAGAUUGAAAUUUCACACGAAAGUCUAGUUGAUAACCAAAUUAGUAUCCAUGCAAUAAGUCUAGGAUUGAUUAGACAAUUACUUGUUACAAGUGUAGAAUUUGCUGCCACGGAGAACUUGACUUCCUUCUACAGCAAUCCCGCUAUACACUGAGUAACUUUUGGACCCUCCAAUAGCCAUUCUCACAUCUUGUUCACACGAUAUAAAGGUCCUUUUCUAAAUUAUAAACCACACCUCCGACUGUUUACAAAGAGUCCAUUAUACAUUUUAUCUCUUGCCUAGAUACAUAGUGUUCACUCUAAGUAUGUAAAACCACCCUUUUCAUAUGUUUACGAAUGGGUUUGUCCCUCUUGCUAAUAAUUAGACACAACACUAAAAUGGGUAUUACAAGUUUACGAAAGACACGAACUCAAAAGUCCCCCAAUAAUACUUAAAUUCUCUUGUAGUAGUUAUAUCUAUCUAAUCUUCAAUUAAAAAAGAAAAAUCUCAGCAAAAUUCCUUAAAAACACAUGUAUAAAACCUUGUUACAAUCUAGGCCAUCAAUCUGAUCUUCUAUUAAUGCAGGUUUUAAUCAUAUUGUUUCGCCAACCUUCUGAGCGAAUUAGUUCCUUUUUUUUUUUUUGCAUAACUACUCUUGGGAUGUCACAUUUUAUUGCUAUGACUUGGGGCUUUGAUUUAGGAACUCCAAUAGUCAUUAAAUUUAUCCAUGGAGAGCGCCUGCUAAAAAAAUCUGACUGCUUUGCAUAACCUAGUUUGGUUCUACACCUUUCCUCCAGCAGCUUUCCUAACAUAGUAAAACCUUACUUAUGUACUUGUAAAAUCCGAACCAAGCUUCUGUAUGGUUUAAACAUGAACAUUUGCACACUUAAAUGAAUUCUUUAAAUCCUUGGGUUAAAUUUUGAUAUUAUCAUAAUCUUUUUAGUAUAUUUUCCAAGCAGUUUCACCAUUUUCAACAAUGACAAACCUAUACCAUUCCUUCAAUAAGAGUGAGUUAUGCACAUAAGCAUGCAUAUUCUGCAAAACUAUCUGACUGUAAAACCAGAGAUGAUUCAUGCAUGCUUCCACAUGCGACAUUUUAAUAGACCAUAUAAAUAUGUCUGCAAAACAUAAUAAACUCCCCUUAAUAUGUACACAUAGUGCGAUUCUCCCCCUGAGUAUGUGCUUCUCCCCCUUCUUGUUUCUUAAAAAAGCAUUAACAUCAGAUGCCCAGGGAUGAAAACCAUAUAAGCAAAAGCAUUCAUUUAUUUAUAUAUAAGAGUGUUCUACAAAGCAUAUUCCGGAAAAAUUAAUAUAAAGGAAAGUGAACACUAACCAAAAGGAUCACAAACACCGAUUUCAUCCAUCAAGCUAGAAACGUAUUGUUAUCAAGAGGUCUAUUCAGAAUAUGAGAGAAUUGCAAAUCGAUGCUAACAAAUCCUUUUCAUUGAUUCAUGUUGUGCUGUGGCUGCCAUAAUUAAAUAAAUAAAUAAAUAAAAGAAUCAUAUGAAAGAGUCUCUCUUCUUGAAGUUUGACCUAGUUCAGAGUUCCUCGAAAUGGAAGCCACCCCCGUUAAUUAGCACAAUUAAAUAUUUUAUUAGAAAUCCAAAAUUUAGGCAGUUGAAUACUUGGCCAAUUUUUAAGACAGUGUGACUCUAAAAAUUGUGCUCGUAUUCAACUGAAACACAAUUACUAAAGAAAGACUUACCGAUUGCUUAACAAUGUUGCAAUUACACUUUUUUUCAAAUCCUUACAUUAAGGAUGACACGUCCUUAUAUCUCAAUAAGGGCCAUUGACUUAACUAAGACAUUUUAUCUGUUCCCUUUUUGCUGAUCAAUAUGUCAUGAGGUUUGGUACACAACUAACUAUACUAUUAUAAAUAAUUUGAUUCUGUUGAAUACUCAAAACACAUAAAUCUGACUAAUUGGAGUUUGAAUUACUGAAACUGCGACAACAAUUGAGUAGAAAUGUAAAAGAGACUUAGGGUUGAUGCCUGAUUAUAUAUCGAAAUACCAUGGGUUUGACAUAUAGACCUCCUUUUCAAAGCCCCGUAUGCUAUUGGAAAUAUGUAUACGUAUUAGGAGCAUUUUGUGGGCUACUACAUGGUGCACUUGUUUUAUAUUUAAAGUUUCAAUGGGUCAGUUUUGUCUACUAGUAACAUUCUCCUCCAAUCAUACUUUCAGUUAACAGGUCAAAGAUUAUGGACAUUAUCAAUAUGAAAAUUUAAUCAAAAUCAAAUACGAGUGAUGUUAAUAUUUGUGUGAUCCAUCAAUGAAAGUUAUGGCUAAAAAGAGUUCAUCCAGCUAGAGCGUUACAUGUGCAAAUAGAGAUAAAAUAAAUUUAGAAUUCUAUCUGUGAGCUUUUACAUCAUUGACUAUGGUUGCUAACAAGCAUUUUCAUUGCAAAAUUUGACAACAUUUUUGGAUGGCUUUUGGAUUAUUGAUGUUGAUUACAUAAUUCUGUCGUAAUUCAGUUUUAUCACGUUCAGAUUUAGUUUUCUUACAUUUAUUUGAAUCUAAGUUACUAUUAUUGCACAUGAUUGUUGACAUCUGAAUUUCGCUAUUUUACUUAAGACUUAAUAGCAUUAAAAUUUAGGAAUAAGUCGCUAAAAAAAAUUGAUUUUUUUUAAAAAAAAAAAAAAAGAAGAGAGAAGAAGAAAAAACCUUAGGGGUCGGGCCGGAUCCGACCUUUGCCCAGCCCGCCGCCUUCCUCUUCUUUUCCCCCCGCGCGGCCCAAUCUCUUUUCCUUUCGGCACGCCCGCACCCCAGCUGUCUUCCUUGUCCUGUCUUCGCGCGCAAACCUGCAGAGGAGGACAGACAGCACGCGACCAGGCGGGACCGGCAGAAAGAAAAGACAGGGUAAAGCAGAGAGUAGGAGGAGGGGCAGAAAGAAAGUGGAGCAACCAGAGAAAGAAAAACAGAGGGAGAGAGCUCGAGAGGGAGGAAGAGAACCGGAGAGGAGGAGGGGAGUCUCCGGCACUGUCGCCACCGCUGCCGAUGCGUCUCCUAGCCGCCGACAUUUAUGAACAUUGAUCAAAUCCAACAAUUUUCUAAAAUUUAUUUGAAAGGCAAUUGCAUAAAAAUCGACAAGAAGUAAAAUGUCAAAAGGGUACUGACCUUCUUAUGACUCGUGCUCCUUUCUCAAGUUAUAAUUUUAUGCUCUUUUGCCUGGUGAUCUCGUCCUAUCCAUUCUAAAAAGGAAAAGAAACAACAAAUUUAUUGAGAUGUGUGAAAAUAUAAUAACAAAAAUGAAACAAAUUAUGCAGAUUCAUAAUAUUCAUGCCGAGAUAGCAAAAAAUUCACAAUCACAUCUAGAAAAAAGCAAGUUCGUUCAAUAAUUCAUAUGCUUCAUAAUUGUGAUCGAGGAAAGCGAACAUUAAAAUUAAGCCAAAUUUAUUCAAGACCACAUCCCGGAGGAAACAACCAACAACUACAUGCCACAUUUGACAUUUUCCUUUAAAAAUAAUGACAGCAAACUCCCAAAAAAUGAUGAGAAAUGAAUAGAAUAUCUAUGAACUAUUUUAGCAACCAAUAUGCCCUCAAACAAUGUCAUGACCCAACUAAAUCACAUCUAACCCAGAAUAUCCAGCAACUACCAUUGCAAAUGACCUAUGGUAAGGUGUUAGUCUUUAUUUACUUUUAUCUGUUUCUAUUUGCUAAAAAACGUUUGGUUUUGCUAAACGUUGGAGCACCACUACUGUUGACAUCUCCUUCUAUAAUUGCAGUUGGUACCUUUGGAUAUUUGUGGUCAUCUUCUUAUUGCUCAAUGUCCAAGGUGAGAAACCACAUUAAUCACAUAUUGCAAUUUCCAAAUUUACGCGUCAUGAAUACAACAAGGUUUACUUUUCAUUAUUGUAGUUUUUACCCCAGCAAAACAUGGCUGAACACAAUUUAGGCAUGGUUUGGCAUGGCGAUUCUAGUCCUCAUAUUGAGAAGGAAUUUGCACGGAGUUCAAUGGUCCUUUCCGGAGAAACACCUAGGCUGUUGAUGCUUCUGAGCAUACGAGAGUCAAGAGCAGUUAAUAUCAAGUUACCCACAACAUAAUUCCCAUCAAAACCCCUAAAGUAACGCUUAAAGGCCAAUCCUAUAAACGGGGGAUUUAACUAUAACUGAUGAGGGGCUGCAAUCAAUUAUGCAGGCUGGCAUGCAUACUUUUGGAUAUCUUUCAUGCAUACUUUUGGAUAUCUUUUGUUCUCUUUUUGGUGAGUAGAACCGUGUCCCGGCAUUGGGCUGCUUAAGCCACAUUGUACAUCUCUUGAGAAAUGAGUCAUAGUGGGAUUCAGUUUAUUAGUUAUUCUAUUUCCUUUUCUAGCUCUUGCUGUCGGAACAAAGCUGGAGCACGUGAUAAAUCAAUUAGCGCAAGAUGUGAGAGUGCUAGUAUGAACAAAAUAAAGGAGUUAAGGAAGAGAAUAAGAACACAGAAAUUAUAGUGGUUCGGCUUAAUCCAAGCCUACGUCCACUCUCCCACGAUAACAGCCUUCUUGGCUGGAUUCCACUAUGCAAUCAACAAGAGAUUACAACUCCGAGUGCAAACACUUAGUAGUAGAUCACACUAUCUCACUAAGUCACUCUCUUGGUAUUUCUCUCACGAUUACAAACGUUUAAGCUCUCAAGAGACAAGUAUAUGAUCUAAAGUCGCUUAGACUUUGGAAUUAUAAAUUCUACGCUCCGUCUCUUACUUGCUCAUCGGUCCAUGAUCUUCUUAAAUACUCCUCCACUUCCAAACUACCGUUGGACAGCAUCCCGGAGAAUCGUCUUCCAAUAUACCCAUUGGACAGCUCUGUAUCUUAGAAGAUUUGGUAGCCGUUGAGUGACAAAGGUAAAAUCCCAAAUUGAUUCCGAUCGCCCAUACAAACGAAAUCUUGGUUUCCAUAAGUAAAGCUUCUUCGUAUAGAAAGAUCUUGUCUUCAAUCAAAUCAAUCUUGAUGUGGAAUCCAAACCAGAUCACUAGCCGUUGUAUGAUUGGGCUUGAGUUACGAUUCAUCGAAUCUGGAUGUAAAGUCUGAGUCUUGAGACUUUACGAUAUGAGUCUUGAGACUUUACAACCUGGGUCUUUAGACUUUACAAUCUGAGUCUGUACCCAGUUCAGCUUCAGCAUAGAGUCUGUCUUCAGACUUUGAGUCUUGAGUCUGACAGUCUUCAGACUUUGAGUCUCGAGUCUGGCAGUCUUCAGACUUUGAUAAUAUCCUCUACAUGUUCUAUUAUCUGCAUGGUCUAUUACUCAACCAUCAAACAUGUUAGUAGCCUUUGAUUUAUUUUGUCAUCUUCAAAACAUCAUAAGGGAUUUCCCUAACAAGAUGUCGCGGAGAAGCAUGCAGCCGUGGAAGGGGACUUGGUGGUUCAACCUUCUGUUGAUCAUUUCUGGUUCCAUAGACCUCGCAUUGUCCUGCUGCUCAUUCAUAUCCUCCUCUUCCAAAAAGCUUUUGAGCUCGCUUUCUUCUUCUUCAUUUGUGCAAGGGAUAAAAAUAGCUGAAUUGCCAAAAGAAAAUAAGUGCUUACGAUUACUUACUGGAGCUUCCAUGGGGAAAAAACCUGGCAGGUUCAAUAUAGUUUUGACUCGUGCAUAAUGGGACAAGUCGGUUUCAUAAUCCCAAGACUCGUGAUAGGGUAAAAGCCUUCUUCCUUCUCCUCAUAUGUGGAUUUAUCCUUACCAAUAUCACAUGUAUCUGAAUGGCUAGCUACAGGCAAUGUUGUCAGGGUGUUGGUUCACUUCAUGUGCAGCUACAGCACCUUGCCACUCUAUGCGAUAGUUACCCAGGUGACCAAUCUAGGCACAUCGUUUUCACGGUUCAUGACUAUUUACUGCAACAUGAUAUUGAAACUGAUGGCAUACGUACUUGCGUGUUUGCGCUUGGUUGUUAAAGAUGGGAAGCUCAUUCAAGAAGGCUAUAUUUGAGGAACACAUACAUGAGGGGCUCAGCGUCUGGACCCAGCAUGCAAAAAUGAAGAAGAAUGCAAGAAUGACGGCGACUGGCACACGAUUGACCACCCUCCCCGUGGACCCCAAAGUGACUUAACAAUCCCUUGGCGAGCCAACGAAAGAAGCUGAGAUCCAAUAUGAUCCUUCCUUCCAGGGACCAAAAGAGAUGUAGCAACCAUUCGAAACAUUCCCUUCCAAUUUCCAUGUUUCAUCAUCUUUAGACCUCUUAAAUGGGAAAGUCGGCCUGCUUUCUCUACCCCGAUGUUGAUUAUAUUUCAUAACCAGACACCAAACAACAGUCAACAAAAAUGAACCUUCCAUCAAGCUCUAUUUUCUCCGAGACGGUCAUUUCUCAUUCUACAAGGUUACAUGUGAUCAUUUAGAUUUCUAGUUAGGAGAAGAUUAGAGGAUAUAAAAAUUUUGCUAAAUUCUAUCAAUUGUUCGUCGCAGAGAUAAAAUCGAAUAUAUCCACAUCAUAUUAUAUAUAUUGUAUGGUAUAAACAACAUGUCAAUACAAAAUGAAUCUAAAAUUUGCGCAAUAGAUAUGAUAAAAAUCUCUCAUAACUCUCUAACUUCAUUUUUUAUUUGCUAAUUUUUUUUAUAAAAAAAAAAUUCCUAUAUUUUUUUUAAAUUUUUUUCCCCCUUCCAUCAUUCUCUAAUAAAAUUUUAUUAUAUAGUAAACUAUAGUAAUAUAUCUAAAAUACUAAAGUCCUAAAAUAUGUAAUAUUCAUAAUGAAUAUAUGUUUAUAUAUUGAUUAAUAUUAUAAGAUAGAAAUAAAUAAAAAGAGGAUUAAAUAAAAAUGAAAUUUUUGCUUUUUUGUUAUUUUGAAUUUUUUUAUCAGAAUUAAACUAUUAUUUAUCUUCCAAUAUUAUUUUAAUUUUAUAAUAAGAAUUUUUUUUUUUGAGAAAAAAUCUUUUAUAUUAUAGAUAUUAGAAAUCUUAUUUACCUUUAUCUCACCUCUCCAUAAAAUAAUUAUAUCCAUGCUAUAGCCCUCUUAAAUAUUGAACGAACACCAAACAUAAAAUAAAUAUUAUAUCCUAAAUUUUAUUCCGAUUGUCAAAUUAUUCCACACAUUUGGACUUUUAAUACUUAAAAUCUGAUUCUAGGAAAUGAGUCAAUAGUAAAAAGUGAAAUUUUCUUGGUGCGCAAUGUUGCAAUCUUGCAGAUCAUGGAGUAGGAUAUUUUAUGUACCAAGACAGUAAACUCAAGAGAGCAAUUGCCUUAUAUGUAUCUUCUUCGGCAUAAUUUAUUACAAAUACAAAAGGAGAUACAAGAUCAAUAAAUCGUGAUUCAAUGCUUCAAAUUAUUCCCGCCCAAGCUAUUUUUGCUGUCAUAGUGGAGCUGCAAAACCAAGUUAUUUUGCAGACAUUAACUAUAAAAAUGGUUUCAAUAACAAAAAGUAGUGCAUAAUUCAACAAUCAUUACCCAUUAAUUUAAACCUUUCAUGAUUAAUCAAGAAAGUGGUUUGAGACAACAGCUCAAACAUAAACAUCAUGACGGUAACUGACUAUUACACAUAUUCUGCAGCAAAAUAGCCGCCUAUCUAUACUUCCAAUACGCAAAAUUCUCCUUUAUCAAACCGGACCCGGCCGUACCGACCGGUCUAAACCCGGGUCGGGUCAGACCGGACCCGACUCAUUUCGCCCUUUUUUAAAAUUAAAAUUAUUUUUAAAAAAUUUUAAUUAAAAAAUUAAAAAUUAAAAAUUUCGAAAAUUAAAAAAUAUAGAGUUUGGUUAGGAAUUGUCAUAUCUUGCAUUUUUACAGUAAUAUUAGGCUUUUAUUUUCUUACACCUUGAUUAUAUUGCAUGUUUGAUUCGCAUAUUUGAUUAUGUUUGUAGAUGUUCAAUUGCACGUACUCAAUUUUACUAUAAUUAAGAUCUUCAUAACUACGAUUGUUAUUUUAAUGAUUGUGUAUUCAUAUGAUCAACUCAUAUGUUAGUGGAUAUGUAUAAAAUUAAUCUAAACUGUCGAACAAAAAUCAUUAAAUUUUUAAAUGAAUAAAGAUUAUGUACAAAAAUGGCACUAAUUGGUUGCGUAGUAAGUGUGGCAUACUUCCAUGCCUCACUUGAUUUUUUUUUUUCUUUUUGCAAAAUUCUUAAGAAUAUCUAAUGUCAUGCGAGAUAUAGACUUGGAAGAGCUUGUGCUUAAUCAUGGGCCUUUUGUCCGUCAUUUAAUCUAUCCCCUCCCCUUGAGGGAAGUUUGCGACAAUGAUCUAAGCUCCAACAAUAUUCUUACAUGACAUUUUUUGCUUGUUAAUCAUGUGACUUUAACGAUGUUGUAAGUUAAAUCGAUUACACGUAAAAAGUUCCUAUCAAUAAUUGACACAAAUAGUAGUAGUGGACCGACCACAUAACAUUAGAUUGGCAGUAAAAAAUCUAAUUUCAAGAGAUCAAUAGCCUAACUGUAGCAAAUAUCGAACUUUGGCACCGUGAAUGAAAUUUCUCAGUGUUAAAAAAUAAUUUUCCUUCUCUUGUCGCGGCCACAGAGAAAAUCUUUUGACACCGCCACUACAAAAAAGGAUCGUGUUUUCUUCCAUCACAAAUUUGAUUGGCAAGUUAUCAAAAUCUGAAGAAUCAUCCUAGAGACCGAUUCAAGGACAGCAAUUGAUCUACUAGUUGGCAAGAUUACAGAGUUGUCGAGGCCAGAUUGGGUGGUGAAAACCAACACAGCCCGUGAAGGCAAAACGUGCGACGAUUGAUAAGCCAAUGCAGCGUUCUUUUAGAGACCAUAUUUAGUUAUUCACUUAGGUUUAUCUACGGGGCUUCAAUUUGUACUUUUUAGGAGAUAAAAGUGGGUGUUAGGAGGCCGGGACUUGCAUAUGAGAUGUGUUAGAAAUUAAACCAAAUUAAUAAAUGUCCUCAAUUGACUACGAGUUGCUGAUGUUAUGGAGAAGUUACCGAUAUUAAUGGUUGUCAAUGCCGAUAUUCCAGAAUUUGGUACCGAUGAUUUUGUUUGGUAAAUUUUUUUUUUUUUUGUCAGUCUUACUCUAUGCCUACUUUACACUCACUCUCAGACUUCUGCCCUGCCUCUUGUAGGGCUUGGGAGUCGAAACCCACUCCUGAAACUUACGCGUCCCCACCCCAUCCCCCUAAGAAGGUGGGGAUUUGAACCCCACAUCUCCCCCUUCCAUGUUGGAAGGAUGGCUACUGGGAUGAAUCCCACUGGGGUGAAUUGAUACGGAUGACUAUCCGAUGCUCGAGUUAAUUAGAUUCUUUAUUGUAGCGUUGUUUUUUAGAAGUCUAUUCGUAUUUUUAUUUCAUGAUUGUUCAUGUUUCUAAGUGUAAUCAAUGUUUUGCAAGUUCUUAAGAUUUUAUCACCUCAGAACAUUAGCUAUAUUUAUGAGUCAUUUAGUUUAAGAGUUAUGUGUGAAGCGUAUAAAAUUCGAGUCUUGUAAUUGUUUUCGAUAAGGUGAAAAAAAGGUGAAAUAAACAAAAAGGAUAGCUGUCUCCUUCUCUUUUUUGUGUUGUGUUAGUGAGUGUUUCAGCUUUAAAUUAUCUCAUCAAGAUCUAGCUUGUAUUUGUCUUUUACAAAAACUCAAAAUUUUCUAGUUUUGAUGCCAUAUGAAAUUAUGAAGGAGCAUUAUUAGCUAUUAUAGAAGUUUAGAUAAUUAGAUGGAUGCAUUAUUCAAUACUUAAUUGAUAUGACGCCUCUUUCACGACCUGUGUUACCUUUCAACAACUAGAUUACUUGCACAGCUUGGGCUCAAUGGACGGAGAGCUGUCUAUAAAAGUGGAGGAUGGUGGGAUGAACAACUCGAUCGCGGAGGAGGUAAAGAAGGAUGAAAGAGGACAUUUAACGGAAGUGUCAAAGGAUGAAAGGGAUUCUGAAGAAGAAAUCUGGGGAGGUCGACGGGAGAUAAUGAAUAAUGCAUUGGCGGCUUCCGCGGGGGGACAAGAUCCGGCAAAAGCUUACGAAUAUGCUCGAAAACUGGCGGGUGUCAUCAAAGGCGGCAAGGUUGACGAGUUCCUUUCCACGAUCAAUGUAAAUGAUCCAUCGUUGCGGGACAUCGAUUGGUCUGCCGUUUUAAAUUCCCGAUUGGAUUGGAACGAAUCACUGCUCCACGUGGCAGCAGAAACCGAGAAGGACGACAUCCUAAGGCUUCUGGUUGAUUAUGUUGGUGACCACCUCAUAACCGCCCAAGAUGAUUGGGGAAAUACCCCACUCCACCGGGUCACCCAGUUUGGGGGAUCUACUGGAGCUGCAGAGAUGUUGAUUCACCGGGCAAGAGACCUCCCCAACGUCGAGGACAAGAACCUCCUCUUGAGGAUGAAGAACAAACGUGAAAACACCGCUGUGCACUUCGCCGUGCGCUCUCAACAUGCCAACUUGGUGCGCUAUUUGGUGUACUGGAAGAACGCGAGUGAGAAAUCUCCCCUGUACCGAGUCCUCUACAUUAACGACUCCACAAUACAUGAGGUUUUAUUUUCACUCUCGUUGGAACCAUCAAGGAUAGAAGGCUUGCCGCCCAUUCAUGGUGCCAUUGUACUUCUACGACACGGUACGUACCUAAAUCUGCUUAUGUGGAAAUAUAUUUAUCUUUUACUGGACCGACUCGUCCCAAAUCUGUGCAAUAACUUUUUGCUGUUACAAGAACCCCUUACCAGUUUUUACUUAAAAUUCCCUACCCUGCUUGUUAAAGUAGUUGGAUACCCAUCGGUUUAGUCGCAUAAUAAACAAAAUAUUCACAUUAGAGCAUAAUAGAUGGCUUAAAUAUUACAAAUACAACCAUUUCACUAGAAACUCAUGUGUUGUCGAUCUUUGAUUAGAAAAGCUAUAAAGUGCAAAUAUUUAAGAUUGAUGACCAUGACAAUCUGGAAUCUAACAAUGACGCCAUUUUGUUGGUUGCGCAGGCGUGAUUUUUUCAUUGGAAAAAGAGGAGGUGAAGGUUCCGUCACUCUCAGCAAAUUGAUGGAAUAUCGUAAACCGUUAAUUUUUUUGUGACCAACAUUCAAUAGGUUUUUAAGAAAUUAACAAAAGUGGAUCUAAAUAAAGAAAGAAAUUUUUGACUUUUUUUUUUAAAUGAAUACAAGUUAUCAUAAUCUUUGCAGAAAAAGCCGAUACCGUAGUCUAGCCUAAAUUACCUUGACCAUUAAAAAUAUUGAGAUAAAAUUCAUCAGACACGCAAUAAUCAAUUAUGUUGAAUUUUUUGGCUGCUAAUGCCAUGUAUCCCAAGUUUACUACUUGAAAAGCGCAACUAAUGUUCAUUGAUCAUCAGAUUGGUAGAUGGCAUUCAUCUGUUACAGUCAUAUCAAAUAGAGAGAAUUGUCCAAAAAGUUCUAAAUUUAUUGUACGAUUAUCAAUUCAGUUAUAAACAUGUCAAUUGUGUCAAUUUAACCUCCAUUUUAGUCCUAAACUUUUUAAAGAUUUAAUAAUUUAGUCCUUCUAAUUAAUUUCUACUGGAAAUCAAUUUCUUCUGGAAAUCGCUGACAUGGCGGUCUAGUCAAAGCUAGCCAUCCUACGCGAUGUUGAUUGCCUUUGUGGUUUUUUUACAAUAUAUUUUUUAAUUUUUUGCAUUUUUUUCCUUUUCUUUUUUUAUCCUUUUUUCCCUCUACCAGCCUUAGACGAGGGCCGCCCUUCGACCCUUGCGUAGAGCAACCCUUGCCCUUGCUUGACUUCCACUAGGCGUCAACCGUUGAUGGUUAGAGAAGGGAAAAAGGAAAAAAAAAUUAUAAAACUAAAAAAAUUGCAAAAAUUAUCCGCAUUAGCGUUGGCUGUGCCAUGUAGAACAAUCAGUACUACUAGACCACCAUGCUUAUGAUUUCCAACAAAAUUGGCUAGAAUGAUUAAAAUGACAAAUUGUUAAAAGAUUUAUCACUAAAUUGGCAAGUUAUUAAAAUUGUUAUGACUAAAUUGGCACAAUUGAAAGAUUUAGACUGAAUUAAUCAUCAUACAAUAAAUUCAAAACUUUUUGGACAAUUUUCCCUAUCAAGUAUAAUUCCAACCCUAGAUGCAGUAACUUUAUUUUUAUCAUGUCCCAAUUUAUUAAUCCAACCACAUGUUAUUAUUUACAUUGCACGACAUAACAUGUUUGAGGCUUUCUAUUUGAAUUGAACAUGCAAAACAAUUUCAAAUGGACAUAAAGUGAAAAUGCGUAACAAUGUAUUGUGUGAUGCAAAUAAUAAAUUAGCAUACCCAAUAAAUGUAUGUGUCUAAACUUAGGUUGCACUCGUUGAAUAGAUUAUAGAAGUCGACCUGCACACAUAACGUUCAUAAUCCAUUAUAAAUGGCUUAACUUAUUUGCGAUAAUACAAUUAAACCUAAUUCUACCAUAUUUAACCACGUUUCAUGUAGUGAACAUGUAUGUAGAAGGGCUGUUUUAUAGUUUGUCAGCUCAUAAUUCUAACAAGCACUUUAGAAACUAUACAAAAGAUCCCAUUGAAAUUGGAUUUACUGUAUAUUUCUUAUUCUUACUGUCCAAUAUAUAAAAAUCCUUUUAUGAAGUACUACUGAUUGAAAUCUCGUAAUAAUAGUUCAAUUUAUUCUUCAUUGAAUGCAAAAGUAGAUGACAUUGUGGAAUGAAUCGAGCGUUGCCAUGGGCUUUUGUAGAUAGGCACUUUAAUUAGGUUAUCAUGAUAGGCACUUUUUUUAAGGUUCAUAUCAAUUAAAUAAGGUAAGGUUAUUUCUUUAAAUCUAGUAAUGUUCUUUCACUUGGGAAAAUUAUCAAAAAAGUCCUAAGUAUAUUGCACUUUUGCCAAUUCAAUUUUAAAUUAUUCAAUUUUGUCAAUUCAGUGCUAAACCUUUUUCACUUCUUACCAAUUGAGUGUAUUCGACUAAUUUUGAUCAGAAUUCAUUGAUGUUGAUAAUUUUUAUUAAUAUUUUAAUCCUUUUUAAAAAAAAUUAUAUUUUUUUCGAUUUUCUUUCUUUCUUCCCCCCAUUCUUCUUCCUUUUAUCAGUGGCCGGCUACCAAUCACCAGUGAUGGCCAGCUACUAGCCAUGGCUGGGUGAGUUGACCUUGCCGUAAGUGAUGCCUAGCCAGGCAAGGCCAAGCCUCAACAAGGGUCGACCUCACCUAGGUUAGGCAAGACCAACCCUUGCCCAAACUAGGCGAGAUCGCCUGGACGAGGGUGAGCCCCCUUGUUCGGCCACAUCUUACUGAGGCAUGCGAGGCUAGCUAGCUUGGCCAUAGUCGGUGGCUAGCACAAAGGAAGAAGAAAGGGAAAAAAAAUUAGAAAAAAAAUCAAAAAAUAUUUUUAAAAAUUGUUUACAUUAGUGCCGACUAUCCUACAUGACACCGCUAAUGUCCACGUCAGCAAAUUCCUAUCAAAAUUGGCCAGAUAGACUCAAUUAGCAAGAAGUAAAAAGGUUUAUAACUGAAUUGACAAAAUUAAAAAGUUUAUGACAGAAUUGGUAUAAGUGCAAUAGAUUUAGAACUUUUUGGACAAUUUUCACUAUUUCACUAAUGUAUCUAGAAUGUAACCGGUUACCCAUAUUGAAAUUUGUGGCCUGAAUUGCUCCGUCAAUUUCAAGGAUGAUGGCAUCCGUCAUGCGAGCACCUUUUUUUGUAUUUGUGUAAAAUUGAAGUAUGUUUUUUAUUAUAAAUUAUUGGUGAAAUAUUAUUCUAUUUCAUAAAAAAAUUCUUCUUUUGAAUAGACUAAAUGCAAAAUUCUUAAUUCGUGUUAUAUAUUAAUGUAAAUAUAGGGGGGUCAACGACAAUUAGAAAAUUCCUAAUUAUCGCUGUUAUAUGACUGAUGAAAUUUGUAUAUGUACGUAACAAUAUUAUUAGAGUAUAUUUUAUAGGAAGUAUUAUAGAAAUGUAAGAAUUUUCAAUAAUUGCUCAUUUGCGGUUUUUGAAACUCAUUAGAACUAAUUUCAAUAAAACUAAUGCCUCUUUUGUUGAACAAAAUUCAUGGUAUAAGAGGCAAACAUAGAUCCUAAUUUGAAGCAAAAUAAAUGGAAAGUGGAAGAAAAACACUCUUUGUGAGGAAAAUAAUUAAUCCCUUACAAAUUAGAGCCCUAUAAAUCACUUUUAGAGACAAUUCUUAAAGAAAAAAAUCAUUAUAUAUCUAUGUAGAUGUUACAACAGUCUAGAUUAAUUUGCAAAGUUCAUUGAACUUUUAGUAUUAUGGAUGUAAUUUUUUUGGCGAUGAAAUGAGGCUUGUUUUAUUUUGUGUUGUGUCAUCACAGCUUAAAUAUGUGGUCGUUAUAGCUAGGAUAUAUAUGACUCCAUGCAAUGCACAUACCAUAUAAUGUGAUUUAUUGAGUAAAAAUAUCUUUCCCAGAAUCACUAAAAUUUCACAAAAUAUAUUUGGUCCAUUCACAAGAUAUAAUGGGAUUGAGUAGCACAAUCCCCAAGGAUGAGGUUAUCUCUAAAUCACUCUCGCCUGUCUUUGAAGUCCAAUGGCCACCCACAAUCCUCAAACACCGUUGGAAUAUUCUCAAACAAUCGAAACACCUCUUUCACAUUAUUGAACCUCUUUACUAGCACCUCCAAAUUUUCAUAGUUGGGGCCAAAAAAAAAUUUCUUUUGGUGGAGCCUUUUCCCUUCUGUAAUUUGUGAUUUAUAAGCUCUACUAUCUUCGAAAUAGAUUCUAGUCACAAAUUUUACUUAGAUUUUACUCAAAAUUUUUGGUAAAUAUAUAAUCUCUUAAUUGAGCUGAAUAAGUGCCGUAUACCUUUACGAAGAAGAUGACGUUUAAUCUAGAGAGGGUGGAACAAUUUUAAGGGGGAUUUCGGUAUGGUGCUGUGGAGGCUAUUGCAAUGUUCUCAACAAUUAAAUAAGGCCCCGUUUGGUUGGACUUUCCCAAGGGGCUUUUGGGCCCGAAAGCCCCUUGGGGAAAAAUUUUUGUGUUUGGCAAUCAUUUUCAAAUGCUACUUGGCCAAAUGUCAGCAUCCCCAAUCCUGAAAGCCCAAUGCUGGGAGGACCAGCUUUGAGCAUUGGGCAUUUCAGAAAUGCCAGUCCACUGUUCAUCUUCUUCCCCCUUUCUUCUUCGUUCGUCUUCUUCGUCUUCGUCUUCCUCGCUGACUGAGAGUGCGGCUUCUCCGGCAGCCGCCACCGCCGCGUGGGGGUCCCGCGUCCCUGGUGACCACCGCCUGGGGUGGCGAGACCCGCGACCCAGGCGGCGUCGCCUGGCGGGCGCGAGCUAGGCGACGCCACCUGAGGUCGCGCGGACCUCAAGUCGCUAGAUCUAGCCGUCCGGCGGCCAGAUCUAGCGGUCUUGAGGCCAAAUCUUACUGCCGGACGGCCAGAUCUGGCCUCCGCGACCUCAGGCCGCCAGAUCUGGUGGUCCGGCGGCCAGAUCUGGUUGGCCGGCGGUUGGCCGGCCGCCGGAAUUCGAUUUUCUGACUUAAAUAAAAAAUAAAAAAUACCAAAAGUCAAUUACAAAGCUGAAUUUUACCAAACGGUGUUUAUACUAAGUUGCCUUUCAAUGCUACAAUUUACCAAACGGUAUAACAUUCCCAUAAACCCCUUUACCUCAAAGAUAUUUGUAUUCUCCAAAUGGCAUUUCCCCAAAGUUGAACCAAACGGGCCCUAAGUCUGCUUGAUACUUGCUAAAAUUCGAUGGACAUAAUAUGAAAAGAUCAUUUUCCUUUUCUUGAUCUUGCCCUAGCUUGCAUUACGUCUGCCGACUCUAUAGAUACUUCAUGUCGUGGACAUGCCAUAUAAAUUGCUAUGUCAUUUAGUAAGAUUUUUAUAGUGAAAUCUUAAGUACCUGUCGAUGUCAUUAACUAGUUUUGGUAUUGCAAUCUAAUCUGUUAUUGUCGACUAUCAAUACUAGUAGUGAUUAAGGCACGUCAAAGAUGUCCUUACUCCAAAAAGGGUUUAGAUAUAUAGAGACCAAUCAAGCUCUAACCAUCCUAAUUUGGAGCUCUUGAUCCCAGGUUUAUUCGACCUGAUGCUCAAGAAAAACAUGAAGCUAUUUGCAAUGACCGACUCAACGGGGGCAAUGUGUUCCAUUUAGCAGCUCACUUGAAUAUCGCCUGGGUAUUCGAAUUCUUACGACCAGAAACUGAAUAUUUGACCCGAGUAAGGGACAAGAAUGGAGAUCUCCCCAUUCAUAUUGCGAGCAAGAUGGGUUAUGUUGAACAUAUCGAGAAGCUGAGGGAAGUAUCACUUUUGCCAAAUGGGCAAGGGCAAACCGUUCUUCAUAUUGCCGCAAAAUAUGGGAGAGUCUCUGUAGUGAGAUAUAUACUCAGCAAUCCAGAUCUAAGGAGGAUGCUGUUGAAUAAACAAGAUAAUGAUGGAAAUGCUUGUUGGCUGUUGACAUUGCUCGACGACACAAGCCAGAGGGGUAUAAGAUUCGGCAUGUAGGUAACAUGAACAGUCACUAUUUUAUUUAUUAACUUACUGGAGAUUUCAUAGACUAAUGCAUUGGUUAAGGCAGAUCUGGUAUUCAAAUCAUUAUGUCUCCCAGCCAACUAGAUAGUAGAAGUAUUGAUCAAAUUUCUAGAACAGCCGAGACUCCUCUCGGAUAAAUGUUUCGCAAGUCCCUAAUUUAGUCUUGAUAGGAGGUAAUUAAAAUUUGUGAUCAUGAAUUUCUCUGCAGUUAGAAACAAGUAACGUGUCUUUCAUAACACGGAGAUUAAAAUUUAUAUAUUUCGUUUAAUUGAGCCUCUGAAUACGGUCAUGAAUAAAAAGGCAGGGUUUGUCAAGGUUGCAUUCUGUUUUUCAUAAAAAGCCAGGGGUCAAUGUGGCAAAUUUGACCUCUCCAAAUGUAGCACAAUCUCAUGACAUUAUCAUUUUGUCGACCUAUGAAAUGAUUGCCCACAUAGAUUCCAUUCAUGCCUCUUUUUUCGUCUAAAACGAACUUGGUAAUUUUGUGCUAAUUCUUCAAAAAGAUCAGAAACUGCGUCUUUAGAAGCGAACGUUUCCAGAGUUCAUUCCCGUUAUAAAUAUGGUAUAAGUUUGUUCUUAUUUUCCUUUUUACAUGCUUCCGAUCUCAGCACUUGGCAUUCCUGGUGUUGCUUUGCUCGCUCGCGGGAAAAGGUCCACUUAAAAACCCGGAGUUAUUCCUAGUUAGAGCGGAAGCUCGAGAUGAAGAGUUAUCAGUAGUCCGCUCGCGCAAAAGCGUGCCGAGCAGGAAAAUCGUCAAGGAUUACAUCAAUUCCCGUAUGGUGGUGGCAACGCUUGUGGCCACAGUGACUUUCGCAGCUGGUUUUGCAGUUCCUGGAGGAUUUAACGGCUCGGACACAGCCUCCAAAGAUGACCGGGGCAUGGCUACGAUGUUGGACAAUAGAAUGUUCCAGGCUUUCGCGAUUUGCAACACCAUCGCGAUGUUCUGCUCAAUGACUGUGGUCGUCAACCUCAUCUGGGCGCAGAUAGUUGAUGUCGACGUUGCAGUCGCUGCAUUCCAGCGCACAACGCUACCACUACAAAUUGCACUCCCGGCGAUGUCCACCGCUUUCUUAACUGGUGUCACCUUGACCAUUGGCAAACUCCCGUGGCUUGCUAACACCAUAUUUUAUAUGGGACUCGUUUUCCUCCUCAUUAUCUCAUUUGCUAAAUUGUUAGAGAAGCCUCUCCUCUUUAAAAUCCUCGGUCGUCCUCUCCUUCGACUAACAUUCUGGCUUAUUCUCGCUUACGUUUAUGUGUGGAGAGUUGAGACGUACAUUUAUGUUGACAAUGACGCGAAAGAUAACAGAAGGAAGAGCAAGACCUUCGCUAGUCCGCCUGUGGAUGGUGCUGGUGAAUCGGGGACCGAUGACUCGGCGAAAGCAAAAUGUGAGACAUCCUCCAAGUCACUGAUUUGAAUUUGAUCAUUCCAUAUUAUCUGUAAUAUGUAGUAAUAAUAUAUGUUUUCCUUGGUGAGUGCGACUCACGAUACGGUUGAUUUCCUUUAUGUCAGACCAAAGGUGAUUGUUAAUAUAUGUAAGCUAAACCAUGUGUUUCUCUAAUAACUUAACUUAUUAGAAUUGUUGGAUAUAAUUCCAUCAAAUUUCAUAUGUUAUUAAAGCAGAGGUUCUAAGUUCAAACAUUUUCAGGUCAUAUUUGCUUCAUCUAUUAUAUGUUCUCAUGUUUCAAUCUUAGAUCAAUUCAAGUUUAUGAGUAAAGAUGAGUAUAAAAGUAUUUGUAUUAAAGUAUUUGAAUUAAACAUUGCAUCCAUCUAAUAAUUUAAAUUUUUAGAAUAAUUAAUUGUAGUUCCCGAAAUUUCAAAGUGAUACACACUUCAUGUAAAUUAAAUGGAUGAAUGGCUCAUUUCAUCCGUUUCAUUGCCCUGGAAUCUAAUUGUUAACUUUGAACAUGUGGAAGCUCGUGGGUUUAUGAAAUCGCUCGUCUGGAGUGGCCACGUUCGAUUCACUUUGAACCAGUCCAAUUUGCGGCACUCUCGAGUCAUGAAAUCCUAAGCACUCACUUAGUCACUUACCUGUCUAGUGUGCAAAGAAAAUAAUUCUCAUCGCCUACUCUCUGAGUCAAGACUUGGGUGAAGAAAACCGGAACAAAAUAAUUCUCUUCAUUGCUCACAAAAAAAUAGAACCAAACACCGAACUCAUUUCCAUUUACACCCGUUUCAUUUCCCCACUUCUCCCUCCUAGGCGCCCAAUUUCUGUGCACGCAAAUGAGUUUUGGUGUUUGAUUCAUGGCGGGGUAUAAUCUAGUGAGCAGCGGGCGCAGAAGUCUAGUCAAGGGACGAGAUAAAAAGGAAUUGCAACACGCAACUCAAGGAGAAUUGUGGAAAAGUCUGGAUAUGCGAUUUUCCUCCUCCGAUCUCGGAUUUUUAUUUCAAAGCUGGUUGGUAUUGACACGUAGAAUAUAACUCUAAAGUGAUUCUGGACCUAUUUAUUCGACAGUGAACGUAGAUAAUUACAAAAAAUAAAAAGGAUCUCAUUGUACAAAUGUCUAUUGAGUUAUAAACUUUCUAAAUUAGUCGAUUUAAUUUUAAACAUCUUGACGAUUUGCCAAUAUAAUUAUGCUAACCAAUUUUGACCAAAAAUCGUUGACGUUGACGCUAGCCAUCCUAUGGCACAUGACCAGUAUUGAGGUGAAUAACUUUUGUAAUUUAAAAAAAAUUCUCAAUUUUUUUCUUUUUUUCAUGUUUUCAUUUUCUUCAUUUUCCUUUCUUAUAUUUUCCUUUUUUUCUUUUACUUAUUCCCCUUCGCCAUCCAUUGGCCAGUCCAUGGCUUCGGUGAUUGAUAGUAAGGCCCCAAUGCCCUCGCCAGCGAUUGCAAGGGCUGAUGGAUUUGCUGGGGCCACAGACUAAUGGAGGGACAAAGGAAGAAAAAAAAUGAAUGAAAACUUAAAAAAGGACAAAAAAAAAAAGAGUUUUGAAAUAAUUGUAAAAAUUAUCCACAUUAACAUCCGCACCCAGAUCUGGGCGAGUCCAAUCUUGUCAUGGCCUGGCCUAAAUCUGGGUGAAGCCGCCUUGUGCACAGCCCCGAGGCCUCAUUUGUGCCCAACAAGGCUCGUCAAAGAAGCAAAAGAAUGAAGAAGAGAAAAAAAUAAAAGGAAAAGUAAAAAAAAAAUUAUUAAAAAUUGCCACGUCAGCGUUGAGCGAAUGGCCAGCGUCGACAUCAGCGCUAGCCGACCAAAAUUAGUCGAAUAGAUUGAAUUGACACAAUCACAAAAAAAUUAGAACUGAAUUGGCACAUUUAUAAUGGAUUUAGGACUUUUUUGAUAAUUCUCCCGAUCUAUCUAUUAUCUCCAUUUUUAGAUUGCGACAUGUGUCCAUCCAAUUUUAGUCCUCACUGCAUCUUAUCUAAAUACCAUCAAACCUUGGAUGGUACUUGGAGAUCUAUGCAAAUAUUUAUAUAUAAAAAUUAUAUUGAGAUAGUAAAGUGUGCUCACCAUCAUCAUAUAAAAAUUAUCCUGGGGGAUUAAAUGUUUCAAUUAAUUACGGUAGGAUGAGAAGUAUUUUUCAUAAAGAACGGACAUUCAAGAAGUCUUGCUAGAUUGAUAGAUUGAUGUUGCAAAUGGUUCUCUUCUCAAGUAGCAUGAAAAAUUACGCUACUCAAAUGUAGAGCCUCCUUUUUUUCUAUUUUUUCGGCAGAUCUUUCAAAUCAAAUUACAGGGUUACGACUAUGAAACCUCACAGUACAAGUACAAAAAAUACCAAAUCAAUCAUCUAUUAACUUCUCGAUGCUCAUUAAAUCUGAUUCACAAAAUAGGUUGGGACCCAUUUUGCUAGCCCUACUAAAAUCUAAACAUUUUAAUAAAUUAAGGAUUUAUAUGGCGUCCUAGUUCACAAAGAUGUGCCGUUGUUGUUGACAAAUCAACAGUGAUUGAUUUUCAUGAACUCGUCGUCAUAUUGUCGACAUUCCCAUUAUAUAUGAGCAUAAUAGCGAACUUUGAUUUUCGAGCAUCAAGAUAUAAGAUUGGCUUAAAUAGAAUGCCAAAUAGCCCAAGUGUCACAAUUAGAUAAGUCCAAACCCCAAACACGUUCAACUACGGUUUUUUUUUUCUUUUAACUUUAUUCACAUAUUAUUAGACCAUACUUUAUGGUUAAUGAUCAUAUAUAUCGCGGUUUAUGAAAGACUGUGCCACAUCGAUAGUUUUAGAUGUUAGUCCAAAUUCGAAAUACUGGGCCAACGUUUGAGAUUUUAUUGGCCAUUCGACAUUUCAUUUAUUACUCAUGAAGUCUAUCAGUGCAUGAAAUUUACUGAAAAUUAGAGAAUCUCACAAUACCAACAAAAUAUCAAGUUUUUUUUCAACUUUUUUACCCUUGAUACACUCCACAUACAGCCCAAUUUACAAAAUUCUACAAAAACCACUGCUCAGCAAAGACGAACAACAGCACCCAUCGGCCCAACAUGCUUAACUCCAAGCAUAGAGUGACUCGAACUCUUCUUGUCUCCUUUUCAGUUUACCACAACCAGACAUAUUUAAUACAGUACCGUGAACAAGACAAGAUAGCGAUGAGAUCGGCUCAAUAGGCAUCAGGGUUUGCCAAGCGAUAAGCCUCGAUGGCCUUGAACAUCCCGGACGCCUUCUCUUUCCCAGCCUUGAUCUUCUCCUCAGUUAUGUCCGCCUCGCCAAUGGUGAAGUACUUGCUCGUGCUCUUGCACACCGAGCCUCCCUCGGGCGAAGUGGUGAUCUUCAUCUCGUAGCUGAUCUUCUCAAGGGUGGUGCCCAGCGAGUCGCCCUCAAUGAUGGAGUAGCUGUAGGUGAAGUUCUCCUUGUCCAGGGCCUCGACCUUAUGCUUCAUUGUCUUGUACUGACUGCCUAUCAAGGUAACAAAAAGUAAUAUUCACGUUUAGAACUCGCUGGUUUCAACAUCACGAGCAAUGAUCUUGAUGGUGUCGAUUGGGCCAUUUAGGAUGUUCCAACUGCAAUCUGAUACGAUUGGCUUAGACAUGGCCUGAUUUCCCUCGAUUAGAGUCAAGUCACGUGAUCACUUGUGUAAAUCAUCGAGAUGCUUGUUUCACCGUCGAAGCACCAAAAUCAGAGCAAUAAGAGUCACGAGAAGUAGUAAGCAGCAAACGCAACAAUCACAUUAAUCAGAACCUUUCUCUGAGGGUCAGUCAAUUCACUGCUCGACCCACAUGGAGACAUUCCGUCGCGUUUCCUCACAAGCCCGGAUUUGCGAUAAAAGCCCUUCCCACUGAUUGUUGGAAAAGGCGACCACUAGGAACUGCGCCUGUCAGCUUGUUUUACAAGAAGCCAAUGAAGCUUAAACGGCUCAUGCUGGUGAUAGCAGCUGGGAUUGUACCCAACAAAUCGUUAUGCGAAACAUUGAGAUUUUCCAAUUCAGUGAGCUUUGCUAAAUUGGAAGAAAUUGAUCCUGCUAGUGAAUUGUGGCUCAAGUCUAGGUGGUUAUGUAGCGUGAACGAGUUCCCCAGCUCUGGCGACAUGACGCCCAACAGAUUGUUGUUGCUCAAGUUCAGGCUCAGUAAAUUCUCACAAUUUGCUAGCUCUUUUGGUAUGCUACCGCUCAAUGCCUUCUCACCAAAAAACAAGAUCACCUGGCUUCGAUAAGUUUUCUAACGAGGAGGUAAUAUCUCCGGCCAAAUGGUUGUUGCUCAAGUUCAGCCUUAUCAACUCCCCUAGAUUUCCCAUCUCGUCGAGAAUUUUCCUGGCCAGUUCAUUGCCGUAGGAAGUCAGAACAUGCAACUGGGACAAUUUCCUGAGCUCCGACGAGAUGCGGCUGGCAAUUUUGUUACCAUCUAUCAGCAAAUUCGAUUCAUACACUCUCCCCAUUCUGCAGAGAGAUUCCCGACAAAUCGGCUGUUGCUGAGGCUUAUAAAGUCCAGAUUCGGUCUGAACGCACUCAUGAUACCUGUAGUGAACCGAUUGCUGUCCAGACGGACUCUCGUUAGCCCCGGAAAAUUUCUCAAGCAGUCAGGCGGCAGCUCAGUGAAGUUAUUCCCAUCGACUGCGAGAUAUCCAACAGCAAAGUCGCUGCAUAUAUCUUGCAGCAUUUCUCCGAUGAAGCUGUUGUUCGAAAAGGUAACGAUCCCCAGAGAAGGGCUGUACUUGCCGAAAUCACGUGUUAUGCCUCCUGAGAAAUUGUUCUUGAACAAAGAGAUGGACCGUAAGUUAGCAAGCCGAGAGAUGGUCUCACAAGAAAAUAUUGUGUACACAAGUGAUGCUACGUCAUGGCUUUUCCUUCCCAGCCUAGAUCUCCUCUUCUUCAACUUGAAGCGCCUUCUUGCUGUUGUACUUGCUCGUCAUCUUGCAGACCGACCCUCCAUCGCUGAUGGCCUCAAACUUGACCUUGUAAUCGAUCGACUGGAGCUUGUCGCCCAGCGUGUCGCCCUCGAUCAUCGUGUUCCUACACAUGAAGUUCUCCUUGUUGAGCUCGUCGAUCUGGUGCUUCACAUACUUGAAAGGACUAGCUGCAAUUACAUUAUGGAACUCCCUGCUCGAUGAGUGUUGAGUGUACAUACCUUCGGUGAAAUUUAACUUGCUCAAUGCUCCCGGCUCCACCGUCGCCAUGCACCAGCUCCACGCUCUUUAUGAACUGAGGCAGAAGCUUCGGGAUCAGGGUAUUCGACUUGACAAUCAAGGCCUUGAACAUGCGAGCCGGAUCAAUCGGGCAUGUGAGCUCUUGUGUGAAGCUGGUUGCACCCAUGGCUAUUGGCAAUGAGAAAGAAAUAACCCCAGAGAAGAGUGCUUCUGAGUCCUGUCAAUGCCUCCUAAUUAUGGUUGGAAUUAUGUCAAUGGGUAGGGUUGGUUUGGCAAGAGUCACGCUCGAGGAAAAUAGGAGAGUCAAGGAUUUGCAGCCUAAAGGAAUGGAAAAGAGGAAUUAAGGUGGUCUCUUUUGUUCUUUCGGUCAUGAAAAUGAUUUCGGUCCCUUUCAGAUUCAUGUUGAAAUGUCAAAGUUUAUGUUCCAAAAGAUGAACAUUCUCGUGCUCACACGGGCGGCCAUCCCUUUGAAAUGAUUGUUUUUUUUUUUUUUAAUACCCAGGGAACCCCGUCAGCCGUUCGUCGCCUUACGGCGGUACAUAGCCGCCAAGUAAACCCUAAAGCGAUGCUAGCGGAGGACCCACCACCCCGACGUCACGCUUAAAUCGCCGAUGCUUCCCCUGGGGUUUGAUCCCCUCACCUUUCCCCCAAGGCAAGGGGUUCUUAUCCAGCGGAGCCACCAAGGCUAGUGGUACCUUUGAAAUGAUUGUUGUGGAGUUCAAUCUAACAAUUUGCUGAUUAGACAUUAUAACGAAAUGCCCUUGUUUGAAGAAAAGUGUAUUAAUCAAAUUUUGUCUCGUUUAAUAUGUAGCAAACAAGAAUACUUCAUUAGUUGGUGAUAUCAUGUUAACUUGUCGCGUAAUAUAAACAUCACAUAAUAUAUUUUUUCAUUUGUAAUGCCCUAAUGUCACGGUGGAUCUGAUUCAAAUGUAUGAAGUAAGGCCUUUUGAAAUCAUUUUCAUGGGUUGUCGCGACCUCUUUUUUCUCGGCACCCGCAAUCGGGUACGAGCGCCUAAGGAGGCUAAUGGCUCGGCUGAAUUUAUUAAGCCCGGACUCUCCCAAGUCCGCCAAUUCACGACUUAAUAGUUUGAGUUUUUAACCUGUAAAUUAAUUUUAAAACGGAGUCGCCACUAAUUGGUUUGGGGUGGGUCGAUUAGAAACCCUAAGCGAAGUAUCGGGAGAAAUACUCGCUCCUGCGCAACCAGAGAAAUUAGGAUCGGGGACUUGAUUACACUAGUUAAUCACUAAUGCCCUUUCGGUACCUAAUCUUGUUUAAACCCUAAGGCUUUUUGGAUUUUUGAGGGAUUUUUCCAUACAUUUUUUGGAGGAAAAACAUUUUUUGAGUCUUUUUCUCAUUUUUGGACAUAAAAGGGAUUUUUUGGAUUUUUUUUUGGAAAAAUACAAGUCUUUUUGGCUUUUUCUGAAUUUUUUGGCUUUUUCAUGAAAUUUUGGAUUUUUUUUGGAUUUUUGGCAUUUUUUGGAAAAUAUGGAAUAUUUUUGAUUUUUUGAUUUUUCGGAAAAUAAAAUAUUUUUAAUAUUUUUUUAAUAUUUUUGGAAAAUAAAUUAUUUUUUUGAUUUUUCUCGAUUUUUUAGAAAAUAAAACAUUUUUCGACAUUUUUUAAUAUUUUUUCGAUUUUUUGGAAAUUAAAACAUUUUUUAAUAUUUUUUUGAAAAUAAAACACUUUUUGAUUUUUUUUUUUUUGAAAAUAAAAUAUUUAUCAUUUUAUAUUAAAAUAGUAAAAUAAAGCCGACCCGGGUCGGAUCCGCGGGUUGGGUCCGACCCGAGCCAGCGACCCAAACGCGGACGGGCCCGCGUUGCGGGCCCGACUCGGAUUUUUCAUCUCCUUUUUUAUUUUUUUAUUUUUUUACUUACUAAAACGACGCCGUGGCCGGGCGUUUGGGGACGCCCGGCCCGGCCCGACGACCCGGGUCCACGACCCGUUCCGCGACCCGGCUCGCUGCGAACCCUACCCGACCCGGAUCCGAAUCGCAACCCGGUCUUCCGCCGCGCCCGCAAUUCGUGGAAUCCCUACCCGGUUCCCGAUCCGGGUCCGACCCGACAACCCGGGGUCGUGACCCGGAAAAUCGGGAACCCUAGGGUUCCCGAAUCGCGACGCCGAGGCACGACAGCGGGGACGACGGCGAUGGCGACGGCGGCGGCAACGGCGACGGUGGCGACAGCGACGGUAGCAACGAGGGUUGGACUUCGGAGGGGGGAAACUAUGGCGACGACAACGGCGGCGGUGGCGGUAACACUACCUGUUCGUGGCGAUGGCGUCUGGAUAGUGGUGGCUGGGCAACUCGGUUUCCCGAUCUGGCGCGGCGUCGCCGGAUCGAUCACGGCAACGGCUUCGCAGGUGGGGCACGGCAACAAGCCGUCAAAGCAACGGCGUCGGGACUGAGGCGAACAGCUGCAACACGGCGUCCGGCGGCAACAACAGCAGCAAAAAAAAAGAUCUACCCAGCCGGACCCUCCUCGGCCUUGAUUUCUCCUCACUCAGGCCAGAUCCGAGCCUCCACCGGCCGGAUCUGACCUUCUCGAAGUCACUCGCUGCCGGCCUUCCCCGAAGUCUCUCGGUGGAAGGCGGGCUGAGCUUGCAACUCGAGCUCUCUCCUGCGCUCGCCCUUCAACCCUUCCCGAUGUCUCUCAGUGAAGGAUCUCCGAGCUCGCCACGCCCUCCGACGAUGCUUGCGGCCACCUAUUUAUAGGCGAAGGAACUCCGGUCGACGGAGGGGCUCGGUCGCCGGCCUCCGGCUUGCCCACCGGUUCCGCUCGGCUGAACCGGUGUCCCAUCGAGCUUUCCAGCGAAGCUCGCUCAGCAUUAAAGGCGCCUGCGAUCUUAUCCCCUCCGGCCGACGUCGCCCUACACUCCUCGGCCGUAGGCCAUCCUUCGCGCGCGUCGCCGGCCACCGCGCGUGAGAUGCAAGCGACUGAGGAAGAAGAAGACAGGAGGAAGAAGAAGAGAGAAAAGGGGCCGGGCCAAGGGUGAAGGAAAAUGGGCCACAUGGGCCACACGGAGGGGGAAGAGAAAGGGAAAGAAAAAAGGGCUGGGCUUUUGUUUUUGUUUUUUUUUUGGCGUGUUUAUUAAUUAUCUUAUUUAUCCGAAAUAAAAUAAAAACUUAACAAAAUAAAAUUAACCUAAUUAAAAAUGAGGUGUCAACAGCUGCCCCUCUUUGAAAGUGAGCUCGCAGAGGUUGCAUUCAAAGACAAACUGAUGCCUCAAUUUUAUCCAUACAUGCGUAGCAGAUUAUAUUUUACUUGGGAUCUAUUAUUCUAUGUAGGAAAAGAGCAAUAUAACUUUUCAUAUACUAAGACAGAUAAGAAGAUACCUGUAGUUACUUACCGGGAGUGAGUGAGAUAGGGUGUGAACCCCGAGUUUUGGCAAGUAUCAAGGCGUCAUCUUACCUGGUGAUAUGAGGAGGUUGCUUUUCCAGGGCUCGAACCAUUCUUCGGUCGCCUGUUAAAACAAUCAAUGAUUUGUCUAGGACCCGAACCUUUCUUCGGUUGCCUUGACGGAAGACUGCUCUUCUAGGACCCGAACCAUUCUUCGGUCGCCUGUUGGAGUAAUCAGUGGUUUGUCUCGGACCCGAACCAUUCUUCGGUCGCCGUGACGGGAGACUGCUCUUCCAGGACCCGAACCAUUCUUCAGUCGCCUGUUGGAGUAAUCAGUGGUUUGUCUCGGACCCGAACCAUUCUUCGGUCGCCAUGACGGGAGACUGCUCUUCCAGGACCCGAACCAUUCUUCGGUCGCCUGUUAAAACAAUCCAUGAUUUGUCUAGGACUCGAACCUUUCUUCGGUCGCCUUGACAGGAGAUGCACCGACCUUUCUCAGGGCAUCUCAUUUGUGGGUGCCUGAUUUGUAUCGAGGACACCAGUUGGUACCCGACCUUUCUCGGGAGAUGCGCCGACCUUUCUCAGAGCAUCUAUUUUGUUGGGGUGUCUGACUUCUGUCAAAGACACUGGUUGGAACCCGACUUUUCUCGGGAGGAUGCGCCGACCUUUCUCAGGGCAUCGAUUUGUGGGGUGUCUAACUUCUGUCGAAGACACCAGUUGGAACCCGACCUUUCUCGGGAGGAUGCGCUGACCUUUUUCAGGGCAUCAAUUCUGGAAGAUACCUGGACAUUCACAAGCAUAUCAAAGAGUACCUGGAUAUUCACAAGUACUAACAUGAAGGAUAUUUGGGCCUUUGCAAGCGUCGAAAUGUGUAUUUGGCUGACCAUAGGCACUGAAAGGGUACUUGGAUGAUCACAAGUAUGAAUUCUUGGGGGAUACCUGGAUGAUCACAAGUAUCAAAGGGUACUUGAUAAUUGGAAAUAUUGAGAACAUACCUUGGAUAUUUGUUAAGGUCUCUCACCUCUUGGUAAUGGGAAAUAUCGAGGACGUACCUGAGAUAUUCGUGAAGAUCUCUCACCUCCUGGUAAUUGGGAAUAUUGAGGACGUGCCUCGCAUAUUCGUGAAGGUCUCUCACCUCCUGGUAAAGGGGAUUUGAAUGUAGCAUGAGGCUUACCUGGAUUGCCACAGGCACUUAAAAGGGGUGGAACACCUGGAUAGCCACAGGUGUACAAAGUACUGGGAUACUUGGAUGAACACAAGUAUUUAAUGAUACGACCUGGGACCACUCUGUUGGUCCAAGUGUAAGAAAGCAUACCUGGGUAGGCGCAGGUACACAAAGCAGUGGAAUGCUUGAACAGCUGCUAUUAUUUGGGGACAACUCGGGCAAGUUAAGUGUCAUGAAAAGGGAGUACCUAGACAAGGGUGGGUACUUGAUGAUAUGGGGAUACCUAGACAGCAGUAGGUAUUCCAAGAGAUACUUGGUCAGUCACAAGUAUCAAUACUCUUGGGACAACUCGAACAUGUCGAGUGUCAGGAAAAGGGAGUAUCCGAACGGUGACCGGUACUCAAAGACAAUAGGGAUACCUAGACAGCAGUAGGUAUUCAACGAUAAAUGGAUACUUGGUCAGUCACAAGUAUCAAUACUCUUUGGACAACUCGAAUAGGUCGAGUGUCAGGAAAAGGGAGUAUCUGGACGAUGACCGGUACUCAAAGACAAUAGGGAUACCUAGACAGCAGUAGGCAUCGAAACUCAAGGGACAACUUGAAUAGGUUGAGUGUCAAGAAGAGAGUACCUAGACAGUGAUAGGUACCUUAAGACAAAUGGGGAUAGAGAUAUGCUUACUUGGCAAUAUCUCUGAUCUCUAUGAGUAUGUCAGCUAUUUGCAUAAUAUGCACAUAUGAUUGUAUAUGCUAUAAAUUCAUGAGUUCAAAUGAGAUUCAUGCAUGAUAAUUUUGUCAGUUCUGCAUCUUUUGAUUUCCACUGGGGAAGAUUUUGAAAGACAACCUUCAUUUAGAAUGUAGAUGUCUUGAGCGUGCCAGAUGAGGGACUUUCAGUCUGAAAGGACUUUCCGCUCACUCUCAUGGAAAAGGCUAUCCUGACCAUUGAUGCAGGAUUCAUAAGGACCACACUAUCUCACCGUCAUCAUGUCAGCAGGGGUCUGAGUAUUCUCGCAAAUGGUACGACUUUACCAAUGUGAGAGGUCUUUGUUAAAACUGUGAUGAAGUCUUGGUCAGCGGCUCAUCAAAGGGGACCAUCAAGGUUGAAGCUGAUGGACGAAAAUGUUGCACGAUCAUCUCUGGGUUUACAAGUCAAGAACCCUGCGAAAAGAGAUAGAGUAAUCUUGCUCGUACUUCUUCGAGCGAUGUUUAUAGACAUAUGAAAUCCUACAUUAAUUGAAGUGCCCCUAGUCUGAAGAGACUUUUACAAUGGGAAUGUAACGGAGAUUUUGCUCACAUGUGAGAGGGUGAGAGUUCGUGACUGUCUUGGCAUUUGUCACUAGUCUUUCUUGUCAGAUGGAGGUUCUAUGGACCACAACAGCAACAUUUUCUUGGCUGCAUUUUUGACUGGGGGGCAUUGGCCUUGCUUUUACCAGGCACACUGCUUUUUUCAUGCCCCUAUUUUUAUUCCAGUUCUUCUUUUAUGGGCAUUGACCUUGCUUUUACCAGGUACACUGCUUUUUUAUGCCCAUAUUUUUUCAUUCUUGUCGUUGGAGGAACUGGCCUAGGCAAGUUCAAUCGAAGCACCGUUAUUAGACUUUUGAGUCUUCAUCUUCAGUAGGUGCUCUGGGCUAUGCUGCUUAAAUGGCAGUAACUUCUGUUUUUUCUCAAUGUGAGGGUAAAAUUACAGACUCACUUGGGUUGUACAAUGAAUACAAGUGCAUAGAGAAAGAAUUGCUCUUCAUCAUUCUAGGGCACUUAAAUUAAUGUGAGUGUUCAUAUGCAAUAAAGACACCCAAAGAUUGAUGCAAGUGCGAGCAAGAAAAUUUCUAUCUCUCUUCUCACCUUGUGAUGCUGCUUUGCUUCUAAUCUGCCCCAGUGUAGGGGUUGUUCUUGACAGAGGUAUGAGAGAAGCUUCACCAAUGUAUGGGGCUCAAUGGGGUGAGCAAUGGAAUGCCUCUCACUAUUUUGGUUAUCGUACCAUUCGCGAGAGAACUCUUUACCCUGCAGCCAUGGAAUCUUCUGCACUCAUCUCACAAGUGUAUAGAUGGGGGACUGUGUGUAGGAUAUGGCUUGCCUGUCAUCAUUCUGACACGCCUCAUCUAGCAUGCUCAAUUAAUCUUGUAUUCUCCACUUAGCUGUCUAUUCUGAUAAUCCUCAGUGGAAUCAGUGGCUUAGACAGACGAAAUCAUCAUGCAGAAUUCAUUUGGAAAUGACAUGCAACAUUUUGAAUAUGAUGGAGUUUGAACUUUUCAAAACAAGUGAAUGGUUUUGACUCGCAAAAGACCCUAUUGACAACUUUAUGGGCUAACAUAAUGGUGUUUCCAAAUAUGUUAGAUUUUGAACAUCAAAAGGGUUAUUCGCAAAUGGACGUCGAUGAUUGUCCCUAUUGAUUAUGAAUAUGACACAUGAAUGAUCAGUCGGGGUUGGGAAUCUGAUCGGGCAUCUCUGCUUUUGCCCCUGCAGAAGAGAAGAUGUACAAGUAGAUCAAUUAGUUUGGCCAAAAUUAAAUGUGAGUUGAGGCCUGAAGGUUUUCUGUCAUUUGCUUUGGCAAUACUUGAGAUGCCAUUUUGCUUGGGAGAGUUUGUCAUGCCUCUCAUUGAUUUGUUAUCUUUGCUUUUGACAGUCAGUUAAUCCUGCAACAAACAAGAGGGAAUGUGUUAGUCAUGAACUCUUUCAAGAGUCGAAUAACUGGAAGCAAUACAACUUUACCCUUCACUGGUUUACAGAUGAUUGGGUGAACCUAAAGUGAGAGGGGGACUCGAAGUCAUAUGUCCCUUGCUUCAUUAGGUCAAUUAUUCUCUGAAUUAGCUCCUGGAUGACAUGUCUUUUUACACGAAACCAGGUGAAUUUAAUGUGGGUCAUUUCCACGUACUAGCUUGGCCAAUAUUGAUUUGCCUAACCAUUGAGUUUGGUUCUUGAGUUGUGAUGCUCCCUGUCAAUAGGGGGAAUAUGUCAAAAGUGAAUUCAAAGAAGGGGGAGUAUUGGAAACGAUACCAAAUUACUCUUCUCCAAAGUUUGUAUUUGCUGACUCCUGAUGAUGUUUGAAUGUCGAUGACAGCCUUUUCGUCUUAGCAUAGUUUGACAUUUCUUUCGAUUGGCCUUCCUCACUUGUGACCAUGUAUGCAUGAUUGCUGGUUGUUGAUUUAUCUUCAACGCAUUCCUUCUGUGGAAUUUUUCUUUCUGCCUUUGAUCAGGCAAAGUCAUGUACCUCAAGCUUCUAUGGAAUCUGAGAUGGACAAUCAAAACCUCAAAUUCUCUAAUGGCAAUUACUUCUUGCAAGAGCAUGUGUCUGGAACAAGAAGUGAGGCUUCCAGAUUCUAAGAUUGUUGACUGGGACAGAAGGUUUCUUUUAACCAGACUGGUUCCUGAAUGACGCAUCCUUUACACCGAGCUGGACAAAAUUGACAGGGAUUACUCUUAUGCGUUUGCCUGGGUAAUGUUGAUUUGUUCAAGUUAUGCCAUCGAGUUUGCUUCUUGAUUUAUGACACUUCCUUAAAGACUGGUCAUCACCAUUCAUUUUUCUCCAUUGAGUCAAAUACACAUUUUUUAUGAUGGUGUAAAUACAUCACUCAUAUAUAAAGGUGCAUAAGCAUUUUCAUUCUGAUAGAGAAGUGCUUGGCAAUGCCAGACAAUAAACAUCUUUCAAGGGUAGUACUUUUUUACAGCAUCGGAAUUAACUGGUUUGGAGAAUUCCCGCCCGUCCAUUUCAGUCAGAAUCAAGGCUCCUCCAGGGAGUAUCUUCUUUAUUACGUAAGGACCCUUGUAAUUAGGGGCGAACUUGCCUCCGGGCUCUGGGAAGAUUGGCAGCGUCUUCCUCAAGACUAGCUCAUUUACCUCGAAGUGCUUGGGUCGCACCUUUUGAUUGAACGAUCGAGCUACCCUUUGUUGGUAACACUGACCAUGACAGAGGGCUUUCAGUCGUUUUUCGUCGAUCAUAUUUAGUUGCUCAAGCCUUUGUUGUGUCCAUUCUUCCUUGGACAAUCCUGCUUGGGAUAAAAUUCGCAAGGAAGGGAUUUCUACUUCUACAGGUAAAACCGCCUCCAUGCCGUAAACCAAGGAAAAAGGCGUUGCCCCAGUGGAAGUUCGAAUCGAAGUUCGAUACGCUGUUAGUGCGAAGGGUAGCCUCUCAUGCCAGUCGCGGUAGUUUUCAGCUGUCUUGGAUAGGAUUCUCUUGAUGUUCUUGUUGGCGGCUUCCACAGCUCCAUUCAUUUGUGGACGAUAAGGGGACGAGUUCAGAUGUUGGAUUUUGAACUCAGAAAACAAUUGAUCAAUCAACUUGUUGUUUAGGUUUGACCCAUUGUCAGUGACGAUAGCUUCUGGUACGCCAUAACGGGCGAUUAUGUCACGUCUGAUGAAUUUCAUAACGUUUCGUGCAGUUACGCUUGCAUAGGAUGCAGCCUCAAUCCAUUUUGAGAAAUAGUCGAUUGCGACCAAAAUGAACCGGUGCCCAUUUGAUGCCUUUGGAUUGAUUGGGCCAAUCACAUCAAUGCCCCACAUUGAAAAUGGCCACGGCUCAGAUAACUGAUGUAAUUUAGUUGGAGGGACAUUUAUCUUGUCCCCGUGGAUCUGACAACGAUGACAGUUUCGCACAUGGUGAGCACAAUCGCUCUCUAAGGGGAACCAGUAAUAACCCAAUCUCAUUAUUUUCUUGGCCAACAUAUGUCCAUUCAUGUGAGGACCACAUACUCCCCCAUGUAUUUCUUGCAUUAUUUGUGUGGCUUCGUUUGCAUCCACACACCUUAGCAGGACUGAGUUAUAUGAUCUUUUGUACAAAUUUUCACCGCUGACGAAGAACCUCGAAGCCAUUUUCAUAAGGUAUUUUCAAUCAGAGGGAGUGCUUUCUUUAGGGAAUUCCUGCUUUUGGAUGUAUUUCAUGAUGUCGUAAUACCAGGGUUUCCCAUCGGGUUCUUCAGUUAUAGUCAUGCAGUGGGCCUGUCUUGUCAAGACUUCAAUUUUCAAAGGCUCUACUUCUAACCCCUUCGCUACUUGUAACAUGGAUGAUAGUGUUGCUAGUGCAUCAACAAACUGGUUACGGAUUCUAGGUAGGUAUUCAAAUGAGAUGUCCUGGAAUUCUUCUACCAAUUCUUCCAAGUAGUCAUGAUAAGGCACUAGUUUGGCGUCUCUUGUCUCCCACUCGCCCACAGUCUGGAGGAUAAUUAAGGCGGAGUCACCGAACACUUUUAGGUUUGACACUUCCAUUCCAAUAGCCGCUUGUAGGCCGAGGAUGCAUGCUUCAUAUUCGGCUAUAUUGUUGGUGCAUGGAAACAUCAGUUUUGCAGCCACGGGAUAAUGUUGCCCAUUUGGGGAUAUCAAGACCGCCCCAGUGCCUGAACCUGACAAAUUUACAGCUCCAUCAAAAAACAUAGUCCACGUGUCCUCUUCUACUGCUGAGAUUCGGUCAUCUGGGGAAUGAUCAUCGCCUACUUCUUUAGGGCAAUCUGCUAACAUAUCAGCAAUCACUCGACCUUUAACUGAUUUUUGCGACAUCACCUGGAUGUCGAAUUCUGAGAUUAGGAUUUGCCAUUUGGCCAAUUUUCCCACCAAGGCCGGGCAACCAAGCAAAUACUUGAUUGGGUCACUCUCAGUUACAAGGAAUGUCUGGUAAUGCAAGGUGUACUGCCGGAGUCUGUGCAACACCCAUACCAAUGCAGCACAGGUCUUUUCUGAUUUGGAGUAGUUUUGUUCUGAUGUGGUGAAUUUUUUACUCAAAUAGUAAAUGGCUCGUUCCUUCCCAUCAUGGGGUCCUUUCUGUGCCAACAUUGCACCUAGGGAUUCACUGUUGAUGGUAAGGUAGAGGGUCAAAGGGUGUCCUGGAGUAGGGGGUACUAAAACCGAGGGUUUCAUCAGGUACCGCUUCAAAUUUUCAAAUGCCAGUCGGCAGUCAUCAUCCCAUUCGAUUUGUGCAUCUUUCUUGAGAAGUUUAAAGAAAGGUUUUGCAGUUUCAGAAAGCUAGGAAAUGAAUCGCGCAAUGUAAUUUAAUCUUCCCAGGAGGCUCCGGACUUCUUUCACAGUCGAGGGAGGAGGUAUCUCAAAUAUCGCUUUAGUUUUUGACGGGUCCACUUCUAUCCCUUUACAGCUCACAAUGAAUCCAAGUAAUUUGCCAGAGGUUGCCCCGAACACACAUUUUGCUGGGUUCAAGCGCAACUUGAACUGGCGAAGUCGAUCGAAUAAUUUUUCCAGGGUCUUCACAUGGUCUUCUCCAUGUCUGGUUUUGGCGAUCAUGUCAUCGACAUAUACUUCAAUUUCUUUAUGCAUCAUGUCAUGGAAAAGGGUGACCAUGGCACGUUGGUAAGUUGCUCCAGCGUUUUUCAGGCCAAAAGGCAUGACCUUAUAGUGAAAAGUCCCCCAUGGAGUAAUGAAUGCCGUCUUUUCCUUGUCUUCCUCCUUCAUUUUUAUUUGGUUGUAUCCUGAGAACCCAUCCAUGAAAGAGAAAAGUUUGAAUCCAGCAGUACUAUCCACAAGAACGUCUAUGUGAGGUAGUGGGAAAUCAUCCUUUGGGCUUGCUUUGUUCAAAUCGCGGUAGUCGACACAAAUCCGGAUUUGACCAUCUUUCUUCUUUACUGGUACAAUGUUUGCCACCCAACUAGGAUAUUGCGAGACUUCGAGGAAGCCUACUACCAGGAGCUUCAUUACUUCUUCUUCAAUCUUUUUUGACAAUUCAGGCUUAGCUCUUCUUAGCCGCUGCUUCUUAGGAGCCACAUUAGGGUUGGUUGGCAAGCCAUGCUCCACGAUCAUUGGAUCAAGGCCUGGCAUAUCGGCAUAAGACCAUACGAAUACAUCUUGAUAUCUCUUUAGGAGGGCAAUUAAGCUUGCAGCUUCUUCUUCAGGAAGGUUCGCGCCAAUCUUUAUCUCCCUUGGAUCUUCUGUGCUGCCUAAAUUGACAAUGAUGGUGUCUUCAGUAGUAGGGGGCCUUGCUUCUUCGUGGCGCUUCCAAUUCCAUUGAAUUUCGUCGGAAUCAUCAAAAUCAUCAUCUGAGUCAUCAGAAUUGCUAUCAUGGCUACUUACGGUGCUGGUUUGGACCGUUCCCAUACCCUCGCCUGCCGCUAUAUUAUUCCUGUGUCAUAGAGUAGAUAGGCUAAGGGAACAAAUAAGGUUAGUAGCAUGCAUGCUUCUUUCUUUUGAAAAUGUGAUAAAUUGCUUUUAAAGAUUAAAGACAAUUAAACAUGAGGAGACCCGGGCCUCAGAUUUCUUCUUUCAUUUGACGGCUGGCUAUCAUCAACGGCCGGUUUGGUGUGUCUCCUCAUGCCCUCAAAUGUUUUCAACUUUAAUUGACAUCGUAGUCCAAAUUUACCACUUGGUUGGCCCAAAGUGUCUAUGAUUGCCUCUCCUAUACGCGCCUCCUUAGCAUGCUCAGGGAACAUGGUACGGGUGCUAGGUACCACGAGGAGGUGAUCAUUGCCGAAACACAGCCAUGGAGAGCGGAACGUGAAUACCCCAGCAUCCAAAAGAUCUUGAACCUUGUCUCUCAGGAUGGUGCAGUCAUCUAGCGAGUGUCCUAAUUCCCCUGAAUGGUAAUCACAUUGCUUGGAUGGAUCAUAAUCAAGGAAGUACUUAGGGGUAGGAUGGUUCAAUUCUCUGCCGAUUAGCCCUUGCUCGAGGAGGAUGGGGAAAAUAAUGGACAUUGAUUUAGGAAGGGGCGAAUAUGGCCGAGUGCUUCUUGGGGAUAAGGGUAGCCGUGCCCCUCGCCAGGUCGUGUCAAUAGGGUCCUCUUCAUUUACCACCAGCUCCUCAUUGUGAUGAGAACGGAAUGCACGGGUAGCUUGAGCGAAGUUUUCUGUCAAAUGGUGUACAGUCUCACGUAAUUCUUCGACUUGAUGUCGAAGCUGGAUGAACGAGAAGUUAUCGCAUGUCUCUUCUAAUUGCUCUUCCUCAAUGGCGCCUAUGAAAAUGUCCCCGAACAUGGAGGUCACAUCGUCUGGCCUUUCUUUCUCAAGUGAGGGCCAAAUUGUGUCUUCCUGGAUUAUGGGCAAUUUCACGCUUUCGGGGUUGAACCAUUCUGGAGUAUCCACUUCCUCUUCCUCAUGCAUCAUCUUGGCUGGGCCCGGGAAAGUUUCCUCGAGACGGGGAUAUACAAGGCCGGUUUUUUUCUUUACUUUUCUAUCUGGGGAAUAUCCCAAACCGACAGUAUAGGGUCUUCUCCGAGCUUCAAUAGGCUGACGAAUGCCCUGGCCUCUCCUACCAAGCCCUUGUCCCGAAAGGAAACCGUGUCCUACCAUGAUUUUUCCUACCAUGAUUGCAGCACUUGAUAUCUCAGGGACGAGGGGCAAAGUCCCUCGAGUUUCGUGUAUAGUGGACACGAGCUCGAACGAUUGAUAGCUAGCUUCAUUCUUGUCACUAGGUUCAACAUAAGGAAUGGCCGUCUCGUGGUAGAUGCGGUGAUCUUCUUCUCCUCGGACCGUGAUAAGUUUUCCUCCAACCACGAACUUCACACUUUGGUGGAGGCUGGAAGGUACUGCUCCUGCGACGUGUAUCCAUGGGCGCCCUAAGAGGAAAUUGAAUGCAGUGGGGAUAUCCAUCACCUGGAACAAAAUUUUGAAUACGGUUGGGCCAAUUUGAAUAUCGAGCUCGAUCUCUCCUACUGUUUCCUUCUUUGUUCCAUCAAAUGCUCGAACAGAAGUCUUGGGUACCUGGAUCCAUGAUCUCUCUAUUUUAAGGCGACAGAGUGUCGCUAAUGGACAUAUGUUAAGAGCAGAUCCAUUGUCAAUCAACACUCGAGCGACGUGAGAUGCGUUGCACUUGACUGAUAUGUAAAGGCCCUUGGUGUGUCCUCUACCCUCCUCGGGAAUCUCUUCAUCAGAAAACGCCAUUUGAUCCUUUAGAAGGAUGGUACUGACAAAUUCCUCGAGUUUGUCAUGCUCAAUAGUUUCAGGGACAUGUACUUCACUUAAUACUUUCAUGAGAGAUUUUUGGUGCUUGACAGAUGUCUGGAGCAAUUCCAGUAGAGAGAUCUGUGCCGGUGAUUUUCGUAACUGUUCCACCACAUUAUAUUCGCUGGCCUUAACUACGGCCAAAAACUCCUUGGCUUCUUCGUCAGUGACGGGCUUAGCAGACUGAGUAUUUGCUUGAGCAUAGGUUCGCCCAGAUCUCGUGACCAAACCAACAUCAAGGUCAUAAGACCAUGGUACCGCAUUGUUGCAUUUGUAUUUGUAAGGUUGGGGAAUCUCAAUGACUAUAGCUGUUUCUGUUGUUGAUGCUUGAACAAUGGCUUCCUUCCUUUCAAAGACGCUCUCAGGUGAGGUUGAGUCAUUCUUCUCCUUUUUCGCAUUUAGCGCGGCAAAUUCUUCUUCCCAGUUGAUGAGGACUUGCGAUAUGGUAGAAACUAUGCUGGUGUGGCCGGCGUACACGAUUAUUCCGGCCUCUAUCAUUCUUAAUACCCUUUCCUCCAUUAUUGCAAAGGGUAGUAUUUCAUCAUCCGGAUAAUAUCCAGUUUCUACUAGCCCUCGAUAGACGUCAGCCAUAUGUGCAUUGACAUUUCUGAUCUGAUUGGUUUCGAAACUGAAUAUCAUGUUUACUUUGUCAGCAUGAUCAGGGAGCGGAUUGCUUUGGACAUUCGGCUUCGCGGUUUGGAAUGAGAAAGCCUUAGUAUCUAGCAGGUUCUGGAUUCGAUGUUUAAGGACGAAACACUCAUCAGGUGAAUGGCCUACUUCUCCCAUGUGAUAGUCACAUUUUUUGGACGGGUCAUAGCUGGAGAAGUUUUCAGCAUUGGGUCGUCUCGGCUCAGUUGAAAGGAGGCUCUUGUUUCGGAGGAUUGCCAAAACCUGGGAGGGAGAUCCAGGAAGCGGAGUGAAUUGUCUUCGGUUGUUGUAGCGCUGGGGUGGACGGCUAUUAGUCUGUUGCUGGCCUGUGUUUGUCUGAACAGUCGGGAGAUGACCGGUGUUUGCAGUGUACGUGGCAUUGACAUCAAUCAAGGAUUCUUUAUCUUUUUUCAUGUUGAGCCUUCUGCUGACAGGUGCAGGCUCAGUGAACCAGCCGUCCCUUAAACCCGUCUCAAUCUGCUCUCCCACUGGAAUGAGUUGAUUGAAUGAUUCAGCGAUUGUAGUCACCAUCCGAUUGCGGUAUUCAAAAGGGAGGGUUUUAAUGAACAUUUUUCUCAAUUCAAAGUCAGUUGGCUCAGGACUGAUCUGGGCGGCGAGAUUCCUCCACCUAAUAGCAUAUUCUUUGAAAGAUUCUUGCUUUUUCUUCUCCGUGCGAUCAAGAUCCUCACGAGAAGGGGUAAUGUCCAUUAUGAAUUUGUACUGCUUGAGGAAUGCUUCACUUGCUUCGCUCCAUGUCUCGAUGAGGUUUAUGUUCUUUUUUAUGUACCACCUCAGGGCGGGACCUAUCAGGCUUGACUGGAACAACUGGAUCAUUAAAGGUUCAUUAUUAACGUACUGGGUCAUUCGAACCAAGUACAUCUGCAAGUGAGCUCUUGGGCAGGUCGUGCCAUCGUACUUCUCGAACUCAGGCAUUUUGAAUUUUUCCGGCAUUUUGACCUUGGAGUAGAUGGAGAGGUCUGUUGGAGUAGGAUCUUGAAGGCCUUGCAAUUGCUUUAGCCUCUCUUCAAGCUUCUCAAGGCGUUUGUCAUGUUCAGUCUUAGACAAACUGUUGGGCUUUGCUUUCUCGACUAUGAUUUGGUGCAUAUCAUCUUCUAAUUCGGGCAUGUUAUCAUCAGUAUCUCUUCCUUGAUCACCUCGAGUAGACGAUUGCGGUAACAAUACUUCGAUUGAGGCAGGGGCGGGAGCUAAUUUGCCUUGGAUGGAAUCUAUUUGCUUUGAGAGUUGCUGAAGCACAUUGAAGACUUGCUUCAUUUCACUUUCCAUAAUCUCGACACGGCUUGGUACAUUUUCUUCGGCCAUUCUAUCUUUUGGCGAAUACGACUGUGAUUGUGAUUACCUGCAUAAAGAAAAUGGAGAGAAUGUAAGCCAGGAAACGUAUGGAACACUGGCCCAUGGCAAGGGUCACGUCAUUUUUAUUUAUUAACAGGAGAUUUAUACAAUGCCAAAAGGGCUUUUUACACAAGUCAAAACGACCCUAGAUAUUAACAUUAGGAAUAUUCACAUCAAAAGUCCCGCUGCCCAUUUUAUAUGCGAUGGGAAGCUCCAGUCUUGUGAAGCCGCUUGCUUCUUCGUACUAACUUCGAUACGUGUCUCUUGCUAGUCUCCAAGCUCUUUUCAAGAGAUUCGAUUCGCCCUUGCAGGGUAAGUUUAUCAACUACAUCAGGGAUUACUGGUUGCAGCUCCUUGGGAAUUAUAUGGUUGAGGAUGUAGAAUGUUGAUGCAUGAUGAACUUUUUCUUGUUCCUUUAACCUUCUGGGCACGACGAUCUUUUCAGUGUGGCAUCUACUCCAUGCGUUCUGAAUUAUGCAGAUCUCCUCCAAGUAGUUGUAGUUCGUACGGGUGAAAAAGAUUCGAAACAAUCCUGAUUUGAGCGGUGGCGGGACUUCUUGAAGGACCCUGUACUGACGAGCCACCCUAUAUGGAUAAUAUGAGGUAGCUCUGGAGAGGCCCAGCAACGGGAUGGGGUUGUAAUAAUCAAGCGCAAAGCGCGCCUCUCCUGCAAUGAACCAUUUAGCUCGCCAUAGGAAUGUCUCAGGGACCGGGUUUUUUAGCAAGUUAAUCCACCGAGAAUAUUCUUCAUUGGGAGAAUAUUUUUCCAAGAUUUGAAACUUUUGCAAUGGGUGUUUAAACUCGUUGAUUUCAAAUAUUUGCAUGAGGUGCCCAAAUCUUUUGAUAUGGGAAAAGAACCACAUUUGUAAAAUUUCUGGAGCGGCCCUCAUGAUUUUCUCUUUUUGGUCCUUGAAAUGAUUAAGGGAUAAAAACGUUUCGGCUAAAACCAUAUUCACAUAUCCUGCUCCAAAAAUGACUUGAUUUACCACCCAUGUGAUUGAAGGAUCUAUAGCAUUCUUUCGAUGGGGAAAGAUAAUAAAACCAAAGAAUGCUAAGAGGAAGAUCUUGGCUUUUUGGGUCAUUGAUUGUUUUUCAAAGCAUUCAGUUAAAGAUGAUAGUGGAAAAGCAUUAUUGUUGGCUUGAACAAUUUCUCUUACCGAAUGAUUUUUUAGAAACCGUGAUAGACUAACCACAGGGUCAAUGCCGAUUGGCUUGACAAGCUCGCUUCCCAGGGGCAUUCCUAUGGCGAGACCGUACUCUUCUAAAGUCGGAGUCAGUUCAAAUUUGCCGAAUAUGAAGGUGGAUGUUUCAGGGCACCAGAAAUGUGGUAGUGCUUGCAUGACCCCAAAGUGGAUAUUGAUUUGGAGCAAUGGGAGGAGAUGACCGAUUCUUGAUUUGACGUACUCUUGGCCGAGUUGAUCUAACUGCUUCCACCAUCUGAGAAGCUCUCCCUUUGGGGUGGGAAUGAACUGGAUAUCAAAUCUUCCCAUCGCAUAUAAGGAAGGGAAAUACACAACCUGACCCUAUUUCGCCAUGAGCCAGAAAAGACUAAGUAAAAAUAAAGAAAUUACUUGGCAAGCACAAAGACAUGCAGAUGGGAUGUGCGGCUCGAUUUCUAACUCAGAAGGAUUGGUGAGAUUAAAAGGAUAUCCGCCCGUCGCAGUCUCGCGUUAGCAGCAUACCCUCUUAACCUCGGCUAAGAAAUUCGGGGAAAAGAAAGGCGACCUCUACAUCGCAGUCUCGCGUUCGAGGUCGUAUCUUUCUUAACACCAUCCUAGAAAUCCUAUGGCGGCCAAGGUCCGGCGGCCGGGUUGUGUGUGCCAUGUGUAGUGUUUAAAACAGUAAAGCAUGCAUAACAAUUUAUAAUCACAAGAUAAUCUAUUAAAAUAAAUUUCUAAGCUUUUGACCUGCAUAAAAAAAACCUAAGUCAGUAAAGAUAUUAAACAAGACAUAAAGGCCUAAGUCCUCAAAGUCCCCAGCGGAGUCGCCAAGCUGUCGCGACCUCUUUUUUCUCGGCGCCCGCAAUCGGGUACGAGCGCCUAAGGAGGCUAAUGGCUCGGCUGAAUUUAUUAAGCCCGGACUCUCCCAAGUCCGCCAAUUCACGACUUUAAUAGUUUGAGUUUUUAACCUAUAAAUCAAUUUUUAAAAUGGAGUCGCCACUAAUCGAUUUGGAGUGGGUUGAUUAGAAACCCAAGCGAAAUAUCGGGAGAAAUACUCGCUCCUGCGCAACCAGAGAAAUUAGGAUCGGGGACUUGAUUACACUAGUUAAUCACUAAUGCCCUUUCGGUACCUAAUCUUGUUUAAACCCUAAGGCUUUUUGGAUUUUUGAGGGAUUUUUCCAUACAUUUUUUGGAGGAAAAACAUUUUUUGAGUCUUUUUCUCAUUUUUGGACAUAAAAGGGAUUUUUUGGAUUUUUUUUUGGAAAAAUACAAGUCUUUUUGGCUUUUUCUGAAUUUUUUGGCUUUUUCAUGAAAUUUUGGAUUUUUUUGGAUUUUUGGCAUUUUUUGGAAAAUAUGGAAUAUUUUUGAUUUUUUUAUUUUUCGGAAAAUAAAAUAUUUUUUAAUAUUUUUUUAAUAUUUUUGGAAAAUAAAUUAUUUUUUUGAUUUUUCUCGAUUUUUUAGAAAAUAAAACAUUUUUCGACAUUUUUUAAUAUUUUUUCGAUUUUUUGGAAAUUAAAACAUUUUUUAAUAUUUUUUUGACAAUAAAACACUUUUUGAUUUUUUUUUUUGAAAAUAAAAUAUUUAUCAUUUUAUAUUAAAAUAAUAAAAUAAAGCCGACCCGGGUCGGAUCCGCGGGUUGGGUCCGACCCGGGCCAGCGACCCAAACGCGGGCCCGACUCGGAUUUUUCAUCUCCUUUUUUAUUUUUUUAUUUUUUACUUACUAAAACGACGCCGUGGCCGGGCGUUUGGGGACGCCCGGCCCGGCCCGACGACCCGGGUCCACGACCCGUUCCGCGACCCGGCUCGCUGCGAACCCUACCCGACCCGGAUCCGAAUCGCAACCCGGUCUUCCGCCGCGCCCGCAAUUCGUGGAAUCCCUACCCGGUUCCCGAUCCGGGUCCGACCCGACAACCCGGGGUCGUGACCUGGAAAAUCAGGAACCCUAGGGUUCCCGAAUCGCGGCGCCGAGGCACGACAGCGGGGACGACGGCGACGGCGACGGCGGCGGCAACGGCGACGAUGGCGACAGCGACGGUAGCAACGAGGGUUGGACUUCGGAGGGGGGAAACUAUGGCGACGACAACGGCGGCGGUGGCGGUAACACUACCUGUUCGUGGCGAUGGCGUCUGGAUAGUGGUGGCUGGGCAACUCGGUUUCCCGAUCUGGCGCGGCGUCGCCGGAUCGAUCACGGCAACGGCUUCGCAGGUGGGGCACGGCAACAAGCCGUCAAAGCAACGGCGUCGGGACUGAGGCGAACGGCUGCAGCACGGCGUCCGGCGGCAACAACAGCAGCAAAAAAAAAGAUCUACCCAGCCGGACCCUCCUCGGCCUUGAUUUCUCCUCACUCAGGCCAGAUCCGAGCCUCCACCGGCCGAAUCUGACCUUCUCGAAGUCACUCGCUGCCGGCCUUCCCCGAAGUCUCUCGGUGGAAGGCGGGCUGAGCUUGCAACUCGAGCUCUCUCUUGCGCUCGCCCUUCAACCCUUCCCGAUGUCUCUCAGUGAAGGAUCUCCGAGCUCGCCACGCCCUCCGACGAUGCUUGCGGCCACCUAUUUAUAGGCGAAGGAACUCCGGUCGACGGAGGGGCUCGGUCGCCGGCCUCCGGCUUGCCCACCGGUUCCGCUCGGCUGAACCGGUGUCCCAUCGAGCUUUCCAGCGAAGCUCGCUCAGCAUUAAAGGCGCCUGCGAUCUUAUCCCCUCCGGCCGACGUCGCCCUACACUCCUCGGCCGUAGGCCGUCCUUCGCGCGCGUCGCCGGCCACCGCGCGUGAGAUGCAAGCGACUGAGGAAGAAGAAGACAGGAGGAAGAAGAAGAGAGAAAAGGGGCCGGGCCAAGGGUGAAGGAAAAUGGGCCACACGGAGGGGGAAGAGAAAGGGAAAGAAAAAAGGGCUGGGCUUUUGUUUUUGUUUUUUUUUUGGUGUGUUUAUUAAUUAUCUUAUUUAUCCGAAAUAAAAUAAAAACUUAACAAAAUAAAAUUAACCUAAUUAAAAAUGAGGUGUCAACAUGGGUUGAUUCAAACUUCACUAGCACCGACAGUUUGACUCGGUCAAAAUUGGGUCCGCAAUCGGGGUGUCCCAAGAUCAGCUCGUCCUCUAAGUUUUGGGGGAGGUGGAGGUUCCUGCUUUUCCGUUAUAUUUUGCUUCUCGUUUUAUUUUUUAUCAUUAUCAGUGUUGAAGCAUUUGAUCUCUAAUCCAAUGUCCUCGUCAAAGAUGUCCCCAUCAAAGAGAUAAGAUAGGAUUAGCUUAUUCAAAUAGCCCAAGCUUUACAAUAAGAUAAGUCCAAAACCUAAACACAUUAACUUUAUUUUUCGAUAGCUUUCUUGACAUAUAAUGAGAAUGUACUUUUCAUCAAUGAUCAUACGCGUAACAAUUUGUGAAAGAUUCUAUCACAUCGAUAGUUUUAAAUGUUAAUCCAAAUUCGAAAUAUAAGUUCGGAUCUAUUCAUUUGUUACUCAUGAAUUCUAUUCUUUUAUGGAAUUUAUUGAAAAUUAGAGAAUCUCGUGAUACCAACAAAAUAUCAAGCUUAUUCAACUUUUAUUCCCUUGAUACGCUAUUUAUGUAGCACAAUUUACAAAAUUCCACAAAAACCACUUCACCAGAUUCCUGCCACACCUUUCAUUCUCUUAUUCUCAGCAAAUACAAGAACAGCUACGCUCACCAGCCCCACAAACUUUACUCCAAACACAGAGUGACCCAAAAAAAAAAAAAAAACCACCGAUGACGUGCUAAUUCGAUGUUGUUGAUUUUGUGCGUACAAAGUCCAAAUCAACAUUAAUGACGUCAUAUAUGGCGUGCUAAAAGUUGUUCAUGAGUUGAAUUUUUGCAAUUACGUGCCCAAUGAAUUUUGACGCUCUUGAGUGGGAAAUCACUAAAUUGUUAACUUUUUUCCAAAUGCCUGACGGGUUUCAUAGGAUUGGUUUGGCGAGUAGAGAUAAAAAGUUAGCACGCAAGUAAUUUAAAAGCACGGUGUAAAUUUGAUUCUCCCAAUCAAUGAGCGUAAACGAAACAUGGGGGCGAAAAAGGUUGUUACCAGCAUUGAAAAAGUGGACUUUUGAGAAGCUCCAAUCACUGAAAUGUUGCGUAUUCGGCAAAAUGCAAGUAAGUCUAGUCAUCGAGAGUUAGUAUUUAGAGAAAUGCAUAAACAGAUAUUUAAUCAAUAGAUACGUUUAGAAAAAUGUCAUACAUAGCUUUUUUAGCUCAGUUAUAUAGAGCUUACUUUAGUAAGCAAGAGGUCUUGACUUUGAUUCUCAACGAGAUCCUUUGUCUUUUGACUUGUAAUAUUUCCUUUUUUCACAUUCAAUCUUCUUCCUAACAAUUUUUUUGAAAAAUUCAAUCGAGCCAAAAAAUGAAUUGCUUAAUAAAUGAUAGAGCCAACAUAUAUACAUACUAUAUAUGUGUUUUUUCUCAGUACAAAUGGUUAUACGAGGACCCAAUUAGUAAGAGGGAGGUCUUGAAUUUGACUCUCAACAAGAGCAUUUGUCAUUCAAACUUUUUCAUAACAAUUUUUUUACUAAAGAAAAAAAUCGAUUGAGCCAAAGAAAUUGUCACUUAAUACAUCAUAAAGCCAGCAUACACAUAUAAUUCAUUUUUCUCAGUACAAAUGGGUAUACAAGCACCCAUUUAGUAAGUGGGAGGUUUUAAGUUCGACUUUCAAUGAGAGCAUUUAUCUUCUUACUUAUAAUUUUUCCUUUUUGUAAAUUCAAACUUCUUCAUAAUAAUUUUUUUAAGAUAAAAAACCACCAAAAACCUCAAACUUUGCCCAAAGUGACAAAUUUACCCCAAUCUUUGUAUUAUGAUAUGAAAAAUCCCAAAUUUUGCCAACUGUGACAUAUUUACCCCAAACUUUUUUUCAUGACACAAAAAAUUCUGAACUUGUAUUCAUGUGACACAUUUACCCUAAACUAUAAGGCAUUUUGUCUUUUACUUUUUAAAAUCUUUUCUUUUUCUUUUUUUCUUCUUCUUCUCUCUUCCCUCCGCCAGCCAUGGCAGAGCCGGUGGAGGAAGCCAUAGUUAGGCGAGGGCUACCUUCACCGCCGUUAGGCGAGGGUUGCCCUCGGUUAGGCUAGCUAGGGCUGCCCGACGCCAACGAGGGAGGUCCUCGCCCGACCCAACCGAGGGCAGCCCUCGCUUGAUGCCACCGAGUGCAACCCUCACCUAACUCCAACUUCCCUCCGCCAUGGCUGGCGAAGGGAAGAGAGAAGAAGAAAAAAAAAAAGAAAAAAAAAAAGAAUAAGACGAAAAUGCUAUUGGUGGGGUAAAUGUGUUACGGUUUUCAAAAUUUAUGGUUUUUUAUGUCACAAAAGAAUGUGUAGGAUAAAUUUGUCACUUUAGGCAAAGUUAGGGUUUUUGGUGGUCUUUUUCCUUUCGAUCGAGACAUAAAAAAAGUCACUUAAUACAACAUAGAGCCAACAUAUAUAAUAUAUUUUGUUCCUUUUUCUUGGUAUAAAUGAGAUACCAGCACUCGUUUAGCAAAGCCAAAGUCUUGAUUCCGACUCUCGAUGAGAGCACUUGUCUCGUGACUUAUAAUCUUUCUUUCUUCUACAUUCGAACUUUUCCGUAACAAAUUUCUUGACAAACAUUCAAAUUUAUGUCUUCUUGAUGCCGUUAUAAUAAGGGAUACGGAACUCUAGUGUGAAUGGAACUCAUUGCUGUGAUGCUAAAGGGAAGGCGAUGCUGACGAAUCCUACAGGAAUAUGCGGGGGACGGAAAAUCUUAGAGCUGGCGGUUAGAUCUGGCUGAGGUUACCAAGGGUUGAUUCUUGCUUAUCGCCCCGGAACUGACUUACCCAGGUCAUGCUCAGCCCUCACCCUUAGAAAAAGGAACUCAAGAAAAAAAAUUCAGUCACUGCUCCAUAAUGAUUAAUGUCCAUCAUAGUUCAAGUAAGGAGAUAUAAGCAAACGUUCAAACAAUAAAAUAAAUAGAUCGACAAAAUAAAUUGGAUACCAGACUUAUAUAAUUCAAUCGCAGUGACCUACCUCUAUAAGAAAAGUAAUAACGAAUUUUAUUGUAGAUCAAACAAUAUAACGGAAAUUAUAACCACAGUCGAGUUACUUUAAUACUUUUAGUGUUUUCUAAUUCCUAAUUACAUUCAAUAACUCAAGUAAUAUAUAACCUCACAAUUUCUGACUAAAUAAUCCUUUAAUCUCAAGAAGAAAUUAACAAAUCACGAAUUAAACCCUAAUUUCGCUAUAUGUAAUUCACGGAGAAUAUCCAAUGUCAAGCACGCCAACGGCACUACUUGCGGCUGAAAAACCCGUGAUAAAGUCACCUCUCCGCACUAACAAGAGAGAGAGAGAGAGAGAGAGAAUGUGUGCAUCUGUCUUUUUCCUUCGGCAUUUUUGGCGGCUUCUUGCGUGGCAGUCAUCUAAGUGACCGGUGAGAAGUUUCUGAAAGACCGAUAAAAAAAAGGGAGAAGAAGAAGAAUAAUACUUUCUAAAAGAGAGAGAACAAUCAAUAUUGACAGUGCGCUGUUCGGGGUACAAAGCAAUGAUUUCAUCAUUCUUGAUUAGGGUUUUGAAAAUAUGGCUUUUCAAUCCGUUUCAUAUAUUCUCCCGUUCCCUUUUGGGAGUAGUCGUGCACUACUCCCCGCUCCCUUCUCUCUCUCAACUGUCGUCUAGUUGAACAAUUUUGAAAAGUCCCGACGCGUGCUUUUGCUGUCUGUCCCUCCUUCCUGCCUCAGAAUCUUGAAACGGUGCCGAUGCGGACCUCUUCCUCCUGCCUCAGUUUCUUUGAAUAUAAUUAGCCCGUUUCACUGUGUUUGCAAGUGGGGAUUGGAGUGCGUUCCCCUUGUAUAUGCGCGCGCCCAUCAACCAACCCCCCCUCCAACCAAUCCAAUCAAAUCUCACUCCAAUCCACUAUUGUCCUUUGGAUUAAUCACCACGGAAAGCGCCGAUUUCACAAGACCGUCGCACCGAAUUCCCGCCCUACCCUUCGGCACCUUCUCAGUAAAAAGACGAGGAGAAAAGCUCACCAUCGGACUUUAUUUGAGCCCGUAUACAGGGCCCGACUUAAUUUGAGGACGUGCAUCAGUUUGUUGAACCCGAUCUAUUAGGGAAAAAAAAAAUACCAAUAUCACACUUUCAUAUUUAAAUUAGAAUUUAUCUUGAACAGAAUAUUUACAUGAGGAGUUUUGUAAGCAUAGCAGUUUUUAAGUUAUUAUGAAAAUAAUAUCAACUGCAAAUUCUUGAAAAAGUGGGUUUCAUAACAAUAUAUAAUUAUUUAUUUUUAUGUAUCAUAGUAUACUGUUAUUCUCAUAUUAAAUUAAAAACGGUCGUUCAAUUAUUUAUCUUCACAUGAGGCGAGUAUUUGGUCUUUGGAGAAAUCUCUGGUGGUCAUGAAAAGUGCGAAUCCAUUAUACUCAGAUUCUUUUUCUUCUCUCUUUUUUAUCUGGCCAAUUGAAAAGUUGGACAAAGCCGCGUCUCAGUGGGUUCUGUUUGUUACUCCAGCCGCGCACAGCCAAGGGAUUUCACGUGCCGCACAGUAGGUUUCGUUUCGUGGGAGCAACACCGUGUGAUUUUCACGCGCCGCUCAGUGUUUACGCUGUAGGAAUCUGGGUCGAACGAAUUAUACUGAAGUGAUUUGAAAAAAUUAAGAUGCCGCGAUUUUUAUAAGAUGUUUCACAAGCAUCUUUAAUUACAGCAUUCAGAAUUUCUACCACCUCGACAGUUGUCUCACCCACUUCGAAGGCGUCGCAUCUAUUACUGCAGACGAAAAUUAUAACACUUUACCUCAAAACGGAUUCAUAGUUCAUUCACGAUUAUUAUUCAUCUUCAAGAGACGUGAGAAUGUAGACAUAAACAUGGUGGGAGACAGAAAGAUUGAGCCGACACGCAACAUCAACAACUCAAUUGUGAGCAUCGGGGUUUCGCAAGAGAUGGGCGUCGAUGGCCUUGAACAUUUCCAUGGCCCUUCUGUCUUUGCCGGCCGUGAUCUGCUCCUCCGUGAUCUCGGCCCCGUCCUUGGCAUAGUACUUGCUCGAGCUCUUGCACACGCGCCCUCCUUCUGGACCUCACCUCGAACUUGAUCUCGUACGAGAUCUUCUCGAGCCCAUCGCCCUCAACAGUGGUGCACACGAACGUGAGCGAGCUUCCCCUUGUUCAGUUCGUCGACCCGGUGCUUCGCCGAGUUGAGCUGGCUAGCUGCAAGACACAGAAAACCACAAUCAACUCCUAAACUUCGGUGAAUGUCUUGAGACCCAUGUUAAUGCGGUGCGAUAAAAAUGUGCAAAGUGGGUGAAGUUAAAAGAUGCACGAGGACUCGCCUUCCCCGAAAGCAACUUGCUUGAUGAUUGAAAUGCCCUCUAAAUGAUUCUCAGUCGCCUGUUUAGUAAUCUAAAUCGCCAUCACAAUAGUCUAAAUCGUAUAAUAGAGAAAGAGUACUAAAGACAUGGAUCUCAAGCCCAAAUGAUACUUAUUAGCAUGCGAGUGAUCAUCUGAAUUUCGAUGCUCUUGAGGGUGGGAAGUCACUAAAUUAUUAACUUUUUUCCAACACCAGUCGAGUUCCAUGGGAUUGUUUCCGCUAUUAGAGAUAAAAAGUUAGCAUGCAAGUAAUUUAAAAGCACAGUAUAAAUUCGGUUCUCCCAAUCAACGAGUAUAAACGAGAAUAUGGGGGCGAAAAAAUUGUUGCAAGAACUAAAACGUGGACUUUUCGAGAAGCUCCAAUAACAGAAAUGUCGCAUAUUCGGCAAGAUGCAAGUACGUCCAUCCAUCGAGACUUAGUUUUUGGAGAAAUGCACAAACAUAUAUUGAAUGAAUAAAAACGUUUAGAAAAAUGUCAUAAAAACGUAAGCGAGAGGUCUUGACUUUGAAUCUCAACGAGAUCCUUUGUAUUAUGACUCGUAAUAUUUAUUUAUUUUUUACACCCAAUCUACUUCGUAACAAUUUUUUUGAUAAACAAAACUUCAACCGAGCCAAAAAAAUUAGUCACUUCAUAUAUAUGUGCACCCGUGUGUAUGUGUUCUUUUGUUGGUACAAAUGGUUAUGCAGGCACUCAAUUAGUAAGCGGGAGGUCUUGAGUUUGACGCUCAACGAGAGCAUUUGUCUUAUGACAUUCAAACUUUUUCAUAACAAUUUUUUUCAUAAACAAAAAAUUCAAUUGAACCAAAAAGUUUGUCACUUAAUACAUCAUAAAACCAACAUAAACAUAUAAUUCACUUUUCUAAGUACAAAUGGGUAUACGAGCACCUGUUUAGUAAGAGGGAGGUUUUGAACUCGACUCUCAACGAGAGUAUUUGUCUCCUAACUUAUAAUCUUUCUUUUCUUUCUUUUCUUUUUUUCUACAUUCAAAUUUCUUCAUAACAAAUUCUUUUAUGAAAAAAAAAAUCGAUCAAGCCAAAAAAUUUGUCACUUGAAACGUCAUAGAGACAACAUAUACAUAUAAUAUAUUACGUUCCUUUUUCUCGAUACAAAUGGGAUAGGAGCACCUGUUUAGCAAUCCGGAGUCUUAAGUCCAACUCUCAACGACAACAUUUGUCUCGUGACUUAUAAUUUUUCUUCUUUCUACAUUCAAACUCUUUCGUAACUAAUUUUUUGAUAAGAAUUCAAACUUCUGUCUUCUUGCUGCUGUUAUAAUCAGGGAUAAGGAACUCUAGUGUGAAUGGAACUCAUUGCGGUGAUGCUAAAGGGAAGUUGAUGUGACGAAUCUUACUGGAAUGUGCGGAGGAAGGAAAAUCUUAAAGCUGGUGGUUAGAUCUGGCUGAGUUACCAAGGGUUGAUUCUUGGUUAUUGCUCCGGAACUGACUAACCCGGGCCAUACUCAGUCCUCACCCUUAGAAAAGGGAACUCUAGAAAAAAAUUUAGUCAAUGCUCCAUAAUAACUAAUGUUCUUCAUUGUUCAAGCAAAGAUACAUUUUUAUGCUUCUCACGUUCUAUAAUUUUAAGGAAGGGCCAAGGUGGAAAUCUUAUUUUGUAAUUAACAGUCUGCUAUCGAGUUCUUUUAAUUCUGUACUGUUCUUCUUUUAGCAUCAAGGUACCUGGAGAUAUUAACUUGCCUGAUUUCCUCCCUUGUUUCAUUCCAUUGUCAGUGUUUUUUAUGAUUUCGAUUGGCUUUUUUAAGCUUUACAAGUAGAUAAGGGAGUUAAUUAUUUGUCUAGGGCCUACUUAAACAGGCUUACCACGUAAGAAGCAAUAUCCCUCGUUUUGUUUUUGCUCUAAAAGGUUCCGAUGAGGAGCAUUCGGUUGUCGUUAGGGUUCGGCUUGGAAGUCCCUUGAGAAAGCAAUGGGGAGUUUUCGCAAAGACCAGUCAAUCGAGGAUGUAUAGCUCUAUGAUGAUGAAGGCCCCGGCAAAGGACCACCAGGGGGUGCUGGAGGUAGUGGUGGCAGCGGUGGUGGUCCUGGUGGAACUGUCGAUGAAGGUUUUGCCUGGAUCAUGGAUGAAACGCCGCAAGAAGUUUUGGCAACACUUGGCUUUAUAGUUCUGGCAUAGUAUCUCCUUGGAUAUCGUUAAAUUUUAGCUGUCAAAGUACGAAAUUUAUGCUCCUUUUCUUCUUCUUUUUUUUCGGUAAUGAAUUACUGGGACAUUCUAUAAGAAGUGUUAGUAUAUAUCGCGCUUAAUGACAUCCUGCAAGAAGCAACUCAGUUAAUUAAACUAAGCUUAAGAUAAUCCAAUCCUGUAAGCGUAAGCCUGCUUGAUGUACUCAAACAAACAUCUUACGUAACAAAUAAUGAGGGGGUAGUUAAGGGGGACAAAUGUUGGUACAUCUACGGAUUGGCAGCUGCAGCAAUAGUUGGGGUAUAUGAGGGGUACUCAUGGUAAUGCUGCUAGCAGGUGAUGUAAUGGUAACGGCGGUCAUGAAGAAAUUGUGCCAGAGGAGGAUGUUAUCUACUUGGAAUUUCAGUCUUGCUUAAGUACUAAGGUGGUGGUCGCAGCGGGGUAGGAGUCAAAGGAAAUGCUAGCGAGUACCGAUGAAGUAGGUAGAAUCGGUCGUUAGUGGUUUGUUUAGUAGAGUGAGAGUGCAUGUGGCCCUGUCGGAUCUGGUGGUUGUAGUGUCAAUUUAGAGGUGGUGCGGGUAAUGAUGGUAGACAGAGGGAAUCGUGUCUACACAAAAAUGUGUGCUUUGACAUGUUGAUAUUGAUAAAUCUCAUUUUUUCGAAGGUCUCUAUUCACCAUCUCAUUAAUGCUUUAGCGACAGUCCAAAUUUACUUUUCAAAUAAUAUCAGAUAUAUUGAGAUUCGUUUCUUCAGUGGAAGAAAAAGAAACCCCUCAAUUACAUUGACCCUUGAUUAAAUUGAUAUAAGUGAAGUUGUAGAUUGUAAUUGGAUCUUGAAUAUGGACCACCUGUUGGAAAGGUCUAUUUGCAGUCGACUAUGUCAGUUAUUAUACCAAAUUUAAUAGAUCGUUUUAGUGUAGCAUUACUAUUUACAUUUCAGAUGAUAAACCACAAAUCCUCUAACGGGUGUCUAUAGUCUGUACACUACGUUUUUCUAAUGCUGCAUCAUGGUGCCUGCAUAAGUUCAUGUGAUAUCAUUACUGUCGUACACAUAAUGGUUGGUUUAUAUUUCUAUGCUUUUGUUCUAUCCGAUGUCAUUUCUUAUCACACAAUUGUCAACAACCUGAUUUGACCAUUCAAUGCAGUAUAUCUAUAUAAUAUCUGGAGAGGAGCUAUUUCGGCUUGCUAAGGAUUACAGCACGUAUCUUCUCGAAGGAAGUCAGAGCGUUAGGUUAACACGUCUGAUGCAUCAGGAGGGAGGAUUUUAUAAGAAGCUAACAGAGAAGAAAGAGAUUGAUCAGUGUUGGUUAGAGAAGGCGAUAAUUAAUACCCCGACCUGGUGGGACAGUCCUGAGAAGUAGAGGCGCAUCGUGAGACCAUCUGAAGAAGUUUCUUACCCUUCUUCCAGCUAUGACGAUGAACUCUGAACAAUUUAUCUCCGUCUUGCCAAGUCACUUUAGAUGGAAAGGUGAUAUCAUUCCAUGCUUCUAGAUUUGCAGUGAUCCGAAGCUCGAUCUUGGUAGAUGAUGAGAAAGCCAUCUUCUGUAGUUGCUACACCACCUGCCAUGGAGAUUUUUGUGCAAAAUUUCACAAGAACAAGGUCAGAUGCAUGAAGGAUUGAAGUCUAUGUCAUUCUGUUUUGUUGCAAUAUAAAUGACAUGAGUUCAAGUUGAUUCAAAGCGUUAAGAGCAAUUGGGACUUGAUAGGCUGCUUCAUGAGGACUUCUUCAUUCCAACUUUUUCUCCCCCUUUUGAUUCGUUUUCAUUUCUGCUAUUGAUUUUGUCAUUAUCAGCUUGGGUUGCUACCUAAUAGGCUGAAGUUUUGUAACAUUUGAUAUGAUAUGCAGAUACACAUUGCUUGUGUAUAUCUCGAAAAUUCCUACCCUCGGACACUGCUUUGGCUAGCUUCUAAAAAAUGCCGUUCUGUUUGCCCUUCUCUGUCCCUUCUUUUGCCCAGAUGAACAACAACCCUCAGGCCGCCACAUGACCAGCAUAUACGCUAGUGAAAUGCACAAUUUUUUUUAUUUUCUAAUUUGUGGGAAGAAGACCCUUUCUUGUGACAAAAGCCCGGUGGAUGAUGAGAAAGUCAUUUUAUUUUUAUUUUUCCUCUUCUCGAUCGCCCGAAGCAUGAGAAAAGAUACAAGGAGAGAGCACAUGAAAUGAUAACACCAUGCAUAGAAAAAAAAAAAUAGGAAUAAGAAGUAGGGGCCAAAUCAUUGCAGGUCACGAAUCGGGGUACCUAAGUAGGGAGAGGGCAGUUGUGGCAGGCUCUCUCAGAUGGUUUCAGAGGUGACUUUCUUUUGGGGUUUUUGGAUCUUGGUUUUUGGUGGGGGCACUCUUUCAUGUGCUCUCUAUCUAUCUCCCCCAAACUCCCCAAACCCCCCCUAGAAAAAAAAAAAUUACCAAUUAUUGACACCUAAAUUUUGGCAACUUAUUUAGAUAUUUAUCGUAUUAAAAAAUUAAAAAUUAAUUUUAUCCCUGAAAAAAUAAAAUCACAUGGCAUAUAGUUUAGGAACAUUUUUGUUUAUUUUAUUGGACUGACGGUGAGUACAAAAUUUUUCACAUAUUCCGUUGAGAUUUUCAUAUAUUUAGACAAUAUACAGUAAGUGAUGUAUUUUUUAUGAAAAUGAAAUUUUCGAAUGAAAUAUUGAAAAAAAAAUACAAAAAAUAUUGUGCCUGGUGGGAUGAUAAGCAAAGUUGACAAUAAAAUAUAUCACGGAGAUAUAAUUUUUCGGUGUAUAAAAGGAGUCGGGUACGGUGGGGAGCAAAGGAGGCCACACAAUUGACUACACGGCCGCAUAGAGACUUCUCCUAGGGUUUCAAGAGGAGAGAGAAAAAAAAAGAGAAAAAGCUUCGGGGUUUCUCCAUUCGUUCCGUAAAAAAAUGGAGGAGGAGAAAAGCUUAUUGGGAAAGGGGAAAAGUCAACAGAAGCUUUUUGCUUCUGCAGAUACAGAGAACAGAACAACACAGCAGGGAGAUUGAGAUUGACGUGAGGGACGUCGAUCAACAGGAAAAAAUAAGAAGAAAAAAGGGUGCUCCUGUUCCUGUUCAUCUUCCCCACCACGCUUUCCCUGAUUCUCGCCGGCGCAGCAGCAGCCGGGUCAACGCUUCCGCCGGCUUUUCUCCCGCUCGCGCCACCGUCGUGGCGCCUCAGCCGAUCUCCCUCGCUGCACGAAGCCCGCCGUCGUUAUCGUCACUCCGAGCAUCCCUCCGCGACGCCCGAGCCGCUCCGCCGCUUCCUCAUCAGCUCUGUACUCAAUCGCUCCACCCACGACGCUCCUGCUCCGACGCCCAGCGAAUCUGCCCCGGACCCACGAAGCUGUCGCUGUCCCAUCUCGCCGGGAUUCCCGCCUGCGAGCCCGCAUCCCUGCACCGCGCCGCACCACCACCCGCGCCUUGCUCCGCUUCUGCAGUAGAUCCCGCAUCCUGCAGCAAAGUCCGAGUCGCCCUGCUACACCUUCAACCCGCCGGUCCGCGACUCCCCUGUUGUCGAGCUUUCCUUCACCAGCCCUCCGAGUGACGCUCGUAGCAACCCGACGUCGCAGCUCCUGCUCCGCCCUCUUCCCGAGCCCGAGCAAAGACGCCUCUGCUCCGACGCCGCAAACACCUGACGUCGUCGCUGCUCCUGUUCGCCUCAGUAGCACUGCUCAACGAUCAGAGUAGACCACCGCCACCAGCGACGACGGCUGCUUCGAACCGCUGCUUCGCCGGCCACGAGCACCGCCACUUGACUCCUCGUGACAACCCGACGCCCGCGCCUUCCCCACCGUGCUGCUCUGCUGUAUCCGACCCGAUGCACGCCCGAGCGACGAACCAGCUGCGGCUUGCUCCCAAACGCCGAACAGCAGCCCCCCUGCCCGCUGGUUAAUGUUGCUGCCGCCGGUCCGCCCGUCGCCCUCGCCGGAGCUCCGAACGGCAACCCAUCUAGCCGCUGGCUGACUUUAGUUUAGGAGGCAAUUAAGGUAGAUUUCUUAUUUUAUUUGAUUUUUAUUCAUUUAUUUAUUUAGUUUUUAUUGUUCAUUUUUUUUCUUUAUUUGAUGAUGAGAUGUUUGAUAUAAAACAGCCUGUGAAAGAUAGUCCGAUUUUCGCGUCCGAAAUCCGACUCGCAAUCACAAUCGCUUGAAAAAUCGUCAAUCCGAUCUCCCGCCCAAGAUUUGAUUCGUGAUUUAUUUAAAAAUUGGCCAACCCGAUCUCAUACGCGAGAUAUGGUUCGCCGGUUUGUAGAUAUCGAUCAUAUCUUAUCUCAUUUGUCGUCAUGUUAAUUGAAUCAAUUUUAUUUUGUUAAAUAAAAAAAUCAAAAAAAGAAAUAUCUGAGUUAGGAUUAGAUCUGUUUUAGAAUAUUCCUUGUUAUCUUACAUAUUUAGAAUAGAGAUUUUAUUUCGAAUUUCAAAAAUAAAAAAUCAAAUCAAUCAAUUCAAGUUGCUAGUGUUUUUUUUACUUAGGUUGCAUGUUUAAUAAUUUGACAAUUCUUAAUUUCGAAUUUCACAAAGAAAAACACAAAAGAAUCAUCAUGCAUAUAUCAUGUAGAGUUAGGGCAUAUUUUUGUACGUCAUUGCAUAUUAUGGUAAAAUUGCACUUAGUUUAAUUUUAGAUAAUAUUUUUCUUAAUUUAUUAUAAGUUUAAAUAUUAGAUAGAUUGCAUUCUAGGAUUAUUUGGGUUAAGAUAAUAUUUUAGUUUAAAUUAGGAUUUGGUUCAACCUAAUUCUUGAUACAAAUUGAAUAGAAUCUUAAUCUAGUUAGAUAAUUUUCACAUUUUAUUUAAUCCCGAAUUUUAUAAAAAAUACACAAAAUGUCAUAAGUCGAACUAGUUUUAGGAUAAAAUGCAUUCUUUAGGAAAAAUGAAAAAAAAUGCCAUACGCACGUCAUUAGGGUUAGAUUCAUUGAGAUGCAUGUCAUUUAGUAUUUUUGCUAGGCCCAUUUAAUUAGAAAUUACAUGUCAUUAGAAUUAGGUCAUUUAGUUAAUAUUGCAUUGCAUAUUGCAUGAUUUUCAUUAAAAAAGUGAAAACAAAAAAAGAAAUUGCGUGUUAAUUAGAAAUCAUAUUUAGAAUUAUUGAUAUGGAUUUUAAAUUAAUAUUGCAGAUACUUUCGUUGCUUUGAGGUAACUUUUUGCAAUUUAUUUAUUUUUUAUUUGGGUGUUAAAUUGGUGGAUUGUGCACCCAUAUGACCACCUCACAUAUUAGAGAAAUAAAUUUAAAAUUAAUCCAAACUGCUUGCCAAACAUUUUUCAAAAAAAAAAAAAAAAAAGGUACCGAAAGGGCGUUAGAGAAUUCUAACAUAACCAAGUCCCCGUACGCAUAGUCUCUGGUUCGUAGGAGUAAAAUAAUUCUCCCGUUAUUUUAUUUGGGUUUCUAAGUGGCGACUCCUAAUUGAAAAUCAAUUGCAUGUUAAGAACUUGAAUCUAAGUCGCGAAUUGAUAUGGGCUUGGGAGAACCCGAGUUAAAUCUAGGCUUAACAAUCCAUUAAUCAAACCCUAGGUGGUUCACACCCGAAAAAUUGGUCGCGAUACCAAUACUCAAUUUCUAGAGAGAGAUAGAUGGGUUAUAUAUAUAUAUAUAUAUAUAUAUAUAUAUGGGGGAAUUAUGAUGGAAAUGGGGUUUUGGGGUAGAGAGAGAGAGAGGGAAAGAAUGAGAUGCGAUGGUGGGUUGUUCACAAUUUUUCCCAAAAUAAGGGACUGUGCCUGUGAGAGCAUGGAGAAGAGGUGCUUCCAAUUUUGCCCAGAGAAGGGCUGUACUCGCCGAAAUCACGUGGUAUGCCCGGCGGUCUACUGUAAGACAGCAAGGCGAGAGAUGGUCUCACGAGAAAAUAGUGUACACAAGUGAUGCUACGUCACGGCCUUUUCCUUCCCAGCCUUGAUCUCCUCUUCUUCAAUUUGAAGUGCCCCCUUGCUGUUGUACUUGCUGUCAUCUUGAAAAGCGACACUCCGUCGCUGGCAGCCUCAAACUUGACCUCUUAAUCGACCGAUUCGAGCUUGUCACCCAGCACGUCGCCCUUGAUCAUUGUGUACCUACACACGAAUUUCUCCUUGUUGAGCUCAUCGUUCCAGUGCCUCACAUACUUGAAAUGACUAGCUGCAUUUGUUACCGAGCGAGAAAUAAUUUCACUAAACUCAUCACUAGACAGAGGACCCAAAAAAUGGUGUAUACUGAGUGUACAAACCUUCAGUGAAAUUAUCUUACCUCGAUGCUCCCGCCUCCUCUGUCGCCUUGCAUGAGCUCCAUGAUCUUUUUGAACUGAGGCAGGAGCUUCGGGAUCAGGGUAUUCGACUCGAUGAUCAGGCCUUGAACAUGCGAGUUAGAGCGAUCAGGCAUGUGGGCUCUUGUGUGAUGAUGGUUGCACCCAUGGCUAUUAGCAAUGAUAAGGAAAUAAACCCAGAGGAAGUGAUAUGCUUCUGAGUCCUGUCAAUGCCUCCCAUUCAUGAUUAGAAUUAUGCGAAUAGGUAGGGUUGGUUUGGCAAGAGUCAAGGAUUUGCAGCCUAAAGGAAUGUCAAAGGGGGAUUAAGUCUCUCUUUUGUUCUUUUGGUCAUGAAAAUGAUUUCGGUCCCUUUUAAAUUCAAGUUGAAAUGUCAAAGAUUAUGGUCCAAAAGAUGGACAACAGAGAGAGCACAUUCUCAUGCUCACAUGGGCGGCCAUCCUUUUGAAUUGAUCGUUGCAGCAUUGGAUCUAACAACAAUUUGGUGGUACUACAUGACAAUGUGCCAAUUAGAUAUUAUGAUAAAAUGCCAUUGUUUGGAGAAAAGUGUAUUAAUCAAAUUUUAUCUCAUUAUUAUGCAACAAACAAGAAUACUUGAUUGGUUAAUGAUAUCAUAUGAUAUAAGCAUCAUAUAAUAUAUUUCUCCAUAAGCAACGCUCUAAUGUCACGGUAGAUCUGUUCAAAUGUAUGAAGUGAGGCAUUUUGAAAAUUUUCAUGAAAAACAAGUUUGGUUAAGGUUGAUACAAACUUCACUAGCACCAACAGUUUGACUCGGUCAAAAGUGGGUCGGCAAUGGGUUGUCCCACUAUCAGCUCAUCGUCUAAGUUUGGGGGAGGUGGAGGUUGCUGUUUUUCGUUAUAUUUUGCUUCUCUUUUUCUUUUUUUGUCAUUAUCAGUGCUAAAGCAUUUGAUCUCUAAUCCAAUGCCACUAUCAAGAGAUAAGAUCGGAUUCGCUUAGAUAGAAUUUCAAAUAGUCCAAGUGUUAUAGAAGGAAAAAUUACCAAAAAUGUCAUAAACAUAUUACAAUUAUACCAAUUUAAUCAUAAACUUUUUUUUGAUCAAUUGAAUUAUAAAAAUUUCUAAUUAUGUUACUUACAAAAAAAAAACAUUUCUAACUAUGUCAGUUUAGUCCAUCCGAUCAAAAUUGACCGAUCGGUGCAAAUGUGGCCGCCGGCCAACGCCCCCAACCAAUUUUUAAUAAUAUUUUAUAUUUCAAAUUUUUUAUUAAUUUUUUUCUUUUUUCUUUCUCUUUUUUUUUUUCCCUUCUCCCUUCUCCUCCCUCCUUCUCCCUUUUGGCUCCAGCGACUGGCCAGAGGGGAGGGCUAGUGGGUCGUUGGACUCAGGCUACCAAGCAAGCUCGCCUCACCAAACCAAGCAACAAUGAAGCCCCCCUCACCGAAUCUAGCGUGGGCUCGCCUCCCAAAUCCGAGGAGGGGGGGGGGGGGGGGCACUCGCCUCGCCAAUUGUGACAUCCCGAUUUUCCAAUUCUGGUUUCAAUUAAAUAAGUCGGGCAUUUCAUCUUCGCGUCUAUAGCUUUCUUCUCUGAGCUGAUCACUCACGAGAUAACUAGUCUAUCAGGUGAAGCCGUUAAAGAAUCUAAACGCAAUAGACUUGAGAAUUCGACCAAGAAACGACUACUCGACCGUACUAAUCUGCAAGGGUCAUUACGGCACAGACCGAUUAGAGACCGGAGAUAGGUCGAUUCUACAGAACCAUGUAAUUCGGUAUGGGUAAUUCCACCUAAUUGCACAAUUCUUGUUGAUCGGCACUAGACCGAUUUCUCUAUCGUUUUGGUACCCUGUGUCCGUAUUUGAAACCUCGAGAUUUCUACGACAAUCAAGAGUCGCAAAUGUGUCGAAGAUGCACUUUAUGGCUUGAAAAUAAUCAACCACAGGUCAAUUGCACAGAAAAUUCCUAAAAGCUACCCAGUAGAUUAGGACGCGCUAAAGUCGCACCAGAUUAAAUUUAACCGUGAAAUUGAACCCGAUUAUAGAAAUUAGAAGUUCUGUCAAGUCACAAUUCAUUUUAGGAAUGUCGACUCAUCUCCAGAAGAUUUUUCUACAAACCGAGAUUUUUGGCAGAAAAGCAAAGUAAGGCCGUUUUUGUUCGAGAUUGUCAGAGGGCCGUUUUUAAUCGAAUCUUCGGGAUGCAAGUUGGAUCAUUUGACGGGGAAAUGUCAUGAGAAGGCCGAGGACACAUGGGUUGGUUUAAUUGAGCUUCAAUUGGAUGGAAUUGAGAGAGAAUUGAAUGGAUUGAAUGGGGGAAUGUCCAAAAUUCGUAGCUCCCAUGGCACACCACAUUUUGCACCUAUUGCCAAGCUUGUAGAGGAAGCUUGGAGGAGAGAGAGUGGCUGAGGUCAUGUGGUGUCAUGGUGGGGGCAAAGCCAAUGAGAAGAUGGCAAGUGUUGAGCUCUAGAGAGCCCAAGGAGACCCCCCACUCUUUAGCAGCUUCUCCUCCCUUAAUCCAAGGCUUUCUCCAUUGUUGUUGAAGGAGAGAAGCUCAGUAAAAACCAGAGGAACCGAGCUCACCAGCCCCUCCAUCGUCGCACGCCCGGAAGGCCAUCGUCGGCCAGGAAGGCCAUCGUCGGCCAUUUUCCUCCCCUGUUUUCUCCUCGUUCCAGUUUCUGCUCCAGCCGACCUUUCGCCAAAGAUUCGAGUUAAAAGUCGACUUCCCGGAUGAAUCAGCGAACGCUCCACCCAUGUCCGUGACGAGGACAUCCAGACCGUUCCGGAGCACCUCGCCGCUCGCCGGAAAGAUUCUCCGGCUGUCCCGAAAUCCUGAGAGAAGCUGCCGCUCGCCGGACCGUCUGGACUCGCCCUGUUCCGCCUGUUUCGGGUUUUCUUGCUGUUUCGCCCCAUUCCGACCCUUCCUUUGCCCAUCCCAACCUCCUAUAAGAUCCCCAAGACCCCCGGGAGCCAUUGGUUGCCAACCACCCGCUCGCCGGAGCUCCGAUCAGCCCGUUUUCGCCGUUGAAGUUGCUGGUUUCUUCUCUGCAGUUCAGUCCAGAUCAGAAGCAGAAGACAGCAAGGUUUUGGAGACUUUGUGGCCCGUUUUCAAGCCCUUCCCGGCCUCCGUUGGUGUCGCCGCUUUGGGGGUUUAUCGACCGCCUUGGCGUCGUGGUCGCCGUGAACUCACCGGAGCGCAAAACCGGUGAGUUUAUCCUCUAAUUCUUGCUUAGUGAGUUAAUGACGCUUAAGGGGUGUUUAGAUUAGUCUAAUUAGGUUUAGGUAGUUAGAUUAGAUUAUUUUAAUAUAAAUUAGAUUAGUUGUAUGAUUAGCUUAAUGGAUGUUUAAUUAGGGCUAAUUAUAUGAUUAAUUUAGUGUAAUCUUGUUUAAGCCCUAAUUAAUUAUUUUUAAUUAAUUAAUUAUUUCGAAUUUAUAAAUAUUAUUUUAUUAAAUUAUAUUAUUAAAAUAUAAUAUUUAAUUAUUUAAUUUUCGGAAUUAAAUUUAAUUAUUUAAUAAUUUCGAAAAUUAUGCCGAGAUGGCCGGUAGUUAGAAUUUCGCACUGAUCGCAGCAGUGCGGUCGGUUUGUGCUAAUUGUAUGCUUAAAUUGAGAAAUUGAGUGAUUGAUGAUUAUGGUUAAUAAUUCCAAAAGUGUGGAAUUGAGUAAUAUUGAUGAAGUUGUGGUAUUUAACUUGAAAAUACCCGGUGUUGGCUUUUAGCACCAUAAUUGGUUUGUAUGACCAGUUUGUAUCGAUUGAUUGAAUGGAUGUUUAUGUGGGGAUUCAUCCCAAAUCUGUUUAGUGUUGGUAUUCGAUUAGAUUUUUAAUCGUGAAAGGUUGUGAUGGAUCUAGAAAAUCAUCGAAGCUCGGCUGUGCCCUGUUGGAUCGUGAUAUACCACCGAAUUGGGAAUCGGUCGUGCCCACUGGGGCCGUAAACUGCCACCUGAUAGAGGUCACGCCCGUUGGGCCGUAAAUUGCCAUCUGAUAAAGGUCGCGCCCGUUGGACCGUAAAUUGCCACCCGAUAAGGGUCGCGCCUGAUAAGGCCGUAACCUGCCACCUAUUAAAGGUCGCGCCCAUUGGGCCGUAAUUUGCCACUUAAAGAUAGAUCGUGUCCUUUGGACCGUGGUUUAUAUCGGAGGAUUGAUUAAGUUCGGCUCGUUGAGCCGGGAGUGAAAUUGGAAUUGGAACGCUUGAGAUGAUCAGAGGGUGGUUUUGAUGACAUGUAAUCGACUGAGUCGAUUGAUCGCUGAAUCGAUAUGAGUAAUUGAAUUGUUUGGAUGAUGUGGUUGUCAAUAUUUAUUGAUUAAACUGACGUGUAGGAAGGAACUGAGGCGAGGUAAGUCCUCUAUCCUAUUUGUGUGGCUAGAGCGCCCUGAGGCGUAUUUUCUUCCUAAUUGAGUUUUAGAGGGUAGGACUUGCUGAGACGUAGUCUCAUCCCGGUUGUGGGAUAAUAUUUCAGGUCCUUAGAUGAUGGUCGUGGAGGACCGGAAGUCCUGGAGUUCGGAAGAUGGAGGCUGAAGAAUCGGCGAACGUGUCUGACAAGUUGGUCAUAGGACAGUUCCCUUUUUGUUGAGCCUGUCUAUUUUGUAGACAUCCAGUGUUGUAUAUAAACCUAUGUGUUUAUAGAAAGCUUGUUUGGUUGUGAUUGAUUGCCUGCUUUUCUAUCUCAAGUUAAAUGUUGUCAGGGGAUUUGUUUCGCUUCCGCAUGUGCAAUAAAAAUGAAUGGGUCGGCGACGUGUCCUGGGAAGUCGCAUUUGUAUCGACCAGAGUGGGAUGUUUGCGCGCUCGGAGGAUCGGGGCGUGACACCAAUGGUUGGGCGAGCUCUCCUGGCCACCUUAGUCCUGCGAUGGGCUAGCCCUCCCCUCUAGCCGAUCGCCGAAGCCAAAGGAGGAGGAGGGAGGAAGGAGAAGAAAAAAAAAAGGAAAAAAAGAUAAAUAAUUUAUAAAAAUAAAAUAUUAUUAAAAAAAGGUCCCCAGUGGCCACGUCAACGACCUUUUUUUUAAUAAUAUUUUAGUAAAAAUAAGCUUAUGACUAAAUUUGCACAAUUACAAUAGAUUUAGAACUUUUUGGUAAUUUUCCUAUUACAAUAAGAUAGUGUUGGUAUGAUGCGCGGGUUCCUUGAGCCACCAAAAAAAAGAAAAAAAAAAAAAGAUAAGUCCAAACCCUAAACACAUUAACUAUAUUUUUUUAUAGAUUUCUAGACAGAUAAUAGGAAUGUACUUUUCAUUAAUGAUCAUACGCAUUACUAUUUAUGAAAGUUUAUACCACAUCGAUAGUUUUAAAUGUUAGCCCAAAUUUGAUAUAUCGAGCUGAAGUUUGGGAUUUAUUCAUUUGCUACUUAGGAAUUCUCUUCUUGCAUGAAAUUUGCCGAAAAUUAGAGAAUCUCAUGAUACCAACAAAAUAUCAUGUAUUCAACUUUUUUUCAACUUGAUACACUACAUAUAUAGCAAAAUUUACAAAAUUCCACAAAAACACUGCACCAGAUUCCUACCGCACCUUUCAUUCUCUUAUUCUGAGCAAAGACGAACAAACAGCACUCACCAGCUGCUACAUAUGUAGUGUAUCAAGUUGAAAAAAAGUUGAAUACACUUUUCCGAUGACGAAAGUCNNNNNNNNNNNNNNNNNNNNNNNNNNNNNNNNNNNNNNNNNNNNNNNNNNNNNNNNNNNNNNNNNNNNNNNNNNNNNNNNNNNNNNNNNNNNNNNNNNNNAUGCGGACCCCACGUUUUUUGUUGGUAUCAUGAGAUUCUCUAAUUUUCGGCAAAUUUCAUGCAAGAAGAGAAUUCAUAAGUAGCAAAUGAAUAAAUCUCGAACUUCAGCUCGAUAUAUCAAAUUUGGGCUAACAUUUAAAACAAUCAAUGUGGUAUAAACUUUCAUAAAUAGUAAUGCGUAUGAUCAUUAAUGAAAAGUACAUUCCUAUUAUAUGUCAAGAAAUCUAUAUAUAUAUAUGUAUAGUUAAUGUGUUUAGGGUUCGGACUUAUCUUAUUGUAAUAGGGAAGUUACCAAAAAGUUCUAAAUAUAUUGUAAUUGUGCCAAUUUAUAAGCUUAUCACUAAAUUAAUGUGUUUAGGGUUCAGUCUCGAUUGUUAUUGUUCUUGAAAGAGACACGAGAAUGAAGAAAUAAACCAUGGUGGGAGAUAGAUUGAGCCAACGUGCAACAAGAACUCAAUUGUAAGCAUCAGGGUUUUUGCAAGAGAUGGGCUUCAAUGGCUUUCAACAUUCCCAUGGCCUUCUCUUUGCUGGCCUUGUUCUCUUCCCGUCCAUGGCGAAGUACUUGCUCGUGCUCUUGCCCAUGCACCCUCCCCGUCUGGCCCCGCCUCGGCCUUGAUCUCAUUUGAGAUCUUCUCUAGCGCAUCGCCCUCAACGAUGGCAUAUGUGUGCGUGAGCUUUCCUUGUCCAGCUUGUCGACUGAUGUUUCACCGAGUUGAACUGUCUAGCUGCGAGACACAAAAAACAGCAGUCAGCUCCCACGUUAGCCUUAUCAAAUAAUGUCAGCAAACAUCUUCUUGACAUCACAUGUUAAUGCGACACGAUCAAAAUGACGGAAAUUGGAAGACAGCGCAAGCACUCGUCUUUGCCGAAAACAACGUGAUGGUGCCGGGACCGCCAUCACCUGCAAGGGUGACAAAAUCCUCAGUGGCUUGUGGAAGGAGCUUGGGGAUGAGAUUGUCAUCAAGAACAAAGGCCUUGAACAUUCUUGCAGGUGGAAUUGAGUGCAUCUUCGCCUAACAGUUCCAAGUCCCUCGGCAAGAGAUGUGUGAGAUUAUGUUAAAAUGCCCUCUAAAUGAUUCUUAAUUGCCUCGUUUAGUAAUCUAGAUCAACAUCACAGUGGUCUAAAUCAUAUAAUAAAGAAAGAGGACAAAAGGCAUGGAUCUCAAGCCCAAAAUUAUACUUAUUAGCAUGCAAGAGAUCUUUGAAUGCAUAUACCCUUGAGGGUGGGAAUUCAUUAAAUUCUCAUUUAAAUAUUCUAACAGAGCCCAGCGGCUCGGAGAAUUAAGCUUGAGUGCAUGUAGAUAAUUCUUGCACGAUAAACGCGUGGUGGGUUGUGAAUUGAGACUCAUCCGCGUGCACACUGGUGCCACCAUCACCAUGAAUACCACUUCCUCGACCAGUUGGACGGUCGAAAAAGGAAGACAUGGGUCGAGCACAUCCUUCAUUAGCACAUUUGAGUCUUCCAAUAAUGUCGACGUUUGUGUCAUUCAUAGGGAAGAGGGAAGAUUUCCUGGAUGCUUCCCCGUCAUAAUCUAGCUUCAUUACUUUUACUGCUGACUCUGUUUUAUGAAAGAAGAAUGAGUCAAUGUUUUGAUCACAAUGCCAAGUUGCCCACAAGUUCCAAAUUUCUGCGAUACUUCUAAAAGAAGCCACUUUUCAAAAUCUAUAUUCCAAAAGUCUUGUUAGAAUUAUUGGACGAAUCCAAAUUCAAUUUGUCUAUCAACCAUAUGGUUACUGCCAACAUUGUUUUUCAAGAAAAAAAAAUGAAUCAAAGUCAAGGUCAUAAUGUCAAGUUGUACCCAAACUCCAAAUUUGUGUGACACUCUGACACAUACCACUUUUCAAAACCUUUACUUGCAGAGUCCUAAAUGUCCUGUUGGACUUAUUCAAAUGCAAAUUCGAGAUGUUAAUUAGAGCUAUUUAAUCAAUCCAAGACCAUUUGUACCUACAAAAUGUUUGUUUAGAUUCGAUCAUCUAACUUACCAGGAGCCAUGUAGCCAUAAGAUCCAGCCACUAUGGUCCAAUCCGACGAGUCCAAAUUCAAGAGUCUCGUUGUCCUGAAGUCCGAAAGCGAGUGCUCGAAGUCCCACUCGAGCAAGAUGUUGUUCAGCAUUAUGUCCCGAUGGACGAUAGGCAGGGAGCAAUUGCAAUGCAAGUAGGCAAUUGCGUAAGCCACGCCUUGGACAAUCUUCACUCUUGUACCCCAGUCCAGUUCCGUUCCUCCUUUUCAUCCAUACAAGACCCUUGCCAAACUGUCUCUCUCCACAGAUUCAUAGGCCAAGUAAAUGCAACCCCUCUUGAAACAGAACCCGCGGAGCUUAAUCACAUUGUGGUGCCAGACCUUCGUGGACAUGCGGAUCUCGUUCUUGAAACUCUGGUGGUCGACUGCAAGGACAUCGCCGGAUUCUAAUGUUUUGAGCUUUUUGACAGCAGCGAUGACUUGGCCGUUGGCCAGUUCAGCCUUGUAAACGUUCCCAAACCUGCCCUUUCCGAUGCAGUACUUUUCGCUGAAGUCGUUGAUAGCCUUGGCGAUGUCAUUGAAUGUGAACCUUCCUUCCCUUUCCCAUACGAUCGACUCAGAUUUCUCAUACUUCAUUGACUUCCUUGUUUCGCAAUUGAAGCACCAGAAUCACAGCAAUUAAAGUCACCGGAAAUAGCUCGCAUCAAUAAGAACUUUUUCGCUCUGGUCAAUUGAUUUACUACUCAUCCUACAAGGAGAUAAUCCUGUCGGAUUUUCACACGAGCCCGGAUUUGCAAUAAAAGCACUUCACGGUGCUUGUUGGAAGAGGCAACCACUAGAAACCGCACCUGUCAGCUCGUUGUACGAUAAGUCUAUGGAGCUUAAACAAGUUAUAUUUCUAUCUUUUUCAAUGUUCAUUAUAAUGUUCCGUAAGGUUGAAACCGCCUUGAUCUAGAGCAAUCCUAAGUUCCUAAUACAGACGGACUAACCUUCGUCAAAAGUGAUCAACUUGGUGGUCUCGGGACCUUCUUCACCCUCGAGGACUUCGAAGCUCUUGAUGGCUUGCGGGAAGACCCUGGGGAUGAGGUUAUUGGCGUCGAGGACAAUGGCCUUGAACAUCUUGGCCGGAGGGAUCUGGACGUGAUCUCGGAAUCGUAAGUGAUGAUACCCAUGAUUGGAUCCGAAUUGAGCUGCUGAAACUGAGAAGGGAGUGAUGAUCAGGAAAGACUGAGUAGCAGUGAUGAAGUUGGUCUCUAGGACUUGGGAGUGAAGAGAAGGGGCUGAAGCGGAGCUGACAUAUAUAGAGAGAGAGACUAAGUGUGAAGGGUUUUGAUCAGUGAAUAUUUUCUUGUUAUUAAGGUGCUUUGUUCAAUAGAAAUAAAUGAUUUGGAAUAUGUAAAUAAUCAUUAAUAUCAUUUGAAACAAUCAAUUAAUGAGAAAUAUUUUUAGUAUCAACAAUAACUCACGUCUAAAUAUUUUCGUAAAUGAUGAAAAUAUUUCUUAUUCAUUUAUUUUUGCAAGCUAUACAAGCGUUUUAGGAAAAUGUUUUCCAAAUCAUUCAUUUUUUGCAAAACAAUCAAGACUUAAAGAACAAAAAAAGAAAAAAAAAACCUUAAUUACUCCUUGGUUUGUUCAGAUCAUGACAUGGCCCUUGUUCCUAAAAUAAAAAUGUCUAUAUGAUAAUAGAGUAUUAGUCAAAGAAGGUAGGCACCAUAUCCUAGAAUGAUACCAAACGUUAUUGCAUUUCCCUUUUAUGUAUGGACUUGAUUCCAUCCAAGAUGGCUGAGAUUUACUGAUUUCUUACGGUCUUAUUAUCGUAGAAAAUAUUGAUCACGAUCCAUCGAGAUUCUGUCCUAAGUCAUUUUGAUUUGUUCGCAGAAGUAGCAAUCUUAAAAGUCGGCAGAGGCCACGAGAAGAGUUUGAUGCAUAUAGUAGAAAACUUGAAAAACCAAGUCACAAUUUUUCAAAUUGGGUGAUUUUUUAUUUUUAUUUUUGGGUGAUUUGGGUACUACAUGUUUGCAUAGAGCUUCCAUCAAUAAGAAAAGUGUCGAGUAUUCUCAAUGUUGUACCAACAUAAUAGAGCAGAAAGAGAAAGGAGGGGUAGUUUUGUAAGUACACUUUAUUAGUUUGCUGAAGCCGGAGUCCUAUGAAUAAAAAUAUAAAUAUAUACGUAUAUAAAUGAGUAGGUUUCAAGGUUUUAUACAUUUAGUCAACAAAGGCCGUUCUGAAAGUCAAGAUGGACGUCUAAAAAUUUUGAUUUUUCCUCUUUCUUGCAUAUGUCCAGUCCUUCUAGAUAAUAUUAUUACAAAUCCUUUUCUGCAAAUUAUAUGGUGGAGGUGUGGUGGAUCAGGGGACAUUGGCACUCCGGUCACGUGCUAAAUAAACAUUUUUUUUAAUGUUUCCUAUGUAUAAUUCUUAUCUAAAUUAUAGACCAUAGUGCGGCCCCGUUAAAUGCGCAUCGUGAUUGAUUUCCCACACCUAAGUCUUUGUUCAAAUUUCAGACUUAGAAAUAUGAAUAAAGUAACGAUUGUGUGUCAAGUACAAGCAUAUCAUUUGACGAAGAAGCUUCUGGUCAACCUUCGAGCUAUGAUGAUGAAGUCUGAACAAUUUUUCUUCACCUUGCUGAGUCAUUUUAAAUGGGGAAAAGUACCAAAAAAAAACUAUAGACUUAUUGCUUUAAUAUCAAUUCAGUCUUAAAUACUUCAAUUGAACCAAUUUAGUCAUAAAUCUUUUUAUAUUAGUAUCAAUUGAGUCCAUCUGACCAAUUUAGGCUAAAAACUACUGACGUGGACAUCGAUGGUCCUACAUAGUACGACCAACAUUAACAUAGACAUAUUUUAUGAUUUUUAAUAUUUUUUUCAGAAUUAUUUUUCCUCUUUUCUUUUUUUUUUUUCCCCUUACCCUUUGGCCGGCGCCAACUGUCGAUGGUCAUGGUCUAGGCAAGGGCCUCUAUGCCCUCGAAUAUAUAUAGUCCACGUCAAAAUUAAGAUAUAUGUAGGAGUAAGCAAUUCUAAGUUCCUUACAAAUUUCGCCUAAAACCUAGAAUCUAUCAUCGGGUACAAAUUCUUCAUUUUUUAGAACCUAAAACCUAUUUGUUGGAACUUAGAAUUUUGAAAUCUACCCCGUCACAAGUUCCACGUUGGUUUCAGAGUCCAACAUGUUCUUUUUUUUUUUUUUCAUUUUUAAUAUGAACGCAAUAAUAUUAAACAAGCUUAUCAUUCAUCAAAGAGAAUACAAAAUGAAUAAAAUUAUCAACAAAAGAAAAAGAAUUCUUAGUAAGGAAUUCAACUAAAUAAAAAUAAAGGUGAGCGGUUCCAAAUUCCGUAUAGGUUUCACCUAAAACUUAAAACUUACCUAUUAGAACAAGUUCUUCAUUUUUUGAAACCUAAAUCCUACUUUGCAUACCCUAGAACUUCAAACCUAUCCUAUCAUAGGUUCCAAGAUCUACCUAAGUCUCAUUUAUAUUAUUAUUUAAAUAAUUACGAUUCACUAAUCAUAAUUUAUAUUUAGAUAUACGCAAAAAUAUAAACAUUAAUAAAGUAAAAAUAUUAGUUAUAAAAUGAAAAUUCAAACUAGUACUUCUAGAUUAUACACUCAUCAUCGAAUAGUAUCGAACAGUAUGGAAUAUCGAAGAAUCGCACAAAGACAUAAAUCAAGAAAACUAUUCAAACUCAUUCUAGAUUCUAUGUUCUAUGUUCCAAGUUCCUCAAACUAAGAAUCUAGAACCUUCCUAUUGCAAGAGAUUUCUCAUUUUUUGGAAUUUGAAACUUAUCCUGCAUUUGGAAACCAUACCUUGGAAUUUGGAACCUACCUAGAAUCAUGCUUACUCCUAAUAUAUAGCCCUUGAAUAUAUAUAGUCCACGGGCUGGUCUAGUAUGGUCUGGGCAAGGGCCUGACGUGCCGGCCCAGUCCGGGCUUCAUUCUCCCUAAUAAAGGCCCAACCGAGAAAGGGGGAAAAGAGAAACCCAGCCCAAAGCCUACUCAUCCGAACAAACCAAAUUAAGCCCCGAAUUCAAUAUUCUUUUAGUGAAAACAAAGCCCAAAAUUACCAAUUUAGCAAUUCAAGCCCACCCAAUGACCUAAUUUUUCCUUUUGCUUUCUCUUCAAACGUGCCUACUCACAACCUCGUGGCUUCACAGAAGCAUCCCCACCCGCUUCUCUCUUCCCCAAGGACCGAAGACGUUGCUGGUUCGAGCAACCAGGUUUAGCCAAAAAAAUUCAGGCACCAUUUAAACCAUGCCCGGCCAUUACGCGGCUGUCAUUCAUGGCAAUAACCACCACCGUCUUUCCUCUUCCCUCCUCGCCGGCCAAGUACCGGUUGCCCAGAAACACGACUCGCACAGAAAGAACGUCGAAACAAGAACGUGCAAAGUGAAGCAUAGCAACGAGGAUUUACCAAGAUUCGUUUGACAAGCGACGAGCACCCACGACGGACGGAGAACUAAGAAUCAACAGCACGAAUCUUACUUGAACAUUUCGUCGAACACGUGGAAGGCAUCGGCUAAAAGGGAGCUCUAGACUUGCCCGACACGGACCCAAAAUCAACAAACAACGGACCAGCAAAACUUGACCCCAACAUGGGGACGUCUCAUGUGUGCUUAGUGUAGGCGUGAAUGGAAAGCAGCAAACCGCAACCAUGAAGAACACAAGUGGGCAUCUAACUUUAGGCAUUUUGUCGAGCAUGUGGUAUACACAAAUUGGGAGUGAGGAACGGGGACGACCGCGCCCGGGCUCGAGCCGGGAUUCAAAGAAAUCGAUACACUAGGCCUCAAGACAUUAGUACGCACACAAAUAAGGCCGGAAACUCGCAUGAACCGGAAAGCAGCAGCCCAGUCCGGCGAGCCCGAAACAGGGCAUGGGCACAAAAAAGGGCGGUCGGCAGAGAGUCCCUACCCAGCUCGCGGCGUCGGACGCCGGACGAGCUCGAUAGAUCGGGCUACGUCCGUCCGCCUCGCUCGUCUCCUAGCCGGGAUCCUCGGGAAGCCGACCCCGAAUCGGGAAAAGCGAAGACGGCCCGAACGGGGACCUACCAUGGCCUCGAAGUGGACAAGGAGCGGCGGCGGAUCAUCAGUUUUGGUUCGGAAGUGGAGGCCAACAGCGGCUCUCUCAGUCGCGUUCUCUCUCUCUCUCAACUCACGGGUCUCUCUUUCGCGGCCCUCUCUCCUCGGAUCCGAAUCCCUCUCGCCUCGUACUUGACCCCCUCCGAUUUCUCCCUCCUCCCCGACCUCUGGCCUUCUGAGAAAGCCGGUCGGCGGAGGCGCUUCGGCCGCCGGUCCUUCGCGCCGACCGGCCCCCCUUGGCUGAACCAGCAUCACAUCACCCGUCGCCUCCAGCGCCGCCUGCUCUGCUCCUUCUGCUGCGGCCGCCCCCGCUGGCGUGAGGAAGAAGCGGGAGGGAGGAAGGAGGGGCCGGGCCGGGGUGAGAAGCACAAGCAGAGUAGGCCCUGGGCCCACUCGGGGAAGAAAGGAGAAAAGAGGGGGGGGGGGCUAAGGCGAAGGCCCAGCUCCCGUGGGCCCUUUUUUUUAUAUAAAUAAUAUUAAAUAGGGUUAAAUAAGAGAGAAUAAAACUAAAAUAAAACUUAAAAUGCAAAUAAUAUUAAUGCUUAUAUGAUGUGAAAAUCGUUUUUGUUAGGGUCAAAUUGAUUUCAAAUUUUUUAUAUUAUUUUAAUUUUAGAUGUUUAGUCAAAAUUUAAGUAUCAAUAAAUAUAAAUGUCAAACUGCAAGAGUAAAAAUAAAAAAGAAAGGGUUAAUACCCUAGAAAACCCCAAACUGGUACACUUGUGACAAAUUUACCCCAAACUAUUUUUUUGACCAUGAAAAACCCCAAACUGGUAAACCUGUGACAAAUUUACCCUGACUAACUAUAAAAAACCCUAAACUGGUACACUUAUGACAAAUUUACCCCAAACUAAUUUAUUUGACUGCAAAAAACCAUAAACUGGUAAAUUUGUGACAAAUAUACCCUCUGCUAAAUUGGAUUAAUACCACAAAAAAAUCAAAAAAAUUAUAAACUGUGACAAACGGAGCGUAAAAUCCUAAAUUGGUAUACCGAUUAACUGUCACGUGCCAUUAACUUAAUAAUUUGAGAAUAAAAUUUAACGAAAACUAACAUAGGGUAAAUUUGUCACAAGUGUACCAGUUUGGGGUAAAUUUGUCAAAUGUAUACCAGUUUGGGGUUUUUGGUGGUCAAAAAAAUAGUUCAGGGUAAAUUUGUCACAAGUGUACCAGUUUGGGGUUUUUUAGGGUAUUUGCCCAAAAAGAAAAGAAUUAAAGAAGAGACAAGUGUGGUUGCACCUUUAUCCCACCAUGUGACUGAAAUUGUUUACGAAAGUAAAAAAUUCAACGAACAUCACUUGCUCUAGUUUUAAUUGAAUUAUUGUGAACCUUAUUUCUCCACCACGCAUCCUCGUUAAAGUCAUCCUUUGAUGAAUCAAAAUUUGUCUAUAUGUUAUACGUAGUGACACGUGUAAUUCAGUGUGGCUCUUUUGAUGGGACAAAUUUCUCACAUCACCAAUUACCUCUUAUUAGGAUAAGUUCUUUCAAGGAAGGAUCCUAUAUUCUUUUUUUUUUUAAUAAUAUCGUUGUUGUUGUCGGUGACGUGUUCCUUUUCCAAAUUAAUUGGAAUAUAUCAUUUUAAAUAGAUAAGAUCUCUACCUUAAAUGGGAGUAUGAGUUUCAAACGCCUAUGAUAUAUUAUUAUUGAUAGUCACACAAAAAUAACAUGACAGUUGAUGCUACGGUAUGACACAUAAUAAAUAAAGGCGAAAAGCCAUAUUUUAGUAAAACAAAUUCAAAACCGAGUGUUGAGAUUAUUUAUCAACAUGGACAUCAACUUAUAGCAUCUCCUUUUACUAAUGAAUAGGGCUUGGAUUAAAUAAUCAACCUAGUGAUAGUCUAAAAUAGCUCUUUUUGCCUUGCUCCUUUAGCUUUGGACAUCAACUUUAUAUAUUUUUUAAUUUACUUGUAAUCUUAUUUGGUAAAAUCUAUACAUGUGCAUCGAAAGUGCACGAUCUAAAAGAGUUCAUCAAUGUCGUAGCCACAACCAAGAAGUAUGUGUGAUUUGUUUUUAGAUCCCACAUAAACUGAAAGCACGCUAACAUUUGGAUCAAUAUCAAAUUACUUGUGGAUUGCCGACUAUGAAAGCAUAAAGGAGUAACUAUAUAAAUUAAUCCUAGCUAGGAUCUUCCUACAUUUCUACAUGGGUAGGCAUUUAAAUGAUCAAUGGGAGAGAGAUUAUAUAUAAAUCAUAAUUCAAAGUGACGAUUUACUCUCUUAAUAAUGAUGACGACGAUGAUAAUUAUAUAAAAUUGAGAGGACAAAUUUUUUUUUGGCCUGGUAGAGUCUAUAAAGAACUACACAAUACAUCGGGAUGAUCAUUAGAUGAAAGUGCAUGCUUACAACAUUGAAAAUCAUUUUGUAGGGUAUAGAUCUACCAAAUUGUUCAAACAUUGUUUUAAUGGUUUCCCUUGGAUGAAAGACUCUUCCUCUAACACAUGAUUUACUUAAUUUAAUCAGUCCAAGAGAGAGAUACACCACCCACGUGCCCCAUAAGCAACGGGGAAUUUGUCUAAUAUGUUAUGAUGUACAAGACCGUACAAUUCCAUUCGCUCUUUUGAUAAAUAUAAAUUAUCAUGCAAUCGGUGAAUUCAAAUCUAAUGUUAUUAAGAUAUUUCACGUGUGCACGUGUGGUUUUGGGUCUAAUAGAUCAAACCAACAUACAACGUCAACUUCAGACAAACACAUUUUUGGUCGUUCACUCUUCCUUUAUAAAAAUCCCUUUGAAGGCCAAAUGUCUGAUAGUCCUUGAUACUUGACACCCUAAAGUUUACUUAGCAAAGGUUCAAUAAAGUCAGGUUUUGGAAGGGUCAUCAGGAGUAUUACAAGUCGGAACGAGUAAAACAAGGAUCUCUGUAAAGUUAACCACCUUGUUGAAGUUGCAUUUGAUGAAUGAAUUAAUCCCAACUGAAAUUCUUUUAGAGCAUAUGUUAACAAGACAAUCGCAAAAUUGUCGUCAAAUAAAGCACCCAGGCCAAAAGCGGAAUUCAUCACGAUGAUUUUUGGAUUGAAGUGGUGAAAAAGCUUGGUCGAGAGUUAAUUGGGAGAUAGAGAAAGCUCAAACUUUAGGAUAAGCAAUUUUGUGGCUAAUAAUAGAAGCUACAAAAGGUUUUGGCCACUCACGCACGUGCCAGGUCUGCUCUCACGUGCACGCGGACCCUGGUCUGUGUCUCGGCCUCUCAAAUCUCUCUCUCCUGUUCUUCAAUCUCCACUUUCCGUCACCCAUUAAUCCCAUCUUCCUCGCUGACAUGAAGUCAUUAACAUUCGAUUUGAUCCCCAAAAAGAGAAAUCAACACUUAUCGCAUGAAUCAAAAGCAAAUACUAUGGAAUCGGUGUCCCAUGAGGUUGAUCUUAUAUGAUAACGUCUUUGUAUCGGCUACAUACAUUAUGUACAAAAAAAGUGUAAUUAUACUAUCAUAUUUUCGUUAAUUCACCUCUUUGAUCCAAUAUUAUUUGUUGACGUUGCCCUUAAAAAAAUCAGGACAUGACAUCCUCCUUAGUUGAUUGAUAUAUGACAAGGGUCGACAAAAAAGACAGCAUCUAAGUUAACAAUUUGGGAAGAUUAAUGUUUGUGAUGGAGGAUAUUAACUUAUUACGUGGCAGAAUCUUUCUGACAUCGUACAAUUAGCUAUCAAGCAAACUUUUUCGCCUUUUGUUUUUCAAGAAACAAACAAUCACAAGUUUUUAAAAACCAAAUGCCCAUUUAGUUGAUGGAAAAUUGAUUACAGAAAAGUUUUCCAUAUUUCAAUAUUUAGAUGAUAGAAAAUUAUUCAAUUUACCAAAAGUUUUUUUUUCUGUGGAUUGAAAAUAAUAAAUUUAUAUUUGGAAAAAAAAAACUUCUGUUUACGGUAAGAAAUCAUUUAUCCUAAUUUUUUGCUAAUUCUUAUAGAUUAAAUUAGCCUAAAUUAGACUUUAUUAACGCAUAUUAGUGGAUUCACUUGCUAUCAAACACCAUAAAAUUAAUUUUUCUCCAGCAUGUUUUGGCACGAAAGAACACCAGAAAAUUAUUUAAUUUCUCUGGAAUUUAAUUUUUUUGAAAAUACUUUUCAGUGAUAAAUUUUCGCUAAAAAGGCGCAUCCAAGCUACAUUUUUGUUAACCCUGUUCUCCCUCUCUCCUUCUCUCGCUCUCUGCCUGCUGCAGUUCUCUGCUCUCUCUGAGCUACUCUUUCUUCGCCAACUGUACAAAAGGCCAAAAAAUAUAAUUGAGUUUCACCAGCAAUUAUGCACCUCUCUCUCUCUCUCUCUGCUGCAGCUCUUUUUUCGUCAGCUGUACCAAAGGUCAAAAAAUGUAGUUGAGUUUCACCGGGAAUUAUGCGAGAGAAUAUUGGCUACGUCUGCUACUCCAGGCAAAUAAGAAGGUACUCAAAUUACGCCACAUGUCCAACGUGGCCCACGUUGUCAGGCCAAUUUCCUUUGAAGUGAAGAGAAGUCCGCGUUGUCAGGCCAAUUUUGAAAUAUGUUUGGCUCUUCCUCUUGAGGGAGAGGGAACCGCGUUCUCCCCUGUUCUCCCGGCUCCCUCUCUCUUUUGCGCCCGACUCUCUCUCCCUCCGACCCCUCGUCCGACGCCCCCGACUGACGCACCAUCGCGCCCGAUCGACGGACCACUGUGCAGCCUUUCUUUACUCUUCAGGUUUUGUUGCUUUGAUUUCUUGACUCAUGGCUUCUGUCCUAUGAUAUGCUUCAUGUGCUACCAUGUUCUGUUAGAUCUGGGUUUUGGCGACGGUUUUCCUGUCUUAUGGGAUCUGACUCUUUUAAGGAUACUCGAACAUCAUAGUUUUGUUGCUUUCUGAGCUAUGCAUGCACAUUCAAACAUCACAUGGCUUUUUGUAAUUGCAUUUAGCUUGAUAUAAGAAUGUUUAAUUCUUUGGAUUAGCUAACUUUGAUCUGCAUUUCGUUACUGCUAAUUCUGCCUCACCCCAGCUUCUAGAUUGCCCUGAGAAAUCUGGUCAUCUUUAGUUUGUUGUGAGCAUAAUUUGAAUUUGCAGCCCCACCCAAAAGAGAAAACCCUACAUGUUCACAGCGAAAAUUCUAAGUCAAUUAAAGUGAGAAUUUGCAGACUAUCAAGAAAAAGUUGGUUUUUCACAAAAGUGCUAUUAAGUUAUAAAUAAGUCAUAUGGAAAUCAGGUAACACUUUUUUUUAAUCAAUAAUUUUUUAACACUUACCAAUUCCUUCAGGAAUUUAUCCGCAUGAAAAAUAUCCGUUUGUUUUAAAAUGGAGUAGUAAAGUCGUCCCUGUGACGUAUGAGAGUUAAUUGCCUUUUUAACAAUUUGCGUCUGGAUGGCCUCUUCACUAAACAAGAGGUCUUCUUGUAAAUGGCAUAAUUAUGAUUUUUUGGGUGUCGAAUUGUCGUGAUCAUAAUUAUUAUUACUUUUUUUACCAAGAUCAUGUGUUCUACGUUGGUCCAAUUCUAAGGAAAUUUGUUUCCCCCGUAACAGGGGGGUGAAUUGAUUUUUCAAGAUAUUGAAAAUCAAUUUUGUAAAACCUACCCCUAUAAAAAUUGUGCUUCUACUACAAGUAUACUAGCAAUUUAAACAGGACAAACUAAAAAGUUUAGAGAAAGAAAAAUUGCAAAAUGAGAAUUAUGAAAGUUCGAUUCGGGUAUACAUACUCCUCUUUCUAGCUCUAAUAGCCCAAAUAGACUGAACUCUACUAGCUAUGCCAAGAGUACAAAUACAUCUUGUUUUGAAAAUUACUCGAUCGGUCUUAAACUUUUCAAUUUUGCAAAUUUAGUUUUAAACAUUUGUGUGAAAUUUCAAUAUAUUCAUUUCAGUCAUUUUUCGCCGGAAAUUUCUGACGUGACAUUAUCGUUGGCCAUCCUAUGUAGCAAACCACUAUGCCCACGAUUUUCAGCUAAAAUUGACGAAAAGACUAAAUUGAAAUUUCACACAAAAAGUCUAGUUGAUGACCGAAUUAAUAUCCGUGCAAUAAGUCUAGGAUUGAUUAGACAAUUACUUGUUACAAGAGUAGAACUUGCUGCCACAAAGAACUUGACUUCCUUCUACAGCAAUCCCGCUGUACACUGAGUAACUUUUGGACCCUCCAAUAGCCGUUCUCACACCUUGUUCACACGAUACAAAGGUCCUUUUCUAAAUUAUAAACCACACCUCCGACUGUUUACAAAGAGUCCAUUAUACAUUUUAUCUCUUGCCUAGACAAAUAGUGUUCACUCUAAGUAUGUAAAACCACCCUUUUUCAUAUGUUUACGAAUGGGUUUGUCCCUCUUGCUAAUAAUCACUAAAAUGGGUAUUACAAAUUUAUGAAAGACACGAACUCAACAGUCUCCCAAUAAUACUUAAAUUCUCUUGUAGUAGUUAUAUCUAUCUAAUCUUCAAUUAAAAAGGAAAAAUCUCAGCAAAAUUCCUUAAAAACACAGGUAUAAAACCUUGUUACAAUGUAGGCCAUCAAUCUGAUCUUCUAUUAAUGCAGGUUUUAAUCAUAUUGUUUCACCAACCUUCUGAGCGAAUUAGUCCUUUUUCUUUGCAUAACUAAUCUUGGGAUGUCACAUUUUAUUGCUAUGACUUGGGGCGUUGAUUUAGGAACUCCAAUAGUCAUUAAAUCUAUCCAUGGAGAGCGCCCGCUAAAAAAAUCUGACUGCUUUGCAUAACCUAGUUUGGUUCUACACCUUUCCUCCAGUAGAUUUCCUGACAUAGUAAAAUCUUACUUAUGUACUUGUAAAAUCCGAACCAAGUUUCUGUAUGGUUUAAACAUAAACAUUUGCACACUUAAAUGAAUUCUUUAAAUCCAUGGGUUAAAUUUUGAUAUUAUCAUAAUCCUUUUAGUAUAAUUUCCAAGCAGUUUCUCCAUUUUCGACAAUGACAAACCUAUACCAUUCCUUCAAUAAGAGUGAGUUAUGCACAUAAGUAUGCAAAUUCUGCAGAACUAUUUGACUGUAAAACCAGAGAUGAUUCAUGCAUGCUUCUACAUGCGACAUUUUAAUAGACCAUACAAAUAUGUCUGCAAAACAUAAUAAACUCCCCUUAAUAUGUACACAUAGUGUGAUACUCCCCCUGAGUAUGUGCUUCUCCCGCUUCUUGUUUCUUAAAAAUGCAAUAACAUCAGAUGCCCAGGGAUGAAAACCAUAUAAGCAAAAGCAUUCAUUUAUUUAUAUACAGAAUUGUUCUACAAAGCAUAUUCCGGAAAAAUUAAUAUAAAGGAAAGUGAACAUUAACCAAAAGGAUCACAAACACCGAUUUCAUCCAUCAAGCUAGAACGUAUUGUUAUCAAGAGGUUUAUUCAGAAUUUGAGCGAAUUGCAAAUCGAUGCUAACAAAUCCUUUUCAUUGAUUCAUGUUGUGCUGUGGCUGCCAUAAUUAAAUAAAUAAAUAAAAGAAUCAUAUGAAAGAGUCUCUCUUCUUGAAGUUUGACCUAGUUCAGAGCUCCUCGAAAUGGAAGCCACCCCCGUUAAUUAGAACAACUCAUUGUUGAAAGACUUACCGAUUGCUUAACAAUAUUGCAAUUACAUUUAUUUUCAAAUCCUUACAUUAAGGAUGACACGUCCUUAUAUCUCAAUAAGGGCCAUUGACUUAAAUAAGAAAUUUUAUCCGUUGAAUACUGGAAACACAGAAAUCUGACUAAUAGGAGUCUGAAUUACUGAAACUGCAACAACAAUUGAGUGGAAAUGUAAAAGAGACUUAGGGUUGAUGCCUGAUUAUAUAUCGAAAUACCAUGGGUUUGACAUAUAGACCUCGUUGUCAAAGCCCUGUAUGCUAAUGGAAAUAUGUAUAGGUAUUAGGCGCAUUUUGUGGGCUACUACAUGGUGCACUUGUUUUAUAUUUAAGUUUCAAUGGGUCAGUUUUGUCUAUUGGUAAUAUUUUCCUCCAAUCAUACUUUCAAUUAACAGGUCAAAGAUUAUGGAAAUUAUCAAUAUGCAAAUUUAAUCAAAAUCAAAUACGAGUGACGUUAAUAUUUGUGUGAUCCAUCAAUGAAAGUUAUGGCUAAAAAGAGUUCAUCCAGCUAGAGCAUUUCAUGUGCAAAUAGAGAUAAAAUAAAUUUAGAAUUCUAUCCCUGAACUUUUACAUCAUUGACUACGGUUGCUAACAAGCAUUUUCAUUGCAAAAUUUGACAACAUUUUGGGAUGGCUUUUGGAUUAUCAAUGUUGAUUACAUAAUUAUGUCGUGAUUCAGUUUUAUCAUGUUCAGAUUUAGUUUUCUUACAUUUAUUUGAAUCUAAGUUACUAUUAUUGCACAUGAUCUAAGCUCCAACAAUAUUCUUACAUGACAUUUUUUGCUUGUCAAUCAUGUGACCUUAACGAUGUUGUAAAUUAAAUCGAUUACACGUAAAAUGUUUCAGUCAAUAAUUGACACAGAUAGUAGUAGUGGACCAACUACAUAACAUUAGAUUGGCAGUGCAAAAUCUAAUUUCAAGAGAUCAAUAGCAUAACUGCAGCAAAUAUCAAACUUUAGGACCGUAAAUGAAAUUUCUCGGUGUUAAAAAAUAAUUUUCCUUCUCUUGUCGCCGCCACGGAGAAAAUCUUUGAGCACCGCCACUGGAAAAAAGGAUCGUGGUUUUCUUCCAUCACAAAUUUGAUUGGCGAGUUAUCAAAAUCUGAAGAAUCAUCCUAGAGACCGAUUCAAGGACAGCAGUUGAUCUACUAGUUGGCAAGAUUACAGAGUCGUCGAGGCCAGAUUGGGUGGUGAAAACCAACACAGCCCGUGAAGGCAAAAUGUGCGACGAUUGAUAAGCCAAUGCAGCGUUCUUUUAGAGACCAGAUUUAGUUAUUCACUUAAGUUUAUCUACGGGGCUUCAAUUUGUACUUUUUAGGAGAUAAAAGUGGGUGUUAGGAGGCCGGGACUUGCAUAUGAGAUGUGUUAGAAAUUAAACCAAAUUAACAAAUGUCCUCAAUCGACUACGAGUUGCUGAUGUCAGUGGAGAAGUUACUGAUAUUAAUGGUUGUCAAUGCCGAUAUUCCAGAAUUUGAUACCGAUGAUUUUGUUUGGUGAAUUGAUACAGAUGAUUGUCCGAUGCUAGAGUUAAUUAGAUUAUUUAUUGUAGUGUUGUUUUUGAGAAGUCUGUUCAUAUUUUUAUUUCAUGACUGUUCAUGUUUUUAAGUGUAAUUGAUGUUUUGUAAGUUCUUAGGAUUUUAUCACCUCUGAACAUUAGCUAUAUUUAUAAGUCAUUUAGUUUUUUUUUUUUUUUGUCGGUCCUACUCUAUUCCUACUCUAUCACUCGCUCUCAAACUUUUGUCCUGCCUUCUUAUAGGGCAUAGGAGUUGAAACUCACUCCUGAAACUUAAUCGUCCCUACCCCAACUCUCUUAAGAAGGUGGAGAUUCGAACCCCCCACAUCCCUCUUCCAUGUUGAAAGGAUGGCUACUGGGACAAACUCCAGUAGUUUAUAAGUCAUUUAGUUUAAGAGUUAUGUGUGAAGCGUAUAAAAGUUGAGUCUUGUAAUUGUUUUUGAUAAGGUGAAAAAAAAGGUGAAAUAAACAAAAAGGAUAUCUGUCUCCUUCUCUUUUUUGUGUUGUGUUAGUGAGUGUUUCAGCUUUAAAUUAUCCCAUCAAGAUGUAGCCUGUAUUUGUCUUUUACAAAAACUCGAAAUUUUCUAGUUUUGAUGCCAUAUGAAAUUAUGAAGGAGCACUAUUAGCUAUUAUAGAAGUUUAGAUAAUUAGAUGGAUGCAUUAUUCAAUACUUAAUUGAUAUAACGUCUCUUUCACUACCCAUGCUCCUUUUCAACAGCUAGAUUACUUGCACAGCUUGGGCUCAAUGGAAGGAGAGCCGUCCAUAGAAGUGGAGGAUGGUGGAAUGAACAACUCGAUCGCGGAGGAGGUAAAGAAGGAUGAAAGAGGACCUUUAAUGGAAGUGUCAAAGGAUGAAAGGGAUUCUGUUCAAAAAAAAAAAAAAAAAGGAUGAAAGGGAUUCUGAAGAAGAAAUCUGGAGAGGUCGACGGGAGAUAAUGAAUAAUUUAUUGGCGGCUUCCGCGGGGGCACAAGAUCCGGCAAAAGCUUACGAAUAUGCUCGAAAACUGGUGCGUGUCAUCAAAGGCGGCAAGGUUGACGAGUUCCUUUCCAUGAUCAAAGUAAAUGAUCCAUUGUUGCGAGACAUUGAUUGGUCUGCCGUUUUAAAUUCCCGAUUGGAUUGGAACGACUCACUGCUCCACGUGGCAGCAGCAACCCGGAAGGACGACCUCCUAAGGCUUCUGCUUGAGUAUGUUGGUGACCACCUCAUAACCGCCCAAAAUGAUUGGGGAAAUACCCCACUCCACCGGGUCGCUCUGUCGGCGGGAUCUACUGGAGCUGCAAAGAUGUUGAUUCACCGGGCAAGAGGCCUCCCCAACGUCGAGGACAAGAACCUCUUGCGGAUGAAGAACAAACGUGGAGACACCGCUUUGCACUUGGCCGUGUGGCAUGAACAAGCCGACUUGGUGCGCUAUUUGUUGAGCGAAGAUUUAGAACCCGUGUACUGGAAGAACGCGGGUGAGAAAUCUCCCCUGUACCUAGCCCUCGAGACUGACGACUCCGCAAUACAUGAGGCUUUAUUUUCACUCUCGUUGGAACCAUCAAGGAUAGAAGGCUUGCCGCUCAUUCAUGGUGCCAUUGUACUUGGACGACGCGGUACGUACCUAAAUCUGCUUAUGUGGAAAUAUAUUUAUCUAUUUCUGGACUGACUCGUCCCAAAUCUGUGCAAUAACUUUUUGCUCUUACCAAAACCCCUUACCGGUUUUUACUUAAAAUUCCCUACCCUGCUUGUUAAAGUAGUUGGAUACCCAUCGGUUUAGCCGCAUAAUAAACAAAUUAUUCACAUUAGAGCAUAAUAGAUUGGCUUAAAUAUUACAAAUAAAACCAUUUCACUAGAAACUCAUGUGCUGUCGAUCUUUGAUUAGAGAAGCUAUAAAGUGCAAAUAUUUAAGAUUGAUGACCAUGAAAAUCUGGAAUCUAACAAUGACGCCAUUUUUGAAGCAACGGAGAGCCAUGAACCAAAAUGAACAAAUGAGAGUUUAGGGCAUAAAUUAUAAACUGGUAGCAAACCUAGGCGUGAUUUUUUCAUUGGAAAAAGAGGAGGUGACGGUUCCGUCACUCUUAGCAAAUUGAUGGAACAUCAUAAACCGUUAAUUUGUUUGUGACCAACAAUCAAUAGGUUUUUAAGAAAUUAAAAAAAGUGGAUCUAAAUAAAGAAAGAAAUUUUUGAUUUUUUUUAAAUGAAUACAAUUAUCAUAAUCUUUGUAGAAAAAGCCGAUACCGUAGUCUAGCCUAAAUUACCUUGACCAUUAAAAAUAUUGAGAUAAAAUUCAUCAAGCACGCGAUAAUCAAUUAUGUGGAAUUUUUUGGCUGCUAGCGCCAUGUAUCCCAAGUUUACUACUUGAAAAGCGCAGCUAAUGUUCAUUGAUCAUCAGAUUGGUAGAUGGCAUUCAGGUGUUAUAGUCAUAUCAAGUAGGGAGAAUUGUCCAAAAAGUUUUAAACUUAUUGUACGAUUGUUGAUUCAAUUAUAAACGUGUCAAUUGUGUCAAUUUAAUCUCUAUUUUAGUCCUAAACUUUUUAAAGAUUUGCCAACUUAGUCCUUCUAAUCAAUUUCUACUGGAAAUCGCUGACAUGGCGGUCUAGUCAAAGCUCGCCAUCCUACAUGAUGUUGAUCGCUUAUGUGGCUUUUUUUUACAAUAUAUUUUUUAAUUUUUUGCAUUUUUUUCCUUUUCUUUUUUUUUUAUCAUUUUUUCCCUCUACCAACCUCAGGGGAGAGCCGCCCUCCGAUCCUUGCGUAAAGCAACCCUUGCCCUUGCUCGACCUCCACUAGGCGUCAACUGUUGAUGGUUAGAGAAGGGAAAAAGGAAAAAAUGAAAUUAGAAAAAGAAAAGGAAAAGACAAAGACAAGGGAAAGGAAAGGAAAAAGGAAAAAAAUUAGAAAACUAAAAAAAUUGCAAAAAUUAUCCGCAUUAGCGUUGACUGUGCCGUGUAGGACAGUCAGUACUACUAGACCGCCAUGCCAAUGAUUUCCAACAAAAUUGGCCAGAAUGACUAAAAUGACAAAUUGUUAAAAGAUUUAUAACUAAAUUGGCAAGUUAUUAAAAUUGUUAUGACUAAAUUGGCAUAAUUGAAAUAUUUAAGACUGAAUUAAUCAUCAUACAAUAGAUUCAAGACUAUUUUGACAAUUUUCCCUAUCAACUAUAAUUCCAAUCCUAGAUGCAAUAACUUUAUUUUUAUCCUGUCCCAAUUUAUUAAUCCGAGCACAUGUUAUUAUUUACAUUGCACGACGUAACAUGUUUGAGGCUCUCUAUUUAAACUGAACAUGCAAAACAAUUUCAAAUGGACAUAAAGUGAAAAUGCGUAACAAUGUAUUGUGUGAUGCAAAUAAUAAAUUAGCAUACCCAAUAAAUGUAUGUGUCUAAACUUACGUUGCACUCGUUGAAUAGUUAUAGAAGUCGACCUGCACACAUAACGUUCAUAAUCCAUUUAUAAAUGGCUUAACUUAUUUGUGAUAAUACAAUUAAACCUAAUUCUACCAUAUUUAACCACGUUUCAUGUAGAAGGGCUGUUUCAUAGUUUGUCAGCUCAUAAUUCUAACAAGCACUUUAGAAACUAUACAAAAGAUCCCAUUGAAAUUGGAUUUACUAUAUAUUUCUUAUUCUUAUUGUCCAAUAUAUAAAAAUCCUUUUAUGAAGUACUACUGAUUGAAAUCUCGUAAUAAUAGUUCAGUUUUUUUUCACUGAAUGUAAAAGUAGAUGACAUUGUGGAAUGAAUCGAGCGUUGCCAUGGGCUUUUGUAGAUAGGCACUUUAAUUAGGUUAUCAUGAUAGGCACUUUUUUUAAGGUUCAUAUCAAUUAAAUAAGGUAAGGUUAUUUCUUUAAAUCUAGUAAUAUUCUUUCACUUGGGAAAAUUAUCCAAAAAGUCCUAAACCUAUCGCACUUUUGCCAAUUCAAUCCUAAAUCAUUCAAUUUUGUCAAUUUAGUGCUAAAUUGGAUAUGACUAAACGACAAUUAGAAAAUUCCUAAUUAUCGUUGUUAUAUGACUCAUGAAAUUUGUAUAUGUACUUAACAAUAUUAUUAGAGUAUAUUUUAUAGGAAGUAUUAUAGAAAUGUAAGAAUUUUCAAUAAUUGCUCAUUUGCAGUUUUUGAAACUCAUUAGAACUAAUUUCAAUAAAACUAAUGCCUCUUUUGUUGAACAAAAUUCAUGGUAUAAGAGGCAAACAUAAAUCCUAAUUUGAAGCAAAAUAAACGGAAAGUGGAAGAAAAACACUUUUUGUGAGGAAAAUAAUCAAUCCCUUACAAAUUAGAGCCCUAUAAUUUAGAGACAAUUCUUAAAGAAAAAAUCAUUAUAUAUUUAUGUAGAUGUUCAACAGUCUAGAUUAAUUUGCAAAGUUCACUGAACUUUUAGUAUUAUGGAUGUAAUUUUUAUGGCGGUGAAUUAAGACUCGUUUUGUUUUGUGUUGUGUCAUCACAGCUUAAAUAUGUGGUCGUUAUAGCUACGAUAUAUAUGACUCCAUGCAAUGCAUAUACAAGAUAGAACAUAUAAUGUGAUUUAUUGAGUAAAAAUAUCUUUCCCAGAAUCACUAAAAUUUCACAAAAUAUAUUUGGUCCAUUCACAAGAUAUAAUGGGAUUGAGUAGCACAAUCCCCAAGGAUGAGGUUAUCUCUAAAUCACUCUCGCCUGUCUUUGAAGUCCAAUGGCCACCCACAAUCCUCAAACACCGUUGGAAUAUUCUCAAAACAAUUGAAGCACCUCUCUCACAUUAUUGAACCUCUUUACUAGCACCUCCAAAUUUUCGUAGUUGGGGCCAAUUUUUUUUUGUUUUGGUGGAGCCUUUUCCUUUCUGUAAUUUGUGAUUUAUAAGCUCUACUAUCUUAGAAAUAGAUUCUGGUCACAAAUUUUACUUAGAUUUUACUCACAAGUUUUGGUAAAUACAUAAUCUCUUAAUUGAGCUGAAUAAGUGCCGUAUACCUUUACGAAGAAGAUGACGUUCAAUCUAGAGAGGGUGGAACAAUUUUAAGGGGGAUUUCAGUACGGCGUUGUGUAGGCUAUUGCAAUGUUCUCGACAAUAAGUCUGCUUGAUACUUGCUAGAAUUCGACGGACAUAAUAUGAAAAGAUCAUUUUCCUUUUCUUGAUCUUGACCUAGCUUGCAUUAGUCUGCCGACUCUAUAGAUACUUCAUGUCGUGGAAAUGCCAUAUAAAUUGCUAUGUCAUUUAGUAAGAUUUUCAUAGUGAAAUCUUAAGUUCCUGUCAAUGUCAUUAACUAGUUUUGGUAUUGCAAUCUAAUCUGUUAUUGUCGACUAUCAAUACUAGUAGUGAUUAAGGCACGUCAAAGAUGUCCUUACUCCAAAAUGGGUUUAACUAUAUCGAGACCAACCAAGCUCCAACCAUCCUAAUUUGGAGCUCCUGAUCCCAGAUUUAUUCGACCUGAUACUCACGAAAAACAUGAACCUAUUUGCAAUGACCGACUCCAGCGGGGGCAAUGUAUUCCAUUUAGCAGCUCACCUGAAUCAGGCCUGGGUAUUCGAAUUCUUACGACUAGAAACUAUAUAUUUGACCCGAGCAAGGGACAUGAAUGGAGAUAUCCCUGUUCAUAUUGCGAGCAAGAUGGGUCAUGUUGAACAUAUCAAGAAGCUGAGGAUAGUAUCACUUUCGCUAAAUGGGCAAGGGCAAACCGUUCUUCAUAUCGCCGCAAAAUAUGGGAGAGUCUCUGUAGUGAGAUACAUACUCAGCGAUCCAGAUCUAAAGAUACUGUUAAAUGCACAAGAUAAUGAUGGAAAUACAGCUUUGCACUUGGCUGCGAUGCAUUCGCAGCCCGCUGCUUUGAUUCAUCUUGUGCAGACUAACGGAAUUCAACUCAGCGUUUUCAACAACAAAUGCUUGUUCGCUGUUGACAUUGCUCGACGACGCAAGGCAAAGGGGCAUAAGAUUCGGCAUGUAGGUAACAUGAACAGUCACUAUUUUCUUUAUUAACUUACUGGAGAUUUCGUAGACUAAUGCAUUACUUAAGGCAGACCUUGUAUUCAAAUCAUUAUGUCUCCCAACCAACUAGAUAGUACAAGUAUUGAUCAAAUUUCUAGAAUAGCCGAGACUCCUCUCGGAUAAAUGUUCUGCAAGUCCCUAAUUUAGUCUUGAUAGGAGGUAAUUAAAAUUUGUGAUCAUGAAUUUCUCUGCAGUUAGAAACAAGUAACGUGUCUUUCAUAACACGGUGAUAACAAUUUAUAUAUUUCGUUUAAUUGAGCCUCUGAAUACGGUCAUGAAUAAAAAGGCAGGGUUUGUCAAGGUUGCAUUCUGUUUUUCAUAAAAAGCCAGGGGUCAAUGUGGCAAAUUUGACCGCUCCAAAUGUAACACAAUCUUAUAACAUUAUCAUUUUGUCGACCUAUGAAAUGAUUGCCCGCAUAAAUUCCAUUCAUGCCUCUUUUUUCGUCUAAAACGAACGUGGUAAUUUUGUGCUAAUUCUUCAAAAAGAGCAGAAACUGCAUCUUUAGAAGCAAACGUUUCCAGAGUUCAUUCCGUUAUCAAUAUGGUAUAAGUUUGUUCUUAUUUUCCUUUUUACAUGCUUCCGAUCUCAGCAAUUGGCAUACCUGGCGUUGGCUUGCUCGCUCGCGGGAAAAGAUCCACUUGGAAGCCUAGAGUCAUUCCUAGUUAGAGCGGAAGCUCGAGAUGAAGAGUUAUCAGUAGUCCGCUCGGGCAAAAGCAUGCCGAGCAGGGACAUCAUCAAGGAUUACAUCAAUUCCCGUCUGGUGGUGGCAACGCUUGUGGCCACAGUGACUUUCGCAGCUGGUUUUGCAGUUCCUGGAGGAUUUAACAGCUCGGACACAGCCUCCAAAGAUGACCGGGGCAUGGCUACGAUGCUGGACAAUAGAAUGUUCCAGGCUUUCGCGAUUUGCAACACCAUCGCGAUGUUCUGCUCAGUGAUUGUGGUCGUCAACCUCAUCUGGGCGCAGAUAGUUGAUGUCGACGUGGCAGUCGCUGCAUUCGAGCGCACAACGCUACCACUACAAAUUGCACUCCCGGCGAUGUCCACCGCUUUCUUAACUGGUGUCACCUUGACCAUUGGCAAACUCCCGUGGCUUGCUAACACCAUAUUUUAUUUGGGACUCGUUUUCCUCCUCAUUAUCUCAUUUGCUAAAUUGUUAGAGAAGCCUCUCCUCUUUAAAAUCUGCGGUCGUCCUCUCCCUCAACUAACAUUCUGGCUUAUUCUCGCUUUCAUUUAUUUGUGGAGAGUUGAGACGUACAUUUAUGAUGACAAUGACGCGAAAGAUGACGGAAGGGAGAAGAAGACCUUCGCUAGUCCGCCUGUGGAUGUUGCCGGUGAAUCGAGGACCGAUGACUCGGCGAAAGCAAAAUGUGAGGAUGCUACAUCCUCCAAGUCACUGAUUUGAAUUGAUCAUUCCAUAUUAUCUGUAACAUGUAGUAAUAAUAUAUGUUUUCCUUGGUGAGUGUGACUCACUCUACGGUUGCUUUCCUUUAUGUCAGAUCAAAGGUGAUUGUCAAUGUAUGUAAGCUAAAACCAUGUGUUUCUCUAAUAACUUAUUAGAAUUGUUGGAUAUAAUUCCAUCAAAUUUCAUAUGUUAUUAAAGCAGAGGUUCUAAGUUCAAACAUUUUCAGGUCCUAUUUGCAUCAUCUAUUAUAUGUUCUCAUGUUUCAAUCUUAGAUCAAGUCAAGUUUACGAGUGAAGAUGAGUAUAAAAGUAUUUGAAUUAAACAUCGCAUUCGUCUAAUAAUUUAAAUUUUUAGAAUGAUUAAUUGUACUUUCCCGAAAUUUCAAAGUAAUACACACUUUAUGUAAAUUAAAUGGAUGAAUGGCUCAUUUCAUCCGUUUAUCGCCCUGGAAUCAAAUUGUUAACUUUGAACAUGUGGAAGCUCGUGGGUUUAUGAAAUCACUCGUCUGGAGUGGCCAUGUCCGAUUUACUUCAAACCAGUCCAAUUUGCGGCACUCUCGAGUCACGAAAUCCUAAGCACUCACUUACCUGUCUGGUGUGCAAAGAAAAUAAUUCUCAAAUUCUCAUCGCCUACUCUCUGAGUCAAGAGUUGGGUGAAGAAAACUGGAACAAAAUAAUUCUCUUCACUACUCACAAAAAAAUAGAAUCAAACACCGAACUCAUUUCCAUUUACACCCCUUUCAUUUCCCCACUUCUCCCUCCUAGGCGCCCAAUUUCUGUGCAUGCAAAUGAGUUUUGGUGUUUGAUUCGUGGCGGGGUAUAAUCUUAGUGAGCAGCGGGCGCAGAAGUCUAGUCAAGCGACGUGAUAAAAAGGAAUUGCAAUACGCAACUCACGGAGAAUUGUGGAAAAGUCUGGAUACGUGAUUUUCCUCCUCCGAUCUCUGAUUUUUAUUUCAAAGCUGGUUGGUAUUGACACGUAGAAUAUAACUCCAAAGUGAUUCUGGACCUAUUUAUUCGACAAUGAACGUAGAUAACUACAAAAAUAAGAAGGAUCCCAUUGUACGAAUGUCUAUUGAGUUAUGAACUUUUUAAAUUAGUUGAUUUAAUUUUAAACAUCUUGACAAUUUGUCAAUAUAAUCAUUCCGACCAAUUUUGACCAAAAAUCGUUGAUGUAAACGCCAGCCAUCCUAUGGCACAUGACCAAUAUUGAGGUGGACAAUUUUUGCAAUCUUUAAAAGAAUUUUUCAUUUUUUUCUUUUUUUUUUCAUGUUUUCAUUUUCUUCAUUUUCUUUUCUUAUAUUUUCCUUUUUUCUUUUUCUUAUUCCCCUUCGCCAGCCAUUGGCCGAUCCAUGGCUUCGGUGAUUGAUAGCAAGGGCCCAGAUGCCCUUGCCAGCGAUUAGCAAGGGCUGAUGGAUUUGCUGGGCCACAGACUAAUGGAGGGACAAAGGAAAAAAAAAAAAAAGGAAAGAAAAGAAACUAAAAAGAGGAAAAAAAAAGGUUUUGAAAAAAUUGUAAAAAUUAUCCACAUUAACAUCGGCACCUAGAUCUGGGCGAGGCCAAUCUCGUCAUGGCCUAGCCUAGAUCUGGGUGAAGCCGCCUCGCGCACGGCCCCAGGCCUCCCUCGUGGCCGACGAGGCUCGUCAAAGAAGCAAAAGAAUGAAGAAGAGAAAAAAUUAAAAGGAAAAAUAAAAAAUAUAUAUUCAAAAUUGCCACGUCAACGUACAUCAAUGCUAGCCGACCAAAAUUGUCCAAAUAGAUUGAAUUGGCACAAUCACGAAAAGUUUAGAACUGAAUUGGCAAAAAAAAAAAAGUUUAAAACUGAAUUAACAUAAUUAUAAUAGAUUCAGAACUUUUUCGGUAAUUCAUGUUCCUACACAUGAAGUUCUCCUUGUCGAGCUUGUCGAUCUGGUGCUUCACAUACUUGAAAUGACUAGCUGCAAUUACAUUAUGAAACUCCCUGCUCGAUGAGUAUUGAGUGUACAUACCUUCGGUGAAAUUUAACUUGCUCAAUGCCCCCGGCUCCACCGUCGCCUUGCACCAGCUCCACGCUCUUUAUGAACUGAGGCAGGAGCUUCGGGAUCAGGGUAUUUGACUCGACAAUUAAAGCCUUAAGAAUGCGAGCCGGAGCAAUCGGGCAUGUGAGCUCUUGUGUGAAGCUGGUUGCACCCAUGGCUAUUGGCAAUGAGAAAGAAAUAACCCCAGAGAAGAGUGCUUCUGAGUCCUGUCAAUGCCUCCUAAUUAUGGUUGGAAUUAUGUCAAUAGGUAGGGUUGGUGUGGCAAGAGUCACGCUCGAGGAAAAUAGGAGAGUCAAGGAUUUGCAGCCUAAAGGAAUGGAAAAGAGGAAAUUGAGGUGGUCUCUUUUGUUCUUUUGGUCAUGAAAACGAUUUCGGUCCCUUUCAGAUUCGUGUUGAAAUGUCAAAGUUAUGUUCCAAAAGAUGAACAUUCUCGUGCUCACAUGGGCGGCCAUCCCUUUGAAAUGAUUGUUGUGGAGUUCGAUCUAACAAUUUGCCGAUUAGAUAUUAUAACGAAAUGUCCUUGUUUGGAGAAAAGUGUAUUAAUCAAAUUUUAUCCCGUUUAAUAUGUAGCAAACGAGAAUACUUUAUUAGUUGGUGAUAUCAUGUUAACUUGUCGCGUAAUAUAAACAUCACAUCAUAUACUUCUUCAUUUGUAAUGCCCUAAUGUCACGGUGGAUCUGAUUCAAAUGUAUGGAGUAAGGCCUUUUGAAAUCAUUUUCAUGGGUUGAUUCAAACUUCACUAGCACCGACAGUUUGACUCGGUCAAAAUUGGGUCCGCAAUCGGGGUGUCCCAAGAUCAGCUCGUCGUCUAAGUUUUGGGGGAGGUGGAGGCUGCUGCUUUUCCGUUAUAUCUUGCUUCUCUUUUUCUUUUUUAUCAUUGUCAGUGUUGAAGCAUUUGAUCUCUAAUCCAAUGUCCCCAUCAAAGAGAUAAGAUAGGAUUAGCUUACAUAGAAUUUCAAAUAGCCCAAGCGUUACAAUAAGAUAAGUCCAAAACCUAAACACAUUAACUUUAUUUUCCCAUAGCUUUCUUGACAUAUAAUAAGAAUGUGCUUUUCUUUAAUGAUCAUAUGCAUAACAAUCUCUGAAAGAUUCUACCACAUCCAUAGUUUUAAGUGUUAAUCCAAAUUCGAAACAUAAGUUUGGAUUUAUUCAUUUGUUACUCAUGAAUUCUAUUCUUUUAUGGAAUUUAUUGAAAAUUAGAGAAUCUCAUGAUACCAACAAAAUAUCAAGCUUAUUCAACUUUUAUUUCCUUGAUACGCUAUUUAUGUAGCACAAUUUACAAAAUUCCACAAAAACCAUUUCACCAGAUUCCUGCCACACCUUUUCAUUCUCUUAUUCUCAGCAAAGACAAGAACAGCUACGCUCACCAGCCCCACAAGCUUUACUCCAAACACAGAGGGACCCAAACUCUUCUUCUCUCCUUGUGAAUUUAGCACAACCAGACAUAUUUCACACAGUACCGUGAGCAAUCCAAGAUAGCGAUGAGAUCUACUCAAUAGGCAUCAGGGUUUGCCAAGAGAUGAGCCUCGAUGGCCUUGAACAUCUCGGACGCCUUCUCUUUCCCGGCCUUGAUCUUCUCCUCAGUGAUCUCCACCUCGCCGAUGGUGAAGUACUUGCUCGUGUUCUUGCACACCGAGCCUCCCUCGGGCGAUGCUAUGAUCUUCACCUCGUUGCUGAUCUUCUCGAAGGUGGUGCCCAGCAUGUCGCCCUCGAUGAUCGAGUAGCAGUAGGUGAGGUUCUCCUUGUCCAGGGACUCGACCUUUUGCUUCAUUGUCUUGUAGUGACUGCCUAUCAAAGUAAGAAAAAAUAAUAUUCACGUUUAGAAUUCGCCGGUUUCAACAUCACGAGCAACGAUCUUGAUGGUGUCGAUCGGGGCCAUUUAGGUUGUUCCAACUGCAAUCUGAUACGAUUGACUGAGUAGACAUGGCCUGAUUUCCCUCAAUUGGAGUCAAGUCACGUGAUCACUUGUGUAAAUCAAUGGUUAGAAACAUCUUUAAUUAACCAAGUUGCAUAUCUAUCUUUUUAAUGUUCAUCAUGAUGUUCCAUAAGGUUGAAACAGCCUUGAUCCAGAGCGAUCCUAACACGGACGGACUAACCUUCGCCGAAAGUGAUCAACUUGACGGUCCCGGGACCUCCGUCGCCCUCGAGGACUUCGACGCUCUUGAUGGCUUGCGGGAGCACCUUGGGGAUGAGGUUAUC